UAUGCAUUCCAGGGUACAAACAUCUAAGUUUUGGUAGAUCUUGGAGUUUCAGAGUGGUGAGCUGUGGAAAGACAAAAUAAGGGAUCACUUGAUCUGCUCUGUUUUCAGAAAUGAUCUCCUGUAAAUCCUCACAGAAGCGUAUAUCUAGGUGUUGGAGCUGCUUAAGGCUUCCGAUCAUAGAUGCUGAAAAUAUGUAUUUUAAUUUGUGACAACGCCACACAAUCAAUCGUGUUAAACUCUGAAAGUGAGGAAACACGGCCGCCGGAAUUUGAUUGCAAUGCCAAAUCUUGGCGACAUCAAUUUGAGAUAUCUCCAAAGCCUCCAAGUUAGGCAACGCAACCUUAAAAAAUAAGAAUUUCUCGUUAGAUCCAAUAUCCAUAUGGGAAGCACUUGUUGAAAUUUCCUUCUUUGAUUACAAAUUAAUGCAAGUCAGAAUCAAUUUCCAACUGACAGCUGAGUUUGAUGCAUUCUAAUUCAUACUACUUGUUAAGAGCUCAAUUAGUAAGCGUGUGAGAUUCUUUUUAUCCUUUUUUCCAUUUUCUUGCAAUUCUUUAAAUGAUUUAAUUAUUUUCCACGUAUGACGUCAAAAGAGAACGCAUGAUAGAAUAAAAUCUGUUAUAUAUAUAUAAAGAAAAUGUUAGCCUACGCACCUUCUCGUUGAAAAGCAGAGUUGAAGUAUCCAAAGUGAUUUCGCUGGAGCUAUACGUAGUCGUCGAUUCCUCUUGCGACGCUCGUCUGUUCGGUGAUGCUGAAGGAGUCUUUACUUCACGGCAAAAACUUGUAACCUCUGGAAGAUUCCCCAGACUCAAAGAUCUUAAUUGAGCAAACUCUAUCUUCUCAAUUGCAUUAUCAACUUCUUCCCCAAUUGCAAAAAUCUCUUUCAUCUUGCUGCAAUUAAUAACUGCAAUUCUCUCAAGUCUUGGAAGGCAUUUUGUUGUAGAGAGCCAAAAGAUAUUACUCAAUUUAUCACAAUUAUAUGCUUGUAUGAUUUUGAGUUCGUUGAAGGACUCUACUUUGAGCCGAUCAAUACAUAUCCUCUCCAUGUUGAUCAAAUUGUGAAGGCCAAGUGACUCCAAAAGAGGAAAGGCAUCAGAAGCGACCAUCUCCUUUGAAUCGACGAUGCAAAAGAAGUCAGGAUUAUUUUGAACCCCGAGAAGCUUCAAUUGUGAAAAGCCCUCCGUGUCCAAAUUGAAAAUAACGUUCUUGAUACCUCGCAGCUUGUCCAACAAUAAGUAUUCAACUUUAUUGAUGCCCUGCAAUUUGAUGGAGCAAAUGUCCAUAAAAUCAAGCUUGAGCUUCAAUGCUCUUGAAAACUUGCGAUUACUGUCGAUCAAAAAGUGCGGCCGACUUUCAAACCAAUAUUGUCCAAAAAGCACGGGAUGCCUGAAUGACUCAUUUCCAAUAGAUAUUUUGAACCUUUCGAGCUUUCUGGCCAAAAAACCUUCUGGUAAAAUACUGUCAUUUUUAACGUCAAUUUCUAGAGCGGUUAGCCGAGGUAAAUGCAUCAAUUCGUCAAGGCUAGCAUUACUUCUUUUGCUGUUGGCUCUUUCAACCUCCCAUUCAAUGAAGCAAUUACCCAUAUACAAUUCUUCUAAUCGGAUUAAGCUUGAUAUGACAUUUGGGGCAAUAACUUUCAGAAGGAAACAGUCUGUUAAAUCUAACAGCCUUAGCUUAGACAGUUGACCUAGUUCUUCGGGCAACUUCUUAAUAUCAGACUUCAAAAAGCUAAGGACUUCUAGAUUCUUCAACUUCCCAAUGAUUGCUAUGUCGCCCAACGCACUUUGAUCCAGACAUAGUGUGUGAAGAUUUACUAGAAGAUCAAUUGAAGAUGGAAAUGAAGAAAACUGCAUUCGAGUAAAAUCUAGAACUCUAAGCUUUUUCAUCCCUACAAAAAAGUUCUCAGGAAUAUUGAUUUCAAGAGAAGAAUCUUUGAGAGAGAGAUAUAAAAAUUCAAGGUUUGGGCAUUCUAAUCCUUCAGGAAAUUCACGAUUACUAUUAUUUCUUAAAGAGACAGCAUUGCAUUUUCGAAGUGCAUCCUCAUCUGGCCAGUCCCACACAUCCUCAUUUUCGGCCAAAAAUACAUGUUGGUGGCGGCAUGCAAUUGAUAUGGCGACAUCGCGAACAACAUCAUGCAUUGAAAAUUCUUCAUUGCUAUCACCCUCAAGCAACAAACAAGAGUCUCUAAGUUCAUGGACCAAUGCAUAUAAUUUGUCUCGUGCAUCUUCCAUCUUAUUGACUCCUUUAAAUAUACCCAAACCCAUGGAGUACUUAAACAGGUCCAAAGUAUGAAUACCGUUACCCAUUAGACUACCGAGGAGAAAAAUUUUCUUGAGUUGCUCACCUUUUAAAUGGUUGAAACUCAGCUCAAUACUUGAAUAAGUCUCUGCAGAUACUCCUUCGAAGUUCACCAUUGAAGGCGUUCGGAGUUCGCGCAAGGAAUUCUUCCAUUGAUGCGGACUCUUGCUUCUCAGUGCCUUUGCUACCGUACUCAAGGCAAUGGGCAAACCUCCACAUGCCCUGGCGACGUCUAUUGCUGUAGAUUUCAACUCACGAUUUUCAACAUCAUCACCGGCCAUCAUCUUAAACAAUCUCCAAGCUUCUUCUUCAUUUAAAUUGUUAAUCAAGAAGUUGUCUUUAGAUCCCAUUUUCAAGAGGACACUACGAUCUCUUGCCGUCAGCAGUAGUUUGCAUCCUUUAUGAUCUUCCCCAAAAGGAAUUCCAACGGUCUCCAAAUCAAGGUGUUUCCAGAUGUUAUCCAGAAUCACAAGGAUCUUCUUCUCAUUUCUCAAUCGCUCAUAUAGCCUACUUGCUCUUCUAGAUUCAACUUCCUCGUGCAACUCCAGGCCCAACUUCUCGGCAAUUUCCUGUUGAAUCUUUUUUAUGUCUGGAGUUUGCGAAACCUCUGAAAAGACCACCAUAUCAAAGUGCUUGUCUUCCAGAGCUUGCCUGGCGACCUUCUUCACCAGUGUCGUCUUUCCAAUGCCGCCCAUGCCGUACACCCCAAUGAUGCUGACAUUAACAUCGAUCAAUGCGUUUUUUAUAGCCUCCAAAGUAGAACGUCUUGAUUCGAAGGCCUCGUAGCCUUUGUGAGACUUGAGCCAUAUAUCCUCCGGAACAGUACGGUAGGAAAUUCUAUCAUCAAAUCUCCCAGCUUCUUCUCGGAGUUUAAAAAGGGCCUCCUUCUCUGUUUCUGCUUCCUUUCCAUGCUGAUAGCGAGUAAUCCAAUUAGGAAACAGCCCCAUGAGACAUCGUUCAUUUGCUUUCUCUUCGUCUUGAAUGAAUUUGGCUGCCUGCUCAAUGCUCUUGUUCGCAUUAACUAGCCAUUUCUCAACCUUCUCUUCAAUCUUUUCACUUUUUCUUUCAGCCUCAGAAACUCUGCGCUGAAUGCUUUCUCUUUCAUCCUUGAGCCUAUCGAGUUCUGCCUUGAGAUUCUCAAAGUUGGCAGAGGAGUUAUACCAAUAACUAAAUUCGCGUUGUGCGUGAGGAGACAAGCAGUUUACAACUCCUGGAACAAUGCUUUUCAAAAUGUCCAUUUUUUUUUUCUUUUUUGGGGAAGUGAACGAAAUAGAAAUAGAACAGAGUCAACGACCGCGCAAUUGAUAAUUAAGUAGAAAACAAGGCAAAAUUGAAAAAAGAAAUUAUAUUUGUACAAAACAAGGGGAAAAUCAGUGUAACAGAAGAGAAUCAAAGUGUUUUUGAGAUCAGAAAAUUGAACCAAGAAAAGGGUUGCUUGAUCCAAUGAAAAUGCAAAGAGCAUGGCAAAAGGAAACAAAGCUAAAUAAGAAAACGGUUAGCACGAGCAGUGACCACGAUCAACAGAAGCAAAGUGUGUAUGAGAUCAAAAGACGAAAAUCAGGAGAGGUUUUCUUGAUUGAGAAUUGAAGGCAAAGAGUAGGAGCUGACGAAUACGGGGAUCAAGAGGGAAAAACUGCUUGCUCGUAAAACUGCUUUCAAGCGAAUCUGAUAAAAUUAUUUCAGUACAAGUGGGCGACUCCCUUUUAAACUGCAGAAGGAAAAAAAAAAAAAUUCUGAUUUUCAAUAUAUUAAUCUCGUAAUCAAUGAUUAAUUAGUAGAUAAUCUUUCUAACAAAUAUGUGUUGAAUAGAUAUAUUUCUUGAUUAUUCGUAGGUUCGAUAUACUUUAGUAUAGGAAUGAAAGUACAAAUUGUGUCAUAUUAGAAUAAAAAUUAGACCUAAAAAUAUUGUCAUAAAACAUGUGAUCCUCAUCCAAAGGCCAGGUGAACAAAUAUAAACGACAAAUUCUUUUCAAUUAAAUAAUCAUCAAGUGAUAAUAUUCUAUUUCAGUACAAAUAGCGAGUGCAGAACAACUGUCAAGAGAUAAUCAUUGUUUAUGGAGCCAUAUAUAUUUUCUAUUAAAAUAGUUGCGUGAACAAUAGCCAGAAUCCGAAAAAAUUGUUGAAAGGUCUAUUAUUUUCGUUUAAAAUUGUUGAAAGGUCUAUUAGUUUCGAUUAAAAUAUUUUCGAUAAAAAUAGUUGUGUGAACAAUUACCAUAAAUAGUGUUUACAUUUUGGAUUGGACUGAGAAUCUUGAAGAGUGGAAAUCUUAGAAUUGAGAGUAUGGAGUAGAAGUGGGUGUAAGUUGUUUACUUACACUGAAAUAUAAGCAUGGAAUGAAGAUUAUAAUCCAAUUUAUGUAUUUACUUUAUCUUGGAUUGGGAGUAAAUAGUUUCAAAUUAUAAUUUUAUCUUCAUUUAAAGAAUUAUAGUUUUUAAUUACAAAGUUAAUAAAAAUAUAUAUUUAAUGAAUAAACAUUUAUUUUAUUAUAUUUAUAAAUUUAUAAUAAUUAUUAAUAUUCUUAAUUAUGUACAUCAUAUUUUUUAUUAAUUUUAAUUUUAAAUAUAUAAAUUAAAAAUUAUUGAUAAGAGCAAUGUAAAUGAAACAUUUUUACUAUUAACAUAGUACAAAAUUAAUAUUUUCUUAUAAUUAACUAUUUAUUAUUACUAAUUAUUGAUAUUAAAUAAAUAUAAUACUAUUAUUUUUAAAUAAAUAUAAUAAUAUUAUAUUUUCAAAUAAAGAUAGUAUAUAGUAAUAUUAUUAAUUCUCUAUUAAUAUAAUAAUAUUAUUUUAAGUAAUUUAAACUUAGAAUCAAACCAAAUUAUUAUUUAGUUAAAUAUAAUAUUAUUAUUUAAAUAAAUAAAAUAUUAUUUAUUUUAUUUUAUUAAAAAUAAUUAUAGUAAAUUUAAUAAAAGGGGGUUAAAAAAGGAAGGUAAAUAUAAAAUGAAAUAUUAUUUUAUUUAAUUAUAUUAAAUUUAUUAUUAUAUAAAUAAUAAUAUAAUAUUAUUUAGUAUAAAAUUAAUAUUUUCUUAGAAUAAACUAUUUAUUAUUAUUAAUUAUUAAUAUUAAAUAAAUAUAAUACUAUUAUUUUUAAAUAAAUAUAAUAAUAUGAUAUCUUCAAAUAAAGAUAGCAUAUAAUAAUAUUAUUAAUUCUCUAUUAAUAUAAUAAUGUUAUUUAUUUUAUUUUAUUAAAUAUAAAAUAUUAAAUUUAAUUAAAUAAAGGUAGAAAAGGGAGAGGUGGGAGUGGAUUUCCCAUGGGAGUCCCACUCACACUCCCCACUCCAAAAAUGGGUGGGGUCCACGGAGUGGGAUUUCCAACCCCUCCUUAAAAUGGUGAAGUAAACACUGGAGUGGGAGGAAUGCACACUGCUCACACUCACCCCAGAAAAUAAACACCGAAAAGGCCAGAUGAUGAAGAACCACUAUAAGUUCUUUUAUGAAUUUAAAAUGCUAAAGAAACUUGACACCAACGCUAAGCUAACAAGUGCAUAUUUUUCUGUGGCCCUUGCCUCAAUGUCUUUUGGGCAUUGCUCGGGGGUAGUUGAUAUAUUGAUUAAAAUAUGAAUGAAUUGGAAUGGAAUGAGUUGGAAUUAAAAUAUGGAAUAGUAAUUAAUUAAUUAAUUUAAAUUGUAAAAAUUAAAAUAAAAAUAAAUUAUAUCAUCAUUGAUAUAUUUAUUUUAUUUUAAAAUCACGAUGAGUUGUUACAAAUUACAAAAUAUCUUUAAUUUUUUAUCAUAAUAAUAAUAAUUUAUUAUAAUAUUUUGUUGGCCUAAAUGGUUAUAUAAUCCUUGAUUUUGAUGAUAACAAACUACAUAGAGUACAAUAGUAAAUUUAUUUCUCACAAUCUCACAAGUUUUUGAAGGGCAAAAAUCAUUCAAGUGGGAUCAAGAUCAAGAUACUCAAUAGACAAUGACAAUCAAGGACGAAUACUAAGGGUACUAGUUUAAGCCAUCUUUAUUGUUAAAUUUCUUGUAAAGCCAGUGUAAUUUAACGUGUGCAUGAUGUAACAUUUAAAAGCUCAAGACAUUUUUCAUGACAUUUUCAAAUUAAAUCAUCAUUUUCUAAAAUAUAAAAGUUUUAACGAUUUUAUAAAAUUAGUUGCUUUUUCCAAAUUUAUGAACUAAAUUGAAAAGUUUUGAGAACUUUGAAAUCAACUAAUAAUGUUUUAAAACAUAGAAAUUGACAUAUUUGUAAAUAUUUCAAACGUUUUGGGUCGUAAUAUAAUUUCAAAAAAAUUAGGUCUAAUCUAUAAAUCCUGGAACAAUAGUGGCUAAUCGCUUAACCAAUAGCGACUAACUACUUCAAGUCCAAAAACAUAGCAGCUAACCGCUUAAAUCAAGUGACAAUCCGCUUGAACCAAAGUUUUCAAAUUUGAUUUGCAACUGUAACUUACCAUAUCAACAUAGUGGCUAAUCGCCUCAUUUUAACGGCGAUCCAGCAAGUCCCUAGAAAAGCCAAUAAUUGCUAGUUUGAUUAUUUAAACUAUAAAAUUCAAAUCUAACAAUUUUUUUUUUCAAUCUCAAUUAAGCUAAAACUUAUUCAUAUAUCUUGAGCUUUCAUUUUGCUUAUCUACAUACAUUAAUCAUUAUAGAGCUAUCAUUUGCUUAUACACUCUUAUAGAGUGUAAUCUUUGUAAUCUUCAAUUAAAUAUCAAAAUUGAGUGAGUAUAAGUGUGGGAAACACUUGGGAAAAGAGGUGUGUGUAUACAUAAUUACUUGUAAAGGUUUAUUGACACCUUAGAAGUCAAUUGUAAAAUUUUGGAGCCUUGGAAGGUUUGGAUAGUAGAAUUCUCAAGUUUGGAUUGCUUGGAGGCGUAGUCAUAGGCGGGUUUGCCGAACCACAUAAAAAUUCAUGUGUUUGUUAUCUUCUCCCUUAUCUUUUUAAUUUCACGUAUAGUUAAAUUUACCAUUAUUAAAUUUCUUGAAGUAUUUGUUUAAUUUGUAUUGUGUUUUUGUUAGUAUAAUUUUUAAUACCUAAUUCGCCCCCCUCUUGGGUUGCUUAGCUAGAAUUUCAUUUGGUAUCAAAGGAAGUUCUCUUGUUAGGACUUAACCAUCUAGAGUAAAAGAUCCAUAGUAAUCCAAAAUGAUCCCAGAUUUGGGGAAGGUUAAUCCCUUACUAGAUCACCAUUCUUUGAUGGGAAUGAUUAUCCAUGUUGGAAAAUUAUGAUAAGAAUUUAUUUGCAAGCAUUAUAUUAUGAAAUAUAGGAAGUUGAUUGUGAUGGUCCAUUCAUGCCUACUGCUAAAAAUGAAGAAGGGAAAGAAAUUCUAAAACCUUCACAAGAAUGGAAUGAGUCGGAAAAGAGAAAAGAUUCUCUUAAUUUCAAAGUCAUGAAUGCUUUGUUUUGUGACUUAGAUAAAAAAGAAUUCUAUAGAGUUUAAGGUUGUUCCAAUGCUUAUGAAAAUUGGAAAAAACAUAAAGUCAUUUAUAAAGCUACAAAUCAAGUCAAAUAGUCUAAAAUUAGUAAAUAUACUAGGCAAUACGAAUUGCUAUAAAUGGAACAAAAUGAGAGUGUUAAUCCCAUAUACACUAGAUUAACAGACAUUAUAAACACUUUAGGAGCUCUUAGAAAGACUUUUUCAAACAGCGAAAAGGUAAAAAAAAUCAGUAGGUCUUUACCAAAAGAAUAGAGACCUAAGAAAAUUCCCAUUGAGGAAGCCAAUGAUAUUUUAUCUAUUGAUGAUUUAAUUAGUUCAUUUAUUUCUUAUGAAAAGGAUUUGACAACUGAAAAAUAUAAUGAAGACGAGAAGAAGAAGAGUUUUUCCUUAAAAGCAUCAAGAUCUAAAAGUGACAACGAAAGUGAGAUCGAAAAUGAAGACAUGGCUAUGAUAGCUGGAAAAUUCAAAAUAAUUUUCAAGAAAUCCAUCGAGCGAAGGAAAUUCAAAAAUUAGAAAGAGAAGAAGGAGGCAAUUAUUUUCUUUAAAUGCAGGAAGCCUAGACACAUAAAACUAGCAUGUCCUUUUCUCAAAAAAUUAAAGAAGAUAGCCAUGGUAGCAACACGGGAUGAUAGCGAUAAGGAGACUAUAGAUGAAGAGUAGUCCCAUGAAGUGUCAAAUUUGGCACUUAUGGUUAUAGGAGAUGAACUUGAUGAGGUAAACCUCUUAGGAUGAGUUGUUUGAAGUAUUCUCUAAAUUGCAUAAAGAUGUAAAGAAGAUUGAAAUGUAAAAUGUUUCUCUUGGAAAGAAAAAAGUAGAACUUUUAAAUGAGAAUGACACUUUGAAUAAAAAGAUUAAGUGCCUAGAAGUAUUUGUGAAGAAAUUGCAUCUUUUAAAGAAAAAACAAAAUGUUUCAUCUAAGAAUAAAGGUUUACUUGUAAAUGAUUUGAAAAAGAAAAAUGAAAUAUAUUGCUUUAGAAUUUGCUUAGUAUUAGUCAAUUGUGUGAUAAAUGUUACAAAGUUAUUUUUAUGUGAUAAAGACUAUAGAGUUAUUUUUUAUAAAACAAAAUGUGUUAUUAAAAAUACAUGUGAUGACAAAGUUUUAUUUGUUACAUAAAGAUGUGUUAAUGUAUACACCAUUGAUAUAGAUAGUGUAUCAACUCAUGAUAAAUGUUUUUUUCACAUUACAUGAUGAUAGUUGAUAUGGCAUGGAAGACUAGGUCAUGCGAGCAUGGAUUUGUUUUCAAAAUUUUUUAAAAAUGAUUUGGUUAUAGGUCUUCUAAAAAUUGGUUCUAAAAAAGAUAAAAUUUGUGAAGUUUGCCAAUUUAGAAAACAAAUAAAACGUCCUUUAAAAAAAAUUCAUAUUUCUACUUCAAAACCACUUUAACUUUUUCACAUGGAUUUGUUUGAAUUUUCUAAAUAUGCUAGUUUAAGUGGUAAAUAUUAUGCAUUUAUAAUUAUAGAUGAUUAUUCUAUAUACACAUGGUAUUACUCUCAACUAAUAAAGAUGACACCUUUAAUGCUUUCAAAGUUUCUAUAAAAAGGUUCAAAAUGAAAAAUGAUAUGUUAUUUCUUGCAUUAGAAGUGAUCAUGGUGGAGAAUUUGAAAAUUAUAUUUUGAAAAUUUUUACAAUAACUUUGGCAUUGAGCAUCAAUUCUUGUUACCAAGAACUCCAUAAUAAAAUGGAGUAGUUGAGAGAAAGAAUAGGUCUAUCCAAGAAAUGGCUAGGACCAUGUUAAAUGAAAAUGUUUUACUAAAAUAUUUUUGGGUUGGAACCGUCAACAUUGUUUGUUAUAUUUUAAAUCGUGCAUUGAUUAGACCUUACCUCAAUAAAACUCCUUAUGAGUUUUGGAAAAAUAGAAAAACAUUGACUAUUUCAAAGUUUUUGGUUGCAAAUGUUUUCUAUUGAAUACAAAAGACAAUCUUGGUAAAUUUAAUCUAAAAUCUGAUGUUGAUAUUUUUCUUGGGUAUUCAAAUACAAGCAAAACUUAUAGAGUGUAUAAUAAAAGAUCCUUGGUCGCUAAAGAAUCUAUACAUGUUAUAUUUGAUGAAUCUAACUUUUCUUCUAUGAAGAAAGUUGUUGUUGAUGAUGAUGCAUAUGAAGAGUUACAAAAACAAAAAGUCUUUAAAAGACAAACAAGAUGAUUUACCGGUAAAAAUCAAGAUGAGCAACAAGAAAAACAAGUUAAACAGAUUCAAAAUGAAGGUAAUUCACAAACACUCUCUAAGGAGCUAAGGUAUGUCUCUUCACACCCUAAAGACUUAAUCUUAGGAGAUCCUUCAUGAGGUGUAACUACUAGAUAAUCACUUAGAAAUACAUGUGAACAUACUGUAUUCAUAUCUCAAGUUGAGCCAAAAUCCUUUUCAGAUGUGGAAAAUGAUGAAUCUUGGAUUAUAGCAAUACAAGAAGAGUUAAAUCAAUUUGAAUGAAACAAUGUAUGGAAACUUAUUCAUAAACCAUAACAUCAAUCUGUAAUAGGCAAUAAAUGGGUAUUUAGGAAUAAAAUCGAUGAAUCUGGUGUAGUUGUAAGGAAUAAAGUUAGAUUAGUAGCUCAAUGAUGCAACCAAGAAGAAGAAAUUGAUUUUGAUGAAACCUUUGCACAUGUAUCGAGAUUAGAAUCCAUUACAUGCUUUUAUCAUUUGCAUAUCAUAAUGAUUUUAUUUUAUAUUAAAUGGAUGCUAAAAGCACCUUUCUAAAUAGUUGUAUUAUGAAGGAAGCUUAAGUGAAACAACCCCCUCAUUUUAAAAAUGAAAAAUGUUUUUGGAUCAUGUUUACAAGUUGUCCAAAGUUUUAUAUAGUUUAAAGUAAGCAUCUAGAGCAUGAUAUGAUAGACUUAGUAAAUUUCUUUUAGAAAAUAGUUUUUCAAUGGGUAAAGCGAAUACUACUCUAUUUGUUAAAUACAAGGAUCAAGGUAUACUUGUUCAAAUUUAUAUUGAUGAUAUUAACUUUAGUUCUAUUAAUGAGUUUCUGUGUAAGGAAUUUUCAUCUUGCAUAAGUAGAGAAUUUGAGAUGAGCAUGAUGGGAGAAUUGAAGUACUUUCUUGGACUUCAAAUUUAAAAGAAAAAAAAGAAUUCAUUAAUCAAGCCAAGUAUUUCAGAGAUCUACUCAAAAGAUUUUGCAUUCAGGACUAAGGACACUCCAAUGAGAACUACAAUCAAUCUCGAUAAGGAUAAAAAAAGUAAAGAUGUUGUAUCAAAAGAUAUCGAGGUAUGAUCAUAUUUUUACUUUACUUUACUACUAGUAGACAUUACUUUAGUGUAUGUUUGUGUGCAUGAUUUCAACCAGAUCUCAAAGAAUCUCAUUUGCUUGCGGUUAAAAGAUUUUUUUCAUUAUUUAUGAGGAACAAUUGAUCUUGGUCUAAGGGAACUCAUAUAAAUUAUUAGCUCAAUAAAUUUUUCAAAGAAUCCCAUUCAACAUUCUAGGACCAAACAUAUUGAAAUUAGGCAUUAUUUCUCACGUGAUCAUGUUCAAAUGAGAGAUAUUGCUUUAGAAUUUGUUUCUAUAGAAAAAUAUCUUGCUGAUAUUUUUACAAAUCCUUUUUGUGAAGAAUAGUUUUCAAAGAUUUGGAUUGAGUUUGGAAUGAUGACAUUUUCACAUCAAUAUUUCAUUGCAUGAUAUUGAGACUACAAAUUUGCUUGAUUUUCUAUCUUGAUUUUAAUGUGUUAUAUGCUUGAAUUUACUUCUUUGAAUGUUUAUCAUCAUAUCUUAUGCAUUAAAAAUGGCUUUUGAAAUACUUCGGGAUCACAAAAUGGUCUCAAAAUUAAUUAAAUUUUGGCCAAAAAGCAAAAUCGUGCAAAAUUUAGGGGAACUAGCUAACCGUUAACAACAAGCGACUAGCCAAUUAUGAGGCAGAAACUAGCUGGUCAGUAGGGUUGGCAAUGGGACGGGAUGGGAUGGGAUUUACCAAUCCCAGUCCCAUCCCGUAUAUGCAAAUGGGAUGAAAAAACGUCCCAAUCCCGUCCCUAUAUUUUUUUUGGGACAAAAAUAUGUCCCAAUCCCGUCCCAAAAGAGAUGGGAUCCUGCGGGAUCCCAUCCCAAUUGGAAAAUUUUUCAUUCUUAAUCGGUAAUGAGACGGGAUGGGACGGAAUUUAUCAAUCCCACUCCCGUCCCGCAUAUGUAAUUGGGAUAAAAAAAAUGUCCCAAUCCCAUCCCAAAUUUUUUUAUGGAACAAAAAUAUGUCCUAAUCCCAUCCCAAAUGGGAUGGGAUCCCGCAGGAUCCCAUCCCAUCGGGAAAAAUUGCCAUCCCUACUGGUCAGCCGGCUUAAAGCAAACGGUUAAUUGCUUGGUUUCUAAAAAUGAAACGGUUAACCGCUUUCUUCAAGAGGCUAGCUGGCUUCACGUUUUAAAUGUUGUUCAUCUUCUUUUUCCCACUUUCAGUUGUUACCCUCUCUCUAUCACUGUCAUCUCUCAUUUCUUUUACUCUCUCUCUAAAAUCUUCCGUUUUUACAUCACUUUUGUGUCAAAUUAAACUUUCCAAAUCAUUUCCCAUCAAUUAAUCUUCACUCAUUUGCUUUUAAAACACAAUCUAAUCACUCUUCUCUCAAAAUCUUAAAACCUAAGUCACCAAUUUCAACAUUCUCAAAUUUGAACCAUUAUUUGACCAUUUUUGACCAAAAUAAACCCAUACAUUCCUUAGAUCUUCUCAAAGAACAUUUUAAUCGGUUCAAAAUCAUCUAUUUCUGUAAAAACUUUGUGAACUCGAAUUUGUGCAAUUUUGGACACAUUUUGAUAAUUUCUUAAUGGCUAGUGGUGAGAAGUCUAAGGGUAAGCAUAUGCCUAAAAUGUAAAAAAAAGAUUCAUAAAGACAUUUUCAAAUUCAUUUCCACCCACUUCCCAAAUCCGCCCCAAUGGAAUGAUUCUCUGAUCGAUUUAUGACAAGGUCAGUCCUCCCAUACUAUAUAUGUUAAUCUUGAUUAAUUAGAAAAUUUGUCAAGUUGUAGCAAAACUCUUAGAACUUUACUUGCUGAAUUGGGUUGGACAAAUGUCUUAGUUCUUAAGGAACAUAUUUGUCCUAAUUUGGUACGAGUAUUUUAUUCGAACAUGCUUAUUUCUACAAAUACUGCCAAUAUGAUUAUUACUAAUGUUAUUGGGAUUCCUAUUAAGUUUACUGUAGAAGAUUUAAACAUGAAUCUCAGAUGAUAGGUUGCAUUUGUAUACAUCUAGGACUAAAAUUGAUUAUCCCUGGUAUUUAGUUGUAGAUGAUGUUUGAAACAUAGAUGUUCGAAACAUAUGUAGGUGAUCUGAUCUAUCCAUGGAGCUUUUUAACUCCUCUCUUAGAUCACAAGUGUUGCCUCUUCAAGUUCGGAUCCUACAUAAUGUUCUUUAGCUUGUGAUCAGUCCUCGCAAGGGACAUGGUGCUGAGGUUACACGCUUAGAUGUUACUUUAUUAGAUAGCAUCCUUGAGGGUAAAAGCUAAAUGUGCGAAUAUUAUCAUUCAGCACAUGCUUAAUACACUGAGUAUAGGAAACCAAUCCUUUUCGGUCGGUAGUGUCAUUACCCACAUCCUUCAAUAUUUUUGGGUCCCUAUAGCUGAACCAUCUCAUAAUGAACCCAAGGAGUUAGGGGAUGAGGUCAUUGCUAGCUUAGGAUUUGGGUGGGUAGAUGACCAAUAGGUUAAAAAUUAGAACUUGUUGAGCAAACCCACAAAGCUGGCUCUUUUUUAUCAUUGCAUCUUUAACGAUGUGCUUCCCCUUACUGGGUUCUUGAUCUUAGUUCUUCCAUGAGGUCACAAGCUCUACAUUGGCCUUCUGAUGCUCCACCAUCAUCAUCUUCAGCCAUUCCCAAUAACCCAAUCCAACAGUUGUUGAAUAAAGUGCGUUCCAUAUCCGAACAAUAAAGCAAAUUUAAGAUAUCGUUCGCAGCAUUCCAGGAUCAUUUUCUUUCUGAGCAACAACGUCUCUUUCUUCAACAAUAACAAAUUCUAGACCAUCACUAGCUUAUUUUCAUUGCUCUCAAAUUUUCGCCACCAUCCUUAUUAUCUUGUUUGCUACCUCAUCAGUGAUUUUCUUUUAUCUCUUUUGCUUCAUUGUUUUAUGCACCGACAUUAUUUAUCAUAUGCAUUUUCGUUUUUAGCAUCAUGGAUACUUGAUGGAUGUUAUUUUACUUAUGCAUUAUAGAUACUUGAGUUGAUAUGGAUUAUCUUUAUGCAUUCUAGUUAUUGAUUGUGGUAUCUUUAUUAAUUAUCUUUAUGGAUUAUCUUUAUUGAUUAUGGAUUAUGUAUAUGGAUACUUGAUUAAUGGUUAUGUGUGGAUUUUCGAUUGAUGAUCUUUGUGGGGGAUAAUUAUUGAUAAUAUUUGUAUAAUAGAGGAGUGAUUUUUCAUGAUGAAGGGGGAGAAGAUAUUGACAUGUAUUUUGAAGUGUUUUGACAUGUUUUUGGCUCAUGGGGGUUGAUUGAGUGUUUGUAGUAUUUUAGUUGCUUUCUGAGUCACUCAAGGAGAGUUUACAAAUGUUGUACAAUUAUUGUUAGCCUAUAUGGUUAUAAAUAUUGAUUUUGAUGAUAACAAACCACAUGUAUUGAUUAAGAAAAGAUUUAUUAAUUGUACUUUUAUAAUAAGAAAAUGAUGUUAUGGAAUUAAAGUAUUUUGGACUAAAAUGAAAGUAUUUUAAAAUCUUUGAUAGUGUUUUAAAUUUCGGAUUUGGACCUGUUUGAAACUAUUUAAAUAUUUUUUGAUUAUUCUAUAAUUUCAUAUAGUUUGGGUGAAAUCAUAAUUUCAGAAAGUUUUGGGAUUGACAAAGCAUUAUUUAAAAUUCUGAAAUUGGACCUAUUUGCAAAGUUUCAUAAAGUUUUGAGCCAUAAUAUAGUUUUAUAAAGUUUUGGGGUCAAACUAUAAAUUUAAAAAAUAUUUCACUGUAGCAGUAACUGUAGCAAGCGGCUUACCGGAUAUGGUUAAACGACAAACUGGAUAUUGGGCAGUAAGCGUCUGGAGCAUAAACGGCUUACCGGAUUUUGUAAGCAGCAAGCCGGAUAUUCUGAAAUUCAAAAUUUUGCCAUAACGGUAACAUAAAAGCGGCUUACCAGAUUCCUAAAUGGCAAGCCGGUUAUAACAGAAAAUGUGCAUAACAGCUAGUUUUUUAGCUCAAACUAUAAGAACUCAAAUCCAAAUCAUUUUCAAGCUCUCCAACAAGCAUAAACAAAAAGCACACGAGAUAUCUUGAGCUUUCAAGUUGCAAAACACAAAACAUUUAAUCAUGUCUUGUUUUUCAUUUUUGAAUAUCUGCUUUUUGAGUGAGUUUUAUUGUAACUUUCAUUUCUUCAUCUCAAUUGUAAGAGUUUGAGUGUGUGAGACACUUGAGUGAAGAGAUUGUUAGAUAAUCUCUUUGUUGUAAAGGUUCAUUGACACCUUGAAGUCAAUUGUAAACAGUUAAAACCUUGGAAAGGCUUGGAUAGUGAAAACCUCAAGCUUGGAUCGCUUGGAGGUGUGGACAUAGGCGGAGAUUGCCGAACCACGUAAAAAUUCGUAUGUUUGUUUCUUUUCUCCCUUACUCAUUAGUUAUUGUGUUUUUAUUGAACUUAUUGCUUUUAAUUUUUAUUAAGACAUUUAGAUUGCUUGUUGUGUGGAUUUGCUAAGAAAUUUUUUAAAAUUCCAAUUCACCCCCCUUUUUGGGUUGCACACUUAUAUUUCAUUUGGUAUUAGAGCGAGGUGCUCUUAUUUGGACCUAACCGUUUAGAACUAAAUAUCAAUGGCAACUCAAAAUGAUUCCACAUUUAGGGAAGGACAGUCCACUACUAGACCACCUUACUUUGAUGGAAACGAUUACCCAUAUUAGAAAACUAGGAUGAGAAUUUACUUGCAAGUCUUAGAUUAUGAAAUUUGGGAAAUCGUUAAUGAUGGUUCUUUCAUGCCUUUGACUAAAAAUGAAGUCGGAGAAGAUAUUCCAAAACCUUCACGGGAAUGGAAUGGAUUCGAAAAGAGAAAAGCUUCUCUAAAUUCCAAGGCCAUGAAUGCCUUAUUUUGUGCACUAGAUAAGAAAGAGUUUCAUAGAGUGUCUAGUUGCGAAAGUGCUAAUGAGAUUUGGCACAAACUUGAAGUUGUCUAUGAAGGCACGAACCAAGUGAAAGAAUGUAAAAUAAGUAGGUGCACUCGACAAUAUGAAUUGUUCCAAAUGGAACAAAAUGAAAAUGUGUACUCUAUGUAUACUAGAUUUACAGACAUAGUGAACACUCUAGGAGCCCUAGGAAAGACCUUUUUAAAUAGCGAGAAAGUCAAGAAAAUCAUUAGGUCGCUACCUAAGGAAUGGAGACAAAAAAGGACUGUCAUUGAGGAAGCCAAAGAUUUAAAUGUAUUACCUAUUAAUGAUUUAAUUGGUUCUCUCAUUUCAUAUGAAGAAGAUUUGGCAGCUGAAAAAGGGCAUGAGGAAAAGAAGAAAAACAUUUCUCUCAAGGCUUCAAAAUGUGAGAGUGAUGGGGAAAGCGAAAUGGAUGAUGAGGAGUUGGCAAUGUUGGCUAGAAGAUUUAGAAAAUUUUACAAAAAGAAUAAUGAGCAGAGAAAGUUCAGAGGCUACAAGAAUAAGAAGGAGAAGAAUGAGUCAAUCACUUGUUAUGAAUGCAAGAAACCCGGAUACAUACGACCGAAAUGUCCUCUUUUCAACAAACUCAAGAAGAAAGCUAUGGUGGCCACAUGGGAUGAUAGCGAUGAGGAAACAAGUGAUGAUGAUGAGCAACAGGAAAUGACAAAUUUAGAUCUCAUGGCCAUUGGGGAAGAAUCAUGUGAUGAACUUGAUGAGGUACGUGUUCUUCCUACAUAUGAUGAAUUACAUAAUGCCUUUAAGGAUUUGCAUGAUGAGCUGAUGAAGAUUGGUAAAAAGAAUAUAUGUCUUAAAAAGAAGAUAAUAGAGCUUAAAAAUGAAAAUGAAUCAUUUAGUGCAAAGAUUACAUGCCUAGAAUUAGAAAAUAAAACAUUGCAUGAUAGCAUUGCAUUAUUUGAGAAUUCUAGCACUCCACAUGAGCACUUAGAGUCACACAUGAAUGACUUGAAAAAUGAAAAUGAAAUGCUUAGAAAGAAGAGCAAUGAACUAAAUGAAAUUCUACUAAAAUUCACAAAUGGGAGAAAGAUGUUGGACAAUUUGCUAAACUCACAAAAAUGUGUAUUUGACAAAAGUGGCAUUGGUUAUAAACCAAAUUUGAAACAAAAAUUUUACAAGAGUUGUUUUGUGAAGAAUACAUCUAUUAACAAUCAAAUUGUAUGUCAUUAUUGUAAUCAAAAUGGUUAUAUGAAAAAUAGAUGUGCAGUGAAGAGAAAUGCAUAUUAUGGUGUGAAAUGUGUUUGGGUUCCGAAAGGAACCAUUGUUAACUCUUAAGGACCCAAAAAGGUUUGAGUACCUAAAACUUGAGAUUUUCUCUACAGGGCUUGAAGAAGAAGAAUAAUAAGUGUUACUUGGACAGCGGUUGUUCAAGACACAUGACAGGGAAUUAUUCUUGGUUUUCAAGUUUUACUAAGAUCGAAAAUGGUGGAGAUGUAUCAUUUGGAGAUAAUUCAAAAGGAAAAAUCAUUGGGAUUGGAAAUGUCGGUAAUGCAUCCUCUACUCUCAUUGAAAAUGUGUGUUUGGUUGAAAACUUGAAAACACAACUUGCUUAGUAUUAAUCAAUUAUGUGAUAAAGGAUAUAGAGUUAUCUUUGAUAAAUCAAAAUGUGUUAUUGAGAAUGCAUGUGAUGGGAAAGUUUUGUUUGUAGGAAAUAAAUGUGUUAAUGUCUAUACUAUUAAUAUAGAUUGUGUAUCAACAAAUGAUAAAUGUCUCUCUGCAUUACAUGAUGAUGGUUGACUGUGGCAUAGAAGAUUAGGUCAUGCAAGCAUGGAUUUGAUUUCAAAAAUCGUGAAAAAUGAUUUAGUUAAAGGUCUUACAAAAAUUAGUUUUCAAAAAGAUAGAAUUUGUGAAGCAUGCCUAUUUGGAAAAAAAAUCAAAACUUCCUUCAAAAGCAAGAAUCAUGUCUCUACUUCAAAACCACUUCAAUUACUUCACAUAGAUUUGUUUGGACCUUCUAGAUAUGCUAGUUUAAGUGGCAAAUUUUAUGCAUUUGUAAUUGUGGAUGAUUAUUCUAGAUACACAUAGGCAUUGUUCUUAGCUAAUAAGGAUGAUGCCAUUGAUGCAUUUCAAAUUUUCUCUAAAAAGGUUCAAAAUGAAAAAAGGUUAUUCUAUUACUUGUAUUAGAAGUGAUCAUGGUGAAAAAUUUGAAAAUCAUGCAUUUGAAAAUUUUUGUAAUGACUUUGGCAUUGAACAUCAAUUUUCAUCACCUAAGACUCCACAAUAAAAUGGAGUAGUAGAGAGAAAGAAUAGGUCUAUUCAAGAAAUGACUAGGAGCAUGUUGAAUGAAAACUCUAUGCUUGAGUAUUUUUAGACCGAAACCGUCAACACCGCUUGUUAUGUUUUAAAUCGUGUGUUGAUUAGACCUAAUCUUAAUAAAACUCCAUAUGAGCUUUGGAAAGAUAGAAAACCCAACAUUGGCUAUUUUAAAGUUUUUGGAUGCAAAUGUUUUGUUUUGAUCACAAAAGAUAAUCUUGGUAAAUUUGAUCCAAAAUCUGAUGUUGGUAUUUUUCUUGGUUAUUCAAAUUCAAUCAAAACUUAUAGAGUUUAUAAUAAAAGAACUUUAGUUGUGGAAAAAUCUAUGCAUGUUACAUUGAUGAGUCUAACCCCUCCUCUACGGAGAAAGUCGUUGUUGAUGAUAAUGCAGAAGAAGAACUACAAGAAGAAGCAUCAAAUGACAACCAGAAGAUGCACCACAUGAAAUUCAAGAGGAACAUCAUGAAGAAAACAAAUGUAGAGCAAAAUGAAGUACUUCUCAAACACUCCCAAGGAGUGGAGGUGUGUUUCCUCUCACCCUUAGGAUGUAAUUUUAGGAGAUCCCUCACGAGGUGUUACCACUAGAUCAUCUCUUAGGAACACAUGUGAGCAUGCUGCAUUUAUUUCUCAAAUUGAACCAAAAUCCUUUGCGGAUGCAGAAAAUGAUGAAUCUUGGAUUAUGGAAAUGCAAGAAGAGUUGAAUCAAUUUGAGAGAAACAAUGUGUGGGAGUUAGUUCUAAAUCCAGAACAUCAAUCCAUUAUAGGCACUAAAUAGGUAUUUAAAAACAAAAUGGAUGAAUUUGGUGUGGUUGUAAGAAAUAAAGCUAGAUUAGUGGCUCAAGGUUACAACCAAGAAGAAGGAAUUGAUUUUAAUGAAACUUUUGCACCUGUAGCAAGGUUAGAAUCCAUUAGGAUGUUGUUAGCAUAUGCAUGUCAUAAGGAUUUUAUUUUAUAUCAAAUGGAUGUCAAGAGUGCUUUCUUAAAUGGUUAUAUUAUGGAGGAAGUUUAUGUGAAACAACCUCCUGGUUUUGAAAAUGAAAAUUUUCCAGAUCAUGUGUAUAAGUUAUCUAAGGUUUUGUAUGGUCUAAAACAAGCACCUAGAGUUUGGUAUGAUAGGCUUAAAAACUUCUUGUUGGAUAACGAUUUUUCGAUGGCUUAAAAAUCAGAAUGCCAAAAUAUAAAACAACAGUUAAAUUCCAUUUAAACUCCAAGAAAAGUAAUUCAAAUUCCGGCCACCGAGCCAAGUUCUCCAACAAAAUUUCCAAAGAUUAAUGGAAAUAUUCCAAUAGCAAGACUUCCAGAAGCAAUACCCUCUUCCAGCGGCAAUACAUUGUUUAGAACUACAACACUAAAACAUAAAAGCCAAAUACUAUAUUAAACUCAUAAAAAGCUUAUAAUUUACAGGAGAAACUGAAAGUAUCAAUCAAUUUUGAGGCAACCAAUUUGACAAUUUAAUAUUAAACUCAUAAAAAGCAUUGCCAGUAGUGAGUUUAAAUAUACCUGCAUCUGUGUCCUUGCCAAUUCAAUGGGGUAGCAACUAAUACAUGCUAAUGAACGUGCAACAGACCCAGCAACUAGGGGAACAUAUUGUGCCAACAUUGGAGCAUUGUCAAUAGGGAAUUUUCCAUCAAAUUGCGAAAACUGUCAUAACAAGGAAGGUAAAUUCCCACCUGAAAAGAGUAAUUAACAGAAAAAAAAGAAAAUAAUCAUCAUAAUGCAAAAAAAUUUCAAUGCCACACUGAUGUAUGGGAUGAAAUAUUUGAAGAAACACAAGCAAUUUAUGUACAAGAGAGACUUAUUGUUGGCAUAGACAACGCUAAACUUGCAUAAGUGCCUCUCCAUAGUCGGGCAAAUCCCUCCUGCACAUGUUUAGCUCUUAUGAAACCUUUGAUAUUAAAGAUCAAAAUUUAAGAUUCACUAACAGUAGCACCAAGAAAUCUAUUUAUUGAAGGCACAUUAACUACACAAUACAAAAUCUCUUUCCAUAAUAUAUGUAAUCACACUGCAAGUAUAAUGCAGUACACUAAAAUGCCAUCAGUUGACUUGUUCUAAAAAAUGUCUAUAAGACAUUCUGUACAAAUCCCAGUUCUUACGGAGUUAUUUUGCCCAUGGAUCAAAUCACUUUAGGACUGGAAAAAUGACGUCAUCUAAAUAGGAAAUUAGGAGUAAUAACAUGUAAUUCCAAUUGAAUUUAGUUUUUCUUCUUCAUAAUUUUCCUGUGAACUAUAACAACUGCUUUCUAGGAUCUCUUUCUUCUUUAGAGAUACAAUAGUUUUACAAAGAUCCAAUAUAAAACUCUUUAGGAUAAAAAUAGUCCAAGGAAAGCUUUUCUCAACAGCAUAAACUAUACACUUUUGGAAAACUUCAGUUCUUUUUAUUAGAUAUAUGUGUAAUUUAUUCAUAAAGUCCUUGUAUCCACCAACCUGGCAUACGAAUUUGUAGAAAACAUCCAGUGUUCCUUUAUAUUUAUUACAUUCUGGAGCUGGUUUAGAGCCUGGAACUGCACACGUGCAUGAUGGGGAAUUUCUCAUAUCUGGAAGCAUCUACAGAAACAAUUUGAAAGACAACACUUGUCACAAGAUCAUAUAACAAAGAGCAAUAAGAAUAGUAAUUGUUGAGUGUUAGAAAAUGUAUAUUUAUAAAGGAGAAAAUCGUCAUUUUACAUUUCAAGUCUUACUAACAACCCUUACUUUUAUGUAUUUAAGCCUCUUGUAAUUUAAUUAUGUGUGUUUUAUUUUAAUUAAGUAUUUUAUGUAUUUUAGGGACAUCAUAGUCAUUUCACAAUAAACGAGAGAUCAAAUGGCAAAACGACAUCACUUUUGAACUCAAGACGGUCGAAAACCUUAGGAGGAGCAUAAAAGGAAAAAUGGUAUUGUUCACAUGUACGAUACUAUUCACGUGUACGGUACUGUAUACGUUACUGUUCACGACAUGUUCACAUAGACGGAAGAUGACGUGGCAUUGACCGAUGAUGUGCAUUGACUGAUGAGGUGUCACGAUCCUGUUGGACUAAAAUUCUUAUGUACUGGAGGUAACGUGGCAGCAUAUAGUGGACUAAAAAUCUCGCGUACGGUACAUGCAUACACAUGAUUAUUUUCAACCAAACCGCGUUACUGUUCAAACCCGGUCAAAUCGUGUUACUGUUCAUCCGCGUGGUCAAACCGCGUACUGUUGACUGAUGACGUGGCGCAAUCCUGAGUAUCCAAACUGUUUUUAAUCCGAUGACCAUGAUUUACUCCAUGUAUCUAUAAAAGGGGCCUUCCCCCCUAAUUUGCAUCUUGAAUCUAUUUUUGGGAUCCAUUUUCUGUAAUUCCUUCUCCAUUUUGUAUUUUCUACGUAUUUUAAUAAAUUACCAUUUUGCCCCUAGUUCAAUUAUGAGUAGCUAAUUUUCUUUCAAACUUGGGUUGAAGGUGAAAUCUCAACAUGUGUCAUGGGCUUUAUUUGGGAAAUUUAUUUUCUUUUCCCCUCUAAUUUUUGUGGAUGAUUUGACUUUUUCGUCGACAAAUAAUAAUAAUCUUGUCUAAAUACCGCAUUGGUUACACCGGCUCUCUAGUACAAUGUUAUUAUUAUUUGGCACGAUAAGCCCUUAGCACCAUAUUGAUUAGAGCGUGGUUCAUGAGGUGUGGAUUCCCCCCUCAUGAUUUAAUUGCAUUAAUAUGGAUUAUUUAGCCCAUGUUGCAUGUUGAUACGGAUCCAGAUACCCAAGUACAUCAUUUCAAUAGAUUUCACUUCAAUUUAUUCUCACCAUUUCAAUUCCAAUUUUAGAAUAAUCUAAAGUUACUUUCACCACAAAUCCAACCACCCAUUUACAAAAUUAAUUCUACACACAAUUAAAAUCUACCUCCUCGUGGGAUCGACACUCGUCACCAUUGAUCUAUACUACAAUAGAUUCGUGCGCUUGCGAGUACAUUAAAAUUUGCACAACACUAGCCUCCACUUAUAAAUGACUUAUUCACCUAAUUAGGGCAUGUCGUCAUCUCUUUGCUUCCUUUUCUUCAAUUUUCUCUCUAUCUUUUAAAUCAUCAGUCAUUUCUCCACUUUAGGAGGCCAUUUUUAUUCUCCACCUUUAUCAUAUUCUCUAAGAUAUUAUCAUUCUCAAUAUCUUAUUAACAAUCUUCAUUUUUAUCAAUACCAAACAUCUCUGUAUUGCUAUCUAGCUUGUGUUAUUCAUUUUGAAUAAUGUAAAAUCUUAUAUAACCUCUCAUUUAUAUAAUGGAUUGGUGAUGAUCUGCUCUCAUGGAUGUAGGCCAAAAGGUGAAACAUGUAAAUACUGUGUGUUCUUUAUAUUUAUGUUUUAUUUUGCUAUUUUCAAUUUGAGGUCGAGAUUGUUUUUCAUGUAUGAGCUUAUCAAUAGAUACCCAGUUACACCAAGUAUUCUGUGAGACUAUCUAUACUAUUCCUUGAGUAUAUCUGAGCCAUACCUAAACAUAUAUUAGCCCUCUAUCAAAUCCUACAAGACUCCAUUGAGCUCUCCCUAUUUUUCCUCCCACCUGAACUCACUAUAUCUACUACUUUUGCUCACUAUCUAGGAUAAUUCAGCUAAACUACCUGGCCCAAAUACUAUAAAAAUACACGUAAACCCAAACUUAUCACAAGCUCCCUUCAAAUAUAAGUUUAUUUGUUUGAAUCAAAUUUAAACUGGGUCCAAUGAGAAUCAGCCAAUUGGUACGAAUAAGAUCUUAAUGAAAAUUUGGUGAACACAUAUAUUAAAUUAUAGAGUAUGAUUGCUACAACUAUUUUAUUAUACUUAGAAUAAGAAAAGAUAAAAUAUUGUGUGCAUUAUUUUAAUCCAUAUUCCAAGAUACUCAUUGCCCAAAAGAUACCAAAAUCAGUUUCAAGAUUCCAAUAUGUGAAUAUAUAUAUAUACAUAUUUUUAAAUUUCAUCCGUUAAUGCAUACAUACGCAAGAUUCAAAAUCCCAACUACAUCCAUAUAAUUUUUAUUAAUUUAUGAAAUUAAUAGUACCUAUCGAAAUGAUGAAUGAUACAUGACCCACCAUAUUGUCACUUUUUAUAUUUUCUUUAUACAAACAUUUAUUCAUAUCUCUAAAUACCCACUUUGUCAUAGAGUUCGGUUAUACGGUUCACAGCUUAUACAAAUAUAGUGGUUGAUUUUUUAAUCAAAUUUUAAAUUCAAUUUCCCAAAUUGGUUUAAAUUGAACUUUAAAGAUAAAACAGUUAUUUUAUUUUAUUUUAUUAUCACUGCUACACAAAAAGAUAAAAAAUUGAUACAGUUUAUAAAUUUGGAGUUAAAUCGUUAUUCGUUAAACAAUGUAUAUUUUUUGAUUUUUUAAAACUAGAGAAAGUAAUAACUGGACAAUUAAAAUUAAAAAAAUCCAAACUUACAUAAUGCUUGCACAUUAUACAUUGUUGCAACGGUUGUUCCAUGGUCAAAUUUACAUCUGCAUAAAAAGUAUCAUACUUUAACACAUGUAUAUUAUAUCAUUCAUAUACUGAUCUAAUAAAAUUUUACUGUAUACAUAUUCAAUUUUGAGAUAAAUCAUGAUGUGUGAUAGGGAUUUUAUUAAGAAUAUCUGAGGAUAUGAAAAACAAGGAUUUUUCUAGUUUAGCAAGUCGUGAGAGCAUAUCAGGAAUAAGGUUGUGGUCUCUUUUAUAUGUUUCACUGAGAAAUCAUAUUUUGAAAACCAGUCUUUGAGCCUAAGCAACUUUUACUUUUCUAAAAGCUUGUGGCUUGUAAUUAUGACUUUGCUUUUCAAAAAGUGAUAGGGGUCCUGUCCUAUCCUUUUUCUUGGUUUGCCUCCUAUUUAAGCUCGGCUUCUCUUGGUUCCCAUAUGCCUAAUAAGGAUAUCUUGUUAGGAUUUGAUAUCAUUCACCAGAAUAAAACACCUUCAAAUCAUUCCUAUUGAAAUUCGAGUCAAGUCCAUGUUUAAACCAUACAUAGUAGCUAUGCUUAAAAAUCAUUAAACGUGUAAGGUGUAUUUGACACAUUAUAUUACAAUAUAGUGUAUUGCAUUAACAUGCAUUGCAUUAAGUUGUAAUGCAAUACUAUGUUUGGGUAAUAUGGACUCUAUAUAUAAAAUAAUAUUAUAUUAUAUAAAUGUUAAAAUUAAAUAAUAUUUAUUAAUAUUUAAGAUUUUAUUAUUAAUUUUUUAAAUUAAGUACUUACUAAUUACUUUUAUAUAUUAUUAUUAUAAUACAAAAAUGACCUAAUAAUAACUAUUAUUAAAUAAUAAAUAUUAAAUUGGUAAAGGAAAUUAUGCAAGAAAACGACGAGCUCGAAGAAUUUCUGUUGCUUGUCAUAAGUGUGCCAGAAUGGAGUUGCGAUAGAAACCCAUGUUCUUUAGGAAUGGUGUCUGAUAACAGGGAAGAUAAGAUUCAAUUCAUUAGGGAUGGCUUGAAUAAGGAGUCAUUGGAUGAUAUCCUUUUGUCUCUUGAAACGCAUCCCAGUGGAUAUGUGCAAGGAGCGAUUCUCCGGUUAUGGCCAUUAUUCCAGAAAGAGCAUGCACGAUAUAGUCUCGGGAAUCUGACUAUAAACGACCCUGUUUGCCAGUUUAUAAGAAAACUGGAUGGGAAGCCCAUCCUCGACCUAUAGAGGGCGUUCAAGCCGUUUCUGGACGUAAAACCAGAGGAAGAUGUGAGCCACAGUCGCAACUACGUGUAAAUAUCCUUUUACUUUACUGUUAUUUUAUUUCAUUUCACUGUUGUUUUAUUGUUUGCAUUAUUGUCUUUAAUAAUUUUAUUACUGUUUGUUUUUUCCUUUUUACUAUUUCCUUUUUGACUCGCGAGCCACGUGCUUUACGCGUUAUUUGACACUGACAUGUUACCUCAUUCACAGCUGUGAUCCAUUGUCACCAAGAUUCUUAAAUGUGAUUUAUCUUUUGUCAAGCACUCACAAAUUAUUUUUGAGAAAGUAUCACAAUGGCAGCUACUCCCAAUAGACAAUUCAAGAACAUUUGUGUGCUUUCUGGAUUUACCUAUGGCAAACAUAAAGAGUUCGUGGAGGCAGCCAUAGAUCUUGGUCGAAGCAUAGCAGCGAGAAAAUUACAUUUGGUGUAUGGAGGAGGUAACCGAGGGUUUAUCAAAAAUGGUCUCAGAAGCAGCUUUUAUCAGAGGAAGUCAAGUGUUAGGCAUCAUCCCAAGAGUCCUAAAACCAUUGGGCAGUUCGUCUGACUCAUCAACUGGAGAAGAGUUAGUCGUCUCAGGUAUGCAAGAAAGAAUAACUGAAAUGCUUAAUCAUGCUGAUGCUUUUAUUUUCCUUCCAGGAGAUCUUGCAACACUAGAGGCACUUUAUGACACUAGCAUCUUGGGCCCAUCUGCACAUCCACCAGAAACCCAUCGGUUUGUUAAAUGUCAAUAACUUUUAUGAUGGCUUUAUCGCAUUUCUUAACCAUGCAAUAAAAAACUAUUUCAUUCCUUCUAAUGUGAAAAAACUCUUUAUUUGUGCUCACACUGCUAAUGAGCUACUUGAUAUGUUACAAGCUUAUAAACCGGAGCCAGACCCCUGGACCUUUGUGUUGGAGCGACCAAAUAAUGAUGGUAACAGUAGCCGCAGUAAGAAGUACAAAUUAGAUUUAACUCUCCGCCUGUAAAUAUUUUCUUCUGUGUUGCACCACCCAGGUGAUGUCUUCUAAACUCUACUUCUUUCCUUUAAAACAUUGAGGACAAUGUUUCAUUCUGGUUGGGGGGAGGGAAUAGUCGACAAUUGUGGAAUCUUGGUUAAGUUUUUACUGAUUUUUUGUUGUAGAAACUAACUGUUGCUAACGUUUUGUGUUGAAGAUGGCUGAAUAUGGAGUGUAGUUACUCUAGAAACGCAUUUUUUGUUGUAGAAACUAACUGUUGCUAACGUUUUGUGUUGAAGAUGGCUGAAUAUGGAGUGUAGUUACUCUAGAAACGCAUCUUCAUUGUUUAAAAAAAAAAAAAAAAAACCGUUUUCUUCCUCUUUCUCCUUUAUAAAUAUGCAGUUUCAAAUUUUUUAGUCGAAGAUGGCUGAAUAUGGAGUGUAGUGCCUCUAGAAACGCAUCUUCUUAGUUAAAAAAAAAAAAAAAAAAAAAUUCUUUUUCUAAUUAAUUUUUUCUACAUCAUUUUCACAUUUCUGCAUGCAUAUUUUCCUUUCAUGUUUAGAAUAGGUUGGGGGGUAGAAUGUUGUUUAAAAAAAAAAAAAAAAAAUUUUGUGUUAUUUGUUUUAACAUUGGAUGACAUGAUUAAUUUCAAAUUUUAGUAUUUGUAUUAUCUUUGGUCUUAAGUGAUGUUACGCUAUGUUUGCUACUUUACAUGUUGAUGUCAGAGACAAAUAUGAGUUGCUUGAAGGAAUGAACAUGUCAUAAAUAAGUGCCAAGUGAGUAGUUGAGCCUAUCAUUUUUCUUGGAGAGUAACCAUUUUGCGCAUUCUCUAUACAGCUUAGCAGUUUAUUAUUUUAUACACGAUCUCUAGAUUUCUUUUAAGUUAACCCUUUAAAAAAAAUAUGGUAAAAUUAAAAAAAAAAAGAAAAAAAAAAGAAAAAAGAAAAAAAUGUGUGUUGCUACAUUGGGAGGCCCAUCUAACUAGUAGAUAUGGAUAAUUAUUUAGAGCCCUAAAAGACGAUGGAAAGGCCAUCUUUGAUCCGUUUGAGCCUUUCUAGCCAUCCCUUUUAUUAAAUAUCCAUAGUUACCCCUUUUGAGCCUUUAAAAAAAAAAAAAAAAAGAACAAAAACCUUUUCUUUGUCAACUUAUCAUCUUGACCCACUCCGAUUUGGAGUAUUACCCAAUGUCUUUUAAGUUCCAUCACCUAUUUAUGUUUGAGAAAAUGUAAAUAAUUAUGUUGUUCAGUGAAGUUAUGCCAAAUAAAAGCAAAAAGAAAAAAAAAAACAAAAACAAAAGUUGUUGUUUCAAAAGAAUAAAAAUAACAAUAAUAGGUGAAAUCCACCUUGCAAGUUCCAAAAAAAAAAAAAAAAAUUCUGCAUUUUUCUCAAACAUACACUUUGUUUUCCUUAUUUCCUUUCUUUGUUAGCCAUAUCCCUAGCCUACGUUACGUCCUAAUAAAAGUCCUUCUUGAUUUUAGGGAACUAUAGUUUGAAGUAGAAGCUAGUUAUAUGGGCUAAAAAGAUGUAGUGAUGCAUAAUAAAAAAAAAAAAAAAAGAUAAAUAAAGUGGGUUGACUAACAUUUUAUUUGACUUGAGAUCGUAUUAUUUCUAAGCUGAGGGCAUAUUUAUUUCAUCUUGGUGAGAGCAUGUGAUAUCAUUUCUUUAUUAUUUUCUCUCUCAAUUACCAUUCAUUGGAGUGACUAUGUUUAUUGGGUUUUAAUUUCUUUGUGAGAGUGUCAUUACUUCCAGUGAGAUUUUGGGGUUUGACAUGUCAUUCUUGAAAGUAGCUAUAACAAAGUCUACUGGGCUAAUUCAUGUGGAUGGUUGAUGUGGGUGUGAUGUUGCUUUAGACUGAAGAUAAUGCUUAUACUUUUAUUUGAUUGCUAUCAUUAAUCUGAUUGAAUAAACACGAGUGUUUCCCAUAAAAAAAAAAAAAAAUCAUUUUGAAUUUGAAUUUUGUUUUCGCUUUAUUUGCUAGGGACUAGCAAUAAGCUGGUUGGGGGGUGUAUUGAGUGUUAGAAAAUGCAUAUUUAUAAAGGAGAAAACCGUCAUUUUACAUUUCAAGUCUUAUUAACAACCCUUACUUUUAUGUAUUUAACCUUCUUGUGAUUUAAUUACAUGUCUUUUAUUUUAAUUAAGUAUUUUAUGUAUUUUAGGGGCAUUAUAGUCAUUUCACAAUAAAGGAGAGGUCAGAUGGCAAAACGGACAUCACUUUUGAACUCAGGACGGUCGAAAACCUUAGGAGGAGCAUAAAAGGAAAAAUGGCACUAUUCACAUGUACGGUACUAUUCACGUAUACGGUACUGUCUACGUUACUGUUCACGACACUGUUCACAUAGACGGAUCGAUGACGUGGCAUUGACCGAUGAUGUGGCAUUGACUGAUGAGGUGUCACGAUCCUGUUGGACUAAACUUCUUAUGUACUGUUGAUGGUGACGUGGCAGCAUAUCAGUGGACGAAAAAUCUCGCGUACGGUGCAUGCAUCACACAGGAUUAUUUUCAACCAAACCGCGUUACUGUUCAUCCGGGUCAAACCGUGUUACUGUUCAUCCGCGUGGUCAAACCGUGGACUGUUGACUGAUGACGUGGCGCAAUCCUGAGCGUCCAAACUGUUUUUAAUCCGAUGGCCAUGAUUUACUCCAUGUAUCUAUAAAAAGGGGGCCUCCCCCCCCUAAUUUGAUAUCUCUGAAUCCAUUUUUGGGAUCCAUUUUCUGUAAUUCCCUCUCCAUCUUGUAUUUUCUUUGUAUUUUAAUAAAUUCCCAUUUUGCCCCUAGUUCAAUUAUGAGUAGCUAAUUUCUUUUCAAGCUUGGGUUGAAGGUGAAGUCUCAACAUGUGUCAUGGGCUUUAUUUGGUAAAUUUAUUUUCUUUUCCCCUCUAGUUUUUGUGGAUGAUUUGACUUAUCGUCGACAAAUAAUACUGAUCUUGUCUAGAUACCGCCUUGGUUACACCGGCUCUCUAGUAUAAGGUUAUUAUUAUUUGGCACGAUAAGCCCUUAGCACCAUAUUGAUUAGAGCGUGGUUCAUGAUGUGUGGAUUCCCCCAUCAUGAUUUAAUUGGCAUUAAUACGGAUUAUUUAGCCCAUGAUGCAUGUUGAUACGGAUCCAGAUACCCAAGUACGUCAUUUCAAUAGAUUUCGCUUCAACUUAUUCUCGCCAUUGCAAUUCCAAUUUUAGAAUUUAUUAUCGCAAUUUCAAUUCCAAUUUUAGGAUAAUUUAAAUCACUUCCACCACAAUUCCAACCACCCAUUUUGCAAAAUUAAUUCUAUACACAAUUAAAAUCCACCUCCUCGUGGGAUCGACACUCGUCACCAUUGAUCUACACUACAAUAGAUUCGUGCGCUUGCGAGUUCAUUAAAAUUUGCACAACAGACAAAUAAUAAUAAUUUUGUCUAGAUACCGCUUUGGUUUCACCGGCUCCCUAAUACAAGGUUAUUAUUAUUUGGCACGAUAAGCCCUUAGCACCAUAUUGAUUAGAGUGUGGUUCAUGAGGUGUGGAUUCCCCCCUCAUGAUUUAAUUGACAUUAAUAAGGAAUAUUUAGCCCAUGGUGCAUGUUGAUAUGGAUCCAGAUACCCAAGUGUUUCAUUUCAAUAGAUUUAUCUUCAAUUUAUUCUCGCCAUUUUAAUUUAAGUUUUAGAAUAUUCCAAAUCAAUUUCACCAGAAAUCCAACCACCCAUUUACAAAAUUAAUUCUACACACAAUUAAAAUCCACCUCUUAGUGAGAUCGACACUUGUCACCAUUAGUCUAUUGUACAAUAGAUUCGUGCGCUUGCGAGUUCAAUAAAAUUUGCACAACAGUAAUGUCUAUGCAUAAUGAUCAUAACAGAAAAGAGAAUUCAUCUAUCACAUUUAUCAUUCCAACCCUCUCAAAAUACUAACUGAAGGAAAGGAGGAGACAAAUUUAACAAAAGCAAACCAAGGGGGAAAACUAGAGGAAAGCAAAACAGAUGACAUGCAUUUUUAAAACAUUUGGAUUCAUUCUCUUAACAAGUUAUCUAACACUUAAUACAUUUAGUACCUAUAGAAGUUAGACGAUGGCAAGAGCUUAGACCAUAAUAGCAAUUGAUGAAAUUUCAUUACGUAAAAUACCACUCAGUUUUGGUAAGACUGUUAUGUGUGCUCAAUAUAAGUCAUUUUGAUAUCAGUACACUAAGAUUUUUUUUCUUGAUAUGGCUGUUCAUGUAUAGAGAAGAUACCCCACUUUCUCUAAUAUCAAUGUUUCAAGCAUUUUCUUUCCUCAUAAGAUACCAUUUCGGAUAGUGUACAAUGCAAAGUAAAGAAUCCCAAAAAGGGCAGUUCACAUACCAUGUUACUUUCAAAAGAUGCUGUACAACAUAGACCCUCAUAAGGGACGCCAGCAGCCUGGGCUUGCAACCUUGUCUGAAGAUGAAGGCAGGAAAUCUAUUAGCUUUGUAGCUUCAUCAUGAAAUCUCAAAAGAUGAAGCAAUGUGAAGACUAGGAUUUCUGAAAAAAACUGGAGAAGAGAUAGAGGAUCCAUGCAACAAGCAUCACUCAAAUUUAGAAAAUAAUUGGGUGACUUUAGCCCACGUUUAAAAUAUUUAUAAUAAUUAGUAAAAGAAUAGUGAAAAGUAGCUGAAUAAAGAAAAUUUAAUUUUUCCAUCUUUUUGCUUCCUUUUCUUUCAUUCUCCGAAAGAAUCAUAGCUUCUCAAGGACUGAGAAUAAUGACACAACAUUUGGAUUUUAUUCUUGAGAUAAAGAGAAACAAUAAUUAACAUCUAUCCACAAUACCAUUCUCAAAAGUAGAAAAAAUAAUAAUAAUACUAACAAUAAUAAAAAAUAAUGAAAAUGACAAUUAAAGGGAAGAAAAUUUUUGAUAUAACAGACAAAAUUAGCAAUGAAUAAGUUAAAUAAAGAAAAAAUGAAAUGAAAAUUUAGGUGGAGUAGAGUCAUUAUAAAACCUUAGUGACAUCGAGAGGAUUAAUAAUAACGGCAGAAACAAUAGCAGCGCCGUUAGCAGAGAAAGCCCUUUCUGCAAACCCCAAACUGAAAUCUUUUAUGGCUUCUGAAUGUCGUAAAGCUUCCUCUUUAGACGAAGUCUCUGAUGAUACUGAGAUAGACAAAACGCUUCCCUCCAAAUCAACCCUAGUCGCCGCCAACCUGAAACGGAAUUAAGAAGCGGCAGCGAGCUGACUGAGGAGAUCGAAAAUACGCUUCUGAAAAGUAAAAUAAAUUGAACAAAUCUUGAAAAUUUGAACAAACACCCAUAAAUUUGAACAAUUUUUACAAAACAAGAAUCAUCAAAACCUAACUCUAGCAAAAAUUGAAAAUUAAAAAACAAAACAAACAAGAACAUCGAAAUCACACAAGCUAACCCUGAAUAGCGCGAACAAAUCAAAGCUUGAAAUUAUGAAAACACAAUUGAAAUCAUGGCAUAAUGGAUUCACAUAAGCGACGAGAAACAACAUGCAAAUGAGAAAUUGGACAUGAGGAGUGGCUAAGAGGCCGUUGUUGAAGAAGUGCUUGCUGUACCAGUGCUUCUUGCUGCUGCUGAUGCUGCUUCAACCUCUAGUACUGCAUUUUCCUUCAGAAUCGAAGGAUUUGUAAACUGUUUGUCGAAGGAUUUGUAAACUGUUUGGUUCCCAAGAAAAUUUCGUUAUGGUUUCUCGAGAAAAUGAAAUAAAAGAAAUAAACAAAGAAAACGAGAGACGAGAGAAGCAACGUUUUAUUUUCUAAGUGUGUAUUCGUUUAAUACUUAGGGAAAAAAAAAAGGAAGAAAUAAAGUUUAAAGUACCCAAAACGGUACAGUUUUGCUAGCAUUUUUUCUUAAUUAUUAAAAACCACCUUUUGUUUUUUAAAUAAAAUAAUAUAUAAAAUUUGAGUCAAAUAUAGUCAAAGUAAUUUUUCUAUCAUAAUUUCUUGAUAGAUUAAAUUUCUAUCACGAUUCUAUCAUAAGUUCGUGAUAAAUGAUAAUCAUAUCAUAAAGUCAUCAUAUAUUCAUGAUAGAAAAUAUUUCUAUCACAAGACCAUCAUUAAUUAAUGAUAGAUUGAAAAUUAUGUCAUAAGUUUAUCAUAAUUUUAUGAUAUACCUAGAAUCUGUCAUAAGUUGUUUGUCAUCUAUUAGCAAUUUUCUUGUAGUAUUCAAAAUGAAUAACUUUAUUCUACCAUCUCUCAAAUAAUAAAAACAUCAACAGCACAUCAUCGUCAUCAAUAAUAAUAAUAAUAAUAAUAAUAAUAAUAAUAACAACAACAACAACAACAACAAUAAUAAUAAUUUAACUUUGUAGGAUGGAGCUCUCGCAAAUCUUCAAGACACAAAAUGUGCUUGGCCCCGUUGUUGUUAUUAUAAUUUCAAAAUGACUUGAAUUAUAUAAAAUUUGGGAAUAAGACAUAGCAAAAUUGAUGGUACAUAUGUUGCAAUAUACUUGUUCAUGUAGCGACACAUUAAAGUAAAGCAAAACAAUAUACUUGUUCACUCAUUAUGUAGAUUUUCAAUAGAAGUAAUGCAAAUUUCACAAGGGCAAUGGCCUUAUUUCGAAUGUUGCACUUGUGGAAUGACAUGAACCUUCGAUACGUCACAAAUGUAUCAUGAAAGUGUGAUAAAUUUGUGACAUAUAUAUAUAUGUUCAGAGUUUAUAGCAUAUUCAUGACUUAUAAUUUAACUAACAUAAAUAAAUGAUAGAUAUAAGUGAUGCUCAAGUUUUGUGGAUUUAUAAUAUCUUAAAAUGAUGACUAUUUAAACGACAAGUGUUGAAUAAACCCCUCUCUCGCCGCAACCUAAAAUCAAUGAACUUUGAGCCAUUCUCAACAACAUUGUGUAGAACCCUAGCCCUAACCCUCACUUCCACCACCGAUAAAGCUAAGAAAGUUUUCCGUAUAUCAGAACCAUGGCGAAUUGCCUUCAGCUCGUAGGACCCAUAAUAAAUCUUGUAGUCCCUCGCUUUCACUUUGCUAAUUUUUUGUAUUAUUCCAUCUCUUUCACUUUAAUAACCCAAAAUCUUUCUCUGUUUCAAUUGAAAGAAGACCCUAGCUUAAAUUAAGUUGAAAUUUACGUAUCAAAGCUCUCGCUCAGCUUCCCUCCUUCAAUUGAAACAAAACGAAGCCAUAAGACCCCAAUAUGCCACGCCCUUUUGUCUCAGGCCAACAUUCAUUUAAACCCUACCUUUUGGUUCAAUGCCAUUUAAUGCGAUUGCAGAUGCCGUUUCAACUCAUUAUUUAGUUAACGCCAUUCAGUUCUUUGCGGUAAGCCUUAACCCUAAUAACUAAUCAACUGUGGUAGCACGUUGCUGACUGGGGUGGGAAUACAUUAAUUGAAUAUAUGAAUUGGGUGAUGUCAGUGAUUCAUCCCCCUAUUUGCCGUGAAUUGAGAUUUGUGUAUAAUGUUUGUAAGAUUGUUAAAAAUUUCAUGUUCCAGUCGAAUUUCUUGCUUGUGGAAGAUAAAACAAAAGUUUAAUCUAUAUAUAUAUAUAUAUAUAUAUAUAUAUAUAUUAUCUUCUUUAUAGUCAGGCUCUGGCUUUGCUGCUAUGCUUAGAGCAGUUCAUGGUUUCAAGAUUAAAUUAGGUUUAUUUGACGACAUCGAUAUCUUAUCUAGCUCUGCUUGAAAAUGAAAAUGUUUUACUAGCAAUCAUAGACUUUGUUUAUUCAGUUGAUAUUUUAAUUAUACGUAUAAGAAUGAAGGUUUAUUUGGGAAAAAAAGAAAUAAAGAAAUAGGCUCUGUUGAAGCUAAUUAAUACUUCAUUCUUUCUAUACGUGCGACCUGUGGUGGAAACAUGAUAUGAGAAUGUGUUACUGGUGAGGUUGCUGCUUGAGAUGAGAAUGAUGAGAAUGCCUUCUAUUCGGAAAUCCUUGGUAGGUAUUAUAUAAUUAUAUUUGAUGGAAUAUUAAAUAGCUAAAGAACCUGUGAUAAUGUCUUUGUUCAAUGGUUACUGUAGUAGUGUUUGUUGGUCUUUUUCUGGUUGGCGUUUGGAUGUUAAUGUCAUCAUCAGUUGUACUGGUGUGGGAUCCAGGAUGUUGUCCUCUUAAGAGCCUAUAAGCAAAGUGAAACAGAGAGGAUCUGAGAUUUUUCUGGGCCUUUCGUAGAAAAUCAAGGUGAUGAAUGACAGGAUUCAACAAAUGGGGAUGGGGAUGAUGUUCCUGUUGAAAAGUUAGAGAAUAGAGUGGAGGAUAAUCACGAAGAGAUGAAUAUGUAUGAGGGUGAUGGUGAGACGAGUGAAUCUAAGAAUAUGGUUAAUCAAAACCAGGAAGAGAAUUUAGUGAAGGAGAGUUUUGAUGAGAAUACUGAGUCUGAAGAGGAAUCUAAGGCGGUGUCUAAAAAUUACAAUGUUAGAAAAAGGGAAGAUAAGGAAUCUAAAAGUGAAGGUGGAGAUUCAAAUUCAGAAGCUGGAGAAACAGAAGGCGGCGAAUUGAAUAAAAUUGAGCAAAUUGAAUCAGAGAAUAGCUUGGAUGAAAAUAAAUGGAUGAGGCUAAUCAGAUUGAAAAGGAGAAGGAUUCUCAAGAUCAAGAUAAUGACACUGAGAGCCGUUGAAAGGAUCAGGCUUCAACUGAGAUUUUUCCUUUUGGUGACUAGUCAGAAAUUCUGAAGGAAACUAAUGCUCAGAAUGGGGCUUGCUCAACUCAACCUAUUGAGUCAUAGAAUCAGAAAAUAUCACAACAAUCUUCUAUAUCUAAGGACCAGUAUGGUCAUCGUUGGAAAGUGUGUAAUGCCACUGCUAGGCCAGAUUGCAUCCCUUACCUGGACAAUUUGCAAGCAAUUAGAAUGCUUUCCAGCACAAAAGCAUUAUGAACAUCGAGAGAGGUAUUGCCCUGAAGAAACUUGUACCUGUAUUGCUCCUUUACCGGAAGGAUACAAACACUCAAUUAAGUGGCCCCAAAGCAGGGAUAGGGUAUGAUCUUAUAUUAUGCAUUAUAAAAUAUAUACUUGACUACUUUUAAUUCACUUGGGCUAAGAUUUGUUCUCAUGCUGUGUGGGAUAGAUUUGGUAUUAUAAUUUUCCCCACACAAAGCUUGCAGAAGUUAAGGGUUAGCAAAAUGGGGUUAAAGUUACUGGUGAAUACCACAUUUUUCCAGGUGGCAGAAUUGAAUUUGAGAAUGGUGCUCUUCAUUACAUUGACUUCAUUCUGAAGGUGAGCAUUUUUCAUUUAUCAUUUUAUGUCUGUUGUUAGCUUCAAUUAAUAUGUGGCUUAUUCUUUUCUUUGUAUGAACCAUGGGCGGUCCAUUUCAUUUUAUAAGCUAUUUCUUGGGUUUUAGCAAGACAAAUAAUAAGAUUUGUGCUGUUUUUGUUUUAUGCGUCUAUAUAAAUUGUGUGCGCGCAUAUCAUACUAGGGGAGUAUUGCUUUAAUGCUAUAUACAGUCAAGGACACACGGUGGGUCACAUUCUGACUCGUUUCAAUGCUUCUUUUAUAAAUAUUUACUUGUAUAUAUUUUGUAGUACUUUUAGAGAUGUACUCUGCACUGGAUUUUUUAAGUGCUUUUAAUGUAGCCUACUGUCUUUGUCUUUAUCUCUCUUUUUGUGAAACUGAAAGGUUCAUAUAAUUUUUUAGAAACCAGUAAUCUUACAAAAAAUUUUAACCUGUUAAUUAAUGCGGUUUCAUUAUCUUGAAAAAUUUUCAAGCGUGCUUGCUUUUUUCUUUUCUUUCUUUUGAAAUAAUUGUUGAUAUUCCCCUUCUCUUCUAUCAAGUUUCUGAUUCUCUAAAGCCCACAUUAUUUUUGUCUUUCUUUAUACAGGCCUUUAUCAUUUAUUGGCCAGCACCCUUUCCUCGGUUUUAUAUAAGAAUGUAAUUUCGCCGGAAUCUGCCAAAAACCGUGUACUAUUGUCAACAACAAAUCAGAAUUCCAUCUCCACCUCCUGACAAACCAUGCGUCACCACCUGCUUAGGAAUCCGAAGCCUUUGCUGGUGUUGAUAGUAUGUUCUCUCUCUAUCUCUGUUUUUUCCUCAGUUGAGCAUUUAAAACAACAUCAUACUCAUCAUAUACCCUGUUUGGAUUCCUUGAAAUAAUAUUUUUUUUAAUUUUUAUUGUUAUUUUGAAUUGUUUUCUACAUAUUUUGAAUCAGAGUUGUUUGAGUAAAAUUUAAAUAUCAAUAUUACCGAUACGUGCCUAAUCUCAACUUCUUACCUUAAUAGCUUACUCACCUGUGCUUUUUUUUUCUCCCCCCUUUUAAGAAUUCAAAAGCUAUAUUAUGGAUUUUUGUUUUUGUUGUUUAUUGUCAUGAAGUAGGAGUGGGCAGAAAAUUGAAGAACUGUAUCAGAUUCCGUUUGAUAUUUGAUUCGGUUGUGCAAUAACCUAAAUUGGACAGUUUCAUUUCGGUUGGGAUGAAUGAAAACCGAAACCGAACCAAUAAUAAAAUUAACAAGCAAACCAAAUGAAAGUCCCAAAACAGUAACAAAACAAACACGUUGUGGUUUCUUAUCAAAUUUCACAGCACGACAUGGUCAUUCUCUUUGGUAAAAAAAUAGAAAAAAGAAUAAUGGGUCUCGAAAAUUUUUUAGAGCAUUUCUGUCGCUUACAUUUUUUUUCCAUCGAUUAAUGUUAGUUGUAGGUGAAUGAUUGUUGCAAAUGCAUGUUAGCUUGUGAUUGAUUGAAAAUGGCUUGUGAUUUGUUAUGCUGCCGUGUGACAGAUUGAAAAUGGCUCUGAAAUUUUUUUAUUUGUUUAAGGUAUUACUGCUGAUUAUUGAACAGAGAUUCAUGCUAGAUUUUGUUAAAUUGAAGAUGAGAUUUUUUUUAGGAGAUCUGCAAAACCUUCUCUACUAUAGAUUUGGCUUCUAGCAUACCUGGUUGGCUGGAAAUAAUUGUUUAUACAGUCAUUGCUGCCUAUAUUAAUCAGGAAUAUUGAUUAGCAAUGUACUGGGUUAGAGAUUGGUAUAAUUUUGGAAAAUUAGUUGUAGAUGCAACUAGGGGUGGCAAUAUGGGUCAGGAUUUGUUUAUUCGAUUCGAUUUGAUGCGAAUUAAAUGGGUUUGGGUUUGAAAAAAUUGAUUCGUUUAAUAAAUGGGUGAAUUCGAUUUGAUUCGCUAAUUAAACGAAUCGAAUGCGGGUUUGAAGAUUUUGAUUCGUUUAUUCGUUUAGGAUUCGUUUAAUAAACGGGUCAUAAACGAAUCGAAUAUAGGUCGAUUCGUUUAAAAUUUAUUUAUUAUUUGUUUAAUUAAAUUACUUUUUAUCCUUAAAUUUAUUUAAAAACUUUUUAAAAUAUCAAGGUUAAUAUUGUAAUUUUAAGCAUAACUCAUAAAGCCAAAAGAUCAACCCUAAUUUUACACUUCAUUUCCAUCUCCAAAUCCUUUUCUUUUUCUUUUUAAUUUUUGCAUCCAGCAAGUGCUACGUUUUGCCACUGCUCCAAAUCCUUGGAUUUGUGUGAGUGUGAUAAGUAAAAUUUUAUCUUGUUUAAUUAUUAUUUCCUUUAAAAUAUUACAAAUUUACUAUAUAUUUGAUAUUUUUGAAAUUUUACAAUGAUUAUUAUCAAUAUUGCAGUAUGUUAGAUUGUUAAUAACAUUUUAUUUACUUUUUGGUGUAGGAUUUUGUUUUCAAGGUGAAAAAGACAAAUGAAGAGAAUUAAAGAAAUUACCUUACUUUAUAAUUUGAAUUUGAAUUAUUAUUAUUUGUAUUAUUAGGGAUUUAUAAUUUGGUAUUUAGAUGACUGCAUAAUAUGGUUUGAGUUAUUUGUAUUUUGUUGUGGGAUGUUAAACUUGUGAUUUUUUUAUAUUUUAUUUUGCUUAAUUUUAUUUAUUAAUUAUAUUUUUCUAAACGAAUUGUAAACGAAUCCUGAUUCGGUUCGAUUCGUUAAGGAUAAACGAAUAAUAAACAAAUCCAGACUCGAUUCGAUUCGAUUCGUUUAUCAAUUAUUUUAAACGAAUUAAACGAAUCGAACCGAAUAUUCGUUUAAUAAACGAAUCGAAUCCGAAUCCUGAAAUUUCAAUUCGUUUAAUAAACGAAUCGAAUCCAAAUCCUCAUAAUUUUGACCCAAUUAGUUUACGAUUCGAUUCGUUUAUUCGUUUUGCCACCCCUAGAUGCAACCUGAUUAUGGUCUCAAAUAGUGUGAUCUGUCAAUUUUGUUUGCUCUGGCCUAAUAACCUUGAAUAUGAGCUAUGCCACUAUACAAAGUCUGACCUAAUCACACUUGUUAGCCAAUGUCCAAAAUUGCAGUGUCUUUAGAUAAGUCCUGUCUUUUUUGUUUGAGUUAUAAAUGAAAAUUGCAGUGUCUUUGGAAAAAUCACGCUGAAUGUUCAAGUUAUUGACGAGAGGAGACCCCCAGAUUCAAGGGCGGAGCUCCCUGUUAAGAAGCUUUACAUAUAUAGGAUUGUCGCCUGGCAGAGGAUUGAUAUGCCUGGUUUUGUUGUUUGGAAAUAUGGAUGAAGAUUUUGCAUUGAGGCUUUUUUGAUAGAUCAUUUGGCAAAUCAAGCUCCAUGUAUCUAUCUUCAGACUCUUGGAUAUUUAUAAAGCAGGUGCAUGCUCCAUAUGUUACUUAAUGUAUCACGAUUAUUUUUCUAUUGCUUAAUAUAUUUGCAGUCCUUGAUGAAGUUGAGGACAACUUAUGGAGGGUAUACAGAGGCUCAAGAGCUCGAUCGCCAUUCAUUUUACACUGGGCUGGGCUAUAGCAUACCAACUAGUGAUUAAUAAAGAGAAGGUAUGAAGGUCAUGUUGCUGGUGGUAGUAUCAAUCAGAAUUGUUAUUUUACUUAGUCAUACUUACCAUGUAUACUAAUCGUAGGCUUUUUUCAUUUUCAUGCAUUCGCAUCAUCUUCUGGUUAAGCUACAGAUGGUUGAUUUGUGUACUCAUUUGUAUCACUUGUAGCUCUUGAGGAAUAAAAUUUAAAAAUUAUGUUGCAUCUCUUGUACUAAAUAGUAAUUUUUGUUGGCUUUAUGUAUGGGAAAUGGUUUGUUGUCUUAUUUCUUUGAUGUGUAUGGUGUUACAUUGUCUAAAGUUAAGAAGUAUUUCUAUCACUUGUGUAAAAAACAACCUACUUUUUUCAUUCUUCUUAUAUUGAAUAAAAGAGGGACACCAAGAUUGAACGAAAUUUGAUUCAGAAAGCAUAGCAAUUAGGCCAGUGCAAAACAGCUUCCUUCUGAUUCUUUGAUAUUUGACUUAAAUCUUUUGUUUAUUUCAUUUAUCAAAGUCAUUUUGGAAAGUAACGGGGGUGAUUUGAUAUUUUAAUUGCAUUCACAUCCCUUGGCACCAAAACAAACAUGCUGGUACUAACCAAUAAUUUUUUAUUUUCAGUAUACAAAUUAUUUUUUUCUAAAUUAGGGGUAUUAAGAAAAGGUAUAUUAGCACCAGGGGAGGUAUUUGAGAAUACACAAAUAUAAUCUAUUAAACUAAGGUGGCAUUUGUUUUUUAAUUUAAUGACUUAAAGUGACUUAAUUAAUUAAGUUAAUUAGAGGUGUUUGUUUUAUAACUUAAUGAGAUUUUUUAGAUAAUUUAGACUUAAUAAAAUAAGUUAAUUUUUUUUGGCUUUUUUACUUAAUAGAGACAUUUGAAUUAAGUCAAUAACUUUCUAAUGUCAAAAAUAUCCUUGUUUUUAAUUUAUUCUUCAUGCCUAUUCCAAAAUUCACCCAUAGACAUUUAACUCCACAUAAUAAUCUCAUCAUUAUUUUUUUUAGCCGUCAUGAAAUCCCUCCUCACUUGAUAUCAACUCCUCGAGUAUUGAAGAUCAAAAUUACAUGCGAGAAUUUUGAGAUGAAAUGGCAAAUCAACUGUUUCAAGCAUUUUAUUAGUUUUUUUUUCUUAUAUUAUAUACGAUAAAAUUUGAAAUUUAUGAUAUUUUAUAUAUUAAAAUUUCAAAAUCAAUUAUGUAUUCACUUGAAUAUAAUUUUACUUAUAAACGUUAAAAUAUUGUGGUAUUUAAUAUAUUAUUUAUUUUGACAUUCAAAUUUAGUAAGGAUACAAAUGUAAAAGUACAUAUUUCAGUUUUUUAAGUUGAAAAAAACAUAAUUAUAUAAUUAUUUUUCAAGAUUCAAACGAAAAAACAAACAUAUUAUUCUGAUUCAGACAUUCAGAUCUAUUCAGAAUUCAGACUAAUUCAGGUCUAUUCAGAUUUUAAACAAAAAAUCAAACACCACCUAAGAAUAUGCCAAACUUCAGGGGAGGUUUCUGAUAAAUCUCUUUUUCUUUUUCCUCCAUUCACCAUAGGUUCAAUUUAGAAACUGUUGACCAAACGGAAGGUUUAGGUUGGUAAACGCACUAAGUGCCUGUUUGGUAUGGCUUAUUCAAGAGCCAUAAAUGCUUAUUUAAUCGCAUAAGCACUUUUUUAAAUUUUUAUGGUGUUUGGUUAUUUUUUUUAGUAGAGUUUUUUAGCUUAAAUAAGCUAAUUUACCUCUACUAGUAAAAGCCCAAAAUUUAAGCUUUUGGGAGUAGAGGUUAGAGAGCUUUUAAAAAAAUAUAUAUAAUAUAAAAAAAUAUCACACAUUUUAAUGGUUCAAAAGUGUUUUUUUUAUUGACAACCAAACACCUAAUGACUUUUUAUCCAAAAGCUCUAUGGUAUAAGCUCUACUGCUAUAAACUCUACUGUUAUAAGCUCUAUUUAAUAAGCUGUACAAACGGAGCCUAAGUGUUAAUGUCAACAACCCAAGGGGCUUCAUGGUCCUCUGGGCCGAAAUAAUUAUUAAUUCUCCUCUAGUGAAAAUCUUCAUCUUGGGACAAAUAAUUACAAAUUGACAUUAUAGCUGUGGAAAUUUGGAGGUGUAAUUACCGGAAAUUACAUCUAUUUCAAUUUGCUAAAAGUAAUGGUAUCAUUUCUUGUAUGGAAAAUGGAUGAUUAGAUUUUCUUUUUUGUUAUCCGACGAAGGAUAUUCAGUUGUUCUUUUUUGUUCAUAGGCAAGAGCAUGAGCAUAUGCAUAUUUAAUAUAUGCUUCUUGCAUUUUCUAAUUAAGUGCUCUCUUUCCUUGCCUUCUUAGUUUUGAAAGAAAGUUGUGAAGCAAAGCAAACCCAGUGAAAUACACAGAGCAACAGAACCAUCAGAGGAAAAACUAAAUAACAGAACUACAAUUGAACCAAACAAAAUCAAUAAACCGAGGCAACAGAUGCCCUGAAUCAGGCAUCCCUUUUUCUCCAAAGAAAAUAUUUUGCAUGGGUGGGAACCUAGUAAUUGUUGGGGAAAAAUUAGGUUUUUAAAUUUUUAUAAAACCUUUUGAAGAUCGCUCUCAUAUAAUAUAUAAGAAUUUGUAUUCUAGAAAUCGUACCUUGAAAAUUUGAGUUUGCUUUUUCCGCUGAAGUGAUUUAGGCUCCUAGAUCACGAUCCGCCACCACCACUCCUGUUAGAUCACGAUCCGUCACCACCACGCUUGUUAGAUCACGAACUGUCUCCAAUGAUUUUCCAGAUUAUGACUCAGGUUCGAUCUGCACUUGACGUGUGGGCGCCUUUAUCACUACCAAAGCAACUAGCACGAUAAAAUUUUCUCUCAACAAUAGAGAGAAAAAUCUUAUUCUCCGAUUUGUAUAAAGUGGCUUCUCUUAUUCUUUAGAGAAAAUAGCCUUUUAUAUCACCCUUUAGUGAAAACCUUAGGCUCCAAAUAAUGCCCUAAAUAAAUCACGUUACUUUCUUUUUCAAUAGGGGACCCACCUUGUAAAAUACAUAAGGCCCCUUAUACAAAAGCUAAUUAAAUGGAGCCUCCCACUAAAUGAUAUAUUUAGGCUUUUGACCCAAAUAGCUAGUUAUCUUACUUAUUAGUCCAGUAGUGGUGCAGUCAAUUAAAUGAGCUAACCCGGGGAUCAUUUGGGAACAUACAAUAGUGGCUACAAUAAUUAGGCCUGUAAUUAAACUAGCCCAAAUAUUUAAUUCCAAAUCUACUCCACUAAAAGAUUGGAACUGACUUCCAUAAUUGUAUGCUCGAAUAAUAAUUCGUCCCAAGCCACAUUGAUUUCUUUACUGCACAAUCCUUUGUACCACAUCGUUAAUUAAAUUGAUAUCUCAACUGUCCAAUCAAUUUAAUAACAUCUUAUUCCUUGAUCCUUACUGGUUUUCUAAUGAUCAUUUCAACAUACUAAAUAUGUUGACACACUCUGGCCAGAGAAUUCUAUGAUCAAGUGCCGAAAACCCAUCAAGAGAUGUAGAAACUGUUGACCAAACGGAAGGUUUAGGUUGGUAAACGCACUAAGUGCCUGUUUGGUAUGGCUUAUUCAAGAGCCAUAAAUGCUUAUUUAAUCGCAUAAGCACUUUUUUUAAAUUUUUAUGGUGUUUGGUUAUUUUUUUAGUAGAGUUUUUUAGCUUAAAUAAGCUAAUUUACCUCUACUAGUAAAAGCCCAAAAUUUAAGCUUUUGGGAGUAGAGGUUAGAGCUUUUAAAAAAUAUAUAUAAUAUAAAAAUAUCACACAUUUUUAAUGGUUCAAAAGUGUUUUUUUUAUUGACAACCAAACACCUAAUGACUUUAUCCAAAAGCUCUAUUGGUAUAAGCUCUACUGCUAUAAACUCUACUGUUAUAAGCUCUAUUUAAUAAGCUGUACCAAACGGAGCCUAAGUGUUAAUGUCAACAACCCAAGGGGCUUCAUGGUCCUCUGGGCCGAAAUAAUUAUUAAUCUCCUCUAGUGAAAAUCUUCAUCUUGGGACAAAUAAUUACAAAUUGACAUUAUAGCUGUGGAAAUUUGGAGGUGUAAUUACCGGAAAUUACAUCUAUUUCAAUUUGCUAAAAGUAAUGGUAUCAUUUCUUGUAUGGAAAAUGGAUGAUUAGAUUUUCUUUUUUGUUAUCCGACGAAGGAUAUUCAGUUGUUCUUUAUUUGUUCAUAGGCAAGAGCAUGAGCAUAUGCAUAUUUAAUAUAUGCUUCUUGCAUUUUCUAAUUAAGUGCUCUCUUUCCUUGCCUUCUUAGUUUUGAAAGAAAGUUGUGAAGCAAAGCAAACCCAGUGAAAUACACAGAGCAACAGAACCAUCAGAGGAAAAACUAAAUAACAGAACUACAAUUGAACCAAACAAAAUCAAAUAAACCGAGGCAACAGAUGCCCUGAAUCAGGCAUCCCUUUUUCUCCCAAAGAAAAUAUGUUUGCAUGGGUGGGAACCUAGUAAUUGUUGGGAAAAAUUAGGUUUUUAAAUUUUUAUAAAACCUUUUGAAGAUCGCUCUCAUAUAAUAUAUAAGAAUUUGUAUUCUAGAAAAUCGUACCUUGAAAAUUUGAGUUUGCUUUUCCGCUGAAGUGAUUUAGGCUCCUAGAUCACGAUCCGCCCACCACUCCUGUUAGAUCACGAUCCGUCACCACCACGCUUGUUAGAUCACGAACUGUCUCCAAUGAUUUUCCAGAUUAUGACUCAGGUUCGAUCUGCACUUGACGUGUGGGCGCCUUUAUCACUACCAAAGCAACUAGCACGAUAAAAUUUUUCUCUCAACAAUAGAGAGAAAAAUCUUAUUCUCCGAUUUGUAUAAAGUGGCUUCUCUUAUUCUUUAGAGAAAAUAAGCCUUUUAUAUCACCCUUUAGUGAAAACCUUAGGCUCCAAAUAAUGCCCUAAAUAAAACUCACGUUACUUUCUUUUUCAAUAGGGGACCCACCUUGUAAAAUAACAUAAGGCCCCUUAUACAAAAGCUAAUUAAAUGGAGCCUCCCACUAAAUGAUAUAUUUAGGCUUUUGACCCAAAUAGCUAGUUAUCUUACUUAUUAGUCCAGUAGUGGUGCAGUCAAUUAAAUGAGCUAACCCGGGGAUCAUUUGGGAACAUACAAUAGUGGCUACAAUAAUUAGGCCUGUAAUUAAACUAGCCCAAAUAUUUAAUUCCAAAUCUACUCCACUAAAAGAUUGGAACUGACUUCCAUAAUUGUAUGCUCGAAUAAUAAUUCGUCCCAAGCCACAUUGAUUUCUUUACUGCACAAUCCUUUGUACCACACGUUAAUUAAAUUGAUAUCUCAACUGUCCAAUCAAUUUAAUAACAUCUUAUUCCUUGAUCCUUACUGGUUUUCUCUAAUGAUCAUUUUCAACAUACUAAAUAUGUUGACACACUCUGGCCAGAGAAUUCUAUGAUCAAGUGCCGAAAACCCAUCAAGAGAUGUGUUGUACAAAUUCUAUAUUGUUAAUCCAUAACUCCAAUACUCAUAAUUGCUCCCACCAAGAUACCGGGUACUCUGACCACAAUGAUGUGUCGUGCCCAUUGGUAACUCAAAUGGAAUACAAUUACAAUCAUGAAAUCAUAAUUAACUCAAGAUUAAGAUUACAGUAAAAUCAACGCCUAUGAGAUUUAAUAAGUCUGACAGUUAUUACAAAGUUAAUUAAAUCUCAUAUGUGAUCCUGUUCAAUGUAGUCGUACUACAUCAAUAAAUUCAUACAUGAUUAAGACAAAUCAUUCAAUGAAUUUAUUACAGUCUAUACCUAAAUAAAGUGCCCAACUUUAUUUAUCAACUGCGAACUAAAUUUAUUUAAUCAUAAGAUAACUUGUAUUUAUGUCUUCUGUGAAUCCACAUGGUGAUCACAUAAAUACAUAUAAUAUGAUUAAAUGAACUUUUAAUACAAGUAUUAAUGCAAUUAAGAUAUUUGAAUAAAAUACCUCAUUUAUUUAUUAAUCAGAAAAAUUGUUUAUUACAAUUAAAUAAACACAUAUGCUUUAAAAGAGCAUAUUUUCCAACAAUCUCCCACUAGCUCUCAAAGCAUAUCUAGCAUAUUGCUCAUGCUCUAGGGCUCUAAGUGCAGGUUAUAAAGGUUUCCCACUAAUGGCCAUUGUAAUAAGAUCUGCCAUUUAGCAUCUAAUGCCAUUUGGGGUACUGUCAAGUGACCCUUCUGUCCACAUUUGUAACACUUGCCUUUUGGCUUGCCACUUCUUUUAAUGGACAGUUUGCCGAUCCCAACUCUUGCUUGCUCAUUCUUGUCUUUCGACUUAAGCCUUGAAGAGAAUCCUUUUUCAGGAAGUUUUCUGCUAUUAUAAAAUUCUUCUAUAGCAUGUAGUUCGUGCAUUAAUUCAAUUAAGGUCAUAUCUUUAUUGUUAAGAUAUAGCUGACCUUAAACUCUUUGAAUGUAUCAGGUAAAGAUUCAAUCACCAUGUUAAUCUUUGAUUUAUCAUUGAUUUGAACACCAUGAAUCUCUACCUCAUUCAAAUAGUCCAUCAUUUUGAGGACAUGAUCACGAACUUUUGUGCCCUCUUCCAUCUUAGUAUCCAUAAUACGUUUUAAUGCUGCUUCUCUGGCAAAAUGGGUAUUUUGCCCAAACAUCUGAUGAAGACUAGCCAUUAUUUCAGUGGCUGUUUCCAUGCUCCGAUGUUUCUUAUGCAGUUCCAUAGAAAUCGAAGCCAAUAUAUAGCGCUUAGCCAUUUUGUUAGCUUCGCACCAUUUCUCAUAAGGCUCCCUCUGAUUUCUAUAAUCGUAUAACGAUGGUUCAGGAGGGCAAGGCUGGGUCAACACAUAUUUGCUUCCUUUAGCAGUGAGAUAUUAAAUAGAUUGCGUUUCCAAUCUAAAUAAUUUUCGCCAGUGAGUUCAUUUUUAACAAGGAUAAAUAAUAAUGGGUUGAUGGAAGACAUUUUCUGAAAAAAAUAAAAUACACAUGCAUAAAUACUUUGAAACAAUAUUCACAAUAAAUGACAAAAAUGCAAAAAACCAUAAAUGCAUUUUAAUUUAUUGUAACGAUAAUCUAGUACCGCUUCGACAAGCUAUUCGUUGGGGAAGUCAUGUCUACACUUACUAGACCCAAUUAUCCAUUGGAUUAUUUCAUUUCACAUGAUAAAUAAUUAUCGUUAUCCCUUUGGACCUAAAUUUGUUAACAGAGCUUCGUUGGGAAGGUUAAUAACAAACUUUUAGUUGAGUGUAUAACCAUUGUUUCAAUCUACGUAUUUUUCAUAUCAAUAGUCACCGUUGGGGUGAACAAUCGAUUGAAAAAUAUUUCAAUUUUAUCUUUGAAGAAGUUCAUCAAAUAAAAUAUCUAAUAUAUAUACCCUCGAAGGAGCAUCACCGUAUCAUGAAGUCGAGGUAUAUAUAUAAUUUUAUUAUUGAACUAACAAUGGAGCCCGUGGGAAAAUUAUCUUGAAUUUUCCCUCUCCCACUCAAUAUUUUAAAAUUGGUUUUUCCUUUUUAAAACAUACAUAUUGUUAAUUGCAUGCUUCCUAUAAUAUUAUCUAGAUGAUAUCAAAUUAUUAAGCAUACGCAAAUUUCAAACAAUAUAAUGAAAUUCAUUAUUAAUGAAUGACAUGUAUCAUUAUGCAUAGAGUGGCACUACCUAUUCUAUAUGACAUGUUAUCAUGGCAUGUAAUCAUCCAAAACAUAACAUAUAGAAAAAAUAAUUAAAUAAUCUUAAUUCAUGGCUUUCCUAAUAAUGAAAAAUACAUUAACCCUAAGCCUAAUCUUCAUUGGGCUUCUUGUCAAUAUCCAUCUUCCAUAGCUUGUCUUUGUUGAUGGACUAGGGGAAAUUGAGCUUUUAAAUUUAUAAUUGGUCCAAUUUUAAUUUGGAAAGAAAAUAAAUAAUUAAAAUUAAAAUUUAUUAAAAUAAAACUUUUGGACCAAAAAUAAAUUUAAUAUAUUCAAUUUUAUCUAUGCAUUUUAAUCCAUUAAGCCCAAUUGAAAUUGGGCCUAAAACUAGGAUUCAUUAAGCCCAAAACUAUUUUUGGAUUUAAACGCAAAAAAUUAAAAAUGUUUCUGCCCAACUGAAAAAAUAUGAAACUAUAGGGACCUCCACGAUAAAAACCAUGAAACCCUAAAAUCACAUUUUCUUUUCCUCCUCUUCCCUAGCCGCCACCAGCACAAAAACCCAGCCGUUGUUUACUGUUUCCACACCGGACAGCCGUCAUCAACGCCGGAAAGACGCCAACCAAAACGCUCCGCGCCUUCAGCCCACGUUCACGCUGUUGCUUGGGUGCUGCAGCUGCUGCUCGCGCGCUGCGGUUGCUGCUGUGCAGCGCGCGCUGCAGCUGCUGCGUGUGUAGCUCGCGCUGCUAGCAGCGUGGCUGCUGGCCGCUGCGCGUGCAGCGCGCGCUGCUGGCAGCAUGUGCUACUGGCCGCGCGCUGCUCGCACAGCAGCUUGUGCUGCUGGCCGCUCGCUGCUGCGUGUGCUGGUUCGUUGCUGCAGUUUCCGGCCUCGAUUGUUUGCGCUCGUUUUCCAGUGAUGAUGCUUCGGUGAUUUACAAAUUUUCAACGCAAAUUUUUGCUUACAAAAUUUCAAUUACAGUAAAAUAAAUCAAGAGAGAAUUAUGGUGAUAAAAAACCACCCCUCUUGUUACAGAUCCAAACGAAAAAUACAAUAGAAAAUCUAACAAUGAAUUAACUGCGUUUACUUUUUGGAUUGGAGUGGGAAUCCUGAGGAAUGGGAAUCCUUGGAUUAGGAGUGUGGAGUGGGAGUGGGAGUAGGGUGUUUACUUAGACUAAAUGAAAGUAUGGAUUGUCAAUUAGAAUUCCAAUUAUUUGUUUACUUUGUCUUGGAUUGGGAGUAAAUUGUUUUAAAUUACAAUUUUAUCCUUAUGUACAGAAUUAUAAUUUGUAAUUAAAAAUUAAUAAAAAAUAUAUUUGGAAAAUAAAUAAAUAUUUUAUUAUAUUUAUAAAUUAUUAAUAAUUACUAAUAUUCUUAAUUAUGUAAAUCAUAAUUUUUUAUUAAUUUUAAUUUAAAUUAUGUGAAUAAAAAUUAUUAAUAAUAGCAACACAAAUGGAAUAUUAUUAUUGAUAAUAUAGUACAAAAUUAAUAUUUUUAGAAUAAAAUAUUUAUUAUUAUUAAUAAAUAAAUAAUUAAUUAAUAUUUAUUAAAAUUAAUGUUUUUAUUAUUAAUUUAAAUAUAAUAUUAUUUAUUUUUAUUUAUUAAUUUUAUAAAAAAAAAUAUGAAUAUAUAUUUUUUAAUAAAUAUGAUAUUAUUUAUUUUAUGAAAUUUAUUUAUUUAUUAAAUAUUAUUUAUUUAUUAAAAUAUUAUUUAUUUAUUUUAAUUUUAUAAGGAUAAAAUGGGAAGAGGGGGAGUGGAUUCCCACUCCCUCCCCCAAUGGGAGUGGGAAUCCCACUCCCCACUCCAAAUUUAGGUGGGACCCGGAUUCCCACUCCCACUCUCCCUAUUUUUAAAGUAAGUAAACACUGGAGUGGGAGGAAUCCACACUCCACACUCCCACUCCAGAAAGUAAACACUACCUUAAGACAAACCAUAAACAUGCUUUAUUCAUAUAUUAAACAAAUAAUAUAUAUCUGAAUAAAUUGUGCCACUCUAAUACAUAAAUUUCAAGAUUAAUUUCAUACGAAAUUCUUAUUUAUUAAUAUGAGAUGGCUCUGAUACCAAUUGUUAGGGAAAAAUUAGGUUUUUAAAUUUUUAUAAAACCUUUUGAAGAUCGCUCUCAUAUAAUAUAUAAGAAUUUGUAUUCUAGAAAUCGUACCUUGAAAAUCUGAGUUUGCUUUUUCCGCUGAAGUGAUUUAGGCUCCUAGAUCACGAUCUGCCACCACCACUCCUGUUAGAUCACGAUCCGUCACCACCACGCUUGUUAGAUCACGAACUGUCUCCAAUGAUUCCAGGUUAUGACUCAGGUUCGAUCUGCACUUGACGUGUGGGCGCCUUUAUCACUACCAAAGCAACUAGCACGAGAAAAUUUUUCUCUCAACAAUAGAGAAAAAAAUCUUAUUCUCCGAUUUGUAUAAAAUGGUUUCUCUUAUUCUUUAGAGAAAAUAAGCCUUUUAUAUCACCCUUUAGUGAAAACCUUAGGCUCCAAAUAAUGCCCUAAAUAAACUCACGUUACUUUCUUUUUCAAUAGGGGACCCACCUUGUAAAAUAACAUAAGGCCCCUUAUACAAAAGCUAAUUAAAUGGAGCCUCCCACUAAAUGAUAUAUUUAGGCUUUUGACCCAAAUAGCUAGUUAUCUUACUUAGUCCAGUAGUGGUGCAGUCAAUUAAAUGAGCUAACCCGGGGAUCAUUUGGGAACAUACAAUAGUGGCUACAAUAAUUAGGCCUGUAAUUAAACUAGCCCAAAUAUUUAAUUCCAAAUCUACUCCACUAAAAGAUUGGAACUGACUUCCAUAAUUGUAUGCUCGAAUAAUAAUUCGUCCCAAGCCACAUUGAUUUCUUUACUGCACAAUCCUUUGUACCACAUCGUUAAUUAAAUUGACAUCUCAACUGUCCAAUCAAUUUAAUAACAUCUUAUUCCUUGAUCCUUACUGGUUUUCUCUAAUGAUCAUUUUCAACAUACUAAAUAUGUUGACACACUCUGGCCAGAGAAUUCUAUGAUCAAGUGCCGAAAACCCAUCAAGAGAUGUGUUGUACAAAUUCUAUAUUGUUAAUCCAUAACUCCAAUAUAUAAAGUACUAGAUGUUUUACUGAGAAAAUGACUAGAUCAUUUACCAAAUUUCUUGCGCAUAUAUACGUAUGUAUACAGAAAUGGGAAUCAAUGAUUAUAAGACCUUGCAAUGAGACAAUAAUACAUCAUCAAAUCUAAAAAUACACAAGAAAUUCGGGACAUAUAUAUAACAAAGACCUCUCAUUGAGUCAUACAUAUUGAGAAUAAAAUGUCAAAAUGCAUACAAAGAGCUUAUACAGAAAAUGAAUUUACACAUAUUUAGAAUAAAUUGUCUUUGAACUUUUGAUGGUCAAAUAAAGGAAACAGACAGGAUAUAACACACACUAUCAUAGAUGUAGCGACACGGUGAAGUAAAUCAUGAAGAUGGAAACGGAAACCCUUCACAAUAUAAAAUUUGAAUAGAGGGGGGAAAAAAGGCUUCAUUUGGAAUGUUGCACAGAAGAAGAGUGACUUGAAUCUCCAUCAGUAUCCAGACAUUCUACAACACAGUGCUGAGAAUUUUAACAAGAAUAACAGACAAAAUAUUGUGCUUCUAUACUUGUCACAAAACUAGACCAAAUUAGUUCCCUUUUGGUUUGUGAAAACUUGAUAUUUUUGAAAAUUCUAUCCAAUGCUUUUAAACAAUAUUUCCAUAAUAUAGUUGUUCAUAGCUAACCUUUGAUGGUUUAAGCAUUUGUUGUAGGCAUGACGGGCUGAUUAGAUUAUUAUUUUUUUUAUCCGAUGAAUGAUAUUCAGCUGUUCUUAAUUAUGUGUUAAUAGGCAAGAGCAUUUUCUUAAGUACUUUCGUUGCCUUCCAAGUUUCCAAUGAACAAACAGAGCACAAACAAAUUUAACGAAACAAACAGAGCAUUUUCUUCAGUGUGCUUUCUUGAGACAUUUUGAUUUAGUCUCAUUAUGAUUAAAAAAGGAAGCUCGCUUCUCGAGACAUUUUGCUAUAGUCUCAUUAUGGUUAUAAAGAAGCGAUGGUCUAGGAGACAUAUUGUUUUCGUCUCAUUUUGCUAGACAUCUGGACUUUAUGGAAAUGAGCAUGUUGAUCACAUUGUCAUGUUAUUUCCAUAAUUAUACUUGUAUACUACUACAUGGUCACGUGUUUAUAAGUGUCUUGUUAUAUGGAGCAUCCUGUCGGUGCACAUAUGAUUUGAUAUUUAUGGCACAUUUUGGACUUGUUUAUGUUCUGGGUGAUUGCUUGUAUUUGACCUUUUGUUAUAGUCACAUAUUGAUUAAUUCGGUUGUUUUCAAAAUAUUAUUUUAUUUUAAAUUUAUCAUUGGAGUGAUUUCUGUCGUCCAAGUGGGAGAUUGUUAGAUUUAUUUCUCAUAUUAUGUGGACUGACAUAAAUCAUUCUAAUUGUUUUCUAUAUUUUACCGAAUUAAUACGUGACUAUUGUCAAAUAUUAUGGAGCAAUUUUGACAUACCUUGUACAGUAGUAUAUUAUGGACAAGUAUAUCCUUAAUUGUGUUAUUUUCGCCCAUAAUGGGAUGGGCAAUUUUGUACUAACACAUGAGGGGUCCCUGCGCUCAACCACUGUAUUUAAGUAACUUCAGCCCAUUGGAAGUUAACUGUUCAAGAAAUCUGUGGCAUGAGUGCAGUGCAUCUCUCUCUCCGUUUGUCUCCCGUGUGUGUGCACAGUAAAUUUUGAAGCAAGCCGAUCCUUGAGCUAAGGAAAAGAAAGCGGAAUUCAGAAGCUAAACCGAAGCAGCAGCAACUCUGUUGAAGCUCCAUAACAAGCUGCAAGCUUGGAUUCAUGGGAGAUCGUGGUAAAUUUCGAAAUUUACUACAAUAUGUGUUUAAUUUGGAAAUGCACGAUUAAAGGGCAUAAAGUAUGUUUUUGUUUCAUCAAUUGGUAUCAGAGCCCAUGGUUAUGCGUUUCCUUGUAAACCAUAGUUGUUUUGUUGAAGAAAUCUCACUCAUGGAAUUUUUUUUUUAUUUUCGGAUUUUUCGAAUUCUUCGAAUUUGGACAUAUUUCCUCAAACGGUUGUUAAAUAAUGCAUGAGUGAUGAUUUUGGAGCAAAGAUAUAAUUUUUUCGUGUUUUUUGGUGGCCAAAAUCGGGUUGGUAUGGAUGUGGAUGCUGUAAAUGUACUGUACAAUACUGUAGCAACAGCCCGAGGUUGAAGAUGAUGGGACAAUUUCAUUUGGAUCCCUAAAUUUUGUGAAUUGUCACUAUGGCCCAAAAUCUUUGCAAACUUUUCGAAAAGGUCCUUGACCGAGGGUCAACUAUGUAAAAGAUAAGUUGGUCCCUUGAAUUUUGGGAAAUUAUAGUAUGGCCCAACAGUUUAUUUUAUUUUAUUUACAGUUUGGGCCAAAAGUUUUAAUAGUUAAAACAGUAAAUAAUUCUGAAAAUUUUUCAUUUUAGUCCAAAAUCCUUUCAAUUUUGGCGAUUUUUCAGAAUUUAAAUUUUAAAAUAAUCCAUCAGUUAUUGAAUCUUAUGGGCAUAUCAUUUAUAUAUUUUAUUGAGGCAUGUAGAUAUUUUAUUUGAUUUAAUAUCUUGUUAAUUUCAUUUGACAAAAUUUAUUUAGCCUCAAUUUUGUUAAUAUACGAAAUAUAUAUAUGAUGCAAAACUACAAUUUAGAGUGAUUGUGUAUCUACUUAUCGUAGGACCAAUCAUGAUAAAUUAUUUGGUGGUUUGCAAUUGAUUGUCCAUUUACAAUUAUGAAUUAUGGAUUAUGUGAUGGAUUGUUAUUGUUUGACCAAGAUCCAUACGGGUGAUGAUACUGCCCUGUCGGCAAAUCACUACUUGGUACUUGGUAGGAUGCUUGGGAAGAUAAAGAGAUUUGUUGAGUAUUUUCUACUGAGUGGCUUAAUUACCCUGUCGGUAAUAGGUCAAUGUUGGUGUUAUAUUCAACUUGUCUGCUUUAUCUUUAGGUUAGUGCAUUCCUAUAUUGUUAAAGGAUGCCUAACAUAUUGUGUUGCUAUUGGAGAAACUUAGAAUGAGGAGCAAUUGAUUAUAGCAUGAUUUUAAUUUUUGCAUGCUUGAUAUUCUUUUGUUAUUGCUUCCUCAGCUCUAGAUAUUCUCUCCUUUCUCCAAGUAGCCUCCCUCAAGAAUUUAACUGGGACAAAUUUUGAGGACUGGCGUGAGUCCAUUUUGUUUUAUUUGUCUACACUGAAUAGAGACUUGGCAUUAAGAGUUGAUGAACCAGCCAAGCCCACAGAUAAGAGCACUGCUGCUGAAAAAGCAGAGUGGGCAGCUUGGGAUGAAUCCAAUAGACACUGUCUGGAUACAAUGAAAUACACCAUUGAUAGAACCACUAGAGAUAGCAUCCCUGCAUGUGAUAAGGCCAAAGAUUACUUGGCAGCUGUGGGAAGAACCUUUAAGAAGGUAGAUAAGGCAGAAAAGGGUAACUAUCUGAGGCUGCUUGCUAAUACCCAGUAUGAUGGUGUUUUCUGGGGUCAGAGAACACAUCCUUAAGAUGACUAGUUACCAUAAGAAGCUGAAGGACAUGGAUGUCACUUUGCCUGAUGACUACCUGGUCUUCCAAAUCCUUGAAUCUCUUCCACCACAAUUUGGCAAUUUGAGAAGCCAAUACAAUACUCAGAGAGACACUUGGAAUAUCACUGAGUUGACUGCUUAUGUGGUUCAGGAAGAGGAAUCAUUGAAGAAGGGGAAAUCUCACACUGUCAUGGUGGCAACUACUCAAGAGAGUGGAAGUGUGAAGAAAGGCUCUUCAAAGGGCAGCAAUAAGUUUUUUAAGAAGAAAAAGUUUGGCAAGAAAACUUCACGUGGUACUUCUUCUACCACUUCUGGUUCCACUUCUGAGAGCUUUAAGGGAAAGUGCCACUUUUGUAAGAAACCUGGGCACAAGAGAGCUGACUGCAGGGGAUUCAAAGCAUGGUUGGAAAAGAAAGGUAUUCCUGUAGCCUUUGUAGGCUUUGAAUCUAAUCUUAUUGAUGUUCCUUCUGAUACUUGGUGGUUGGAUACUGGUGCAACCAUUAAUAUAACGAAUUCCUUACAGGAAUUCAGAAGCAGGAGGGAGCCCAAUGAAGGGGAGUUGAUAGUUCACAUGGGCAAUGGAGUGACAGCCAAAGUUGAAAGCAUAGGAGUUGUCAGACUACAUCUAGCCACAGGCCAUGUUUUGGAUCUAUUAGAUACAGCUUAUAUUCCUUCUAUUAGGAGAAACUUGAUAUCUGUAUCUAUUUUGGAUAGAUGUGGCUAUACUUUUCAUUUUGGUGAUAGAAAAGUUUACUUAUUCCGCAAUUCAGAGUUAGUUGGUUCUGGCACUCUAUAUGAUGGCUUGUAUAUGAUUGAUUUAUUUUCUCGUGCUGUUGAAUCAUCAUCCAAUGCUCAUGUUAUGCAUGUUGUUAGCUCUAAUCGUGUUAGGGUUGAUGAAAAUUCCUCUAUGUUGUGGCAUAAACGGUUAGGUCACAUUUCUAAACAGAGGAUGAGAGGCUUAUUAAAGAUAUUCUACAUAAGUUGGAUUUCUCUGAUUUUGGCACUUGUGUUGAUUGUGUCAAAGGCAAACUUACUGCCAAAACCAGAAAAGAGAGAACUCAGAGGAGUCAACAGGUGCUGGAGUUGGUACAUACAGACAUUUGUGGGCCAUUUACUCCUAUUGCCAUUGGAGGUUAUAAGUACUUCAUCACGUUCAACGAUGACUUUUCUCGUUAUGGUCAUGUUGAACUUCUUGCUGAAAAGUCUAAAUCCUUAUCUGUGUUUCAAGCCUUUAAGGCUAAUGUUGAGCUCCAAAAGGGCAAGCAAAUUAAAGCAGUAAGGUCAGACAGAGGUGGUGAGUACUAUGGGCGAUAUGAUGAAACUGGGCGUAAUCCUGGACCUUUUGCUAAAUUUCUUCAGGAAUGUGGAAUAGAAGCCCAGUAUACAAUGCUCGGGACUCCUGAACAUAAUGGAAUUGCAGAAAGGAGAAAUCGUACCCUUCUUGACAUGGUGCGGUGUAUGCUGAGUAACUCCACCUUACCAGAUUUUCUGUGGGGUGAAGCCUUAAGAACUGCAGCUUACAUUUUGAAUCAGGUACCUAGUAAAUCGGUGCCCAAAAGUCCUUAGUUGUGGUCAGGAAAGAGACCGAGUCUUCGUCAUUUUCAUGUAUGGGAUGCAGAGCAGAAGUGAGGCCCUAUAAUCCACAAUCAAGGAAACUUGAUCCGAAAACAAUUAGUGGUCAUUUUAUUGGCUAUUGUAUCGGCUCAAGGGUUUCUAGAUUUUAUUGACCUUCCCACACUACUAGAAUCAUUGAGUCUGAUCGUGCCAUUUAUUUUGAGGAUGAUCACAAUGGUGGGAGUUCUGAGCCUCGCAGUCUGACAUUGAGAGAAGAACGUGUGGUUUUGCCUAUUCCAUCUUUUCCGACUUCUGCGAUGGGAUUACCACAUAUUGAUGAUUCUUCUGUUGAUCCUAAACUUCAUCAUAAUAUGGAGCCUAUGAUUGUAGAGGAUGAUGGUACUGAUGUGCCAUUGAGGAGAUCAGAGAGGAUCAGGAGACCUGCAAUUUCUGAUGAUUAUGUUGUUUACUUGCAGGAGCAUGAUUUUGAUGCUGACUCUUCAUCUGAUCCUAUUACCUUUCAAGAGGCCAUCAGUUGUUCAGAAUCAUCAUCUUGGAUACAUGCGAUGCAUGAUGAGAUGGCAUCUAUGUAUCAUAAUGAGGUUUGGGAUUUAGUUGAGUUACCAGAUGGAUGCAGACCAAUUGGUUGCAAAUGGGUUUUCAAAACCAAAAGAGAUGCCAGAGGUCAGGUAGAGAGGUAUAAGGCCAGGCUUUGUGGCUAAGGGUUUCAGUCAAAGAGAAGGCAUUGAUUACACUGAAACCUACUCUCCUGUUUCUACCAAGACUCUUUUCGUAUUAUCAUGGCAUUGGUAGCUCAUUUCAAUUUAGAAUUGCAUCAGAUGGAUGUGAAGACAGCUUUUCUUAAUGGGAGCUUGUCUGAAGAUGUAUACAUGGUGCAACCUGAUGGUUUUGUUGAGUCUGGUAUAGAAAACAUGGUGUGUAAGCUUAAAAGGUCCAUUUAUGGACUUAAGCAAGCAUCCAGACAGUGGUAUUUGAAAUUUCACGAUAUUGUCACCUCUUAUGGGUUCCAGGAGAAUGCCGUUGAUCAGUGUAUAUACUUGAGAGUCAGUGGGAGCAAGUAUAUCAUUUUGGUGCUUUAUGUGGAUGAUAUCUUGCUCGCUGCUAAUGACAGUAAUUUGUUACUUGAGACAAAGCAAAUGUUGUCAUGCAGCUUUGAUAUGAAGGAUCUUGGUGAAGCCCAUUAUGUAUUAGGGAUAGAGAUUCUUCAUGAUAGAUCUAGAGGAAUUCUAGGUUUGUCUCAAAAGACUUACAUUGAUCGCAUUUUGAAAAGGUUCAAUUUGCAGUCUUGUGCUCCUGGGAAAGCUCCAAUUUCGAAAGGUGACAAAAUUUCCAAGUCUCAAUGUCCCGAUAAUGAUGUAGACAAAGCUAGAAUACAAACAGUCCCGUAUGCAUCCGUUGUGGGUAGCUUGAUGUAUGCUCAAGUCUGUACUCGCCCUGAUAUUGCUUUCCAGUGGGAGUACUUGGAAGAUACCUGAGCAAUCCUGGAUUUGAACACUGGAAGGCUGCAAAGAAAGUACUCAGAUAUUUGCGAGCCACUAAAGAUUUUGUAUUGACAUAUCAGCAAUCUGACUUUUGAAUAUAGUUGGAUAUUCUGAUGCUGAUUUCGCAGGGUGCUUGGAAGACAAGAAAUCCACAUCUGGUUACAUCUUUAUGAUGGCAGAGGAGCUAUAUCGGAAAGUGUCAAGCAGACACUUAUAGCUUCUUCAACAAUGGAAGCAGAAUAUGUAGCAUGCUUUGAGGCUACACGUCAUGCUUUAUGGAUGCAAAAUUUUAUCACAGGGCUAGAUUGUAUAGUGGCCGUACCGAGGCCAUUAAAGAUAUACUGUGAUAAUUCUGCUGCUGUUUCUUUUUUCACAAUACAGGGAGUUCCUCACGUUCCAAGCACAUUGAUAUUAAAUACUUGUUUGUGAGAGAGAAAAUUGCUCUAUCUUGUGUAUCAGUAGAGUAUAUCCCUACAGAACUCAUGUUAGCCGAUCCACUUAUUAAAGCUUUAGCUCCAAAAGUAUUAGGGAGCAUGUAACGCAUAUGGAUUAUUUGAAUCCACUUAUAUAUGCUGAGUCAGUGGGAGUUCUGGUUGUAUUAUGAGUUGCAACUUAAAUGAGCUUAUGUAUUACUCAUUUUGUUAUCAUGCAUGCAUGUUGUUAUGUGAUAUUGAUAUGCCAUAUAUUGUGUACACAUUUGGCUGCGUAUGGCAUUAUGUAUAGAAUGAGGAUACGAUGGUCCGAGACAUUUUGCUCAGUCUCAAUAUGGACAUUAAAGACUGAAGCAUUAUGAUUUUCUUCAGUGUGCUUUCUUGAGACAUUUUGAUUUAGUCUCAUUAUGAUUAAAAAGGAAGCUCGCUUCUCGAGACAUUUUGCUAUAGUCUCAUUAUGGUUAUAAAGAAGCGAUGGUCUAGGAGACAUAUUGUUUUCGUCUCAUUUUGCUAGACAUCUGGACUUUAUGGAAAUGAGCAUGUUGAUCACAUUGUCAUGUUAUUUCCAUAAUUAUACUUGUAUACUACUACAUGGUCACGUGUUUAUAAGUGUCUUGUUAUAUGGAGCAUCCUGUCGGUGCACAUAUGAUUUGAUAUUUAUGGCACAUUUGGACUUGUUUAUGUUCUGGGUGAUUGCUUGUAUUUGACCUUUUGUUAUAGUCACAUAUUGAUUAAUUCGGUUGUUUUCAAAAUAUUAUUUUAUUUUAAAUUUAUCAUUGGAGUGAUUUCUGUCGUCCAAGUGGAGAUUGUUAGAUUUAUUCUCAUAUUAUGUGGACUGACAUAAAUCAUUCUAAUUGUUUUCUAUAUUUUACCGAAUUAAUACGUGACUAUUGUCAAAUAUAUGGAGCAAUUUUGACAUACCUUGUACAGUAGUAUAUUAUGGACAAGUAUAUCCUUAAUUGUGUUAUUUUCGCCCAUAAUGGGAUGGGCAAUUUUGUACUAACACAUGAGGGGUCCCUGCGCUCAACCUGUAUUUAAGUAACUUCAGCCCAUUGGAAGUUAACUGUUCAAGAAAUCUGUGGCAUGAGUGCAGUGCAUCUCUCUCUCCCGUUUGUCUCCCGUGUGUGUGCACAGUAAAUUUUGAAGCAAGCCGAUCCUUGAGCUAAGGAAAAGAAAGCGGAAUUCAGAAGCUAAACCGAAGCAGCAGCAACUCUGUUGAAGCUCCAUAACAAGCUGCAAGCUUGGAUUCAUGGGAGAUCGUGGUAAAUUUCGAAAUUUACUACAAUAUGUGUUUAAUUUGGAAAUGCACGAUUAAAGGGCAUAAAGUAUGUUUUUGUUUCAUCAAUUGGUAUCAGAGCCCAUGGUUAUGCGUUUCCUUGUAAACCAUAGUUGUUUUGUUGAAGAAAUCUCACUCAUGGAAUUUUUUUUUUUUUCGGAUUUUUCGAAUCUUCGAAUUUGGACAUAUUUCCUCAAACGGUUGUUAAAUAAUGCAUGAGUGAUNUAUUCUAUAUGACAUGUUAUCAUGGCAUGUAAUCAUCCAAAACAUAACAUAUAGAAAAAAUAAUUAAAUAAUCUUAAUUCAUGGCUUUCCUAAUAAUGAAAAAUACAUUAACCCUAAGCCUAAUCUUCAUUGGGCUUCUUGUCAAUAUCCAUCUUCCAUAGCUUGUCUUUGUUGAUGGACUAGGGGAAAUUGAGCUUUUAAAUUUAUAAUUGGUCCAAUUUUAAUUUGGAAAGAAAAUAAAUAAUUAAAAUUAAAAUUUAUUAAAAUAAAACUUUUGGACCAAAAAUAAAUUUAAUAUAUUCAAUUUUAUCUAUGCAUUUUAAUCCAUUAAGCCCAAUUGAAAUUGGGCCUAAAACUAGGAUUCAUUAAGCCCAAAACUAUUUUUGGAUUUAAACGCAAAAAAUUAAAAAUGUUUCUGCCCAACUGAAAAAAUAUGAAACUAUAGGGACCUCCACGAUAAAAACCAUGAAACCCUAAAAUCACAUUUUUCUUUUCCUCCUCUUCCCUAGCCGCCACCAGCACAAAAACCCAGCCGUUGUUUACUGUUUCCACACCGGACAGCCGUCAUCAACGCCGGAAAGACGCCAACCAAAACGCUCCGCGCCUUCAGCCCACGUUCACGCUGUUGCUUGGGUGCUGCAGCUGCUGCUCGCGCGCUGCGGUUGCUGCUUGUGCAGCGCGCGCUGCAGCUGCUGCGUGUGUAGCUCGCGCUGCUAGCAGCGUGGCUGCUGGCCGCUGCGCGUGCAGCGCGCGCUGCUGGCAGCAUGUGCUACUGGCCGCGCGCUGCUCGCACAGCAGCUUGUGCUGCUGGCCGCUCGCUGCUGCGUGUGCUGGUUCGUUGCUGCAGUUUCCGGCCUCGAUUGUUUGCGCUCGUUUUCCAGUGAUGAUGCUUCGGUGAUUUACAAAUUUUCAACGCAAAUUUUUGCUUACAAAAUUUCAAUUACAGUAAAAUAAAUCAAGAGAGAAUUAUGGUGAUAAAAAACCACCCCUCUUGUUACAGAUCCAAACGAAAAAUACAAUAGAAAAUCUAACAAUGAAUUAACUGCGUUUACUUUUGGAUUGGAGUGGGAAUCCUGAGGAAUGGGAAUCCUUGGAUUAGGAGUGUGGAGUGGGAGUGGGAGUAGGGGUUUACUUAGACUAAAUGAAAGUAUGGAUUGUCAAUUAGAAUUCCAAUUAUUUGUUUACUUUGUCUUGGAUUGGGAAGUAAAAUUGUUUUAAAUUACAAUUUUAUCCUUAUGUACAGAAUUAUAAUUUGUAAUUAAAAAUUAAUAAAAAAUAUAUUUGGAAAAUAAAAAUAAAUAUUUUUAUUAUAUUAUAAAUUAUUAAUAAUUUACUAAUAUUCUUAAUUAUGUAAAUCAUAAUUUUUUAUUAAUUUUAAUUUAAAUUAUGUGAAUAAAAAUUAUUAAUAAUAGCAACACAAAUGGAAUAUUAUUAUUGAUAAUAUAGUACAAAAUUAAUAUUUUUAGAAUAAAUAUUUAUAUUAUUAAAUAAAUAAAUAAUUAAUUAAUAUUUAUUAAAAUUAAUGUUUUUAUAUUAUUAAUUUAAAUAUAAUAUUAUUUAUUUUUAUUUUAUUAAUUUUAAUAAAAUAAAUAUGAUAUAAUUAUUAUUUUUAAUAAAUAUGAUAUUAUUUAUUUUAUGAAAUAUUAUUUAUUUUAUUAAAUAUUAUUUAUUUUAUUAAUAUUAUUUAUUUAUUUUAAUUUUAUAAGGAUAAAAUGGGAAGAGGGGGGAGUGGAUUCCCACUCCCACCUCCCCCAAUGGGAGUGGGAAUCCCACUCCCCACUCCAAAUUUAGGUGGGACCCACGGAUUCCCACUCCCACUCUCCCUAUUUUAAAGUAAGUAAACACUGGAGUGGGAGGGAAUCCACACUCCACACUCCCACUCCAGAAAGUAAACACUACCUUAAGACAAACCAUAAACAUGCUUUAUUCAUAUAUUAAACAAAUAAUAUAUAUCUGAAUAAAUUGUGCCACUCUAAUACAUAAAUUUCAAGAUUAAUUUCAUACGAAAAUUCUUAUUUAUUAAUAUGAGAUGGCUCUGAUACCAAUUGUUAGGGAAAAAUUAGGUUUUUAAAUUUUUAUAAAACCUUUUGAAGAUCGCUCUCAUAUAAUAUAUUAAGAAUUUGUAUUCUAGAAAUCGUACCUUGAAAAUCUGAGUUUGCUUUUUCCGCUGAAGUUGAUUUAGGCUCCUAGAUCACGAUCUGCCACCACCACUCCUGUUAGAUCACGAUCCGUCACCACCACGCUUGUUAGAUCACGAACUGUCUCCAAUGAUCUUCCAGGUUAUGACUCAGGUUCGAUCUGCACUUGACGUGUGGGCGCCUUUAUCACUACCAAAGCAACUAGCACGAGAAAAUUUUUCUCUCAAACAAUAGAGAAAAAAAUCUUAUUCUCCGAUUUGUAUAAAAUGGUUUCUCUUAUUCUUUAGAGAAAAUAAGCCUUUUAUAUCACCCUUUAGUGAAAACCUUAGGCUCCAAAUAAUGCCCUAAAUAAAACUCACGUUACUUUCUUUUUCAAUAGGGGACCCACCUUGUAAAAUAACAUAAGGCCCCUUAUACAAAGCUAAUUAAAUGGAGCCUCCCACUAAAUGAUAUAUUUAGCUUUUGAACCCAAAUAGCUAGUUAUCUUACUUAUUAGUCCAGUAGUGGUGCAGUCAAUUAAAUGAGCUAACCCGGGGAUCAUUUGGGAACAUACAAUAGUGGCUACAAUAAUUAGGCCUGUAAUUAAACUAGCCCAAAUAUUUAAUUCCAAAUCUACUCCACUAAAAGAUUGGAACUGACUUCCAUAAUUGUAUGCUCGAAUAAUAAUUCGUCCCAAGCCACAUUGAUUUCUUUACUGCACAAUCCUUUGUACCACAUCGUUAAUUUAAAUUGACAUCUCAACUGUCCAAUCAAUUUAAUAACAUCUUAUUCCUUGAUCCUUACUGGUUUUCUCUAAUGAUCAUUUUCAACAUACUAAAUAUGUUGACACACUCUGGCCAGAGAAUUCUAUGAUCAAGUGCCGAAAACCCAUCAAGAGAUGUGUUGUACAAAUUCUAUAUUGUUAAUCCAUAACUCCAAUAUAUAAAGUACUAGAUGUUUACUGAGAAAAUGACUAGAUCAUUUACCAAAUUUCUUGCGCAUAUAUACGUAUGUAUACAAGAAAUGGGAAUCAAUGAUUAUAAGACCUUGCAAUGAGACAAUAAUACAUCAUCAAAUCUAAAAAUACACAAGAAAUUCGGACAUAUAUAUAACAAAAGACCUCUCAUUGAGUCAUACAUAUUGAGAAUAAAAUGUCAAAAUGCAUACAAAGAGCUUAUACAGAAAAUGAAUUUACACAUAUUUAGAAUAAAUUGUCUUUGAACUUUUGAUGGUCAAAUAAAGGAAAACAGACAGGAUAUAACACACACUAUCAUAGAUGUAGCGACACGGUGAAGUAAAAUCACAUGAAGAUGGAAACGGAAACCCUUCACAAUAUAAAAUUUGAAUAGAGGGGGGAAAAAAAGGCUUCAUUUGGAAUGUUGCACAGAAGAAAGAGUGACUUGAAUCUCCAUCAGUAUCCAGACAUUCUACAAACACAGUGCUGAGAAUUUUAACAAGAAUAACAGACAAAAUAUUGUGCUUCUAUACUUGUCACAAAACUAGACCAAAUUAGUUCCCUUUUUGGUUUGUGAAAAACUUGAUAUUUUUGAAAAUUCUAUCCAAUGCUUUUAAACAAUAUUUCCAUAAUAAUAGUUGUUCAUAGCUAACCUUUGAUGGUUUAAGCAUUUGUUGUAGCAUGACGGGCUGAUUAGAUUAUUAUUUUUUUUUAUCCGAUGAAUUGAUAUUCAGCUGUUCUUAAUUAUGUGUUAAUAGGCAAGAGCAUUUUCUUAAGUACUUUCGUUGCCUUCCAAGUUUCCAAUGAACAAACAGAGCACAAACAAAUUUAACGAAACAAACAGAAGCAUUUUCUUCAGUGUGCUUUCUUGAGACAUUUUGAUUUAGUCUCAUUAUGAUUAAAAAGGAAGCUCGCUUCUCGAGACAUUUUGCUAUAGUCUCAUUAUGGUUAUAAAGAAGCGAUGGUCUAGGAGACAUAUUGUUUUCGUCUCAUUUUGCUAGACAUCUGGACUUUAUGGAAAUGAGCAUGUUGAUCACAUUGUCAUGUUAUUUCCAUAAUUAUACUUGUAUACUACUACAUGGUCACGUGUUUAUAAGUGUCUUGUUAUAUGGAGCAUCCUGUCGGUGCACAUAUGAUUUGAUAUUUAUGGCACAUUUUGGACUUGUUUAUGUUCUGGGUGAUUGCUUUGUAUUUGACCUUUUGUUAUAGUCACAUAUUGAUUAAUUCGGUUGUUUUCAAAAUAUUAUUUUAUUUUAAAUUUAUCAUUGGAGUGAUUUCUGUCGUCCAAGUGGGAGAUUGUUAGAUUUAUUUCUCAUAUUAUGUGGACUGACAUAAAUCAUUCUAAUUGUUUUCUAUAUUUUACCGAAUUAAUACGUGACUAUUGUCAAAUAUUAUGGAGCAAUUUGACAUACCUUGUACAGUAGUAUAUUAUGGACAAGUAUAUCCUUAAUUGUGUUAUUUUCGCCCAUAAUGGGAUGGGCAAUUUUGUACUAACACAUGAGGGGUCCCUGCGCUCAACCACUGUAUUUAAGUAACUUCAGCCCAUUGGAAGUUAACUGUUCAAGAAAUCUGUGGCAUGAGUGCAGUGCAUCUCUCUCUCCCGUUUGUCUCCCGUGUGUGUGCACAGUAAAUUUUGAAGCAAGCCGAUCCUUGAGCUAAGGAAAAGAAAGCGGAAUUCAGAAGCUAAACCGAAGCAGCAGCAACUCUGUUGAAGCUCCAUAACAAGCUGCAAGCUUGGAUUCAUGGGAGAUCGUGGUAAAUUUCGAAAUUUACUACAAUAUGUGUUUAAUUUGGAAAUGCACGAUUAAAGGGCAUAAAGUAUGUUUUUGUUUCAUCAAUUGGUAUCAGAGCCCAUGGUUAUGCGUUUCCUUGUAAACCAUAGUUGUUUUGUUUGAAGAAAUCUCACUCAUGGAAUUUUUUUUUUUAUUUUCGGAUUUUUCGAAUUCUUCGAAUUUGGACAUAUUUCCUCAAACGGUUGUUAAAUAAUGCAUGAGUGAUGAUUUUGGAGCAAAGAUAUAAUUUUUUUCGUGUUUUUUGGUGGCCAAAAUCGGGUUGGUAUGGAUGUGGAUGCUGUAAAUGUACUGUACAAUACUGUAGCAACAGCCCGAGGUUGAAGAUGAUGGGACAAUUUCAUUUGGAUCCCUAAAUUUUGUGAAUUGUCACUAUGGCCCAAAAUCUUUGCAAACUUUUCGAAAAGGUCCUUGACCGAGGGUCAACUAUGUAAAAGAUAAGUUGGUCCCUUGAAUUUUGGGAAAUUAUAGUAUGGCCCAACAGUUUAUUUUAUUUUAUUUACAGUUUGGGCCAAAAGUUUUAAUAGUUAAAACAGUAAACAUAAUUCUGAAAAUUUUUCAUUUUAGUCCAAAAUCCUUUCAAUUUUGGCGAUUUUUCAGAAUUUUUAAAUUUUAAAAUAAUCCAUCAGUUAUUGAAUCUUAUGGGCAUAUCAUUUAUAUAUUUUAUUGAGGCAUGUAGAUAUUUUAUUUGAUUUAAUAUCUUGUUAAUUUCAUUUGACAAAAUUUAUUUAGCCUCAAUUUUGUUAAUAUACGAAAUAUAUAUAUGAUGCAAAACUACAAUUUAGAGUGAUUGUGUAUCUACUUAUCGUAGGACCAAUCAUGAUAAAUUAUUUGGUGGUUUGCAAUUGAUUGUCCAUUUACAAUUAUGAAUUAUGGAUUAUGUGAUGGAUUGUUAUUGUUUUGACCAAGAUCCAUACGGGUGAUGAUACUGCCCUGUCGGCAAAUCACUACUUGGUACUUGGUAGGAUGCUUGGGAAGAUAAAGAGAUUUGUUGAGUAUUUUCUACUGAGUGGCUUAAUUACCCUGUCGGUAAUAGGUCAAUGUUGGUGUUAUAUUCAACUUGUCUGCUUUAUCUUUAGGUUAGUGCAUUCCUAUAUUGUUAAAGGAUGCCUAACAUAUUGUGUUGCUAUUGGAGAAACUUAGAAUGAGGAGCAAUUGAUUAUAGCAUGAUUUUAAUUUUUGCAUGCUUGAUAAUUCUUUUGUUAUUGCUUCCUCAGCUCUAGAUAUUCUCUCCUUUCUCCAAGUAGCCUCCCUCAAGAAUUUAACUGGGACAAAUUUUGAGGACUGGCGUGAGUCCAUUUUGUUUUAUUUGUCUACACUGAAUAGAGACUUGGCAUUAAGAGUUGAUGAACCAGCCAAGCCCACAGAUAAGAGCACUGCUGCUGAAAAAGCAGAGUGGGCAGCUUGGGAUGAAUCCAAUAGACACUGUCUGGAUACAAUGAAAUACACCAUUGAUAGAACCACUAGAGAUAGCAUCCCUGCAUGUGAUAAGGCCAAAGAUUACUUGGCAGCUGUGGGAAGAACCUUUAAGAAGGUAGAUAAGGCAGAAAAGGGUAACUAUCUGAGGCUGCUUGCUAAUACCCAGUAUGAUGGUGUUUCUGGGGUCAGAGAACACAUCCUUAAGAUGACUAGUUACCAUAAGAAGCUGAAGGACAUGGAUGUCACUUUGCCUGAUGACUACCUGGUCUUCCAAAUCCUUGAAUCUCUUCCACCACAAUUUGGCAAUUUGAGAAGCCAAUACAAUACUCAGAGAGACACUUGGAAUAUCACUGAGUUGACUGCUUAUGUGGUUCAGGAAGAGGAAUCAUUGAAGAAGGGGAAAUCUCACACUGUCAUGGUGGCAACUACUCAAGAGAGUGGAAGUGUGAAGAAAGGCUCUUCAAAGGGCAGCAAUAAGUUUUUUAAGAAGAAAAAGUUUGGCAAGAAAACUUCACGUGGUACUUCUUCUACCACUUCUGGUUCCACUUCUGAGAGCUUUAAGGGAAAGUGCCACUUUUGUAAGAAACCUGGGCACAAGAGAGCUGACUGCAGGGGAUUCAAAGCAUGGUUGGAAAAGAAAGGUAUUCCUGUAGCCUUUGUAGGCUUUGAAUCUAAUCUUAUUGAUGUUCCUUCUGAUACUUGGUGGUUGGAUACUGGUGCAACCAUUAAUAUAACGAAUUCCUUACAGGAAUUCAGAAGCAGGAGGGAGCCCAAUGAAGGGGAGUUGAUAGUUCACAUGGGCAAUGGAGUGACAGCCAAAGUUGAAAGCAUAGGAGUUGUCAGACUACAUCUAGCCACAGGCCAUGUUUUGGAUCUAUUAGAUACAGCUUAUAUUCCUUCUAUUAGGAGAAACUUGAUAUCUGUAUCUAUUUUGGAUAGAUGUGGCUAUACUUUUCAUUUUGGUGAUAGAAAAGUUUACUUAUUCCGCAAUUCAGAGUUAGUUGGUUCUGGCACUCUAUAUGAUGGCUUGUAUAUGAUUGAUUUAUUUUCUCGUGCUGUUGAAUCAUCAUCCAAUGCUCAUGUUAUGCAUGUUGUUAGCUCUAAUCGUGUUAGGGUUGAUGAAAAUUCCUCUAUGUUGUGGCAUAAACGGUUAGGUCACAUUUCUAAACAGAGGAUGGAGAGGCUUAUUAAAGAUAGCAUUCUACAUAAGUUGGAUUUCUCUGAUUUUGGCACUUGUGUUGAUUGUGUCAAAGGCAAACUUACUGCCAAAACCAGAAAAGAGAGAACUCAGAGGAGUCAACAGGUGCUGGAGUUGGUACAUACAGACAUUUGUGGGCCAUUUACUCCUAUUGCCAUUGGAGGUUAUAAGUACUUCAUCACGUUCAACGAUGACUUUUCUCGUUAUGGUCAUGUUGAACUUCUUGCUGAAAAGUCUAAAUCCUUAUCUGUGUUUCAAGCCUUUAAGGCUAAUGUUGAGCUCCAAAAGGGCAAGCAAAUUAAAGCAGUAAGGUCAGACAGAGGUGGUGAGUACUAUGGGCGAUAUGAUGAAACUGGGCGUAAUCCUGGACCUUUUGCUAAAUUUCUUCAGGAAUGUGGAAUAGAAGCCCAGUAUACAAUGCUCGGGACUCCUGAACAUAAUGGAAUUGCAGAAAGGAGAAAUCGUACCCUUCUUGACAUGGUGCGGUGUAUGCUGAGUAACUCCACCUUACCAGAUUUUCUGUGGGGUGAAGCCUUAAGAACUGCAGCUUACAUUUUGAAUCAGGUACCUAGUAAAUCGGUGCCCAAAAGUCCUUAUGAGUUGUGGUCAGGAAAGAGACCGAGUCUUCGUCAUUUUCAUGUAUGGGGAUGCAGAGCAGAAGUGAGGCCCUAUAAUCCACAAUCAAGGAAACUUGAUCCGAAAACAAUUAGUGGUCAUUUUAUUGGCUAUUGUAUCGGCUCAAGGGGUUCUAGAUUUUAUUGACCUUCCCACACUACUAGAAUCAUUGAGUCUGAUCGUGCCAUUUAUUUUGAGGAUGAUCACAAUGGUGGGAGUUCUGAGCCUCGCAGUCUGACAUUGAGAGAAGAACGUGUGGUUUUGCCUAUUCCAUCUUUUCCGACUUCUGCGAUGGGAUUACCACAUAUUGAUGAUUCUUCUGUUGAUCCUAAACUUCAUCAUAAUAUGGAGCCUAUGAUUGUAGAGGAUGAUGGUACUGAUGUGCCAUUGAGGAGAUCAGAGAGGAUCAGGAGACCUGCAAUUUCUGAUGAUUAUGUUGUUUACUUGCAGGAGCAUGAUUUUGAUGCUGACUCUUCAUCUGAUCCUAUUACCUUUCAAGAGGCCAUCAGUUGUUCAGAAUCAUCAUCUUGGAUACAUGCGAUGCAUGAUGAGAUGGCAUCUAUGUAUCAUAAUGAGGUUUGGGAUUUAGUUGAGUUACCAGAUGGAUGCAGACCAAUUGGUUGCAAAUGGGUUUUCAAAACCAAAAGAGAUGCCAGAGGUCAGGUAGAGAGGUAUAAGGCCAGGCUUGUGGCUAAGGGUUUCAGUCAAAGAGAAGGCAUUGAUUACACUGAAACCUACUCUCCUGUUUCUACCAAAGACUCUUUUCGUAUUAUCAUGGCAUUGGUAGCUCAUUUCAAUUUAGAAUUGCAUCAGAUGGAUGUGAAGACAGCUUUUCUUAAUGGGAGCUUGUCUGAAGAUGUAUACAUGGUGCAACCUGAUGGUUUUGUUGAGUCUGGUAUAGAAAACAUGGUGUGUAAGCUUAAAAGGUCCAUUUAUGGACUUAAGCAAGCAUCCAGACAGUGGUAUUUGAAAUUUCACGAUAUUGUCACCUCUUAUGGGUUCCAGGAGAAUGCCGUUGAUCAGUGUAUAUACUUGAGAGUCAGUGGGAGCAAGUAUAUCAUUUUGGUGCUUUAUGUGGAUGAUAUCUUGCUCGCUGCUAAUGACAGUAAUUUGUUACUUGAGACAAAGCAAAUGUUGUCAUGCAGCUUUGAUAUGAAGGAUCUUGGUGAAGCCCAUUAUGUAUUAGGGAUAGAGAUUCUUCAUGAUAGAUCUAGAGGAAUUCUAGGUUUGUCUCAAAAGACUUACAUUGAUCGCAUUUUGAAAAGGUUCAAUUUGCAGUCUUGUGCUCCUGGGAAAGCUCCAAUUUCGAAAGGUGACAAAAUUUCCAAGUCUCAAUGUCCCGAUAAUGAUGUAGACAAAGCUAGAAUACAAACAGUCCCGUAUGCAUCCGUUGUGGGUAGCUUGAUGUAUGCUCAAGUCUGUACUCGCCCUGAUAUUGCUUUUCCAGUGGGAGUACUUGGAAGAUACCUGAGCAAUCCUGGAUUUGAACACUGGAAGGCUGCAAAGAAAGUACUCAGAUAUUUGCGAGCCACUAAAGAUUUUGUAUUGACAUAUCAGCAAUCUGACUAUUUGAAUAUAGUUGGAUAUUCUGAUGCUGAUUUCGCAGGGUGCUUGGAAGACAAGAAAUCCACAUCUGGUUACAUCUUUAUGAUGGCAGGAGGAGCUAUAUCAUGGAAAAGUGUCAAGCAGACACUUAUAGCUUCUUCAACAAUGGAAGCAGAAUAUGUAGCAUGCUUUGAGGCUACACGUCAUGCUUUAUGGAUGCAAAAUUUUAUCACAGGGCUAGAUUGUAUAGUGGCCGUACCGAGGCCAUUAAAGAUAUACUGUGAUAAUUCUGCUGCUGUUUCUUUUUCUCACAAUACAGGGAGUUCCUCACGUUCCAAGCACAUUGAUAUUAAAUACUUGUUUGUGAGAGAGAAAAUUGCUCUAUCUUGUGUAUCAGUAGAGUAUAUCCCUACAGAACUCAUGUUAGCCGAUCCACUUAUUAAAGCUUUAGCUCCAAAAGUAUUUAGGGAGCAUGUAACGCAUAUGGGAUUAUUUGAAUCCACUUAUAUAUGCUGAGUCAGUGGGAGUUCUGGUUUGUAUUAUGAGUUGCAACUUAAAUGAGCUUAUGUAUUACUCAUUUUGUUAUCAUGCAUGCAUGUUGUUAUGUGAUAUUGAUAUGCCAUAUAUUGUGUACACAUUUGGCUGCGUAUGGCAUUAUGUAUAGAAUGAGGAUACGAUGGUCCGAGACAUUUUGCUCAGUCUCAAUAUGGACAUUAAAGACUGAAGCAUUAUGAUUUUCUUCAGUGUGCUUUCUUGAGACAUUUUGAUUUAGUCUCAUUAUGAUUAAAAAGGAAGCUCGCUUCUCGAGACAUUUUGCUAUAGUCUCAUUAUGGUUAUAAAGAAGCGAUGGUCUAGGAGACAUAUUGUUUUCGUCUCAUUUUGCUAGACAUCUGGACUUUAUGGAAAUGAGCAUGUUGAUCACAUUGUCAUGUUAUUUCCAUAAUUAUACUUGUAUACUACUACAUGGUCACGUGUUUAUAAGUGUCUUGUUAUAUGGAGCAUCCUGUCGGUGCACAUAUGAUUUGAUAUUUAUGGCACAUUUUGGACUUGUUUAUGUUCUGGGUGAUUGCUUGUAUUUGACCUUUUGUUAUAGUCACAUAUUGAUUAAUUCGGUUGUUUUCAAAAUAUUAUUUUAUUUUAAAUUUAUCAUUGGAGUGAUUUCUGUCGUCCAAGUGGGAGAUUGUUAGAUUUAUUUCUCAUAUUAUGUGGACUGACAUAAAUCAUUCUAAUUGUUUUCUAUAUUUUACCGAAUUAAUACGUGACUAUUGUCAAAUAUUAUGGAGCAAUUUUGACAUACCUUGUACAGUAGUAUAUUAUGGACAAGUAUAUCCUUAAUUGUGUUAUUUUCGCCCAUAAUGGGAUGGGCAAUUUUGUACUAACACAUGAGGGGUCCCUGCGCUCAACCACUGUAUUUAAGUAACUUCAGCCCAUUGGAAGUUAACUGUUCAAGAAAUCUGUGGCAUGAGUGCAGUGCAUCUCUCUCUCCCGUUUGUCUCCCGUGUGUGUGCACAGUAAAUUUUGAAGCAAGCCGAUCCUUGAGCUAAGGAAAAGAAAGCGGAAUUCAGAAGCUAAACCGAAGCAGCAGCAACUCUGUUGAAGCUCCAUAACAAGCUGCAAGCUUGGAUUCAUGGGAGAUCGUGGUAAAUUUCGAAAUUUACUACAAUAUGUGUUUAAUUUGGAAAUGCACGAUUAAAGGGCAUAAAGUAUGUUUUUGUUUCAUCAAUUGGUAUCAGAGCCCAUGGUUAUGCGUUUCCUUGUAAACCAUAGUUGUUUUGUUGAAGAAAUCUCACUCAUGGAAUUUUUUUUUUUAUUUUCGGAUUUUUCGAAUUCUUCGAAUUUGGACAUAUUUCCUCAAACGGUUGUUAAAUAAUGCAUGAGUGAUGAUUUUGGAGCAAAGAUAUAAUUUUUUCGUGUUUUUUGGUGGCCAAAAUCGGGUUGGUAUGGAUGUGGAUGCUGUAAAUGUACUGUACAAUACUGUAGCAACAGCCCGAGGUUGAAGAUGAUGGGACAAUUUCAUUUGGAUCCCUAAAUUUUGUGAAUUGUCACUAUGGCCCAAAAUCUUUGCAAACUUUUCGAAAAGGUCCUUGACCGAGGGUCAACUAUGUAAAAGAUAAGUUGGUCCCUUGAAUUUUGGGAAAUUAUAGUAUGGCCCAACAGUUUAUUUUAUUUUAUUUACAGUUUGGGCCAAAAGUUUUAAUAGUUAAAACAGUAAACAUAAUUCUGAAAAUUUUUCAUUUUAGUCCAAAAUCCUUUCAAUUUUGGCGAUUUUUCAGAAUUUUAAAUUUUAAAAUAAUCCAUCAGUUAUUGAAUCUUAUGGGCAUAUCAUUUAUAUAUUUUAUUGAGGCAUGUAGAUAUUUUAUUUGAUUUAAUAUCUUGUUAAUUUCAUUUGACAAAAUUUAUUUAGCCUCAAUUUUGUUAAUAUACGAAAUAUAUAUAUGAUGCAAAACUACAAUUUAGAGUGAUUGUGUAUCUACUUAUCGUAGGACCAAUCAUGAUAAAUUAUUUGGUGGUUUGCAAUUGAUUGUCCAUUUACAAUUAUGAAUUAUGGAUUAUGUGAUGGAUUGUUAUUGUUUUGACCAAGAUCCAUACGGGUGAUGAUACUGCCCUGUCGGCAAAUCACUACUUGGUACUUGGUAGGAUGCUUGGGAAGAUAAAGAGAUUUGUUGAGUAUUUUCUACUGAGUGGCUUAAUUACCCUGUCGGUAAUAGGUCAAUGUUGGUGUUAUAUUCAACUUGUCUGCUUUAUCUUUAGGUUAGUGCAUUCCUAUAUUGUUAAAGGAUGCCUAACAUAUUGUGUUGCUAUUGGAGAAACUUAGAAUGAGGAGCAAUUGAUUAUAGCAUGAUUUUAAUUUUUGCAUGCUUGAUAAUUCUUUUGUUAUUGCUUCCUCAGCUCUAGAUAUUCUCUCCUUUCUCCAAGUAGCCUCCCUCAAGAAUUUAACUGGGACAAAUUUUGAGGACUGGCGUGAGUCCAUUUUGUUUUAUUUGUCUACACUGAAUAGAGACUUGGCAUUAAGAGUUGAUGAACCAGCCAAGCCCACAGAUAAGAGCACUGCUGCUGAAAAAGCAGAGUGGGCAGCUUGGGAUGAAUCCAAUAGACACUGUCUGGAUACAAUGAAAUACACCAUUGAUAGAACCACUAGAGAUAGCAUCCCUGCAUGUGAUAAGGCCAAAGAUUACUUGGCAGCUGUGGGAAGAACCUUUAAGAAGGUAGAUAAGGCAGAAAAGGGUAACUAUCUGAGGCUGCUUGCUAAUACCCAGUAUGAUGGUGUUUCUGGGGUCAGAGAACACAUCCUUAAGAUGACUAGUUACCAUAAGAAGCUGAAGGACAUGGAUGUCACUUUGCCUGAUGACUACCUGGUCUUCCAAAUCCUUGAAUCUCUUCCACCACAAUUUGGCAAUUUGAGAAGCCAAUACAAUACUCAGAGAGACACUUGGAAUAUCACUGAGUUGACUGCUUAUGUGGUUCAGGAAGAGGAAUCAUUGAAGAAGGGGAAAUCUCACACUGUCAUGGUGGCAACUACUCAAGAGAGUGGAAGUGUGAAGAAAGGCUCUUCAAAGGGCAGCAAUAAGUUUUUUAAGAAGAAAAAGUUUGGCAAGAAAACUUCACGUGGUACUUCUUCUACCACUUCUGGUUCCACUUCUGAGAGCUUUAAGGGAAAGUGCCACUUUUGUAAGAAACCUGGGCACAAGAGAGCUGACUGCAGGGGAUUCAAAGCAUGGUUGGAAAAGAAAGGUAUUCCUGUAGCCUUUGUAGGCUUUGAAUCUAAUCUUAUUGAUGUUCCUUCUGAUACUUGGUGGUUGGAUACUGGUGCAACCAUUAAUAUAACGAAUUCCUUACAGGAAUUCAGAAGCAGGAGGGAGCCCAAUGAAGGGGAGUUGAUAGUUCACAUGGGCAAUGGAGUGACAGCCAAAGUUGAAAGCAUAGGAGUUGUCAGACUACAUCUAGCCACAGGCCAUGUUUUGGAUCUAUUAGAUACAGCUUAUAUUCCUUCUAUUAGGAGAAACUUGAUAUCUGUAUCUAUUUUGGAUAGAUGUGGCUAUACUUUUCAUUUUGGUGAUAGAAAAGUUUACUUAUUCCGCAAUUCAGAGUUAGUUGGUUCUGGCACUCUAUAUGAUGGCUUGUAUAUGAUUGAUUUAUUUUCUCGUGCUGUUGAAUCAUCAUCCAAUGCUCAUGUUAUGCAUGUUGUUAGCUCUAAUCGUGUUAGGGUUGAUGAAAAUUCCUCUAUGUUGUGGCAUAAACGGUUAGGUCACAUUUCUAAACAGAGGAUGGAGAGGCUUAUUAAAGAUAGCAUUCUACAUAAGUUGGAUUUCUCUGAUUUUGGCACUUGUGUUGAUUGUGUCAAAGGCAAACUUACUGCCAAAACCAGAAAAGAGAGAACUCAGAGGAGUCAACAGGUGCUGGAGUUGGUACAUACAGACAUUUGUGGGCCAUUUACUCCUAUUGCCAUUGGAGGUUAUAAGUACUUCAUCACGUUCAACGAUGACUUUUCUCGUUAUGGUCAUGUUGAACUUCUUGCUGAAAAGUCUAAAUCCUUAUCUGUGUUUCAAGCCUUUAAGGCUAAUGUUGAGCUCCAAAAGGGCAAGCAAAUUAAAGCAGUAAGGUCAGACAGAGGUGGUGAGUACUAUGGGCGAUAUGAUGAAACUGGGCGUAAUCCUGGACCUUUUGCUAAAUUUCUUCAGGAAUGUGGAAUAGAAGCCCAGUAUACAAUGCUCGGGACUCCUGAACAUAAUGGAAUUGCAGAAAGGAGAAAUCGUACCCUUCUUGACAUGGUGCGGUGUAUGCUGAGUAACUCCACCUUACCAGAUUUUCUGUGGGGUGAAGCCUUAAGAACUGCAGCUUACAUUUUGAAUCAGGUACCUAGUAAAUCGGUGCCCAAAAGUCCUUAUGAGUUGUGGUCAGGAAAGAGACCGAGUCUUCGUCAUUUUCAUGUAUGGGGAUGCAGAGCAGAAGUGAGGCCCUAUAAUCCACAAUCAAGGAAACUUGAUCCGAAAACAAUUAGUGGUCAUUUUAUUGGCUAUUGUAUCGGCUCAAGGGGUUCUAGAUUUUAUUGACCUUCCCACACUACUAGAAUCAUUGAGUCUGAUCGUGCCAUUUAUUUUGAGGAUGAUCACAAUGGUGGGAGUUCUGAGCCUCGCAGUCUGACAUUGAGAGAAGAACGUGUGGUUUUGCCUAUUCCAUCUUUUCCGACUUCUGCGAUGGGAUUACCACAUAUUGAUGAUUCUUCUGUUGAUCCUAAACUUCAUCAUAAUAUGGAGCCUAUGAUUGUAGAGGAUGAUGGUACUGAUGUGCCAUUGAGGAGAUCAGAGAGGAUCAGGAGACCUGCAAUUUCUGAUGAUUAUGUUGUUUACUUGCAGGAGCAUGAUUUUGAUGCUGACUCUUCAUCUGAUCCUAUUACCUUUCAAGAGGCCAUCAGUUGUUCAGAAUCAUCAUCUUGGAUACAUGCGAUGCAUGAUGAGAUGGCAUCUAUGUAUCAUAAUGAGGUUUGGGAUUUAGUUGAGUUACCAGAUGGAUGCAGACCAAUUGGUUGCAAAUGGGUUUUCAAAACCAAAAGAGAUGCCAGAGGUCAGGUAGAGAGGUAUAAGGCCAGGCUUGUGGCUAAGGGUUUCAGUCAAAGAGAAGGCAUUGAUUACACUGAAACCUACUCUCCUGUUUCUACCAAAGACUCUUUUCGUAUUAUCAUGGCAUUGGUAGCUCAUUUCAAUUUAGAAUUGCAUCAGAUGGAUGUGAAGACAGCUUUUCUUAAUGGGAGCUUGUCUGAAGAUGUAUACAUGGUGCAACCUGAUGGUUUUGUUGAGUCUGGUAUAGAAAACAUGGUGUGUAAGCUUAAAAGGUCCAUUUAUGGACUUAAGCAAGCAUCCAGACAGUGGUAUUUGAAAUUUCACGAUAUUGUCACCUCUUAUGGGUUCCAGGAGAAUGCCGUUGAUCAGUGUAUAUACUUGAGAGUCAGUGGGAGCAAGUAUAUCAUUUUGGUGCUUUAUGUGGAUGAUAUCUUGCUCGCUGCUAAUGACAGUAAUUUGUUACUUGAGACAAAGCAAAUGUUGUCAUGCAGCUUUGAUAUGAAGGAUCUUGGUGAAGCCCAUUAUGUAUUAGGGAUAGAGAUUCUUCAUGAUAGAUCUAGAGGAAUUCUAGGUUUGUCUCAAAAGACUUACAUUGAUCGCAUUUUGAAAAGGUUCAAUUUGCAGUCUUGUGCUCCUGGGAAAGCUCCAAUUUCGAAAGGUGACAAAAUUUCCAAGUCUCAAUGUCCCGAUAAUGAUGUAGACAAAGCUAGAAUACAAACAGUCCCGUAUGCAUCCGUUGUGGGUAGCUUGAUGUAUGCUCAAGUCUGUACUCGCCCUGAUAUUGCUUUUCCAGUGGGAGUACUUGGAAGAUACCUGAGCAAUCCUGGAUUUGAACACUGGAAGGCUGCAAAGAAAGUACUCAGAUAUUUGCGAGCCACUAAAGAUUUUGUAUUGACAUAUCAGCAAUCUGACUAUUUGAAUAUAGUUGGAUAUUCUGAUGCUGAUUUCGCAGGGUGCUUGGAAGACAAGAAAUCCACAUCUGGUUACAUCUUUAUGAUGGCAGGAGGAGCUAUAUCAUGGAAAAGUGUCAAGCAGACACUUAUAGCUUCUUCAACAAUGGAAGCAGAAUAUGUAGCAUGCUUUGAGGCUACACGUCAUGCUUUAUGGAUGCAAAAUUUUAUCACAGGGCUAGAUUGUAUAGUGGCCGUACCGAGGCCAUUAAAGAUAUACUGUGAUAAUUCUGCUGCUGUUUCUUUUUCUCACAAUACAGGGAGUUCCUCACGUUCCAAGCACAUUGAUAUUAAAUACUUGUUUGUGAGAGAGAAAAUUGCUCUAUCUUGUGUAUCAGUAGAGUAUAUCCCUACAGAACUCAUGUUAGCCGAUCCACUUAUUAAAGCUUUAGCUCCAAAAGUAUUUAGGGAGCAUGUAACGCAUAUGGGAUUAUUUGAAUCCACUUAUAUAUGCUGAGUCAGUGGGAGUUCUGGUUUGUAUUAUGAGUUGCAACUUAAAUGAGCUUAUGUAUUACUCAUUUUGUUAUCAUGCAUGCAUGUUGUUAUGUGAUAUUGAUAUGCCAUAUAUUGUGUACACAUUUGGCUGCGUAUGGCAUUAUGUAUAGAAUGAGGAUACGAUGGUCCGAGACAUUUUGCUCAGUCUCAAUAUGGACAUUAAAGACUGAAGCAUUAUGAUUUUCUUCAGUGUGCUUUCUUGAGACAUUUUGAUUUAGUCUCAUUAUGAUUAAAAAGGAAGCUCGCUUCUCGAGACAUUUUGCUAUAGUCUCAUUAUGGUUAUAAAGAAGCGAUGGUCUAGGAGACAUAUUGUUUUCGUCUCAUUUUGCUAGACAUCUGGACUUUAUGGAAAUGAGCAUGUUGAUCACAUUGUCAUGUUAUUUCCAUAAUUAUACUUGUAUACUACUACAUGGUCACGUGUUUAUAAGUGUCUUGUUAUAUGGAGCAUCCUGUCGGUGCACAUAUGAUUUGAUAUUUAUGGCACAUUUUGGACUUGUUUAUGUUCUGGGUGAUUGCUUGUAUUUGACCUUUUGUUAUAGUCACAUAUUGAUUAAUUCGGUUGUUUUCAAAAUAUUAUUUUAUUUUAAAUUUAUCAUUGGAGUGAUUUCUGUCGUCCAAGUGGGAGAUUGUUAGAUUUAUUUCUCAUAUUAUGUGGACUGACAUAAAUCAUUCUAAUUGUUUUCUAUAUUUUACCGAAUUAAUACGUGACUAUUGUCAAAUAUUAUGGAGCAAUUUUGACAUACCUUGUACAGUAGUAUAUUAUGGACAAGUAUAUCCUUAAUUGUGUUAUUUUCGCCCAUAAUGGGAUGGGCAAUUUUGUACUAACACAUGAGGGGUCCCUGCGCUCAACCACUGUAUUUAAGUAACUUCAGCCCAUUGGAAGUUAACUGUUCAAGAAAUCUGUGGCAUGAGUGCAGUGCAUCUCUCUCUCCCGUUUGUCUCCCGUGUGUGUGCACAGUAAAUUUUGAAGCAAGCCGAUCCUUGAGCUAAGGAAAAGAAAGCGGAAUUCAGAAGCUAAACCGAAGCAGCAGCAACUCUGUUGAAGCUCCAUAACAAGCUGCAAGCUUGGAUUCAUGGGAGAUCGUGGUAAAUUUCGAAAUUUACUACAAUAUGUGUUUAAUUUGGAAAUGCACGAUUAAAGGGCAUAAAGUGUGUUUUUGUUUCAUCAGGGAACUCUCAAAACAAAAUACUCAAAUUAAAUUAAAUUAGACCAAAAGACGCUCAAUGACGCAAAAUCUGCCCAUAAAAGCCUGAACGAAUCAUGAAAAGUGCAUUCCAUAUUGACAGUAAACCAAGUGACCCAUUCUAAACAAUUGAGAUGAAAUUGUGAAACAACCCACGAGAUCAAAUAAAUAAAAUAAGAAUUAAUUACCAGCUGGGACUUUCUUCUUCAAAUUCGUAACUCCAAGUCAUAAGAAGCCAAUGAAAUUAGUCGUAAUCCACAGAGUAUGACGACGACCCCGCCAACAGCUGAAAAUAAAAUUCUUAUUCAUCAAUUUAAACUAACUUUAUAACAAAUAUCUUAUCGAUAUUUUAUUUAAAAAGAAAAAGCAAAUUUUGUAAAAUUUUUCCAUGGGAGAUAGAGAGUAACACGUAUAUCCGUACCUUCUCAGCAUGUAAUUGUUGUAUGGUCGUGUUAAGAUCAUUACUAGCCCAACGCCGUUGAUUCGAUGUCUCUCCAUACCAGACGUUUACUCUUGGAGGCGUGCUUGAUUCUCCUCUAGUGAAAAUCUUCAAUUUGGGACAACCAAUCACAGAUAGAUCUUGCAAAGAUGGGAAUUUGAAGGUGUAAUUGGCAGAGCAGAAACUUGUGAGGCUGUCUAAAUCACGCAGUUCCAACCUCUUCAAUUUGCGGAAAACAAUCUCUUCUUUUUCAACCCCGUCUUUGUCAUUUAUUACCACCUCUGUCAUUGCUCUGCAUCCGUAUACACAAAGUGAUACGAGUCGCACUAGAGUUUUUGCUGUGGAGGAUGUUACUAAGUGUAUCAAUUUCUUGCAAUCGAAAGCUACAAGUUUUGUUAGGUUCCCAAAAGAUACCGAUGAUGUUGGCAAUAGAAUUAACAGACUUUGACAAUGAUAUACUCUUAGAAUUUCAAGAUACUGAAAAAUGGGGCCAAAUUUGGAGUCUUGUUUGCACAGCUGCUUCAGAUGAUAGUGCCGGUACAGCUCUAAUUCUUUUAUCAUUGCCAACUUCCCCACAUGUUUCUCUAAGCAUCCUUCCAUCGAAAAUACCUCUUCGUGGAAUGAAAAAUAACACAGUACGAGCAUUUCGAGAUUGUGAAAUCUCUCCAGUACAUUCCAGAUUGGAAAACAAGCUGAGUCAUCAGCAGCAAUCCCUAGAUCUCUAAGACUGCCAAAAAGGUGUUGUGGGAAAUCGGCCUGCAAAAUCAUCUUCACGUCUUUUCCGCAUAGUGAUAGUUCCGUCAAGUUGGGUAAGAUCUGAUCAUCAUCAAUCAUAAUAACUAAUAAGGUCAAUUGAUGUUUUCUCAAAUGAUUUUGAGUAAUCCAAUCAUAAGCAGUGAGUUUAUAGUAUUUGUUUUAUAUUAUAUUUUAAAAAAAAUUGUAUUAUUGAUAAAAUUUAUUAAAUGAUUUUUUAUAUGUUAAUUUUAGAGGUAAAAAAGAAAUUAGGGAAAAAAGGUUGAUUUAUACUGACUCGAAAUUAUUUUAUUGCACAAUAAUAAAUUACUAAUUUAUUUUGUAAGUUCUUCUAUAUGGAAAGACUCAAGAUUCUUUUACAAAUGCUAUACCUAAAAAAGUUUAUAUAAUCAUUAAUCUACCACAUUGAUCCCUUAGUCUAGACUAGCAAAGAUUAUUGUAUAAUAAAAGUUUUCAAAUUUAUUGAGCAUUAAUUUAUCAAAGUUAAAAAUAAGCUAUAGAUAAAAAAUCUAGAAAAUGGCUUCAUACCUUUUCCAACGGCAAUAGGGGCUGUUGUGCAGGAAUACCAAGUUGAUCAUUCCCAUUAUUCUGCGAUAAAUCUGCCGCGAAUAUCUUUAAUCUGUCACAACGAUACACUAAAAGAAUUUCUAGGGCGGGCCAUUCCGAAGUAUGCAUUCCAGGGUACAAACAUCUAAGUUUUGGUAGAUCAUGGAGUAUCAAAGUGGUGAGCUGUGGAAAGACAAAAUAAGGGAUCACUUGAUCUGCUCUGUUUUCAGAAAUGAUCUCCUGUAAAUCCUCACAGGAGCGUAUUUCUAGGCGUUGGAGCUGCUUAAGGCUUCCGAUCAUAGACGCUGAAAAUAUGUAUUUUAAUUUGUGACAACCCCACACAAUCAAUCGUGUUAAACUUUGAAAGUGAGGAAACACUGCAGCUGGAAUUUGAUUGUAGUGCCAAAUCUUGUCGACAUUAAUUUCAGAUAUCUCCAAAGCCUCCAAGUUAGGCAACGCAACCUAAAAAGAUAAGAAUUUCUUGUUGAAAAUUUCUCUUUGAUUACAAAUUAAUGCAAGUCAGAAUCAAUUUCCAACUGACAGCUGAGUAUGCAUUCUAAUUCAUACUACUUGUUAAGAGCUCAAUUAGUGAGUGCGUGAGAUUAUUUUUUUCCCCAUUGUUUUCAUUUUCUUUCAAUUCUCUAAAUGAUUUAAUUAUUUUCCACGUUUGACAUAAGAGAACGCAUGAUAGAAUAAACUCUGUUAUAUAUAUAUAUGAAUAAAAUGUUAGCCUACGCACCUUCUCAUUGAAAAGCAAAGUUGAAAUAUCCAAAGUGAUUUCGCUGGAGCAAUACAUAGUCGUCGAUUCCUCUUGCGACACUUGUCUGUUCGGUGAUGCUGAAGGAGUCUCCACCUCACGGCAAAAACUUGUAACCUCUGGAAGAUUCCCCAGACUCAAAGAUCUUAAUUGAGCAAACUCUAUCUUCUCAAUUGCAUUAUCAACUUCUUUCCCAAUUGCAAAAAUCUCUUUCAUCUUGCUGCAAUUAAUAACUGCAAUUCUCUCAAGUCUUGGAAGGCAUUUUGUAGUAGAGAGCCAAAAGAUAUUACUCAACUUAUCACAAUUAUAUACUUCUAUGUUUUUUGAGUUCGUUGAAAGACUCUACUUUGAGCCGAUCAAUACAUAUCCUCUCCAUGUUGAUCAAAUUGUGAAGGGCAAGUGACUCCAAAAGAGGAAAGGCAUCACAAGCGACCAUCUCCCUUGAAUCGACGAUACAAAAGAAGUCAGGAUUAUUUUGAACCCAGAGGACCUUCAAUUGUGAAAAGCCCUCCGUGUCCAAAUUGAAAAGAACAUUCUCGAUGCCUUGCAGCUUGUCCAACCGUAAGUAUUGAACGUUAUUGAUGCCUUGCAAUUUCAUGGAGCAAAUGUCCAUAAAAUCAAGCUUGAGCUUCAAUGCUCUUGAAAUCUUGCGAUUACUGUCGAUCAAAAAGUGCAGCUGACUUUUAAACCAAUGUUGUCCAAAAAGCAUGGGAUGCAUGAAUAACCCAUUUCCAAUAUGUAUUUUGAACCUUUCGAGCUUUCUGGCCAAAAGCCUUCUGGUAACAUACUCUCAUUUUUAACAUCAAUUUCUAGAGUAGUUAGCCGAGGUAAAUGCAUCAAUUCGUCAAGGCUAGCAUUACUUCUUUUGCUGUUGGCUCUUUCAACCUCCCAUUCAAUGAAGCAAUUACCAUAUACAAUUCUUCUAAUCGGAUUAAGCUUGAUAUGACAUUUGGGGCAAUAACUUUCAGACGGAAACAGUGUUAAAUCUAACAGCCUUAGCUUAGUCAGUUGACCCAGUGCUUUAGGCAACUCUACAAUAUCAGAUUGCAAAAAGCUAAGGAUUUCUAGAUUUUCCAACUUUCCAAUAAUGGCUAUGUCUAUGCCUCCGAAAAUGCUUUGAUUAAGACAAAGUGUCUGAAGAUUUACUAGAAGACCAAUUGAAGAUGGCAAUGACAAUAACCGCAUUCUAGUCAAAUCCAAAACCCGAAGCUUUUUCGUCCUUUUGAAGAAGUUCUCGGGAAUAUUAGGCACAGCAAAAGAGUUCUUGGGAGACCAUGAAUAGAAGUUCAAGUUGUAGAGAUUCCGACCCUUCAGGAAUGUCAUUAACAAUACUAUCUUUUAAAAGAAAUUGCAAAAUAUUUUUUAAUUCAUCUGCAUUUUGGCCAUUUCAAUCAUCCUCAUUUUCACCACAAAUGCAUUCAUGUCACGAAAUGCAAUUGAAAUGGCAACAUCGCGAACAACAUCGUGCAUAGAAAUGUAUUUACUGCCACCAUCCUCAAGCAACAAACAAGAGUCUCUUAGUUGAUGGACCCAUGCAUGUAAUUUGUUAUGUGCAUCUUCUAGCUUAUGGACACUUUUAAAUACACCCAAGCCCAUGCUGUAUUUGAACAAAUCCAUAAUUGGUGCUGGCGUAAUAAGACUACACAGUAAAAAAGUUUUCUUGAGUUGCUCACCUCUUAAGUACUUGUAACUCAGCUCAAUUGUUGAGUAUGCCUCUGCUGGUACUCCUUCGUCGAAGCUUGCCUCUGAAGGCGUUUUGGAGUUCUUGCAAGGCAUUCUUCCACACAGGCAGCUCUUUUUUUCUCAGUGCCUUUGCUACUGUGGUUAGGGCAAUAGGCAAACCUCCGCAUGCCUUGGCUACACUUGUUGCUGUAGAUUUUAACUCACGAUUUUCAACAUAAUCACCAGCCAUUAUCUUGAACAAUCUCCAGGCUUCUUGUUCAUUUAAAAUGCCAAUCGAGAAGUUUUUUUCAGAUCCCAUCCUUAACAGCACAUCAAGAUCUCUUGUUGUGAAUAAUAAUUUACAUCCUCUGUGCUCAACUCCAAAAGGAAUGCCAAUAGUCCCCAAAUCAAGAGGAUUCCAGAUGUUAUCGAGAAUCACAAGGAUCUUCUUCUCAUUCUUCAAUCUUUUCAUAUAGUCUACUAGCUCUUCUAGACUCAGCUUCCUCGGACAACUCUAGGCCUAACGUUUCCGCAAUUUCCUCUUGGAUCUUUCUUAUGUCUGGACAUUGGGUAACCUCCGAAAAAACCACCAUAUCGUAAAGCUUGUCUUCAAUGGCUCGCCUUGCAAACUCCUUCACCAGUGUCGUCUUUCCAAUGCCGCCCAUGCCGUACACCCCAAUGAUGCUGACAUCAACAUCGAUCAAAUGCAUUUUGUAUGGCCUUCAAAGUAGAAAGUCUUGAUUCGAAGGCUUCGUAGCCUUUGUGAGACUUGAGCCAUAUAUCCUCCGGGAAUGGUACGGUAGAAAUUCCAUCAACAAAUCUCCCAGCUUCUUCUCGGAGUUUAACAAUGGCCUUCACCUUUGUUUCUGCUUUCUUGCUAAGCUGAUAGCGGGUCUUCAAAUUAGGACACAAGCCCAUGAGACAUCGUUUAUUUGUUGUCUUCUCAUCAUCAAUGAAUUUGGCUGCCUGCUCAAUGAUGAUGUUCGCACUAACCAGCCACUUCUCAACCUUCUCUUCAAUAUUUUCCCCUUUUCUUUCAGCCUCAGAAACCCUGUGCUGAAUGCUUCUCCUUUCAUCCUUGAGCUUGUCUAUUUCUGCCUUGAGUUUCUCAACGUUGGCUUUAUAGUUACGCAAAUAACCAAGUCGGCGUUCUGUUGAGGAGCCAAGCAUUUCACAAAUUCUAAAACAAUAGUAACAAUGCUUUCCACCAUCCUGGAUCCCUUUUCUUUUUUUUCGAAGUUUCUGACAAGAAAAUAAACAAUGAGCGAAACACAGAGAGAGUGAGGAGAAAAAGAAAAAGAAACGCAAAGAUGGACAGUUUAUCUGGUUGUGGAAGCGGAGAAAUGAAGAAAUCGUAAUAGCUGUUAUGGAUCUGCUGAGAAGAUGGAAACAAGGAAAAGGUUUCUAGUUCAACAACUGGAUUGCGAGCGGAGAGACUAAUUAACAAAGACUGGAGAUUACAACAAAGCAGAUGCCAAGAGAAAAGUUGAUCCAGUGAAAUUCAAGAAGUUGACAGCAAAAGGGAGCAAAGAUUAAUAACAAAACAGCAGUGACUACAAUGAACAAAAGCAUAUGCGUUUCUUGAUUGAGAAUGAGUGCAAAGAAUGAUCCUUAAUCAAUAAAAUAUCUAACAAUAUCUUCACCGAAAGUUUGAGACAUGUGAUCCUUAUUCCACUUCGUCAAUUACACUCCAGACCAAUGCUGCCGUCAUUAUCGAACGGUCGAUAUCCAACACUUGCACGAAGAUUCCAAGAAGUUGCGUGGCUGCCGACUUUUAGAUGCAAAGCCUCAUUGUGUCGAUGUUACACGAAAGAGAGCAGUCCGGGUAAUUGCCAAAACUUAGAACUAAACAGUAGCUUAGUCAGAAAAUCAAACGCCCAGUACCGGUAAAAUGACCGAUAAAAUAUAAAAAAAACAAAAAUUUUAAAGUUUUACUUCAUUGCUUUUUUAAUCUUAUUACUAUUUCUCCUUGCACUUCUAAAGAAACCAAAGCUUUAAAAGAAAUCAGCCAAAUCACGAAGAUUGAAAACUAAAUCUAUGGUUUUAGAUUUUUAUUUUAUUUUUUUAGAUAAUAGAUAUUGUUGAGUAAUGAAAAGUACCAGCUCAGCUAUCCCCGCUUCCCUCACCUUGGGGCGAAUCCCCAGAUGAAUGGCACAAGCAGAUUCCUGGUAAUACAUCCUGUACGGGGCAUAUGCCAACUAGAAACGAGUACCGACCAGAUGUACAUACCGACCAAGUACUCAUUAUUCAAAGAAAGAGGACACGAACUCAACAAACUCACGACAAUUUUGUUAUGCCCCCAAACCGUUGGGGAGAACAUGACGCCCCACGUUUACCCACGAUUCGGUGGUUGGAGACCCAUGAAGGUUUGUCAUCACCCGAAAAUGAGGGGCAUGAAUAAGACUCAGAAAACAGGGGAUGAUUGCCUAUAAAAGGCCAAGAAAUCGAUGAAAAAUGGGAGACACAAAUUGAGAGUAAAGGGGAAACUCUGUCAAAUUAUAAUCAGAAAUUCAUAUAUCCAAAUCCUUGAUACAUUUGGUAUUGAGAAUAUUGCAACUAAUAUGUACAACACAAAUCAUUCACUUUUCUCGUAAACACCUUGUACUAACUUAAGUAUCGAAGGGUUUAUGCCCAAAAAACCAUCGGCGUCUCUGAUUUGUUUCUGUGAACGCAGGCCUGGAAGGAAGAAGACGGGUGAUUUGGGUCCCAGAAGCUCGGGAAAUUGCUGAAGCUAAUGGAUCGCAGCCUCUGUUCCUUUGCCAAUACAAGCGUUGGUGAACCAAUCUGGUCGGUCCAAAGGCGACUAGAUUUCAGCAUCAACAGAUAUUAUUUUGAUGAAUUUUUUAAUAUUAGAAUAAUGUUAGGAAUUCCAAUAAUAAAAUUCUAACUUGAGACCCAAUUGUUAUGUGUUAUUUUUUUAUUGAAUAAUGAAUUUCACAACUAAUAAAAUUUAUAUUUCCAUCAUCUAAUAAAUGACUACCAUAUCAGUUGGGACUCAAUUAUUAGGAUCCUUAACAUUGCUCUUAGUAUUAAAUUGGACAUCUUAGCUAAAUCAGAUUAAAAAUCAAAUUAGUUUUUAAGCUUUUAUUCAACAUCUCUUUUUUUUUUUUUGUCUAUUGGAAGUGAACGAAAUAAAAAUACAACAGGGUCAACGACUGGGCAAUUGGUAGUCAAGUAGAAGCAAAUCAAGGCUAAAUGGGAAAGAGAAAUGAUAUUUGUGCAAAAUAAGGAGAAAAUCAGUGUAACAGAAGAGAAUCAAAGUGCUUUUGAGAUAAAAAAUUGAAACAAGAAAAGGGUCGCUUGAUCCAAUGAAAAUGCAAAGAGCUGAUGGCAAAAGGGAACAAAGUUAAAUAAGAAAACAGCUAGCGCUAGCAGCGACCACAAUAAACAGAAAAUUUGAGAUGGAUUUACAAUAUUUCUGCCUUUCUUUAUGCUUUAAAAAAUAUUGCUCUAUCAAAAAAAAUAUUGAACAUUUUUAUUAUUGGAGUCACAAAUGACCUACACAAUAUAGCAAGUGACUAGGAAUAAAUAAGAAUAUAUAACUCUCUCUAAUUCUCACUCUGGCUUUUAAUUGUCACUCAAAACCCAGAAUUCAUCCUUAAAGUGUAGGCAAAUCAAGGAUGACACCGUUUGGUUGUCAUACGUGCCUUUUAGUUUUCGGAUGACAUGGCGUACACUUCUUCUGUAAACCCAACAAGACAUGUCGUACUCUUUUGUUUUGAGAUUCUAUUUCAAACUUUUCAUGCUAUGAAUGAAAGAUAAACUCCAAUCAUCAAAAUAUUUAGUGUUUGUUUGGUAAUGUAAUGUCAUAGUUGUGAAUUGAAAUUAUUUCUAUAAAAUAAAAGGAUUUGGGUCAUUGUUUGUUAUUUUCUGACAACAUUUAUUAAAUAUUAAAAAAUAAAUUUAUAUUUAUUAGGUAUUAAAAAUAAAUAAACAAACAAAAAUAAAAGUAAAAGUUUAUACAUUACGUAAAAUAAUGACAAUAUCAAUAUUUCGCACUCUAUAAUUGAGUGAUGUGUUGUCCAACUGGCAUACAUUGGUCCCAAACGGAGACUUAAAUAUCAAAGUCCAAAGUUAUUAUGAUGAUGACUUAUAAUCGCCAAACUUGACAUACGGGUAAUCAUGCAUUAUAAGGUGCUAAUUUCUUCCGAUCGGAACCUUAUUUUUCAUUUACAAAUAAAUAAAUGAUGUGACUUCACGGUUGGCGGGGUCCUUUGUGUCAUUUGGGCAUUUCACUAAAUGAUUGAUUGUAGCAGGAAGAUUCCUGGAAGUUGCCAUUUGCCAAUGCUACUAACAUUUUCAAACUUGGAAAACCCUUCAAUCAAUCUUUUAGUGGUAGGCUCUGGUAACUUGGUUUGAUUAUGACGUAUAAUUAUUUGAUAAUAAAGUUAGAGGAUGUAUUAAUAUAAAAUUUGUUUAUUGGUGUUGAAGUUAAUUAUCUCAUUAAUAAUAGUAUAAAAAGUUAAUUACUAAGAAACACAUAGCAAUAGUUAAUUGGUGUCAUAUUAUUGGGAUUCUGGGAUAUAAUUUUAUAUCAUAACUUUGUAAGUGUAUACUUACUCAUCAAACUAAUAAAAUUAUUUAAAAAUUUCAGUUGGAAAAAAUAAAUUAUAUUAUUUUCAUUUCAAAUAAUCUAUAAGUUAACUCAAAACAUAAUCAAGCUGAGAAUUAAAAUAAUGCUACUGUAUGAGAGGAUUUUUAUUUUUUCCCGAAGUUUCACUAGGAAAUUAUUGAUACAUAGCUUUAUUCGGAUCAUCUCAGUUCAAACGACAAAUAAUUGAAAGACUAAGCUAAAUAGACCAGCCAACAACUUUGUACAAGAGAGUUCAAAAAUUAAGGUCAUGGUAUUAAGGUGUUCUAUCUUGAAAAGUAUAGAGUAGUAAUAAAAUAAAAACUAAUAGUUUUUGGUAAGAUAUGACAUUUAAAUAAUAAUUUUCACAAAAAUACAAGGAAUAUUUAUAAAUUACUUUUAUAGUGAGGGGACCCUCACUCUGUUAAAGUGAAAAUAUCAAUAAUAUACAAAAGACAUAUAUUUUAACACAUUAAAAAUUGUAUUUUUUUAUCUAUUGGUGUAUUGAAAUAUGUGUUAUUUAGUUUGUUAGUGAUAUCAUUACUUUGUUAAAAUGAGAAUGUCGUUACUAGAGAAUCAUUAUGUAUACAUAUAUAAAGUGCUUCUGUCCAAGACCUAGACUUUAUUAAAAUUUGAGAAAGCAAAUAUAUUUUAUAUGGUAUAAUAGUGUAAUAACAUCACACUAUUAUAUCAUAUAGAGUAAUAGUUUUUCGAACUUUAAUAAAAUUCAAGAUUAUAGAAUGAAUGAUUUUUAUAUAUUAUAAAUUUUUUUAUCAUAAAUGGAGGACAAAAUUAACAUAUUUUCAAAUUAUAAUAAGCAUUUAUCAAAUAAUUUAACAUUGCAAUUUCUCCUAACUAGUAUAGUAAAUAAUACGACCUAGGAGAUACAUUCAAAGCAUUUCAUAAGUUAGUUGUUAAUAAUAAAUUAUAUAUGCAGCUCCAAUCAUCAUUGUACGGUGAGUAAUUUCCAGUUAUAAAUAGAUAUUACUCCCUUCCCAGCAAUUUUUGAUGACUUAAUUUAGUGGGAUCAAAAUCAACAUUGAAUUUUUGACCAGCUGCCAACAACUUGUGAGCAGUUCACAGUGGGUACUGCACAUGAUGCCUGUUUCUCCUUUUGCAUCUAUUUUUGUUGUUAACAUUAAUUUCAAUAGCAGCUCGUUAAUCCCAUUUGUUGAUUUGGGACUAGAUAAGAAUUUAUCUUGGAACUCCAAUUCUCCAAUUAUUUUAGUUGACAAUAUAUUUAACAUUAUUAAUUGCAUAUUAUUUAAUUAUCAGUAUAUAAUAUUCUUUAAUUUUCUAAUUUUAUAGGAUUAGACACAAAAUUGAUUAUGCCUUUUGAAAUUUAAGGGUUAUGUCAAUUGAAUAGAAAACUUGGAGGUAAACUUGUGGAUGUUUUUGUUGAUUAUCAAUUUAUGCAUGAAUUUUUGUACGUUUACUUUGGUUUAUAAUUAUUACUUUUAAACAUUUUUAUUGGUUUGAUUUAGGGUCAAUUUGGUAAUCCUGUAGCUUUAAAAUAAUUACAAUUAGCUAUGCUGUAGAAAUGAUCAAUCGUCAAGAGAAUCAGCUGAGCAUUUAGUAAAAUUUAUUUUUAAAAGUACUUUUAGUUUUAAAAGCGUUGUAUGAAUAAAACUGUUACACUAAAAAAUUAAAUGUAUUGCCCACUUGGGUAAAUAAAGCUAUAUAUUACAACUGUUACACUAAAAUUAAAUGUAUCUUAAACCCAAACUUCUUCUUCUUCUUUUUUGACUAACAAAAUUAAAAACAAUAGUGAACACAUUCUUUAAUAAACAAUAAGUAAUAAAUAAAAUCGUGUUAAAUUUCUUAAAAACUUUCUUUCACGGUUUGCUAAAUAUUUUUAUUAGUAUUUUAAAUAAAUAAAAAUAGUUGAUUUUAAUUUUUUUAAAUAAACUUAUUAGGUUUCAUGUAAAGAUGUUUUUGUUAUUUUAAAAAGUGUAGAAAGUACUCCUAAAAAAAAGCGUAGAAAGUAAAACUUAAUUUUUUAAAUUUAUUAGCUGAGUGCAUAAAUAAUUGAGUGUUCAUAAUGAUUUUUAAAGUAUAGAUAGUCGGACCCUAAUAUUUUUAAUAAAUGGAAAUUUUGCUAAUAUGUUAAUGAGAAUUAAAAAGAUAAUUAAGGGAGGCAAUCGAGACAUUCAGGAUAGUUAGGAUGGGACAUGAUUGUGAGCGGUUAGAUAUUGGUCCUAAUUUUGAUCACAAAUAUAUAAACAGGACGAGUUUAUCUCUACUUACAUUCCAUUUGAUAAUUAAGAUGAGAGUGGAAUUGUCAAAUCCCAAAUCAUCCCGGACCACUGCCACCAAGGGUACUCUCACUAAUAAUAUCUAAAGAAAAAUCUACAUCUAUUUCAUACUUUUUUUAAUGGAAAGAGCCCUCAUGGGGCUUGAAAUGGUAUCCUAAAUAAUAUUGAGAAUAUCAGGUCAUGAUUGGGUUUGUGACAAACAAAUACUACAUAGUUGGGAUACGUAGUUAUAAUGUCCCAAUUUAUGUAGUAUCUAUCAUUUAGCGCACAUAUAAAAUAUUAAUCAGCUUAAUUAAUUUAUAAAAUUUAAAUCUAAUUAAUAAGUGAUACAUAAAUGCCAAGUGCAAUACUGUAUAUGCAAAUCAUGUUUGUGGAUCAUUACAAAAUUGGCUCUUGAAAACAAGCAAGAAAGCUUAAUUAAGAACUUAAAACAAAAGAAUUAGAUUGAGAACAGUCAAGCCUUAUUUUUUCAAGGAUGGAGCUUAUAAAUCUUCAAGUACCAACAUACGCUUGGCCCAAUUGUUGUUAUUAAAAUUUCAAUAUACAUAUAUAAGUAUGAUAUAGCAAAAAUUUGAUGGUACAUAUGUCGGAAUAUACUAGUUCAUGGGUGCAUUUGAUUAUUGUUUCCAUAAAUUUGAACCAGGAAGGACGACACGAUAAAAAUUUGAUUUAUGGUAUGGUUGAUUUCAUAGCUCAUGCACUCAUUUCUUAAGAUAAUCAAAUUUUCUCUGACAUCUUUUUCAACUGUCGAAAUAUCAAUUAUGAUCAAUCAAAACGAUUUCAAAACCUUUCAACGAGACAUAUUUCUAAUACAAUAUUGUGAAAAUUACACUAAAAAAUAAUUUAUUAUAUAUUAUUAUCCAACGAGCACACAAAAAUGAUUUCGUACAAAUCUAAAAUACUAAGCAAUUUUCAAAUAGAAUUUACCAUGUACUACAAGAAAAUAGGGUAUAUGUGACCCCUACUGUGAAUGCAAAAGCAGCCAUUACGCAUAACCCCGAGUUGCUUUUGUUACCCUUUAUGUGACGGCCACACUGCUGUCACAUAUGUUACGACCGCGUGACGGUGAAGAGCCGUUCGGUAUACUAAUAUUUUAGAAUUUUAAAUUUAUUUCCAGUUAGAAAACUAUUCGCUGGACUCCGUGUUGCUGGCCACCAUCGUAAACAUAACUGGUUGCCAGCGAACGGCGUAAAACGCCGGCCAUCUUCUUCUUCAACGUAUUCUCCCUUCAUCUUUGAGGUAAGCUUGUGAUUAUGAGUUUCUUCUCUUACUUAGCUUGUAAUUAUAGAUUUUGAUUUUUUUUAAUUCGUAUUGUAGCCGUUAUUGUCAAUUUUUGUCCCGCCAGCAAUAUUUUUUUAUUCCUACAAGUUGAAACCCCUGUGUUCUUGUUCCAUUGGUGAGUUUGCUCACUCAAAUUAAUUUUGUUCUGCGGAAUUUACAAAGUUCAAAUGGAUUCAUUUGAAUUACUAUUGAAUUUAGCUUUAAUUCCAACAUCCAUUCUAAUGUUUUGCAAUUAGAUUUAAUUUAAUUUUAUGUUUAAAGCUUCUACAAUGAAUAGCGGAGCUUGGGUUUUAGUUUCAUUUUCUGGAUAACUUGUUUUUAGUUUAUCUUGUAUGCUCACCAAAUGCUUGUUAUAUUGUCUGAUAAGUUAUAUACAUUGCUGAUUCUACAUUAAUAAUGUUACGUUGUAUUUUCAGAAAUUAUAAUACAAAAGUUUUUUGCAAUGGCGUGCAUCUACAAACUGAAUUGACUUGUAGAAUAAGAGCUCGGAGUAGUGUUAUGUUCUUGAAUAAUUGAAAGUUCAUAUUGUGUAAGAGCAUUGUAGAUGUAAAGCAUCAUUACCAUUUCUACAAAGUGCUUUCAUUCUGUUCAUAUGCUCUUCUUGAACUUUGAAAGGUGCCUCGUUCAAGUCCUAGCUAUAACUACUAGCUUUGAUUAAUUAAGUUCCUAUACUAGCUGAAACAGAUUUAUUUAAUUAAUUAAUUGUGUAUGUACUAAUUAUAUUGAAAGUAUAUGAAUUUUUUUUUUAACAUGAAUGACUUCUAAAUGACUUAAAAACCUAAAGGGAUGUGUGAAACAAUGCUCAUUUCAUUUGAAUGAGCCCAUUAAUACUUUUAUGUCUAUGAUUUUCAAUAUUGGCUAAAGCAUUUCAGUUAAGUGGUUUACCUAACAGAGAAAAAAAUUUAAUAGAAAACUUCAGAGUUUCUAACAGAAAUAUAGUUCACUAUGCAGAUAUAGUUAUUUUACGGUAUACAAAUCAAGUUGUCCUAAUCUCAAUGUCCUAUGACCGAUUUUAUUUUAUAUAGUCAUUAAUUUUUUUCCUUGGUUUUUUGUGUUUAUGAGUAUGAAAUAGUGGGAUUUGGUGUACCUUAGCAUCUUUUGAAAAUUCUCUUUCAGUGUGGCCAACAGAAAUAUACAUAUAAUCAAGUUCUUAAUCGUGUAUAUUAGUUUUGGGUAUGAAUGUUCUAUUCUAGUUCGAGGCAAAGCUUCUUCGUUUUUGGUCUUCAGAUUUCCAGUAGGUUAAGUUAAUCAACUAUCAUAACUGGCUAGCUAGUUAUUGUCUGCCUUGGCGCCAUUACCAGGCCAUUAUAUUGCAUAGCAUAAGGAAUAGUGAUUAGGGGAUUAUUAGUGAUUUGUUGAGCUUAUUAUCGACCAAACAAACAUAUUCGCCUUUGCCCACAACUUAGUUUGAUUAGUUAUUAGACCAUAAAGAGCCUUGAUCUAUUCAUUGGCUUUAUUAUUUUUAUUUGGUUUUUCUUUCAACAAUAUUGUUGAUUUCUUAUAAAAAUAUUCAUUGGUUUUUAAACACCUAAUCAUUGGCUAUAUGAAGCUAAUUAAAACUGAGGCUUUGGAUCAAUUUCUUCUAACAAGAUACAAAUGAGCAUUAACCUAUCUCCUAUGAGUAAAUUUUUUUAAUAUCCUUGAUUUGUAAGGAUCUGGAGGCCUGAAAUCCUCUAGAUUUUUUUUAACACUGUCAAUGUUCUUUUAUUUCUGAGAAGGAAAUAAAAGGUUUUAUCUUUCAUACCCAAAUAGUAAGCUGGCCUUGUCUUAACAUGGCCUCCGAGGACUUGCAAGAUUCAUAGUGCCCCCACCCCAAAAAAAUAAAAAUAAAAAAACACAAAUAGGAAGAUUUUGCAAGAUUCACCACCAGGUUUUUUUUAAUUUGUUAAUUGUGUGUACGUGCUAGUUAUAUGUUGAAAGAAUAGGAAAGAAGUAUUUCAACAUGAAUGACUUAAAACUUAUUGCUCAGUAAACAUAAUCUGCAUGUAUUUAUCGUUUGUAUUUUUUAUGGUUUUGCUAAAGAAAUGAUAUGUGAAAUAAUGCUACAUUUGCAUCAGGAAUAAAUUGAAGAGAUUUAUGAUAUUUAUGUGUUAUUCAAAUUUCAGAUUCAAUUUUAAACUUUUGAUACGUGCAUUGAAAGCUUAGACUUGUUUAAGAAAUUAUUAAUAGACACAUGUUUUUAUUAGUGUCAUCUUUGGAUGAUAGUGAGGAUCAUAUGUCUAUUAAUAAUUCUUGAAUUGUCCAGGCUUGGACAGUUUGGGAAUGCAUAGUUCACUCUGGUAGCUAGUAGCUGAAGUUUUUUCCCACGUAAAAAUGGGUUUUUCAGUAGCUGCUCCUCGUGUUCUCUGGGUACGUACUAGGUGAAUGGGUGUCAUGUGUUGUUUUGGCAUAACGCAUAAACACUUAUAUAGCUAUGUCGUGUGCUUGGAGAAUUAUAGGGAGAUGGUGCCGAAAUUUUUAUAAACGUGGAAGAAAACUUUAGGUACUUGAGAUUGAAGAAACUUAUGCAUUCUUGAGUGGGAUAUGUAGGAUUACUUACCUUUUGUAAAUAUGAAGGGAAUGUUGGAUAUAUUGGGGAUAGUGUAGGAGCUGAGUUGGAUGAAUGUAAUUGGUGAUGAUUUUUGCUGAGCUGACCUUGGUUUUGAGCUUGUAAUUUUGUUUGUAAAUGGAGUGCUAUCUCCAAUGUUGGUUUAUAAAUAUGUUUCAGGACUUGCUGACCUAAUUUUUUGUUUCUAGGUUACAGGCUUUAUAUAUCUGUAAUUGAUGGCGAAGUGAAGUUCCCAGAACUUGGCGAGGAUGUUUCUUUACAGAAGGUAUUGGAAACUGUUUUUUACAUUAAUUAUUGUUGUAUAUAUACUUUGAUUUUCACAUCUUUUUCUCUGAUUCUUGUGGCUUUGCUUGCUUUCAUAUAUGUAAAUUCUAAUGAAAAUUAACCAUAAAAUUGUUUAAAAUGAUCUUUUUAUUAUAUUGCAAAACUGUGCACACACGAAAAUAUAUUGUUUAGUAGUAGAAAUGAAGAACUAAAAUGAUUUACUUAACUAAUUUUUGUAGCGCAUUAAAAGGAGAUAGUCAUGGACAUGUGUUGGGUUGGUUUGCCAAAUAGAUAUCCAAGUCAUAUACUGAUGGGGAUGAAAAAUUUAUAGAUUUUGCAUUUGAGAAUGUUGUUGGUGGUACAAGAAUUUAAUGUCCUUUUAAGAAGUGUUGUAAUCUAUAUUUCGUUAUAAAGGAAAGUGGCUGAUGAUGAUAUGGUUGGAAUGAUACAAUGCAUCACGUAAUCAAAUGUUCAAGUUACACGGAGCAUUGUUAUGGACUAUCAGUGACUUUCUAGCAUUGCCAACUUGUCUGGGUGGAGUAUUAAAGGUAAAUAAGCAUGUCUUGUUUGCCAACAAAACACUAGAUCUAAUUGGUUGAUACAUAGUAGAAAAUUUUGUCACGUGGGUCACCGUCGAUUUUUACCAACAAAUCAUAGGUUUCGAAAAUAUAGUGUCUUUUGAUAAAACUAGAGAGUAGGGACCAGCACAUUCUCGGUUGUCUGGAUCUGAAGUGAAAAAGCAGUUUAAUAUACUUACUGAGUAUAAGAUUGAAGACUUGAAAAUAGGAGAAUGAAUAAAAUGAGAGAAAUGAUAAGAUUACUUGGAAGAAGAAAAGCAUAUUUUAUGAACUACCGUGUUGGGAGUUCAAUUUGAUUCAUCAUAUCUUGAUCUCAUGGGCUGUUUUGAUUUUUGUUAUGAACUCAGAUCAAAAGUUUAAUGUGAUCAAAAUUUCUUAAAAAUAGUGAAAACGACUCCUAAUAAUAUGGAAGAUGGCUAUAAAAAGAUAAAAGGAAAGGCUUAAAAAGAAAAGCCAUGCCUGUCCAAAAAAAAAAAAAUCAACAAAAAUCAAAACGGUGCGUUUGAGAGUGUAUAAAAUACAUUUAGAGUGGGAGUUGUGUUGUUGCUUGAAGGCAGAAAGAUAUUUGUCGACGAAGCCAAAACCAAAGAUGAAGCCCAUAAAGCUCAAACUCCACCGGAGCAAAUUCAGGACAAUUACGAGGGUUAUGUUUGACAUAGUCAAGGAAGACGGUCCUCUCACCGUUGCCGAAACUUGGGAACGCGUCAAGGUGUGUGUAUCUGUUAAAUUGAAUUUCAACCGUUUGAUCUGUAAUUAUAAUUAAUCCAAUCGAUCUGACAGUGAUCACUGACCAUAAUACUAGUAGUUGUUUUACAUUUUCAGCAGGCUAGAGCGGGUGGAUUGACGGGCAAAAGCUCAGGCUCGUCUGCAAUCACAUGGGCCCUCAUAAGCAAAUCCUGUACACAACUUGGUUCACUAAACCCAACAACUUGAAGCAGCCAAAAUCAGGGAAUGAUCCUUCUCCGUCACAACCCUAGCUGCCUUAACCUUGUAGUGACACGGUGAAGAUGGAAGCCCCUCAGCAUGUAAACUUUUCAACAGCGACAGAGCUCUUAUUCCAGAGGCUGCACAGAAGAGCGACCUGGAAUCCUCUUCAAAACUUUCAAAUUUUUAUCAAGUAAAGCUUUCAAAAUUUCUCAACAAACUGAUUAUUUGGUGUGGUUGCCACAUUUUGUGCAACUGCUAUUCGUCUUCAAGUACAAAUUCCUUGCCUUCUAAGUUAGGGAACAUAGAUGUGGAGCAAACAGGGAAAUAGAUGUGGAGCAAACAGGGAAACAGCAAUGAUGGCAAUUAACAAACUAAUAGCAGUAUUACAUUUGAUUCUUUAGCCCAAUUUUGUUCCUUCUGUCAGCCAUUCUUCAAAAGUUUUUGAAAAUUAGAUGUGAAGCAAAAAAAAAACAAAUUUAGACAACAGAAGCCCUGUGCUCAACAUCAUAUAUAUACCUUGAAUACCUAAUAUACUAAAUUUCACAUAUAAAAUACUAGAGAUUUCAAACAGUACCAGCAAUAGAAUAAUGACAACGACAACAAUAACAGAAAAUUACAAGAUUGCUGACAAAAUUUAUGUGAUUUACUGUGCCUUUAUGCAUGCAAAAUGAAACUGAAGAUAAAAAAUUUAGGGAAAAGGACACAGAGACCCCCAACGUUUGAAUAAGGGACACAAAAUCCCUUAAUGUUUCAAAAAAGACACUCAGACCCCCAUUUGUUAACAUUAAAUUAUAAUUUUACCAUUGUACCCUUAUAGCAUAUUAAAAAAUAAUUAUUCAUUAUCCAAUUUAUUUCUAUAUUAUUAAUAAAAUUACGAAUAUAACUUCAUUACUCAAUUUUUCCAUUUAAUUUUUAUCAAAUUUUAUCUUCAAACUAAAUAAAUUUAAUCCAUUGCUCAAAAAUAAAAAUAAAUUAAAUUGAUUAUUAAUAUAAUAAAAAUAACAAUUCUCCAUAUGUUAUUUCUUAUAAUUUCUUAUAUAUAAAUUAAAUUGAUAAUUUCUUAAAAAUAACAAUUCUCCAUAUAUAAAUUAAAUUUAUUUUAAUUUAAUAUAUGUUAUUUUUAUAUUAAAUAUAUGUUAUUUUUAUUAUAUUAGUAAUCAAUUUAAUUUAUUUUUAUUCUUGAGUAAUGGAUUAAAUUUAUUUAGUUUGAAGAGAAAAUUUGACAAAAAUUAAAUGGAAAAAUUGGAUAAUGAAGUUAUAUUCGUAAUUUUAUUAAUAAUAUAGGAAUAAAUUGAACAAUGAACAAUUAUUUUUUAAUAUGCUAUGAGGGUAUAAUGGUAAAAAUUAUAAUUUACUGUUAACAAAUGGGGGUCUCAGUGUUUUUUUUGAAACAUUAGGGGGUUUUGUGUCCCUUAUUCAAACGUUGGGGGUCUCUGUGUCCUUUUCCCAAAAAUUUAUAAACUAGAAAUUUAUAAUAAUCUAACUUAUUCUCGUUACUAUUAAAAAAUAAGUAAACAUAUCAAUAACAAUAUAGUUUAUUAUGAUUAUAAUUCAUUCAAUUAAAAUAAAUAAUUUAUUCUUAUUUCUAUUCUCUAUUCUAAUUUCAGUAAAUUUUGAUUUUAGUUUAUUUUAAUUAUUGAUUAGUUGUAAACUUAACUGGAAAUUUAUUGCAUAUAUUACGAGAAGCAGUACACACCAAUGGUAAAUUGAUACAUCGUUUUUGAGCUUAAGAUAGUCAAAUGAAAGAAACACAACGUAGGGUUCAUGAAACACUUUCAAAGCUGCUGAUGACUUAAAGUGAAUAACCUCAGCAUGUAAACUUAACUUCAAAGGACGGAGCACAAGUUUCACAGAAAAACAGCUCUUAUUUCUGAUGCUGCGAACACAGAGGAGUGACCUCAAUCUUCUUCAUCACUUGGGAAUUCUGCAAUUAUAGAGCACGACAUUGAGCAUGAACUAGAAAAAAUAUUUAUUUUCUACAAUUUUCAUAUAACCUCACUAACCAAGAUUAAUUUUGUGGUAAUGUAUUGGGUCAUUAAUUCAUAUGUUUUUACUGUCAUCACUUUAGAAAAAACUAAUUUCUCAAUGUGAAAUGGCCCAUAAAAGGUAUUCUCAUUUAAAAACUAAAUUUGACAAACCCUCGAUUAAAGCAGGGGAGAGAAAAGAAAAAAAAAAGAUCUGAAGGCUUUCCACAUGAAAAUGUUGUCACUUUGGAUGAUAUUUUCAAGGGAUUUCAUUCUAAAAAUAAAAUACCUGGGACCUUAUUCUUCAAAUUGACAGCUCGCCCAGUACUAAACGCGUAUGAGAUCAGUACUGGGACAAGUAACGAGACGACCCCUCCAACAGCUGAAAAUAAAAUUCGCAUUCAUCAAUUUAAAUUGAAAUUCAUAUUAUGAAAUUAAAACUAAUGAUUAAUGAAUUUUCAAGGAAUUUAAUAAGAUUCUCAUAUAUAAACGUGAUAAAAAAUUCACUCAUCAAUAACAAAUAUUCUAACAUUUUGUUGAUGUAAUUGUUGUAUGGUUGUGUUAAGGUCAUUAUUAGACCAACGCAGUUUGUCAUCACUCAUUCCGUACCAGACGUUUACUCUCGGAGGCGUGAUUGAUUCUCCUUUGGUGAAAUCUUCAUCUUCGGACAACCAAUCACAGUAAGAUAUUCCAAAGAUGGGAAUUUGAAGGCGUAAUUGCCAGAGGAGAAGCUUGUGAGACUAUCUAAAUCAAACAGGGACAACGUAGUCAGUUUGCUGAAAACAAUCUCUUCUUUUAAAUAUGCUGUUUCAUUUCAAGACUGGCAAAAUUCAUUGUGUAAUCAAAGUUUUCAAUGAUCCAACUAAUAUAUAUAUAUAUGUAUGUAUAUUCCUUCUCUAGUGCAGACAUUCUCAUUUUUUUUUUUCAUGUGGACCAGUUUUUAGAUCCCCUGGUUUAAAAGAGUUAGUUUUUAACUCUUUAAAACCGCAUGGCUUCAUAAUUUAUUUAAAAACUAACUCUCUUAAACCGCACGGUUUAAAAGCGUGUCCACAUUAAAAAAAAAUACGGACCCCCACACCUGAGAAUGAUUAUAUAUAUAUAUAUAUAUAUAUAUAGACACACGCUCUUAAACCGUGGGAUUUGAAAGCUUCUCCGCAUGAAGAAAGUAAAAAAUAAGGGCAUUCCCACUAGAAACAAACUCCAUAUAGGUAUUUAUUAAACCUCCUGAUCUGUGAGUGAGGAACAACAAAUAUAAUUGAUAAAAAAAAUCUAAAAUUUGGUUUCAUACCUUCUUGAACGAGAACAGGGGUUGUUGUGCCGGAAUACCAAAUUGAUCAUUCUCGUUAUUCUGGGACAACGUUAUUUUAUCACAAUUACAGGCCUCCAAUGUUUUUUAGUGCUGGCCAUUCUGAAGUAUGCAUUCCAGGGUAUAAACAUCCGAGUUCUGGUAGACCUUCGAGAUUCAGAGUGGUCACUUGUGGAAAGACAAAAUAUGGGGUCACUUGAUCUGCUCUGUCUUUGGAGAUGAUCUCUUGUAAACCCAUACAUAUCCGUAUCUCCAGGUGUUGGAGGUGCUCAAGGCUUUGGAUCAUAGAAGCUGAAAAUAUGUAUUUUAAUUUGUCACAGCCCCACACUAUCAAUCGUGUCAAACUUUGAAAGCCGCAAGUUGAUUGUCAUGCAAAAUCUCGUCGACAUUAAUAGCAUUCAGCUCCAAAGCCUCCAAAUUUGGCAACACUACCUGAAGAUAAUUUUCUCUUUAGAUCCAAUAUCCGUAUGGAAAGCACUUGUUUUGACACAAUAUCCAUAUAAGAAGCACUUAAUUAAGAGCUUAAUUAGCGAGUGUAUGAGACUUUUUUUUUUUCAAAUGCCAGUGCAUGAUAGAACUAAAAAAAAAAAAGAAGCAUUAGCCUACGUACCUUCUCGUUGAAAGCAGAGUUGACGUUUCCGAACUGAUCUCGUUGGAACUGGCUGUCAAUUCCUCUUGCGACUCUUGUCUGUUUGGUGAUGUGGAAGAAGUCUUCACUUCACCGCAAAACCUUGUAACCUUUGGAAGCUUUCCCAGACUCAAAGAUCUUAAUUGACCAAACUCUAUCUUCCCAUCAACAUCAACAUCAGCUUCUCCUCCAGUUGCAAAAAUCUCUUCCAUGCUGCUGCAAUUGAUAACUGCAAUCCUCUCCAGUCUUGGAAGGCAUUUUGUACUACUAGAGAGCCAGAAGAUAUUACUCAACUCAUCACAAUUUUCUACUUUUAUGGUUUUGAGUUCAUUGAAGGACUCUAUUUUGAGUCGAUCAAUACAUAUCCUCUCCAUAUUGAUCAAAUUUUGAAGAGUAUGGGACUCCAAAAGAGGAAAGGCGACACAUGGUUCUCUCUCCAUUGAAUCGACGAUACACAGGAAGUCUGGAUUAUUUUGAACAUGGAGAUGCUUCAAUUGUGAAAAGCCCUCAGUGUCCAAUUCUAAAACAACAUUCUUGAUUCCUUGCAACUUAUCCAAACAUAAGUAUUCAACGUUAUUGAUGCGCUGCAACUUCUCGGAGCAAAUGGCCAUAGAAUCAAGCUUGAGCUUCAAUGUUCUUAAACUCUCAUGAUUACUGAUCAUAAAGUGCUGCCGACUUUCAAACCAAUCAUUCUCAAUAACCAGGGUAGAGUCGAAUGAUGCAUCUCCUAUUGAUAUAUCAAACCUUUCCAGCUUUUUGGAAAAAAAGCCAUCCGGUAAAAUGCUAUCAUUUUUAACAUCUAUCUAAGGUGGUCAAUCGCCUCAUAUGCAUCAAUUCGUCGAGGGUGGCAUUACUUCUUUCACUAUUGGCCUUUUCAACUUCCCAUUCAAUAGGGGAAUUACCCAUAUACAGUUCUUCCAAUCGAGUGAAGCUUGAUAAGACGUUGGGCACAAUAAAUUUUAGUUGCAAACAAUCUGUUAAAUCUAACAGCCUUAACUUAGUCAGUUGACCUAGUUCGCCAGGCAACCGUACAAUAUCAGAAUUUAAAAAGCUAAGGAUUUCUAGAUUCUUCAACUUUCCAAUUAUGGCUAUGUCUCCCAACAUGCUUUGAUCUAGACAGAGUGUUUGAAGAUUUGCUAGAAGACCGAUUGAAGAUGGCAAUGAAAAUAAUCGCAUUCGUGUCAAAUCUACAACUCGAAGCUUUUUCAGCCCUUUGAAAAUGUUGUCAGGAAUAUUGACCUCAACAAAAGUGUUUUGGGAAAUAUGUAAAAAUUCAAGUUGCAGACAUUCAAAUUCCUCAGAAACUUCAUGAAUGCUACUAUUUAGUAAAGAGAUUGCAUAGCAUUUUUUAAGUGCAUCCUCAUCUGGCCACUCCCACACAGCCUCAUUUCUCACCAAUAAAGCAUGUUGGUCUCGAUUUAAACUUUAACUCAAUUUGAAAAACUGAGCAAGUAUGCGUUACAGGAAAUCAAAAAAGCUCCACAUACCCAGAUCAUGAUCUCACGUUGAAUCCAGGUGGGAGAUAUAUUUAUGAUCAAGCCCAACAUCGAAGGGGCAAAAAAAAAAAAAAAAAAAAAAAUCUACCAGACAUAUGAUCAUAUUGACCACGAGCUUCAUACGCCGUGGAUUUAUUAACAAAAGUGGGAAUUAAUUAAUCAUGAGCAUGUGUUCUAGUUAAGUCAAAAGAGAGACUUAAUUAAGAACGCAUAUAUAAUUCAUAAUCAGCACAUAAAAAGAUCACUAGUGCUUGCCCCUCCUGCCCUUGCCGUGCUUGCCGUGCUUGCCCCUGCCCUUGCUCUUUCCAUGCUGGUAGUAGCCGCCGUGCUUGCCGUGUGUGUAUGCACCGUGAGCUCCAGGAUAUGCGUUAUUAUCUGCAACAAAAUAAGAAAUUAAAUCAUAAGCUUAUAAUUAGCUCGCUCGCUAAGAGUGAUUAAAAUAAUACCGUGCGGAACGGAUGGGCCAGGAUAUCCCGUUGGUGUGUAACCACUGGCGAGUGCUGCUCCUGUAGGCGGGUAGCCGGCACCGGCUGGGCAGCAUGAUCAGCACCUUCCAUGAUUUUGAUGAUCACCUAAUAAAUAAUAACUUGGUCCAAAAUAAACAACAAUAAAUAAUUGUGAUUAAUAAAAAGUAAUAUAUUCUCUAAUUAAAACAUUAAUGAUCAUUGGAGAGCAAGCGAGAAAUACUUACUGAAUGCGAUGGGACAGACAACAUCAUGCAUAGAGAAUUGUUCAUCUUCAACGAAUUUGGCUGCCCGGUCAAUGAUGCCGUUAGCACUAACCAGCCACUUCUCAACCUUCUCUUCAAUCUCUUCCCCUUUUUCUUUUGCCUCUGAAACUCUGCGCCGAAUGCUCGUACGUUCAACCUUCAACUUCUCCAUUUCCGUCUUGAGAUUCUCAAGGUUGGCAUUGUAGUUCCGCUUGCGCAAAUAAACAAGUUGGCGUUCUGUUGGAGGAGCCAAGCAUUUUACAAGUUCCAAAACGAGAGUAACAAUGAUUUCCAGCAUCUUGAAUCCUGACAACAAUGUAGAAGUGAAGAAGGCCAAAGGACAGUCAAAACAGAGAGACAGCGUUACGACAAGCAGUUAUGGAGCUAAAAAUAAAUAACAAACAAACAGAAGCAAAGUGUUUUUCGAAUGAGAAGAAGGAAGCAAGAAAAACUUAAAACUAGUAUAAUAAAUUUAUACUAAAACUAGUAUAGUAAAACAAGAAGUCAAGAACCAGCAACUUUUACACACAAAAUAAAACCUUAAAACUAGUAUAAUAAAUUUAUCAUCAAGUUGCAGCCUUCUUAUUCAACAAUUACAGCAUUAUCUUGAGCUCUGUGUUUCUUUUUUUAAAAAUUAUUCAAAAAAAUCUGCAUUUGUUUUUCAACGAUAAAAAUUAUAUUUUUGUCUCAUAUAAUAUAAAAUUAAAAAAAAAACAAACAUAUAUUAAAGGUCUGUUUGGGAUUAUUUUUAGAGGCUCAAAAGUAAUUUUAAAAAGUUAAAUGCUAAUUUUGGUAUUUAAUAAAAUUUUUAGAAGUCACCUUUGGUAAAAUCAUCAAUCCUACAACAAAUUUUGAAAGCAAAUAGUUUUUCAAAUUUUUAUUUUGAUAAUUAAUUUUAUACUUAAUAUAAUUCCAUAUACAUCCCUACAUAUAUUAAUUAUCCUUAUUAAUUAGAAAAUAAAAUUAUUAACUUUAAAGAUAUUAUCAACAAUUACAUUGAGAUAACAAACUAAAAAAUAAAAUUAAUAAUAUAAAAUAUUUAUUUUAGUAAUCAAUUAUUAUACUUACAAGAUAAAAAAUAUUUUAUUUAAAUGUUUAUAAAUGUACAAAUAAAUUUUAUUUAAUAUUAUAUUCAAUUUAGUCAUUUACAUUGUCAAUAGGACUUCUAAAAAUAAAUUUUCCUAAAUGUUUAACUAAUUCUCUUCAUAGUGAUUAUUUCCAAACAUAACUACCAAAAAUUACUAUAAUAGAUACAACAUUACCAAAAAAAUAUUGAGAUAGAUUUUAAUUAGGUAAUUGACUUAAUUAUGAAUCAAUUUAUUAUUUCCAUAUGUGUUAUCAAAACCAGCUCAAUAAUGAGAUCACUCUUUUUCUUAAAUAAAAAUAUUUGUGCCAAACAAUUGUUGCAAAAUUUCAAAUAUAAAUUACAAACAACAAAAUUUUUCUAAAAUCAUAACAAUAAUUUAUGUUGUGAAUACAUGUAACUAAACCACAUUGAAAUUUUAUUGUUAGUAAAAUUGUUUUUCACGCAAAUGCAGUGACGGAUUCAGUUUCAUGUUUCACCCUCAAUAACUUAAUUUUCAUAUCUAACAAAUCAUCCAUAUUAUUAACAAUAUCAUCACCAAACAUAAUCUACCUAAACAUAAACUAAACAUAACACAUACAUAUAACUAUAUACAUACCGAAUCAGGAAAACAAUGAAAGCUACACGUAUCCGGCUCUACAAUUCCUUCUUGAUACCCUUGUGCUUCUGAAAUAAUCAACCAAUUAUAAAAAUUAGCUUAGGCGCAACUUUACCCCUUUUUUGGAAAACUUAACGAUAAAUAAAGUAUACAAAUCUCUAAAUUAACUUCGUCCCCAUGAAAUUCAGCAUAAAUAGAAAUAGAAUUAUAGAAACCUUACUACCUUUUAUGAGAAAUCCAACUUAUAUAUUUGAGACCUCUCUCUCUAAACACGCGCUUCCUCUCUCUGUACACUUUCCACCUUUGAAUUUUCCUUCACUAAGUCUACCUAAAUGAAUUUAGCAUUCUUCCAGUUUCUUUAGCAUUUUUUCUCCGUGAAAAUAGGUGAAAAAGAGAAAGUGGUUUGAUUAUUUUAAUGUAUGACAGAUCUGGUUUCCAUCUCUGUAAUUUAAGUUUGUCAAACGAGAUAAUCAACUCUUUGUCGAGUCAGUCAAAUAUAAAAGACAAAUUACUAAACCAAGCAGAGCCCAAAAAAAAAAUAUUUCCAAUUAAAUAAUCAUCAAGUCUUUUUCAAUUAAAUUAGGGAGUGCAGAACAACUGUCGAGAGAUAAUCAUUGUUUAUGGAGCCAUAUUAUAUUUUCGAUUAAAAUAGUUGCGCGUGAACAAUUGGCAGAAUUCGUAUAAAUUGUUGUCAGGUCUAUUAUAAUUAACAAGCGGAAUGGCCAAUGGAUGAAGAACCACUGUAAUUUCGUUUAUGAAUUCAAAAUGCUAAAGAAACUGGACAUCAACGCUAAAUGUCAGCCUGCGGCCCUUGCCUCAGUGUCUUUCAGGCGUUACUCUGGGUAGUUGAUAUACUGACCGUCCCUUUAUCAAUUAAUAAUCGAAAUAGGUUAAAAAUAUGAAUGGAUUGAAUGGUAUGACUUGGAAUUAAAAUAUGGAAUGACGAUUAGAUUAAUUAAUUUAUUUAAAUUGAGAAAUUAGAAUCAUAAUAAAUUAUAUUGUUAUUGAUGUAUUUGUUUUAUCUUAAAAUUGCGAUGAGUUGUUACAAAUUACUAAUAUGCCUUUGAUUUUGUAUUAUGAUAAUUAUUAUUUAUUAUAACAUUUGUCAUAUAAUAAUAAUAAUAAUAACAACAACAACAAUUAAUAUUGAAAAAUUUUUAUUGUUAAUAAUAAAUAGGCAAUUAUCCACCGAUCAUGUGAUCUUUUGGACGUUUUAAAAAAUAUACAAACACUUUUUUCUUUGCAGAAAUCCACCUGAAAUUUACAAGUGUUUCAAUUGUUCACUGUUCAUCUAAAUUUUGUUAGAAUUUUCUUGACGUUGUAAGGAUAAAAUUGUUAUUUUUACCUUGACUUCCAAAGAGGAUGUCUUUCAAACAUGAUGAAAAUAAAAAAAAAGGAUAAAAAAUUAUCUGUAAACUAUCUGAUCUUUUAGCCAUUAUACAAAAUAUUAAAAAAAUAUACGAACAUUUUUUAUUUUUUUCAACAAUCCAUCUGAUAGUUAUGAAGUGCAUUAGUGCUCCACUACUAUCAUAACCCUUUAAAAAUAUCGCUUAAACACGAGAACCUAUUGCCUAAAAUUAUUUUUCAAGAAAUGUAACUACAGAUUUGGUUUUGAUCUUCAUGACUUUUAAGUGUACAAGAACAAGAUGAACGAACCUUUGUCGAGUUGAUGAAUUAAGAUAAAUCAAUUACAAAUCGAGAACAAACUUACGGGUGACAUUUUAGUAUUAAGCAAACUAUAAUUGAUCAUCCAAUGAUAGGCUUAUUUUCAAUUAAAUUAGAGUAAAGAUAGACAUUCCAAAUUUUUCUCUCAAAUUUAAUCUAGAUAAUGUGUUAUUAAUUGAGUGCUUGGUAAUUCUUUCAAGAUCUAAGUGAAUUAAUUAUAUUAUCUCUCCAACCAAUUGAUGAAUAUUAUAUUAUUUGAGAUAAUUUUUUUUUAUCUCAAAUCCCAGCAAAGAAAACAGAACAAACGGAGCAAAAAUAUUUUUAGAAACCUAAAAUAACAAAAAAAAACUUUUUCUUGUUUUUCUUAUUUUCCACUGUUAAACUUCAAAAUGAACAACUUUAUUCUACCAUCUCUCAAAUAAUAAUAAUAACAACAAUGUCAUCAUCAUCAAUAAUAAUAAUAAUAUAUUAACUUUGUAGGAUGGAGCUCUCGCAAAUCUUCAAGACACAAAAUGUGCUUGACCCCAUUGUUGUUAUUAUAAUUUCAAAAUCAUCUGUAUUAUAUAAUAUUAGGGAAUAUGACAUAGCAAAAUUGAUGGUACAUAUGUUGCAAUAUACUUGUUCAUGUGGCGACACAUUGAAGUAAAGCACAAGCAAAACAACGAAAAAUGUAACGGGAGAGCUCUCAUUAUGUAGAUUUUCAAUAGAAGUAAUGCAAAUUUCACAAGGAAUGGCCUUAUUUCGAAUGCUGCACCUGAGGAAUGACUUGAAUCUUCUUUAGAACUCAAGCAUUCUGUAAUCAUAGGGUAUAACAUUUCAACAAAAAUAUUAUAUAGGUCGUUCCUUUAUAUAUUUUCUGGGUACACAUACAGAAAUAUUAUUUUAGGUACAUUUCUCACAAUAAAGCCUGCCCAAUCUAGCAUUUUCGUAGUUGGGUUUCUUAUUUACAUGUUUUUUCCAUUGGUUAAUUAUCACAAACCUCCACUGAGAUUUAGCAUGUUUUUAGUUUGAUAGAUUGUAUUCGCGUAUUCUCAAAUACCUUUUAGUUUACCACUUCGUAUAAAUUAAGUUGGUGAGGAUAAAAUCAUAAAAGUACACAUUAAUGAUAAAAAAAUUCAAGUAAACUUGAAAUUUUCAAGGGGUAAUUUUUCGGGACCUCCCCUGAGGUUCGGUGUAUUAAAAGUCUCAUAGAAAGUAUUCAUGUAAUUAUAAGAACCUCCCCUGACGUUAGUACACAGUUAACUUGACUGUUAGUGGACUGAUAAAAAGUCAAAAAUGCCAUUGGCUACAAAAAUGAGUGCAACAAUUUGGAGUUAAAUAGUAAACACCACAUUGGAGCACUAAAAAGUCUAUAAUAAUCAUGGAAAAAAAUCAUUGACAUUUACAUAAUAUAAAAAAAAAAAGUAAAAUAUAAAUUAAGAAAAUCAACAAAAUUGUCAACGUAUAGAAUAUUUACAGCAGCAGUGGCUAUAAAUACAACCGUCGUCAAAUUAAAAUAUCACCAUUAGUAAACUACUUCAAUAAGACAAUAAACCAUGAUUCACUCUUCAAAGCAUUCAAAAUACACAACCCGCACAAUAGAAUCACAUACGCACACCUGCUAAUGAAAUAUAAGAACAAACAGGAAAUUGAACUGACAUGGCUAAGAUACUCCUUCCCCAUAGCUAUUAGAAAGAUAAUGAGCGAUUUAUGAAUCAUGAUGCUUGCUUUACUUUCUGGCAGUGUUAGCUUCAAAUUCAAUGAUAGUAAAUGAACAAUGGUUCAUUCAUUAUGAAAGUAAGUGUAAAGCUAGGAAUUUAUAAUAUUCAGAUGUUGGAAUUGGAAAAAUAUUCCUUAAUCGUUUCAAUUGAAGCCAAGGAAGAAAAGAAAUGAGUCUUCUUUUUUCAGGAGACAAGCCAUAUGAAGAAGGCAGACCAGAGCAUAAGAACGAAUGCUACUGCCACAGUAAAAGCCUGGAUCAAUGGGUAAUGGUACCUGCCAUGUCAAUUUCAAGACAAACAAAAAUCAAUUAUCAUCCCCAGACCACAACACCACCAAACCAACCUUUUGAAUCUAAAAUAACAAGUUAAUAAAUCAAAGAUUUCAAUUCAUUUAAGUUUGAAAUCAACUAAAAUAGAAAAAAAAAACCCAAUUUCUUUUUUGUUCAAUAUAACUCAUUCAGCAUCUUCUUCAACACAUUUUUUAUCAUUCUUCAUCAUCCACAACAAUAAAAAGAAAAAAAAAAACAUUGAGUCCAACAUGCAAGUUUUUUUUUUGGAAAACUAACCGUUUUUAGGUUCCAAUUUCUAGUAGUCUUAAACAGUAGCCGCCGACGAAAUUCGCUUGGCGACACCCUUUUGCCACCAUUGCAGCUUGUCAUGUUCAUACUCAGCUUAAAAUUACUUGAAGGCAGCAGGGAUUUUAUAGUUACAAAAGUUUCUUCAGAGCUUUUCAAGCUUGAAAAUGGCUGAGAGUUUCAUUUCAUGAGAGAGAAAAUGGAGUUUUCAUUCAUCUUAGAUAAAUUGAAGAUAAUUUGCAUUGUGGUAAUAAAUUGAUUGUCAGUGCCUAAAUUUGGGUCAUUCGACACAACUUGGAAUUUUUUUUAUUUUUUCUUUGAUUUUUAUUAUGAAACUACUAAUUUACCCUCAUAUACUAACAUAUAUGAAAUGGCAUACUAACGUCAGUUAUGUCAAGCAGCUCCCUGUAAUUACGUGAAUAUUUUUCAUGAGACUGUCAAUACACAAAAUCUCAGGGGAAAUCCCUAAACAUUACCUAAUUUUUAAGUUGUGUUCUGAAAUUGGUCUCAACUUUGUAAUGUGUAAUGCCCACAAAAAAAGAAAAGGAAAAAUGGUCAUCUCUUUCCUCCAUUCGAACUGAAGCCAUGAAACGCAAUAUCCCUUUCAUCUUCUCUCUAAUGCUUUGAUUAAAAAACUUGCUUACGAACGGGAGACCAUGACACUGAAUCCGAAGACAGAAAUACCUGAGAUGACUGAUUCACGCCGGCGAUGUGGAAGAAUACCGACCAGUGACUUUCGCCGUCGACCCACAAACAAUCCCAGUGUUUUCGAGCCGCGAAUGAGGUAUGAAUAAGAUUAUUUCCGUGCGUGUCAGUUUUGUAAGGAGAUUUGAUUAAAAAAAGAAUAAUGGGUCUCGAAAAUUUUUGAGUAUUUCUGUUGCUUAAAUUUUUUCCAUCGAUUAAUGUUAGUUGUAGGUGAAUGAUUGUUGCAAACGCAUGUUCGCUUGUGAUUGAUUGAAAAUGACUUGUUAUUUGUUAUGCUGCCAUGUGACUCAUUGAAAAUGCCUCUGAAAUUUUUUUAUUUGUUUAAGGUACUGAUUCUGAUUAUUGAACAGGGAUUCAUGCUAGUUUUUAUUAAAUUAAAGAUGAGAUUAUUUUUUAAGAGAUCUACCAAACCUUCUCUACUAUAGAUUUGGCUUCUGACAUACCUGGUUCGCUGGAGAUAAUUGUUUAUAUAGUCAUUGCUGCUCGUAUUAAUCAGGAACAUUGAUUAGCAAUGUACUGGAAUAGAGAUUGGUAUAAUUUUGGAAAAUUAGUCGUAGAUGCAACCUGAUUAUGGUCUCAAAUAGUGUGAUCUGUCAAUUCCGUUUGCUCUAGCCUAACAACCUUGAAUCUGAGCUAUGCCACUAUACAAAGUCCUGACCUAAUCAAGCUUGUUAGCCAAUGUCCAAAAUUGCAGUGUCUUUAGAUAAGCCCUGUCUUACUUGUUUGAGUUAUAAAUGAAAAUUGAAGUGUCUUUGGAUAAUCACGCUGAAUGUUCAAGUUAUUGAAGAGAAGGGACCCCAGAUUCAAGGCCGGAGCUCCCUGUUGAGAAGCUUUACAUAUAUGGGAUUGUCGCUGGGCGGAGGAUCGAUAUGCCCGGUUUUGUUUGGAAUAGGGAUGAAGAUUUUGCAUUGAGGCUUUCUUGAUAGAUCAUUCUGCAAAUCAAGCUCCAUGUACCUAUCUUCAGACUCUUGGAUAUGUAUAAAGCAGGUGCAUGCUCUAUAUGUUACUCAUUGUAUCACGAUUAUUUUUCUAUUGCUUAAAAUAAUUGCAGUCCUUGAUGUAGUUGGAGACAACUUAUGGAGGGUAUACAGAGGCUCGAGAGUUUGAUUGCCAUUCAUUUGACACUUGGCUGAGCUACAGCAUACCAACUAGUGAUUAAUAAAGAGAAGGUAUGAAGGUCCUGUUGCUGGUGGUAUUAUCAAUCAGAAUUGUUAUUUUACUUAGUCAUAGUUACCAUGUAUAAGAUUCGUAGACUUUUUGCAUGUUUAUGCAUUCGCAUCAUCUUUUUGUUAAGCUAGAGAUGGUUGAUUUGUGUACUCAUUUGUAUCACUUGUAGCCCUUGAGGAAUAAAAUUUAAAAUUUUGUUGCAUCUCCUGUACUAAAUACUAAUUUUGUUUGCUUUAUGUAUGGGAAAUGGUUCAUUAUCUUAUUUCUUUGAUGUGUAUAGUGUUACACUGUCUAAAGUUGAAAAGUAUUUCUAUCACUUGUGUAAAAAACAAACAAUUUUUUUUUCACUCUUCUUAUAUUGAAUAAAAGAAGGACACCAAGAUCUUCACCAAGAUUGAACGAAAUUUGAUGCAGAAAGCAUAGCAAUUAGGCCAGUGCAAAAUAGCUUCCUUCUGAUUCUCUGAUAUUUGACUUAAAUCUUUUGUUUGUUUCAUUCAUCAAAGUCAUUUUGGAAAGUAGCAGGCGUGAUUUGAUAUUUUCAUUGUAUUCACAUCCGUUGGCACCAAAACAAACAUGCUGGUACUAACCAACAAUUUUUUAUUUUUAGUGUACAAAUUAUUAUUUUUAAGACAAAUAAGCUGGUACUAACCAACAAUAUUUAUUUUCAGUAUACAAAUUAUUAUUUUUUUUUCUAAAUUAGGGGUAUUAAGAAAAGGUAUGCUAGCACCAGGGGAGGUAUUUGAAAAUAUACAAAUACAAUCUAUCAAACUGAGAAUACACCGAACCGGCAGGUUUCUGAUAAAUCCUUUUUUUCUUUUUCCUCCAUUCACUAUAGGUUCAAUUUAGACGCUGUUGACCAAACAGAAGGUUUGGGUUGGUAAACGCACUGGUGUUAAUGCCAACAACCCAAGGGGCUUCAUGGUCCUCUGGGCCGAAAUAGCGUAAUUAUUAAUUCUCCUCCAGUGAAAAUCUUCAUCUUGGGACAAAUAAUUACGAAUUGACAUUAUAGCUGUGGAAAUUUGGAGGUGUAAUAACCGGAAAAGUAAAAAUCUUAAGAGACUUUUUAAAUAAAAAAGAUACAACACCUUCAAUUUGCUAAAAGUAAUGGUAUCAUUUCUUGUACGGAUAAUGGAUGAUUAGAUUUUGUUUUUGUUAUCCGACGAAGGAUAUUCAGUUGUUCUUUAUGUGUUCACAGGCAAGAGCAUGAGCAUAUUCAUGGUUUCAUAUAUGCUUCUUGCAUUUUCUAAUUAAGUACUCUCUUUCCUUGCCUUCUUAGUUUUGAAAGAAAGAUGUGAAGCAAAGCAAACCAGUGAAAUAUACAGAGAAACAGAACCAUCAGAGGAAAAACUAAAUAACAGAACCACAAUUGAACCAAACAAAAUCAAAUAAACCGAGGCAACGGAUACCCUGAAUCAGGCAUCCCUUUUUCUCGAAAGAAAAUAUGUUUGCAUGGGUGGGAACCUAAUAAUUACUCAAGAGUUGGAGUUGGAAAGAUUUGGUAUUCAUAUCUUCACAAUUCAUAAGCUUUAAUGCAGAAUCGACAGCUUUAUAUUAAUUUAUUCAACCAAAAACGAUAAAGUAGGAAAACCACAAUAAUCCACCAACUUUUGCUACUUUUAGGAAUAAUUUUUAGUCAACUUUCAAAAAGUGAGAUGACGAUCUUUGAGUUGAUAAAUCUUGGCCUGCUGCUUAGUACCCUUCCAACAUAUAAAGUACUAGAUGUUUAGCUGAGAAAAUGACGAGAUCAUUUAUCAAAUUUCUUGCGCAUAUAUACAUAUAUAUACAAGAAAUAAGAAUCAGAGUGAUUAUAAGACCUUGCAAUGAGGCAAUAAUACAUCAUCAAAUCUAAAAAUACACAAGAAAUUCGUGACGUAUAUAACAAUAGACCUCUCAUUGAGUCAUACAUAUUGAGAAUAAAAUGUCAAAAUGCAUACAAAGAGCUUAUACAGAAAAUGAAUUUACACACAUUUAGAAUAAACUGUCUUUGAACUUCCGAUGGNNNNNNNNNNNNNNNNNNNNNNNNNNNNNNNNNNNNNNNNNNNNNNNNNNNNNNNNNNNNNNNNNNNNNNNNNNNNNNNNNNNNNNNNNNNNNNNNNNNNNNNNNNNNNNNNNNNNNNNNNNNNNNNNNNNNNNNNNNNNNNNNNNNNNNNNNNNNNNNNNNNNNNNNNNNNNNNNNNNNNNNNNNNNNNNNNNNNNNNNNNNNNNNNNNNNNNNNNNNNNNNNNNNNNNNNNNNNNNNNNNNNNNNNNNNNNNNNNNNNNNNNNNNNNNNNNNNNNNNNNNNNNNNNNNNNNNNNNNNNNNNNNNNNNNNNNNNNNNNNNNNNNNNNNNNNNNNNNNNNNNNNNNNNNNNNNNNNNNNNNNNNNNNNNNNNNNNNNNNNNNNNNNNNNNNNNNNNNNNNNNNNNNNNNNNNNNNNNNNNNNNNNNNNNNNNNNNNNNNNNNNNNNNNNNNNNNNNNNNNNNNNNNNNNNNNNNNNNNNNNNNNNNNNNNNNNNNNNNNNNNNNNNNNNNNNNNNNNNNNNNNNNNNNNNNNNNNNNNNNNNNNNNNNNNNNNNNNNNNNNNNNNNNNNNNNNNNNNNNNNNNNNNNNNNNNNNNNNNNNNNNNNNNNNNNNNNNNNNNNNNNNNNNNNNNNNNNNNNNNNNNNNNNNNNNNNNNNNNNNNNNNNNNNNNNNNNNNNNNNNNNNNNNNNNNNNNNNNNNNNNNNNNNNNNNNNNNNNNNNNNNNNNNNNNNNNNNNNNNNNNNNNNNNNNNNNNNNNNNNNNNNNNNNNNNNNNNNNNNNNNNNNNNNNNNNNNNNNNNNNNNNNNNNNNNNNNNNNNNNNNNNNNNNNNNNNNNNNNNNNNNNNNNNNNNNNNNNNNNNNNNNNNNNNNNNNNNNNNNNNNNNNNNNNNNNNNNNNNNNNNNNNNNNNNNNNNNNNNNNNNNNNNNNNNNNNNNNNNNNNNNNNNNNNNNNNNNNNNNNNNNNNNNNNNNNNNNNNNNNNNNNNNNNNNNNNNNNNNNNNNNNNNNNNNNNNNNNNNNNNNNNNNNNNNNNNNNNNNNNNNNNNNNNNNNNNNNNNNNNNNNNNNNNNNNNNNNNNNNNNNNNNNNNNNNNNNNNNNNNNNNNNNNNNNNNNNNNNNNNNNNNNNNNNNNNNNNNNNNNNNNNNNNNNNNNNNNNNNNNNNNNNNNNNNNNNNNNNNNNNNNNNNNNNNNNNNNNNNNNNNNNNNNNNNNNNNNNNNNNNNNNNNNNNNNNNNNNNNNNNNNNNNNNNNNNNNNNNNNNNNNNNNNNNNNNNNNNNNNNNNNNNNNNNNNNNNNNNNNNNNNNNNNNNNNNNNNNNNNNNNNNNNNNNNNNNNNNNNNNNNNNNNNNNNNNNNNNNNNNNNNNNNNNNNNNNNNNNNNNNNNNNNNNNNNNNNNNNNNNNNNNNNNNNNNNNNNNNNNNNNNNNNNNNNNNNNNNNNNNNNNNNNNNNNNNNNNNNNNNNNNNNNNNNNNNNNNNNNNNNNNNNNNNNNNNNNNNNNNNNNNNNNNNNNNNNNNNNNNNNNNNNNNNNNNNNNNNNNNNNNNNNNNNNNNNNNNNNNNNNNNNNNNNNNNNNNNNNNNNNNNNNNNNNNNNNNNNNNNNNNNNNNNNNNNNNNNNNNNNNNNNNNNNNNNNNNNNNNNNNNNNNNNNNNNNNNNNNNNNNNNNNNNNNNNNNNNNNNNNNNNNNNNNNNNNNNNNNNNNNNNNNNNNNNNNNNNNNNNNNNNNNNNNNNNNNNNNNNNNNNNNNNNNACAAUUUUGUUAUGCCCCAAACCGUUGGGAGAAACAUGACGCCCCACGUUUACCCACGAUUCGGUGGUUGGAGACCCAUGAAGGUUUGUCAUCACCCGAAAAUGAGGGGCAUGAAUAAGACUCAGAAAACAGGGAUGAUUGCCUAUAAAAGGCCAAGAAAUCGAUGAAAAAUGGGAGACACAAAUUGAGAGUAAAGGGGAAACUCUGUCAAAUUAUAAUCAGAAAUUCAUAUAUCCAAAUCCUUGAUACAUUUGGUAUUGAGAAUAUUGCAACUAAUAUGUACAACACAAAUCAUUCACUUUUCUCGUAAACACCUUGUACUAACUUAAGUAUCGAAGGGUUUAUGCCCAAAAAACCAUCGGCGUCUCUGAUUUGUUUCUGUGAACGCAGGCCUGGAAGGAAGAAGACGGGUGAUUUGGGUCCAGAAGCUCGGGAAAUUGCUGAAGCUAAUGGAUCGCAGCCUCUGUUCCUUUGCCAAUACAAGCGUUGGUGAACCAAUCUGGUCGGUCCAAAGGCGACUAGAUUUCAGCAUCAACAGAUAUUAUUUUGAUGAAUUUUUUAAUAUUAGAAUAAUGUUAGGAAUUCCAAUAAUAAAAUUCUAACUUGAGACCCAAUUGUUAUGUGUUAUUUUUUAUUGAAUAAUGAAUUUCACAACUAAUAAAAUUUAUAUUUCCAUCAUCUAAUAAAUGACUACCAUAUCAGUUGGGACUCAAUUAUUAGGAUCCUUAACAUUGCUCUUAGUAUUAAAUUGGACAUCUUAGCUAAAUCAGAUUAAAAAUCAAAUUAGUUUUUAGGCUUUUAUUCAACAUCUCUUUUUUUUUUUUUUUUGUCUAUUGGAAGUGAACGAAUAAAAAUACAACAGGGUCAACGACUGGGCAAUUGGUAGUCAAGUAGAAGCAAAUCAAGGCUAAAUGGGAAAGAGAAAUGAUAUUUGUGCAAAAUAAGGAGAAAAUCAGUGUAACAGAAGAGAAUCAAAGUGCUUUUGAGAUAAAAAAUUGAAACAAGAAAAGGGUCGCUUGAUCCAAUGAAAAUGCAAAGAGCUGAUGGCAAAAGGGAACAAAGUUAAAUAAGAAAACAGCUAGCGCUAGCAGCGACCACAAUAAACAGAAAAUUUGAGAUGGAUUUACAAUAUUUCUGCCUUUCUUUAUGCUUUAAAAAUAUUGCUCUAUCAAAAAAAAAAUAUUGAACAUUUUUAUUAUUGGAGUCACAAAUGACCUACACAAUAUAGCAAGUGACUAGGAAUAAUAAGAAUAUAUAACUCUCUCUAAUUCUCACUCUGGCUUUUAAUUGUCACUCAAAACCCAGAAUUCAUCCUUAAAGUGUAGGCAAAUCAAGGAUGACACCGUUUGGUUGUCAUACGUGCCUUUUAGUUUUCGGAUGACAUGGCGUACACUUCUUCUGUAAACCCAACAAGACAUGUCGUACUCUUUUGUUUUGAGAUUCUAUUUCAAACUUUUCAUGCUAUGAAUGAAAGAUAAACUCCAAUCAUCAAAAUAUUUAGUGUUUGGUAAUGUAAUGUCAUAGUUGUGAAUUGAAAUUAUUUCUAUAAAAAUAAAGGAUUUGGGUCAUUGUUUGUUAUUUUCUGACAACAUUUAUUAAAUAUUAAAAAUAAAUUUAUAUUUAUUAGGUAUUAAAAAUAAAUAAACAAACAAAAAUAAAAGUAAAAGUUUAUACAUUACGUAAAAAUAAUGACAAUAUCAAUAUUUCGCACUCUAUAAUGAGUGAUGUGUGUCCAACUGGCAUACAUUGUCCCAAACGGAGACUUAAAUAUCAAAGUCCAAAGUUAUUAUGAUGAUGACUUAUAAUCGCCAAACUUGACAUACGGGUAAUCAUGCAUUAUAAGGUGCUAAUUUCUUCCGAUCGGAACCUUAUUUUCAUUUACAAAUAAAUAAAUGAUGUGACUUCACGGUUGGCGGGGUCCUUUGUGUCAUUUGGGCAUUUCACUAAAUGAUUGAUUGUAGCAGGAAGAUUCCUGGAAGUUGCCAUUUGCCAAUGCUACUAACAUUUUCAAACUUGGAAAACCCUUCAAUCAAUCUUUAGUGGAGGCUCUGGUAACUUGGUUUGAUUAUGACGUUAAUAUUUGAUAAUAAAGUUAGAGGAUGUAUUAAUAUAAAAUUUGUUUAUUGGUGUUGAAGUUAAUUAUCUCAUUAAUUAUAGUAUAAAAAGUUAAUUACUAAGAAACACAUAGCAAUAGUUAAUGGUGUCAUAUUAUUGGGAUUCUGGGAUACAAUUUAUAUCAUAACUUGUAAGUGUAUACUUACUCAUCAAACUAAUAAAAUUAUUUAAAAAUUUCAGUUGGAAAAAUAAAUUAUAUUAUUUUCAUUUCAAAUAAUCUAUAAGUUAACUCAAAACAUAAUCAAGCUGAGAAUUAAAAUAAUGCUACUGUAUGAGAGGAUUUUUAUUUUUUCCCGGAAGUUUCACUAGGAAAUUAUUGAUACAUAGCUUAUUCGGAUCAUUCUCAGUUCAAACGACAAAUAAUUGAAAGACUAAGCUAAAUAGACCAGCCAACAACUUUGUACAAGAGAGUUCAAAAAUUAAGGUCAUGGUAUUAAGGUGUUCUAUCUUGAAAAGUAUAGAGUAGUAAUAAAAUAAAAACUAAUAUUUUUGGUAAGAUAUGACAUUUAAAUAAUAAUUUCACAAAAUACAAAGGAAUAUUUAUAAAUUACUUUUAUAGUGAGGGGACCUCACUCUGUUAAAGUGAAAAUAUCAAUAAUAUACAAAAGACAUAUAUUUUAACACAUUAAAAAUUGUAUUUUUUUUAUCUAUUGUUAUUGAAAUAUGUGUUAUUUAGUUUGUUAGUGAUAUCAUUACUUUGUUAAAAUGAGAAUGUCGUUACUAGAGAAUCAUUAUGUAUACAUAUAUAAAGUGCUUCUGUCCAAGAACUAGACUUUAUUAAAAUUUGAGAAAGCAAAUAUAUUUUAUAUGGUAUAAUAGUGUAAUAACAUCACACUAUUAUAUCAUAUAGAGUAAUAGUUUUUCGAACUUUAAUAAAAUUCAAGAUUAUAGAAUGAAUGAUUUUUAUAUAUUAUAAAUUUUUUUAUCAUAAAUGGAGGACAAAAUUAACAUAUUUCAAAUUAUAAUAAGCAUUUAUCAAAUAAUUUAACAUUGCAAUUUCUCCUAACUAGUAUAGUAAAUAAUACGACCUAGGAGAUACAUUCAAAGCAUUUCAUAAGUUAGUUGUUUAAUAAUAAAUUAUAUAUGCAGCUCCAAUCAUCAUUGUACGGUGAGUAAUUUCCAGUUAUAAAUAGAUAUUACUCCCUUCCCAGCAAUUUUUGAUGACUUAAUUUAGUGGAUCAAAAUCACAUUGAAUUUUUGACCAGCUGCACAACUUGUGAGCAGUUCACAGUGGGUACUGCACAUGAUGCCUGUUUCUCCUUUUGCAUCUAUUUUGUUGUUAACAUUAAUUUCAAUAGCAGCUCGUUAAUCCCAUUUGUUGAUUUGGGACUAGAUAAGAAUUUAUCUUGGAACUCCAAUUCUCCAAUUAUUUUAGUUGACAAUAUAUUUAACAUUAUUAAUUGCAUAUUAUUUAAUUAUCAGUAUAUAAUAUUCUUUAAUUUUCUAAUUUUAUAGGAUUAGACACAAAAUUGAUUAUGCCUUUUGAAAUUUAAGGGUUAUGUCAAUUGAAUAGAAAACUUGGAGGUAAACUUGUGGAUGUUUUGUUGAUUAUCAAUUUAUGCAUGAAUUUUUGUACGUUUACUUUGGUUUAUAAUUAUUACUUUUAAACAUUUUUAUUGGUUUGAUUUAGGGUCAAUUUGGUAAUCCUGUAGCUUUUAAAAUAAUUACAAUUAGCUAUGCUGUAGAAAAUUGAUCAAUCGUCAAGAGAAUCAGCUGAGCAUUUAGUAAAAUUUAUUUUUUAAAAGUACUUUUAGUUUUAAAAGCGUUGUAUGAAUAAAACUGUUACACUAAAAAUUAAAUGUAUUGCCACUUGGGUAAAUAAAGCUAUAUAUUACAACUGUUACACUAAAAAUUAAAUGUAUCUUAAACCCAAACUUCUUCUUCUUCUUUUUUUGACUAACAAAAUUAAAAACAAUAGUGAACACAUUCUUUAAUAAACAAUAAGUAAUAAAUAAAAUCGUGUUAAAUUUCUUAAAAACUUUCUUUCACGGUUUGCUAAAUAUUUUUAUUAGUAUUUUAAAUAAAUAAAAUAGUUGAUUUAAUUUUUUAAAUAAACUUAUUAGGUUCAUGUAAAGAUGUUUUUGUUAUUUUAAAAAGUGUAGAAAGUACUCCUAAAAAAAAGCGUAGAAAGUAAAACUUAAUUUUUUAAAUUUAUUAGCUGAGUGCAUAAAUAAUUGAGUGUUCAUAAUGAUUUUAAAGUAUAGAUAGUCGGACCCUAAUAUUUUUAAUAAAUGGAAAUUUUGCUAAUAUGUUAAUGAGAAUUAAAAAGAUAAUUAAGGGAGGCAAUCGAGACAUUCAGGAUAGUUAGGAUGGGACAUGAUUGUGAGCGGUUAGAUAUUGGUCCUAAUUUUGAUCACAAAUAUAUAAACAGGACGAGUUUAUCUCUACUUACAUUCCAUUUGAUAAUUUAAGAUGAGAGUGGAAUUGUCAAAUCCCAAUCAUCCCGGACCACUGCCACAAGGGGUACUCUCACUAAUAAUAUCUAAAGAAAAAUCUACAUCUAUUUCAUACUUUUUUUUAAUGGAAAGAGCCCUCAUGGGGCUUGAAUGGUAUCCUAAAUAAUAUUGAGAAUAUCAGGUCAUGAUUGGGUUUGUGACAAACAAAUACUACAUAGUUGGGAUACGUAGUUAUAAUGUCCCAAUUUAUGUAGUAUCUAUCAUUUAGCGCACAUAUAAAAUAUUAAUCAGCUUAAUUAAUUUAUAAAAUUUAAAUCUAAUUAAUAAGUGAUACAUAAUGCCAAGUGCAAUACUGUAUAUGCAAAUCAUGUUUGUGGAUCAUUACAAAAUUGGCUCUUGAAAACAAGCAAGAAAGCUUAAUUAAGAACUUAAAACAAAAGAAUUAGAUUGAGAACAGUCAAGCCUUAUUUUUUCAAGGAUGGAGCUUAUAAAUCUUCAAGUACCAACAUACGCUUGGCCCAAUUGUUGUUAUUAAAAUUUCAAUAUACAUAUAUAAGUAUGAUAUAGCAAAAAUUUGAUGGUACAUAUGUCGGAAUAUACUAGUUCAUGGGUGCAUUUGAUUAUUGUUUCCAUAAUUUUGAACCAGGAAGGACGACACGAUUAAAAUUUGAUUUUAUGGUAUGGUUGAUUUCAUAGCUCAUGCACUCAUUUCUUAAGAUAAUCAAAUUUUCUCUGACAUCUUUUUCAACUGUCGAAAUAUCAAUUAUGAUCAAUCAAAACGAUUUCAAAACCUUUCAACGAGACAUAUUUCUAAUACAAUAUUGUGAAAAUUACACUAAAAAAUUAAUUUAUUAUAUAUUAUUAUCCAACGAGCACACAAAAUGAUUUCGUACAAAUCUAAAAUACUAAGCAAUUUUCAAAUAGAAUUUACCAUGUACUACAAGAAAAUAGGGUAUAUGUGACCCCUACUGUGAAUGCAAAAGCAGCCAUUACGCAUAACCCCGAGUUGCUUUUGUUACCCUUUAUGUGACGGCCACACUGCUGUCACAUAUGUUACGAACCGCGUGACGGUGAAGAGCCGUUCGGUUAUACUAAUAUUUUAGAAUUUUAAAUUUAUUUCCAGUUAGAAAACUAUUCGCUGGACUCCGUGUUGCUGGCCACCAUCGUAAACAUAACUGGUUGCCAGCGAACGGCGUAAAACGCCGGCCAUCUUCUUCUUCAACGUAUUCUCCCUUCAUCUUUUGAGGUAAGCUUGUGAUUAUGAGUUUCUUCUCUUACUUAGCUUGUAAUUAUAGAUUUUGAUUUUUUUUAAUUCGUAUUGUAGCCGUUAUUGUCAAUUUUUGUCCCGCCAGCAAUAUUUUUUUAUUCCUACAAGUUGAACCCCUGUGUUCUUGUUCCAUUGGUGAGUUUGCUCACUCAAAUUAAUUUUGUUCUGCGGAAUUUACAAAGUUCAAAUGGAUUCAUUUGAAUUACUAUUGAAUUUAGCUUUAAUUCCAACAUCCAUUCUAAUGUUUUGCAAUUAGAUUUAAUUUAAUUUUAUGUUUAAAGCUUCUACAAUGAAUAGCGGAGCUUGGGUUUUAGUUUCAUUUUCUGGAUAACUUGUUUUAGUUUAUCUUGUAUGCUCACCAAAUGCUUGUUAUAUUGUCUGAUAAGUUAUAUACAUUGCUGAUUCUACAUUAAUAAUGUUACGUUGUAUUUUCAGAAAUUAUAAUACAAAAGUUUUUGCAAUGGCGUGCAUCUACAAACUGAAUUGACUUGUAGAAUAAGAGCUCGGAGUAGUGUUAUGUUCUUGAAUAAUUGAAAGUUCAUAUUGUGUAAGAGCAUGUAGAUGUAAAGCAUCAUUACCAUUUCUACAAAGUGCUUUCAUUCUGUUCAUAUGCUCUUCUUGAACUUUGAAAGGUGCCUCGUUCAAGUCCUAGCUAUAACUACUAGCUUUGAUUAAUUAAGUUCCUAUACUAGCUGAAACAGAUUUAUUUAAUUAAUUAAUUGUGUAUGUACUAAUUAUAUUGAAAGUAUAUGAAUUUUUUUUUAACAUGAAUGACUUCUAAAUGACUUAAAAACCUAAAGGAUGUGUGAAACAAUGCUCAUUUCAUUUGAAUGAGCCCAUUAAUACUUUUAUGUCUAUGAUUUUCAAUAUUGGCUAAAGCAUUUCAGUUAAGUGGUUUACCUAACAGAGAAAAAAAUUUAAUAGAAAACUUCAGAGUUCUAACAGAAAUAUAGUUCACUAUGCAGAUAUAGUUAUUUUACGGUAUACAAAUCAAGUUGUCCUAAUCUCAAUGUCCUAUGACCGAUUUUAUUUUAUAUAGUCAUUAAUUUUUUCCUUGGUUUUUUGUGUUUAUGAGUAUGAAAUAGUGGGAUUUGGUGUACCUUAGCAUCUUUUGAAAAUUCUCUUUCAGUGUGGCCAACAGAAAUAUACAUAUAAUCAAGUUUCUUAAUCGUGUAUAUUAGUUUUGGGUAUGAAUGUUCCUAUUCUAGUUCGAGGCAAAGCUUCUUCGUUUUGGUCUUCAGAUUUCCAGUAGGUUAAGUUAAUCAACUAUCAUAACUGGCUAGCUAGUUAUUGUCUGCCUUGGCGCCAUUACCCAGGCCAUUAUAUUGCAUAGCAUAAGGAAUAGUGAUUAGGGGAUUAUUAGUGAUUUGUUGAGCUUAUUAUCGACCAAACAAACAUAUUCGCCUUUGCCCACAACUUAGUUUGAUUAGUUAUUAGACCAUAAAGAGCCUUGAUCUAUUCAUUGGCUUUAUUAUUUUUAUUUGGUUUUUCUUUCAACAAUAUUGUUGAUUUCUUAUAAAAAUAUUCAUUGGUUUUUAAAACACCUAAUCAUUGGCUAUAUGAAGCUAAUUAAAACUGAGGCUUUGGAUCAAUUUCUUCUAACAAGAUACAAAUGAGCAUUAACCUAUCUCCUAUGAGUAAAUUUUUUUAAUAUCCUUGAUUUGUAAGGAUCUGGAGGCCUGAAAUCCUCUAGAUUUUUUUUAACACUGUCAAUGUUCUUUUUAUUCUGAGAAGGAAAUAAAAGGUUUUAUCUUUCAUACCCAAAUAGUAAGCUGGCCUUGUCUUAACAUGGCCUCCGAGGACUUGCAAGAUUCAUAGUGCCCCCCACCCCAAAAAAUAAAAAAUAAAAAACACAAAUAGGAAGAUUUUGCAAGAUUCACCACCAGGUUUUUUUUUAAUUUGUUAAUUGUGUGUACGUGCUAGUUAUAUGUUGAAAGAAUAGGAAGAAGUAUUUCAACAUGAAUGACUUAAAACUUAUUGCUCAGUAAACAUAAUCUGCAUGUAUUUAUCGUUUGUAUUUUUUAUGGUUUUGCUAAAGAAAUGAUAUGUGAAAUAAUGCUACAUUGCAUCAGGAAUAAAUUGAAGAGAUUUAUGAUAUUUAUGUGUUAUUCAAAUUUCAGAUUCAAUUUUAAACUUUUGAUACGUGCAUUGAAAGCUUAGACUUGUUUAAGAAAUUAUUAAUAGACACAUGUUUUUAUUAGUGUCAUCUUUGGAUGAUAGUGAGGAUCAUAUGUCUAUUAAUAAUUCUUGAAUUGUCCAGGCUUGGACAGUUUGGGAAUGCAUAGUUCACUCUGGUAGCUAGUAGCUGAAGUUUUUUCCCACGUAAAAAUGGGUUUUUCAGUAGCUGCUCCUCGUGUUCUCUGGGUACGUACUAGGUGAAUGGGUGUCAUGUGUUGUUUUGGCAUAACGCAUAAACACUUAUAUAGCUAUGUCGUGUGCUUGGAGAAUUAUAGGGAGAUGGUGCCGAAAUUUUUAUAAACGUGGAAGAAAACUUUAGGUACUUGAGAUUGAAGAAACUUAUGCAUUCUUGAGUGGGAUAUGUAGGAUUACUUACCUUUUGUAAAUAUGAAGGGAAUGUUGGAUAUAUUGGGGAUAGUGUAGGAGCUGAGUUGGAUGAAUGUAAUUGGUGAUGAUUUUGCUGAGCUGACCUUGGUUUUGAGCUUGUAAUUUGUUGUAAAUGGAGUGCUAUCUCCAAUGUUGGUUUAUAAAUAUGUUUCAGGACUUGCUGACCUAAUUUUUUGUUUCUAGGUUACAGGCUUUAUAUAUCUGUAAUUGAUGGCGAAGUGAAGUUCCCAGAACUUGGCGAGGAUGUUUCUUUACAGAAGGUAUUGGAAACUGUUUUUUACAUUAAUUAUUGUUGUAUAUAUACUUUGAUUUUCACAUCUUUUUCUCUGAUUCUUGUGGCUUUGCUUGCUUUCAUAUAUGUAAAUUCUAAUGAAAUUAACCAUAAAAUUGUAAAAUGAUCUUUUUAUUAUAUUGCAAAACUGUGCACACACGAAAAUAUAUUGUUUAGUAGUAGAAAUGAAGAACUAAAAUGAUUUACUUAACUAAUUUUUGUAGCGCAUUAAAAGGAGAUAGUCAUGGACAUGUGUUGGGUUGGUUUGCCAAAUAGAUAUCCAAGUCAUAUACUGAUGGGGAUGAAAAAUUUAUAGAUUUUGCAUUUGAGAAUGUUGUUGGUGGUACAAGAAUUUAAUGUCCUUUUAAGAAGUGUUGUAAUCUAUAUUUCGUUAUAAGGAAAGUGGCUGAUGAUGAUAUGGUUGGAAUGAUACAAUGCAUCACGUAAUCAAAUGUUCAAGUUACACGGAGCAUUGUUAUGGACUAUCAGUGACUUUCUAGCAUUGCCAACUUGUCUGGGUGGAGUAUUAAAGGUAAAUAAGCAUGUCUUGUUUGCCAACAAAACACUAGAUCUAAUUGGUUGAUACAUAGUAGAAAAUUUUGUCACGUGGGUCACCGUCGAUUUUUACCAACAAAUCAUAGGUUUCGAAAAUAUAGUGUCUUUUGAUAAAACUAGAGAGUAGGGACCAGCACAUUCUCGGUUGUCUGGAUCUGAAGUGAAAAAGCAGUUUAAUAUACUUACUGAGUAUAAGAUUGAAGACUUGAAAAUAGGAGAAUGAAUAAAAUGAGAGAAAUGAUAAGAUUACUUGGAAGAAGAAAAGCAUAUUUUAUGAACUACCGUGUUGGGAGUUCAAUUUGAUUCAUCAUAAUCUUGAUCUCAUGGGCUGUUUUGAUUUUUGUUAUGAACUCAGAUCAAAAGUUUAAUGUGAUCAAAAUUUCUUAAAAAUAGUGAAAAACGACUCCUAAUAAUAUGGAAGAUGGCUAUAAAAGAUAAAAGGAAAGGCUUAAAAAGAAAAGCCAUGCCUGUCCAAAAAAAAAAAAAAAUCAACAAAAAUCAAAACGGUGCGUUUGAGAGUGUAUAAAAUACAUUUAGAGUGGGAGUUGUGUUGUUGCUUGAAGGCAGAAAGAUAUUUGUCGACGAAGCCAAAACCAAAGAUGAAGCCCAUAAAGCUCAAAACUCCACCGGAGCAAAUUCAGACAAUUACGAGGGUUAUGUUUGACAUAGUCAAGGAAGACGGUCCUCUCACCGUUGCCGAAACUUGGGAACGCGUCAAGGUGUGUGUAUCUGUUAAAUUGAAUUUCAACCGUUUGAUCUGUAAUUAUAAUUAAUCCAAUCGAUCUGACAGUGAUCACUGACCAUAAUACUAGUAGUUGUUUUACAUUUUCAGCAGGCUAGAGCGGGUGGAUUGACGGGCAAAAGCUCAGGCUCGUCUGCAAUCACAUGGGCCCUCAUAAGCAAAUCCUGUACACAACUUGGUUCACUAAACCCAACAACUUGAAGCAGCCAAAAUCAGGGAAUGAUCCUUCUCCGUCACAACCCUAGCUGCCUUAACCUUGUAGUGACACGGUGAAGAUGGAAGCCCCUCAGCAUGUAAACUUUUCAACAGCGACAGAGCUCUUAUUCCAGAGGCUGCACAGAAGAGCGACCUGAAUCCUCUUCAAAACUUUCAAAUUUUUAUCAAGUAAAGCUUUCAAAAUUUCUCAACAAACUGAUUAUUUGGUGUGGUUGCCACAUUUUGUGCAACUGCUAUUCGUCUUCAAGUACAAAUUCCUUGCCUUCUAAGUUAGGGAACAUAGAUGUGGAGCAAACAGGGAAAUAGAUGUGGAGCAAACAGGGAAACAGCAAUGAUGGCAAUUAACAAACUAAUAGCAGUAUUACAUUUGAUUCUUUAGCCCAAUUUUGUUCCUUCUGUCAGCCAUUCUUCAAAAGUUUUUGAAAAUUAGAUGUGAAGCAAAAAAAAAACAAAUUUAGACAACAGAAGCCCUGUGCUCAACAUCAUAUAUAUACCUUGAAUACCUAAUAUACUAAAUUUCACAUAUAAAAUACUAGAGAUUUCAAACAGUACCAGCAAUAGAAUAAUGACAACGACAACAAUAACAGAAAAUUACAAGAUUGCUGACAAAAUUUAUGUGAUUUACUGUGCCUUUAUGCAUGCAAAAUGAAACUGAAGAUAAAAAAUUUAGGGAAAAGGACACAGAGACCCCCAACGUUUGAAUAAGGGACACAAAAUCCCUUAAUGUUUCAAAAAAGACACUCAGACCCCCAUUUGUUAACAUUAAAUUAUAAUUUUACCAUUGUACCCUUAUAGCAUAUUAAAAAAUAAUUAUUCAUUAUCCAAUUUAUUUCUAUAUUAUUAAUAAAAUUACGAAUAUAACUUCAUUACUCAAUUUUUCCAUUUAAUUUUUAUCAAAUUUUAUCUUCAAACUAAAUAAAUUUAAUCCAUUGCUCAAAAAUAAAAAUAAAUUAAAUUGAUUAUUAAUAUAAUAAAAAUAACAAUUCUCCAUAUGUUAUUUCUUAUAAUUUCUUAUAUAUAAAUUAAAUUGAUAAUUUCUUAAAAAUAACAAUUCUCCAUAUAUAAAUUAAAUUUAUUUUAAUUUAAUAUAUGUUAUUUUUAUAUUAAAUAUAUGUUAUUUUUAUUAUAUUAGUAAUCAAUUUAAUUUAUUUUUAUUCUUGAGUAAUGGAUUAAAUUUAUUUAGUUUGAAGAGAAAAUUUGACAAAAAUUAAAUGGAAAAAUUGGAUAAUGAAGUUAUAUUCGUAAUUUUAUUAAUAAUAUAGGAAUAAAUUGAACAAUGAACAAUUAUUUUUUAAUAUGCUAUGAGGGUAUAAUGGUAAAAUUAUAAUUUACUGUUAACAAAUGGGGGUCUCAGUGUUUUUUUUGAAACAUUAGGGGGUUUUGUGUCCCUUAUUCAAACGUUGGGGGUCUCUGUGUCCUUUUCCCAAAAAUUUAUAAACUAGAAAUUUAUAAUAAUCUAACUUAUUCUCGUUACUAUUAAAAAAUAAGUAAACAUAUCAAUAACAAUAUAGUUUAUUAUGAUUAUAAUUCAUUCAAUUAAAAUAAAUAAUUUAUUCUUAUUUCUAUUCUCUAUUCUAAUUUCAGUAAAUUUUGAUUUUAGUUUAUUUUAAUUAUUGAUUAGUUGUAAACUUAACUGGAAAUUUAUUGCAUAUAUUACGAGAAGCAGUACACACCAAUGGUAAAUUGAUACAUCGUUUUUGAGCUUAAGAUAGUCAAAUGAAAGAAACACAACGUAGGGUUCAUGAAACACUUUCAAAGCUGCUGAUGACUUAAAGUGAAUAACCUCAGCAUGUAAACUUAACUUCAAAGGACGGAGCACAAGUUUCACAGAAAAACAGCUCUUAUUUCUGAUGCUGCGAACACAGAGGAGUGACCUCAAUCUUCUUCAUCACUUGGGAAUUCUGCAAUUAUAGAGCACGACAUUGAGCAUGAACUAGAAAAAAUAUUUAUUUUCUACAAUUUUCAUAUAACCUCACUAACCAAGAUUAAUUUUGUGGUAAUGUAUUGGGUCAUUAAUUCAUAUGUUUUUACUGUCAUCACUUUAGAAAAAACUAAUUUCUCAAUGUGAAAUGGCCCAUAAAAGGUAUUCUCAUUUAAAAACUAAAUUUGACAAACCCCUCGAUUAAAGCAGGGGAGAGAAAAGAAAAAAAAAAAGAUCUGAAGGCUUUCCACAUGAAAAUGUUGUCACUUUGGAUGAUAUUUUCAAGGGAUUUCAUUCUAAAAAUAAAAUACCUGGGACCUUAUUCUUCAAAUUGACAGCUCGCCCAGUACUAAACGCGUAUGAGAUCAGUACUGGGACAAGUAACGAGACGACCCCUCCAACAGCUGAAAAUAAAAUUCGCAUUCAUCAAUUUAAAUUGAAAUUCAUAUUAUGAAAUUAAAACUAAUGAUUAAUGAAUUUUCAAGGAAUUUAAUAAGAUUCUCAUAUAUAAACGUGAUAAAAAAUUCACUCAUCAAUAACAAAUAUUCUAACAUUUUGUUGAUGUAAUUGUUGUAUGGUUGUGUUAAGGUCAUUAUUAGACCAACGCAGUUUGUCAUCACUCAUUCCGUACCAGACGUUUACUCUCGGAGGCGUGAUUGAUUCUCCUUUGGUGAAAUCUUCAUCUUCGGACAACCAAUCACAGUAAGAUAUUCCAAAGAUGGGAAUUUGAAGGCGUAAUUGCCAGAGGAGAAGCUUGUGAGACUAUCUAAAUCAAACAGGGACAACGUAGUCAGUUUGCUGAAAACAAUCUCUUCUUUUAAAUAUGCUGUUUCAUUUCAAGACUGGCAAAAUUCAUUGUGUAAUCAAAGUUUUCAAUGAUCCAACUAAUAUAUAUAUAUAUGUAUGUAUAUUCCUUCUCUAGUGCAGACAUUCUCAUUUUUUUUUUUCAUGUGGACCAGUUUUUAGAUCCCCUGGUUUAAAAGAGUUAGUUUUUAACUCUUUAAAACCGCAUGGCUUCAUAAUUUAUUUAAAAACUAACUCUCUUAAACCGCACGGUUUAAAAGCGUGUCCACAUUAAAAAAAAAUACGGACCCCCACACCUGAGAAUGAUUAUAUAUAUAUAUAUAUAUAUAUAUAGACACACGCUCUUAAACCGUGGGAUUUGAAAGCUUCUCCGCAUGAAGAAAGUAAAAAAUAAGGGCAUUCCCACUAGAAACAAACUCCAUAUAGGUAUUUAUUAAACCUCCUGAUCUGUGAGUGAGGAACAACAAAUAUAAUUGAUAAAAAAAAUCUAAAAUUUGGUUUCAUACCUUCUUGAACGAGAACAGGGGUUGUUGUGCCGGAAUACCAAAUUGAUCAUUCUCGUUAUUCUGGGACAACGUUAUUUUAUCACAAUUACAGGCCUCCAAUGUUUUUUAGUGCUGGCCAUUCUGAAGUAUGCAUUCCAGGGUAUAAACAUCCGAGUUCUGGUAGACCUUCGAGAUUCAGAGUGGUCACUUGUGGAAAGACAAAAUAUGGGGUCACUUGAUCUGCUCUGUCUUUGGAGAUGAUCUCUUGUAAACCCAUACAUAUCCGUAUCUCCAGGUGUUGGAGGUGCUCAAGGCUUUGGAUCAUAGAAGCUGAAAAUAUGUAUUUUAAUUUGUCACAGCCCCACACUAUCAAUCGUGUCAAACUUUGAAAGCCGCAAGUUGAUUGUCAUGCAAAAUCUCGUCGACAUUAAUAGCAUUCAGCUCCAAAGCCUCCAAAUUUGGCAACACUACCUGAAGAUAAUUUUCUCUUUAGAUCCAAUAUCCGUAUGGAAAGCACUUGUUUUGACACAAUAUCCAUAUAAGAAGCACUUAAUUAAGAGCUUAAUUAGCGAGUGUAUGAGACUUUUUUUUUUUCAAAUGCCAGUGCAUGAUAGAACUAAAAAAAAAAAAGAAGCAUUAGCCUACGUACCUUCUCGUUGAAAAGCAGAGUUGACGUUUCCGAACUGAUCUCGUUGGAACUGGCUGUCAAUUCCUCUUGCGACUCUUGUCUGUUUGGUGAUGUGGAAGAAGUCUUCACUUCACCGCAAAACCUUGUAACCUUUGGAAGCUUUCCCAGACUCAAAGAUCUUAAUUGACCAAACUCUAUCUUCCCAUCAACAUCAACAUCAGCUUCUCCUCCAGUUGCAAAAAUCUCUUCCAUGCUGCUGCAAUUGAUAACUGCAAUCCUCUCCAGUCUUGGAAGGCAUUUUGUACUACUAGAGAGCCAGAAGAUAUUACUCAACUCAUCACAAUUUUCUACUUUUAUGGUUUUGAGUUCAUUGAAGGACUCUAUUUUGAGUCGAUCAAUACAUAUCCUCUCCAUAUUGAUCAAAUUUUGAAGAGUAUGGGACUCCAAAAGAGGAAAGGCGACACAUGGUUCUCUCUCCAUUGAAUCGACGAUACACAGGAAGUCUGGAUUAUUUUGAACAUGGAGAUGCUUCAAUUGUGAAAAGCCCUCAGUGUCCAAUUCUAAAACAACAUUCUUGAUUCCUUGCAACUUAUCCAAACAUAAGUAUUCAACGUUAUUGAUGCGCUGCAACUUCUCGGAGCAAAUGGCCAUAGAAUCAAGCUUGAGCUUCAAUGUUCUUAAACUCUCAUGAUUACUGAUCAUAAAGUGCUGCCGACUUUCAAACCAAUCAUUCUCAAUAACCAGGGUAGAGUCGAAUGAUGCAUCUCCUAUUGAUAUAUCAAACCUUUCCAGCUUUUUGGAAAAAAAGCCAUCCGGUAAAAUGCUAUCAUUUUUAACAUCUAUCUAAGGUGGUCAAUCGCCUCAUAUGCAUCAAUUCGUCGAGGGUGGCAUUACUUCUUUCACUAUUGGCCUUUUCAACUUCCCAUUCAAUAGGGGAAUUACCCAUAUACAGUUCUUCCAAUCGAGUGAAGCUUGAUAAGACGUUGGGCACAAUAAAUUUUAGUUGCAAACAAUCUGUUAAAUCUAACAGCCUUAACUUAGUCAGUUGACCUAGUUCGCCAGGCAACCGUACAAUAUCAGAAUUUAAAAAGCUAAGGAUUUCUAGAUUCUUCAACUUUCCAAUUAUGGCUAUGUCUCCCAACAUGCUUUGAUCUAGACAGAGUGUUUGAAGAUUUGCUAGAAGACCGAUUGAAGAUGGCAAUGAAAAUAAUCGCAUUCGUGUCAAAUCUACAACUCGAAGCUUUUUCAGCCCUUUGAAAAUGUUGUCAGGAAUAUUGACCUCAACAAAAGUGUUUUGGGAAAUAUGUAAAAAUUCAAGUUGCAGACAUUCAAAUUCCUCAGAAACUUCAUGAAUGCUACUAUUUAGUAAAGAGAUUGCAUAGCAUUUUUUAAGUGCAUCCUCAUCUGGCCACUCCCACACAGCCUCAUUUCUCACCAAUAAAGCAUGUUGGUCUCGAUUUAAACUUUAACUCAAUUUGAAAAACUGAGCAAGUAUGCGUUACAGGAAAUCAAAAAAGCUCCACAUACCCAGAUCAUGAUCUCACGUUGAAUCCAGGUGGGAGAUAUAUUUAUGAUCAAGCCCAACAUCGAAGGGGGCAAAAAAAAAAAAAAAAAAAAAAAAAUCUACCAGACAUAUGAUCAUAUUGACCACGAGCUUCAUACGCCGUGGAUUUAUUAACAAAAGUGGGAAUUAAUUAAUCAUGAGCAUGUGUUCUAGUUAAGUCAAAAGAGAGACUUAAUUAAGAACGCAUAUAUAAUUCAUAAUCAGCACAUAAAAAGAUCACUAGUGCUUGCCCCUCCUGCCCUUGCCGUGCUUGCCGUGCUUGCCCCUGCCCUUGCUCUUUCCAUGCUGGUAGUAGCCGCCGUGCUUGCCGUGUGUGUAUGCACCGUGAGCUCCAGGAUAUGCGUUAUUAUCUGCAACAAAAUAAGAAAUUAAAUCAUAAGCUUAUAAUUAGCUCGCUCGCUAAGAGUGAUUAAAAUAAUACCGUGCGGAACGGAUGGGCCAGGAUAUCCCGUUGGUGUGUAACCACUGGCGAGUGCUGCUCCUGUAGGCGGGUAGCCGGCACCGGCUGGGGCAGCAUGAUCAGCACCUUCCAUGAUUUUGAUGAUCACCUAAUAAAUAAUAACUUGGUCCAAAAUAAACAACAAUAAAUAAUUGUGAUUAAUAAAAAGUAAUAUAUUCUCUAAUUAAAACAUUAAUGAUCAUUGGAGAGCAAGCGAGAAAUACUUACUGAAUGCGAUGGGACAGACAACAUCAUGCAUAGAGAAUUGUUCAUCUUCAACGAAUUUGGCUGCCCGGUCAAUGAUGCCGUUAGCACUAACCAGCCACUUCUCAACCUUCUCUUCAAUCUCUUCCCCUUUUUCUUUUGCCUCUGAAACUCUGCGCCGAAUGCUCGUACGUUCAACCUUCAACUUCUCCAUUUCCGUCUUGAGAUUCUCAAGGUUGGCAUUGUAGUUCCGCUUGCGCAAAUAAACAAGUUGGCGUUCUGUUGGAGGAGCCAAGCAUUUUACAAGUUCCAAAACGAGAGUAACAAUGAUUUCCAGCAUCUUGAAUCCUGACAACAAUGUAGAAGUGAAGAAGGCCAAAGGACAGUCAAAACAGAGAGACAGCGUUACGACAAGCAGUUAUGGAGCUAAAAAUAAAUAACAAACAAACAGAAGCAAAGUGUUUUUCGAAUGAGAAGAAGGAAGCAAGAAAAACUUAAAACUAGUAUAAUAAAUUUAUACUAAAACUAGUAUAGUAAAACAAGAAGUCAAGAACCAGCAACUUUUACACACAAAAUAAAACCUUAAAACUAGUAUAAUAAAUUUAUCAUCAAGUUGCAGCCUUCUUAUUCAACAAUUACAGCAUUAUCUUGAGCUCUGUGUUUCUUUUUUUAAAAAUUAUUCAAAAAAAUCUGCAUUUGUUUUUCAACGAUAAAAAUUAUAUUUUUGUCUCAUAUAAUAUAAAAUUAAAAAAAAAACAAACAUAUAUUAAAGGUCUGUUUGGGAUUAUUUUUAGAGGCUCAAAAGUAAUUUUAAAAAGUUAAAUGCUAAUUUUGGUAUUUAAUAAAAUUUUUAGAAGUCACCUUUGGUAAAAUCAUCAAUCCUACAACAAAUUUUGAAAGCAAAUAGUUUUUCAAAUUUUUAUUUUGAUAAUUAAUUUUAUACUUAAUAUAAUUCCAUAUACAUCCCUACAUAUAUUAAUUAUCCUUAUUAAUUAGAAAAUAAAAUUAUUAACUUUAAAGAUAUUAUCAACAAUUACAUUGAGAUAACAAACUAAAAAUAAAAUUAAUAAUAUAAAAUAUUUAUUUUAGUAAUCAAUUAUUAUACUUACAAGAUAAAAAAUAUUUUAUUUAAAUGUUUAUAAAUGUACAAAUAAAUUUUAUUUAAUAUUAUAUUCAAUUUAGUCAUUUACAUUGUCAAUAGGACUUCUAAAAAUAAAUUUUCCUAAAUGUUUAACUAAUUCUCUUCAUAGUGAUUAUUUCCAAACAUAACUACCAAAAAUUACUAUAAUAGAUACAACAUUACCAAAAAAAUAUUGAGAUAGAUUUUAAUUAGGUAAUUGACUUAAUUAUGAAUCAAUUUAUUAUUUCCAUAUGUGUUAUCAAAACCAGCUCAAUAAUGAGAUCACUCUUUUUCUUAAAUAAAAAUAUUUGUGCCAAACAAUUGUUGCAAAAUUUCAAAUAUAAAUUACAAACAACAAAAUUUUCUAAAAUCAUAACAAUAAUUUAUGUUGUGAAUACAUGUAACUAAACCACAUUGAAAUUUUAUUGUUAGUAAAAUUGUUUUUCACGCAAAUGCAGUGACGGAUUCAGUUUCAUGUUUCACCCUCAAUAACUUAAUUUUCAUAUCUAACAAAUCAUCCAUAUUAUUAACAAUAUCAUCACCAAACAUAAUCUACCUAAACAUAAACUAAACAUAACACAUACAUAUAACUAUAUACAUACCGAAUCAGGAAAACAAUGAAAGCUACACGUAUCCGGCUCUACAAUUCCUUCUUGAUACCCUUGUGCUUCUAAAAUAAUCAACCAAUUAUAAAAAUUAGCUUAGGUGCAACUUUACCCCUUUUUUUGGGAAACUUAACUAUAAAUAAAGUAUACAAAUCUCUAAAUUAACUUCGUCCCCAUGAAAUUCGGCAUAAAUAGAAAUAGAAUUAUAGAAACCUUACUACCUUUUAUGAGAAAUCCAACUUAUAUAUUUGAGACCUCUCUCUCUAAGCACGCGCUUCCUCUCUCUGCACACUUUCCACCUUUAAAUUCUCCUUCACUAAGUUUACCUAAAAGAAUUUAGCGUUCUCCCAGUUUCUUUCGCAUUUUUCUCCGUGAAAAUUGGUGAAAAAGAGAAAGUGAUUUGAUUAUUUUAAUGUGCGACAGAUAUGGUUUCCAUCUCUGUAAUAUAAGUGUAUCAAAACGAGGUGAACAACUCUUUGUCGAGUCAGUCAAAUAUAAAAGACAAAUUACGAAACCAAGCAGAGCCAAAAAAAAAAAAAAAAAUUUCCAAUUAAAUAAUCAUCAAGUCUUUUUCAAUUAAAAUCGGAGGUGCAGAACAACUGUCAGGAGAUAAUCAUUGUUUAUGGAGCCAUAUUAUAUUUUCGAUUAAAAUAGUUGCGCGUGAACAAUUGGCAGAAUUCGUAUAAAUUGUUUUAAGGUCUAUUAUAAUUAACAUUUAACAAGUGGAAUGGCCAAUGGAUGAAGAACCACUAUAAUUAGGGGGGUUUUGUGUCCCUUAUUCAAACGUUGGGGGUCUCUGUGUCUUUUUCCCAUAAAUUUAAAAUGCUAAAGAAACUGGGGAAAUUUACAAAAAUAACCAUAAAAUUUUUGUUAUUUUUACAAUUAACCCUCUCAACUUUUUUCUAUCAACAUUAGCCAAACACGUGCUUUUCUCCCCAAAUUACCCUUCUUUACAAACCAAAAGCAACAUUCUUUCUCCCCUUUCGUCAAACAAAGGCAGCUUCCACUCUUGAAUCAUCAACCAACGACAACGGCAAAAGGCAACGAUAAAAAGUGAAAUCCGAUCAUAAUUUAUUCGGAUCCAACACUAAUCGGCAUCACAUAGUGGUAUGAGUUAUUUUCUUGCUCGUGAGUUUGCCUGUCGCACCAAAAGCCAGAUUCAUUAUAAUUAACUAUUAAUUUGAUAGGGCUGAAAUAAUUUAUUUUUUUAUAAUUUCAGGCUUAAUGGAUUCAGUUGUACUUGAAUUGUGUUACGAUGGUUGUUGGGAGACAUUAGAGGAUGGGCGUAUGGAGUAUGUCAAUGGUAAAAAUAGAGCUUUUUUGGUUGGAAAAAAUUGUCUUUUUGAUCAGUUAUUGGCAAGAGUAUACGAUGUGUUACAAAUUAAUCCUAAUGAAUAUAGUAUCACAAUGAAGACAACUUUGAGGUCUAGUAACACAUUAUAUCGUGUAUGUGCACUGCCCAUGGAUAUAUUUGAUGAUGAAAUGGUGAGGGUUGUGUUACAUAUGGCAUCCGACGUAGCUAAUUUUGGAUGCAUUCCUAUAUUUGUUACCACAUCACCUCGAGUUCCGAGUGGAGGUAUUGAGCCACAUGUCGAUACAGAAACUUCGUUUAGAGCAAAUAUGUCUAGCCUCGAUAAUGAAGAAGAGGUGUUGCCAAGGACAAUAUCACUGCAGCAAUAUUACUCUCCAAUCCACGACAAUUAUGACAACAUUGAUGAUGACGGCGUUACGUUACAGGAUGUUGGAGCAACGGUAUUUCCAAUAACGACGUCGUUGGAGCAACGGUAUUCUCCGUAUCACAAUAAUGAUUUUCGGGACAAUGAUGAUUUUCAUGAUGAGACAGAGGGGGAUAAUGUUUGUGCAGAACCUUCUAAUAAUAUGAGGGGCACUCAUUUCAAUAAUGAUGGUGAUGAUGGAGGAGCCGGUCCUUCGAAUGUUCCGUCGUUUCAGCAUGAGGAUGAGUGUGAAGACAAUACUCCUGCGAAUAAUAGAGGCAAUAGACCUAUUCUAGCAAUGGUUCGAUCGAGAAGGAGAAUUGACCCUCUCACAAGUCUUGCUCCAACUUUGCCUUCGAACAUGGUUGCUCCAAGUUUUGUUAGCAGUUGUGACUCAGAUGAUAUCAGUGUCGGUAAGCUAUUUGCUGAGAAGAAUGAGUUUAUAUUACAACUACGCAAGGUUGCCUUUCAGGAUAAGUUUGAUUUCAAGAUUGCACGGUCUACUACGACACGUUUCGAGGCUCACUGUAGUUCAGAAUCAUGUAAAUGGCGUAUUCGAGCAACUAGAUGUUCGAACGAGGAAAAUGUUCCUUGGGUGGUGCGGAGAAUUGAUAAUGUACACACUUGUCAUAAUGAGGUGUUGGUUGCUGGAUGUCAUCAAGUCAGGAGCCGGGUUGUCAGUCAUAUUAUCGCAGAUAAAUAUAUUCAAGUCAAGAGAAUUUAUACUCCGAAUGACAUAAGAGCAUAUAUGCAACAAGAAUACGGUGUUCAGUUAACAUACCAGCAGGCAUAUCGGGCAAGAGAAGUUGGUCUUGAAAUAGUUCGAGGCAACCCUGCAGAGUCAUACAACUUGCUCCCUAAAUACUCUCGCGUACUAACUGCAGCGAAUGAGGAUACAGUCACUCACAUCGAGCUGGUGCGACAGCCGCGCCUGUUACACCAAAAAAUUGGUGCGACAGGCGCGCGCUGUCGCACUUGAUCUGGUGCGACAGUGGGGCACGCAUGGGCGCGCGCGCGCGCCCUGCCCCCCUCCCUCUCCACCCCCAAAAUUAAGCCACAACACUUUAAAAUCGAAAAACAAUACUCCCAAACACCACCAACCACCACAAACACCACCACUACCACCAUUAUUCUCAAGCUAUAACUAUUAUUAUUCUAAAAUCUCAUUUUAAAUUAAUGAAAAUAAGAAAAAUGACUAACCUAGGUUUUGUUGAAGGUUGUAGAUCGUAGAUCGGAUGCCGGUGAGAGAUGGAGCCACCGCCGACGAGGGUUGAUGUUGCCGCCGAUGAUGGGAGUUGGAUCGGUUUGGGAGAGAUGAGUGAAAGGGAGUGUUGGGGAAGAGAUGAGGGAGGGGUAUUUUGGUCUCAAAAGUUGUUUAAUGGCUAAUGUUGAUAGAAAUAUUUUUGGGGGGUUAAGAUGAAAAAAAUCAAAACUUUUAUGGUUAUUGUUGUAAAUUUCCCAAGAAACUGACAUCAACGCUAAACGUGAAUCUGCAGCCCUUGCCUCAGUGUCUUUCAGGCGUUACUCGGGGUAGUUGAUAUACUGACGAGCCCUUUAUCAAUUAAUAAUCGAAAUAGAUUAAAAUAUGAAUGGAUUAGAAUAGAAUGAGUUGGAAUUAAAAUACGAAAUCACAAUCAGAUUAAUUUAUUUUUUUAAAUUGAGGAAUUAGAAUUGGAAUAAAUUAUAUAGUUAUUGAUGUGUUUAUUUUAUUUUAAAAUUACAAGAGUUGUUGUAAAUUACUAAUAUGCCCUUAAUUUUUUAUUAUAAUUAUAAUUAUUUAUUACUACAUUUGUCAUAUUAUUAAUAUUAUAAUAAUAAUGAUGAUAAUAAUAAUAAUAAUGAUUGUAACAAUUAAUAUUGAAAAAAAUUUAUUGUUAAUAAUAGUAAAUAAAAUAAGAAUAAAUAGGCAAUUAUUCACUGACCACGUGAUCUUUCGGACUCUUUCAAAAAUACACAAAUACUUUUUUCUUUGCAGAAAUCCUCCUGAAGUUUACAAAGUGUUUCAAUUGUUCACUGUCAUCUUAACUCUAUUAGAAUCUUGUUGAUGUUGUCAGGAUAAAAUUGUCAUUUUACCUAAACAUCCAAAAGGAAGUAUAAGAUGAAGCUCAACUUGGAGAAGUGUGCUUUCGGGGUUGGAUUCGGCAAAUUCCUUGGGUUCAUGGUGAGUGAUAACUCUAUGAAAUGAGAGUUAUCAUGAAAUUUUUAAGUUUAAAUCAAGACUACUCAGAGAGUAAUUGAUAUGUUUUAGUGCACUUUAAUGAUAGUUUGCAUUACAUUCAUUUUAAUUUAAGUUUAAUAAAGUUUAUGUGAUUUCUGAAUAAUUGUAUGCUUAGAACAUAUGUUUAAUUGUAGGUCAAUGGAAACUUGAAUUUCAUGGAAAAGAUGCUUUUGCAAUGGACUUAUAAAGAGGACAAACGAGCAUGGCUAUAGUAGAAUUGGAGCAAGUUUGGAACAGUGGAGUUGCUGUAGCCAUUACUGUAGCAACCAUUGAUGUAGCAAUCCUCGAGCAUUGCGAUCUGCAGUUUCCUAAUCUGAAGAAAAAGUGGCAUAAGAGAGAGAGCCAUCAAUUAAGAUCAAAAACAGAAAAGAACCAAGGAAGUAACAGAAUUCCUGAGCAGAAUUCAAGGCUGAGCCAGUUGAAGAAAUUUGCAGAGUCAAUUGGAAUUCACUCUUUCUCAUUCUUUUCUUAUUUACUUGUUAUUUAUUGAUUAUGAAGAUGUACUAAAUGGCUAGAAUUUGGUUGUUUAAUCUCCUUUCACAAAUUAUGAACUAAAUUCAUUUGUGGUUGAGUAUUAAACUAUCUUGAUGGUUAAUUGACUAAAUAUAGGUGUUGCUAUAUGUUUGCUACAACAUUUUGCUUUAAUAACAUUUAUUUACAUUCAUUAUUUCGGUUGACCACCCAUUUAAUGAUACAAGUUAAGAAAGAGCUGUAAAAAGGGUCUAUCUUAUUGAAACAUAUUAGAGUAAUACUUGGUCUUAAAUUGGGUUUCCUAGAUUGAGUUUAACUUGAGACCAAAAAGGGUUGUACUUAAUUUAAGAUUAGUAAUGAACUAGAUAUAGGGAUUUGCCUUGUAGGGUAAAAAGAACAUAAAUGUGUAAUACUAUAUCUUACGUUGACAUAGUAACUGGUCACUGUUAGGUUGUAUAAAGAUAUAAAACAUUCGAACAUGCUACCGUUGAGGAUAAAGAUGGUUUCUGCCCAGUGCUGUAGCAGAUGCUGCAGCAACUGAGCUUGACAUGAAUAACACAGUCAACACCAUCAAGAGAGUUUAAUCACUCAACUACUCUAUUCUAAUUAAAUUUAAUUUCAUGUUUAAUGUAAAAAAUUUAUUUAUUACAUUUUUAAUUAUUGUGAUUUUAUUUUACCUAGUCAUUUAGUUGUAUUAGUUGCAUUGAUUUAAUUGAUAACAUAGGUUGCUCUGUGAAAUUACUGUAGCAAGUCUAAUAGCAUCAAUCCCUAUGGAGACGAUCUUGGAUACUUAUCCUUAUAUUACUUAUUGUGUACACUUGUGCAUUGACACUAAUAGCAAUGGAGUUAAAAUUAGCAACAAAUUUUUUGUGCUAUUGCUGGGGUUUGAUUGUUUACUUUUCAGUUGUGAAAUCAAUUUUGACGGUGCUAAUCUUUGAUUUUAUUUUGAAUUGUUUACUUUGUUAACAGAUCACUCUUGCAUGUGAAAAUACAAACUUGUUGAAUUUCAAUUUGAUCCAGAGAUUGAAAGAACUACAAGGAGAUUGAGAAGAGAGCAAAGAAAUUCAAAAGCUGCUGUAGCAAUAGAUGACUUGCAAAACUUAGGAAACUUAGACCCUCACGGACCAAUAUAACCUGUUAAUGCUCAAGAAAGUCAGAAUGGGAAAAUUAAUCAGAGACCAUCAGGGAAUAACAAUAUUAGCUACAUGGAAAAUGAUAGAGACAGGGCCAUUAGAGAUUAUGCUUUGUUAGCCCCUUAAGUUAUACAUCCUGACAUUGUCAGACCUGAGGUAAAAGAUGCCAAUUUUGAACUCAAACCAGUGAUAUUUCAAUUAUUACAAACAGUGAGGUAAUUUAAUGGAUUACCAUCAAGAGGUGAGUGAUGCUUUUAAAAUUAUUGGAGCAUCACAAGAUGCAUUGAGACUCAGAUUCUUUCCUUACUCCCUAAGAGACCGAGCAAGAGUAUGGUUGAACUCUUUACCACCAGACUCCAUUACAACAUGGAAUGACUUAGCUGAUAAGUUUAUGAUGAAGUACUUCACACCAACCAAAAAUACAAAAUUAUGUAAUGAGAUUACUUCUUUUCGUCAACUAGAAGAUGAAAACUUAUAUGAGGCUUGGGAAAGAUUCAAUGAGUUAUUCAGGAGAUGUCUUCAUCAUGGCAUUCCUUACUGCAUACAAUUUGAAACCUUCUAUAAUGGGUUGAACCCAAGCACUAGAUUGAUGGUCGAUACUUCAACAAAUGGGGCUUUGUUAUCUAAAUCUUACAAUGAAGCCUAUGAAAUUUUAGAGAGAAUUGCUAAUAACAAUUAUCAGUGGCCAUCACCUAGACAAAUUGUAUCAAGAGGAGCAGCAGGUAUACAUAAUGUGGAUGCAUUUACAGCAUUAUCAGCCCAAGUAACAUCAUUGACCAAUAUGGUGAAAGCUAUGACUACUGCUCUAUCGAAUGACAAUCAAGUUGCCGAUGUUUCUUGUCUGUAUUGUAGAGAGGGGCAUUUAUUUGAUAAUUGCCUAAGGAAGUCAACGUCAGUCAAUUAUGUGGGCAACUCCAAUAGAUAGAACCAGAACAAUCCAUAUUCCAGUACCUACAAUCCUAGAUAGAGGCAGCACCCAGUGGACAGAACAGACCUACUCAGCCAGUUGAUUUUCAUCAGCAAAAUCAAGGGUAAAAAAACACCAGCAAUGAUCAAUUCAGUUCUUUGGAGACCCUAAUUAAGGAGUACAAUGUGAAUAAUGAAGUAAUUGUCCAAAGUCAGGCUGUACCAUUGAGAAAUUUAGAAAAUUAAAUUGGACAGCUUGCCACAUUAUUAAGUAACAGACCUUAGGGGAGUUUACCCAGCAACACAGAAGAUCCAAGGAGAGAAGGUAAGGAAUAUUGAAAGGUGAUCAAAUAUUGCACAAACUAGAAGCCUCAGGUCGGCUGGUGAAAUGGGCAAUAGAGUUGAGUAAAUUCUAUAUAAGCUACAAACCCCGAGCAACAAUCAAAGCCCAUGCAAUGGUGAACUUCGUGGAAGAAUUUACAGAAUCACAUGUGGAACCUAGCCACAUUGAUAUUGCUAUAGGCAACAACAAAGGUCAAAUCUGGCAGAUGACAGUGGAUGGAUCUUCAGGUGAGCAAAGUACUAGAGCGGGGUGGUCCUGGAGAGUCCAGAUGGAGAGGAAAUCUCUUACGCUGUUAGACUGGAGUUCAAGGCCACAAAAAAUCAGGCUGAAUAUGAGGCUCUAAUUGCAGGGCUAGAGUUAGCUAAGGCGGUGCAGGCAAAUAAGGUGAAAAUUCGGACAGAUUCACAGCUAGUCGCCAACCAUAUUAGUGAAAUGUUCUAACCUAAAGACGAAAAGAUGGGGCAAUACCUGAGGAGGGUCAGGCAGAUGAUCAAAAAGUUCGAGUCGAUGGAUAUUGUGCAAAUUCCAAGGAGUGAAAACUAUCGAGCUAAUAUCCUAGUUGGAAUGGCUGCUACAGCGGACUAAAAAAUGCCAAAAUCAGUCCCUAUGGAAGUCAAGUCCUCCCCCCAGCAUUGUGUAAAGUCUGGAGAUGAUGCAGAUAGAGCAAAAAGGCUCAUGGAUAGACCCAAUAAUCUCAUAUAUACUGGAUAGAGUGUUACCAGCAGAUAAAACGCAAGCAUGAAAAAUCAAGGGCCAGCGUCUAGGUGUACACUAAUUGAUGGGGUGUUAUACCGACGAGGGUACACCUUGUCGCUCUGCGGUGUCUGGACAAAGACGACGCGAACUACGUUAUAAUGGAAGUACAUGAAGGGGUUUGUGAAAAUGAAUCUAGAGUUAGAUCUCUUGCCUACAAAGCCUUAAGACAAGGUACUUAUGGCCGACGAUAUACUAAGAUGCUCAAGAGAAAACCAGGAGUUACAGAAGUUGCCAGAACUUUGCUAGUUUCCCUACACAGCAAUAAAAAAUACUUACUACUAUGACUUCACCAUGGCCGUUUACUCAAUAGGGAAUCAACCUAAUCGAGUCUUUGCCAAAAUGAUGAAGAGCAGUUACACAUGCUAUCGUGGCAAUAGAUUAUUUCACAAAAUGGGUCAAGGUAAAAGCACUCAGAAGAAUCACAGAGAAUGAUAUAACUGAUUUCAUGUGGAGAAACCUUGUCAACCGGUAUGGAAUCCCAUACGCCUUGAUAGCGGACAACAACUAACAAUUUGACAAUCACAACUUUAGGGAGUUUUGUCAGAACUUUGACAUAGAGCUAAGUUCUGCUCCCCUGCCCACCCUUAGUCCAAUGGACAGGUGAAAGUGGCCAACAAGGUUAACAAAAAAACUCCUGAAGACCAAACUAUGAGAGAAGAAGUGUGCAUGGGUUGAUGAGCUUCUAGGAGUGUUGUAGGUAUAUAGGACUUCUCAUAAAACCGCCACCGAUGAGACACCCUUUGCUGUAGCCUUUGGGCAUAAAGCAGUCUUGCAUGCAGAGAUAGGGGUAACCACGCACCAAACUGAGCACUUUGAUGAGAGUGAGAAAGGUGAAUCAGAGUACCAAAGAUUCGACCCAUGGUGUGUAUCCGGAUCAAGAGCCUACAAGCUUGCUCUCGCGAAUGGACAUGAGCUGAAACAACCAUGGAACGUAACACAUCUAAAAAAAUACUUCCAAUAAGGCCCAUUGGUAGCGAGUUAGAGUUAUUUCUGUUCAUUUCUGUUGUUGUUUAAACUUUAUGAUCAGUCAAUUUCAUGUAUGUCGUAUGCCAUGAUUAAUAAAGUUUGGAGGAAGUUCAUUCAAUUAAUUUAAAGAAAAAAAAAGUUCGUAAGGUAAAUAAAUGCCUCAAAGUCUCAAAGCCUGCUCGAUGGUGAGACCAGAAGCCAGAUUUUCCAGACUCUGCUCUACCGAACGAUGACGAGCAGACAAUCAAAUAUUUCAAAAAGUUUCUAAGGCAGACAAAAGCUUCAAAGUCUCAAAGCCUACUCGAUGGCGAGACUAGAGGCCAAGUUUGCCAAACUCUGCUCGACCGAAUGAUGGCGAGCAGACGAUCAAAUAUUCCAAAAAAUUUCCUAAGGGAAAUAAAGGCUUCAAAGUCUCAAAUCCUACUCGAUAGCAAGAUUAGAAACCAAGUCUGCGAGACUUUGCUCGAGCAGGCUACAAGAAAAACCAAGUUAUUCGUUAAUAAUCUAGUGACAAUGACAACUAGCCUCAAAACUUGGCAUACAACGUUUACAAAAGAAAAUUAUGGUACAUUCACGAGGAUGAAGGAUCUAUAAGUAGAGCAGCUUUUGUUGGAUUUUCAAGCAGUAGAGAAUGAGGGGUCUGGCCAAUUCUGCCCGAGGGAGUGCUUGCUUCGAUCGGGGUUUUGCCUUUCAAGACCGGCAAUGAUGCAUCGACAGAAGUGCCUGAGCCCUUCGUUAAAUUGUCAUCAACUUCCUUUUCCAAGUUCUCAAUCUGAGUCUGGUGUGAAGCACAAAGUGAUUCCAACUAAGACUCGUAGGAAGCUUUUUAUGUCUCCAAAUUCUUAUUGACCUUGCUCAGCUACUCCUCAAGGGUGAUCACAUUGGCCUGUGCAAGAGAUGUCUGCUCCACUAAUUUCAAGUUCUCGAGGGUGAGGUCUCUUGCUUUCUUCUCAGUAGCAUCAACUUCGUUUUUAGUUGAUUGAAUAUUAUACUUCAUCUUGUGGUCAUAACGGCCAACUUUCACCUUGUAGUAGGUAGUCAUGCAACAUAGGUGGAAAACACUGAAUUGCAUAGCCCUAACUAGCUCACGAGGGUAAUGCCGUCAAAGUCCUCUAAAUCGUUUUUUUUCACGAGCCUAGAAAACUCACUUAUGUAAGGGCCAUAUGCUCUGGUCGAUCCUCAGGCAAUUGCGGUUCGGAUCUUGGUGGAGGAGGAGUGGUAACAAGACCAGUGCCGCUCGCAGCUCCACCAACUUCACCUGCCUUAGGACGGGGAGGAGGAUGUGGCAGCAUCUUCAGAGGGGAAGCUUUCCCUACAAUAUUGACCCACUUCUCAAGGGAGCAUAGUUGCUGCAACCCCCCUUUACACCACGAAAGCGAGGGCGUUUUCUGUUCAAAGCCCCAAUCACAGCAUCCUCUAUAGCAAUUCACCUUCGAUGCGGUAUUAGACACUCCAGGAACUUGCAACAUAGGCAGAGACUCUGUUAGAAAUUACUCAAUCACUUGAUCAGCUGGUGGUGUAAAACAACUUAAAUAAGCAGGCAACCUGGAACUAAGAAACGGAUGGGGACAUGGACAUUCUCAUCAUCAGUCGGCCACUUGACCCUAAGGACCCCCAGCAAAAAAGAAACUGCUUUUCUAAUUCUCACCACCUGUUAGGAGGCCAGUUAUAGGUUUCCUAGUCUUGGUACUUGACAUAAAAUAGUACCAACUAACAUCUUUAAGGCUACUCUUUAAUUGGUAUAAGUGUUUAACCUCAUCAAUUAUAGGCUCACUCUGACCACAUCUGUCCCAAAGUACGAGUACACCAGAAAGUACCCUCUAUCCAUUAGGGUUAAGCUGACCAUGAGCUAAGUGUAAUCUACCAAGCAUCUGGACGAAGUAAAGCGGCAAAGGAAGCCUCAUCCCUUGUUUAAAACUCUCUAAAAAUAUAGCAACAUACCCCCUGGAAGGUCGAUUAGGGGUAUCUUUUUUCUUAAGAACCCUAAGGUUUAUGUCAUCAGAAAUCUUGUAAGUAUUUUGGAGGGGUUUAAAGUCAUCUACUGUGGUCCUACAAGUCAUGAGGUCAAUAGGGUAGUUUUCGGCCGGAGUCCUACCACCUAAUUUCCUCCUCUUUGCUGGUCUUACUACCUUUAGUGAGGAUGCUUCACCAAACUCUUCAUCUGGGUACCCGCUUAGGGUCUCCUCUGAGCUAGAAGAUUCGUCAUUGUUACUUUUGCUAGAUGAGGUAGAAACCUCAGGAGACAUCCUCCUAGCACUACUUCUAACACUAGAAUGGCCUACAAGCUCUAAGGGGAUCCUAGGGUCGAAAAUGGGCUCUGUGAGCAAACCAGGUAGGAAAUCCAGUUCGUCAUCAUCAAUCUCAAUUUCUUUUUCCUUGCCUUUUGACAUUUUCUAAGCGAUAUCCAAGAAGAUACAACUAAAUCCCUCUUAACCCUAGAAAAAAAUGACAAAUAUCUAAGACAAGAGAGAAGAAGACCGUACCUAAAGCAGCGGCACCUCAAAAUCAAAAUGGAGGAAGUGACUUGAUAUUCGAUGGAGGAAAUAGCUGAGUCACCAAAGGGCGAAAGAAAAGCCGGAAAAAAACUUUCUUGUGAAGAUUAGGGUUCCCCAAGAGACACGGAGACCCCUAAUUUAUUACCAUUUAACGACACGCACUCCGAGGGUUCUUAACAGGCAGUUAAAAAUUUAAAUGAACGAGUGGAUUCCUGCCACAUCACCUGCUUUUAAUUAUGACGUGACUCUUUGGAUAAACAGCUAAUAGUAGCUUAAAGGAUCAAGUGGAUAAGGUGACCAGUCCUCAUUUCAAUGCCAAGAAGCCAAAGUGUGUUUUGAGCAAGAUAAGACUACCAAGUUUCUAGUGUUGAUCCAUUGCAUUAUCAGCACCAGAAACUGAGGGACUAGUAUUUGAGGCGUAUAACGACGCGACCAGCUACACUCGAGCGAGGAUUUCCUUUUUGUGGGCGAUGGGCUAUAUAGUGUCCGUGAGCAGAAGUGCUCUAUUCGACACCGAGGAGUUUUCUGCUAAACACCGAGGAUAUCUCCUGAUGGGGCCAAGGUCGGAAGACCCAGUCUAUGGCAGUUGUUAGAACAUGUGUCGCUCUCCGAGAAUCCAGGCACGAGGCCUAUUCAGCCACGAUCACAACGCCCGAGCAUCCAUGACCGGGAACUAAGGUAGAGUGGCAAACGUGGGUCAUGGUGACUAAAUUCUCAGGAGGGCUAUAAAAGGGGCUUGCAAAGAAGGUAAAGGGUUUAGACAUUUUUAAACUAAAAAUUAACCUAAGAGAAUUGGGGGGUGCAUCUUUAUUGGCGAGAAUUGGGAAAAUUUUUGAGAUUUUUCCAGUGUUUGAGAAAUUAUUACAGAGCCACGAGAUUAGUGGCAGGGUUUUUUCACAAUAAGCCCAGAUUGCUGACUUGAGCGUCGGAGGGUUUACGUCGGGAAAACCCUCAGCGUUCUUUGACCAAUUUCUGUGUGUACAGGAAUUCACAGAGGAGGAACGGUGAGCCUCAUAGUUCUGCUUAUCAAACAGGAGCAGAGUAAAGUUAUCCCCUACCACUACAAAUUUAAGUGUUGAAGAGAGAUCAUGGUCUCGAACGAGCAGAUGCAAAAUCCCGUAUCAAUAAUAACAACAACAACAACAACAACAUCAUCAAUAAUAAUAAUAAUAAUAAUAAUAUAUUAACUUUGUAGGAUGGAGCUCUCGCAAAUCUUCAAGACACAAAAUGUGUUUGACCCCAUUGUUGUUAUUAUAAUUUCAAAAUCAUUUGUAUAUAUAAUAUUAGGGAAUAUGACAUAGAAAAAUUGAUGGUACAUAUGUUGCAAUAUUCUUGUUCAUGUGGCGGCACACUGAAGUAAAGCAUAAGCAGAGCAACAACAAAUGUAAUGAGAGAGCUCUCAUUAUGUAGAUUUUCAAUAGAAGUAAUGCAUAUUUCACAAAGGCAAUGGCCUUAUUUUGAAUGCUGCACCUGAGGGUUGACUUGAAUCUUCUAUAGAACUCAGGCAUUCUGUAAUCAUAGAGUAUAGCAUUUCAACAAAAAUAUUAUACAGGUCGUUCCUUUAUAUAUUUUCUGGGUACACAUACAGAAAUAUUAUUUUGGGUACAUUUCUUGCAGUAAAACCUGCCCAGUCUAGCGUUCUCGUAAGUUGGGUUUCUCAUUUGCAUGUUUUUUCCAUUGGUUAAUUAUCACAAACCUCCACUAACAUUUAGCAUAUUCUUAGUUUAAUAGAUUAUAUUGGCGUAUUCUCAAAUAUAAAUUAAGCUGGUGAGGAUAAAAUCGUAAAAGCACCAUUAAUGAUAAAAAGAAACCAAGUAAACUUGAAAUUUUCAAGUUGUGUUUUGAAAUUGGUCUCAACUUUGUAAAUGUCCAUUGGGUAAAGAAGUAAAGAACAGAAGCAAGCUGUUCCCAGCACACAUAAGCAAGCUUUACGCAGCACAAAUUAACACCCACAAAAAAUGAAAAGGAAAAAUGGUCAUCUCUUUCCUCCAUUCGAAUUGAAGCCAUGAAACACAACAUCCCUUUCAUCUUCUCUCUAAUGCUUUGAUUAGAAAACUUGCUUACAAACGGGAGACCAUGACACUGAAUCCUGAGACGGCAAUACCAGAGACGACUGAUUUACGCCAACGGUGUGGAAGAAUACCAACCAGUGACUUUCGCUGUCGACCCACAAACAAUCCCAGUGUUUUCUAGCUGCGAAUGAGGUAUGAAUCAGAUUAUUUCCGUGCAUUUCAAUUUUGUCAGCUGACAUUAGGAGAUUUGGUUAAAAAAAAAAGAAUAAUGGGUCUCGAAAAUUUUUUGAGAGUGUUUUUGUUGCUUACAUUAUUUUCCAUCGAUUAAUGUUAGUUGUAGGUGAAUGAUUGUUGCAAAUGCAUGUUCGCUUGUGAUUGAUUGAAAAUGGCUUGUGAUUUGUUAUGCUGCCGUGUGACUGAUUAAAAAUGGCUCUGAAAAUUUUUCAUUUGUUUAAGGUACUGCUGUUGAUUAUUGAACCAGGAUUCAUGCUAGUUUUUGUUAAAUUGAAGAUGAGAUUACUUUUUAAGAGAUCUGCAAAACCUUCUCUACUAUAGAUUUGGCUUCUGGCAUACCUGGUUGGCUGGAGAUAAUUGUUUAUAUAGUCAUUGCUGCCCAUAUUAAUCAGGAAUAUUGAUUAGCAAUGUACUGGAUUAGUGAUUGGUAUAAUUUUGGAAAAUCAGUCGUAGAUGCAACCUGGUUAUGGUCUCAAAUAGUGUGAUCUGUCAAUUCCGUUUGCUCUGGCCUAACAACCUUGAAUCUGAGCUAUGCCACUAUACAAUGUCCUGACCCAAUCAAGCUUGUUAGCCAACGUCCAAAAUUGCAAUGUCUUUAGAUAAGUCCCGUCUUAUUUGUUUGAGUUAUAAAUGAAAAUUGCAGUGUCUUUGGAUAAUCACGCUGAUGUUCACGUUAUUGACGAGAGGAACCUCCAGAUUCAAGGCCGGAGCUCCUUGUUGAGAAACUUUGCAUAUAUAGGAUUGUUGCCGAGUGGAGGAUCGAUAUGACUGGUCUUGUUUAGAAUAGGGAUGGAGAUUUUGCAUUAAGGCUUUCUUAACAGAUCAUUCUGCAAAUCAAGGUCCAUGUACAUCUCUUUAAACUCUUUGAUAUGUAUAAAGCAGGUGCAUGCUCUAUAUGUUACUUAUUGUAUCACAAUUAUUUUUCUAUUGCUUAAUAUAAUUGCAGUCCUUGAUGAAGUUGAAGACAACUUAUGGAGGGUAUACAAAGGCUCAAGAGCUUGAUCGCCAUUCAUUUUACACUUGGCUGAGCUACAGCAUACCAACUAGUGAUUAAUAAAGAGAAGGUAUGAAGGUCCUGUUGCUGGUGGUAUUAUCAAUCAGAAUUGUUAUUUUACUUAGUCAUAGUUACCAUGUAUAAGAUUCGUAGACUUUUUGCAUGCUUAUGCAUUCGCAUCAUCUUUUUGUUAAGCUAGAAAUGGUUGAUUUGUGUACUCAUUUGUAUCACUUGUAGCCCUUCAGGAAUAAAAUUUAAAAUUCUGUUGCAUCUCAUGUACUAAAUACUAAUUUUGUUGGCUUUAUGUAUGGGAAAUGGUUCAUUAUCUUAUUUCUUUGAUGCGUAUAGUGUGACAAUGUCUAAAGGUGAAAAGUAUUUAUAUCACUUGUGUAACACUGUCUAAAGUCAAAAAGUGUUUCUAUCACUUGUGUGAAAAACAACCUACUUUUUUUUCACUCUUCUUAUAUUGAAUAAAAGACAGACGCCAAGAUUGAACGAAAUUUGAUGCAGAAAGCAUAGCAAUUAGGCCAGUGCAAAACAACUUCCUUCUGAUUCUCUGAUAUUUGACUUAAAUCUUUUGUCUGUUUCAUUCAUCAAAGUCAUUUUGGAAAGUAGCAGGGGUGAUGUGAUAUUUUCAUUGUAUUCACAUCCCUGGCACCAAAAACAAACAUGCUGGUACUAACCAACAAUUUUUUAUUUUCAGUAUACAAAUUUUUUUUUUUCUAAAUUAGGGGUAUUAAGAAAAGGUAUACUAGCACCAGAGGAGGUAUUUGAGAAUACACAAAUACAAUCUAUCAAAUUGAGAAUACGCCAAAUCUCAGGAGUGGUUUUUGAUAAAUCCUUUUUUUCUUUUUCCUCCAUUCACUAUAGGUUCAAUUUAGGGUGGUUGUUAAGUUAUAUCAUUGUGUAAUAUAGAUCAAUUCAACAGUUGUUAUCAGUAACACAAAAGUAUAACGAACAAAAACUAAUUGUGUGUUACUGAUAGUAACUAUUAAAUUGAUGUAUGUUACAUAAUUAUGUAACUUAACAAGUUCUUCAAUUUAGACACGGUUGACCAAACUGAAGGUUUAGGUUGGUAAACGCACUAGUUUUAAUGUCAACAACCCAAGGGGCUUCAUGGUCCUCUGGGUCGAAAUCGCGUAAUUAUUAAUUCUCCAACACUGAAAGUCUUUAUCAUCUUGGGACAAAUAAUUACAAAUUGACAUUAUAGCCGUGGAAAUUUGGAGGUGUAAUAACCGGAAAAAUAAAAAUCUCAAGAGACUUUUUAAAUAAAAAAGAUAACACCUUCAAUUUGCUAAAAGUAAUGGUAUCAUUUCUUGUAUGGAUAAUGGAUGAUUAGAUUUUGUUUUUGGUUAUCUGACGAAGGAUAUUCAGUUGUUCUUUAUGUGUUCAUAGGCAAGAGCAUGAGCAUAUGCAUGAUUUGAUAUAUGGUUCUUGCAUUUUCUAAUUAAGUGCUCUUUUUCCUUGCCUUCUUAGUUUUGAAAGAAAGAUGUGAAGCAAAGCAAACCCAGUGAAAUGUACAGAGAAACAGAACCAUCAGAGGAAAAACUAAAUAACAGAACUACAAUUGAACCAAACAAAAUCAAAUAAACGGACGCAACAGAUGCCCUGAACCUAGUAAUUACUCAAGAGUUGAGGAGUUGGAAUGAUUUGGUAUUCAUAUCUUCACAAAUCAUAUGCUUUAAUGCAGAAUCGACAGCUUUAUAUUAUUUUAUUCAAAAAACGAUAAAGCAGGAAAACCACAAUAAUCCACCAACUUUUGAUACUUGUAGGAAUUUUUUUUAGUCAAAUUAAGUUUCAUGAUGAAACAAGUGGCUCGUCCACACACUUGCACUUGCUUGAAUAUUUGUGCCGACAUUUUCAUAUGUGAUGGUACUUCUUAGCCAGUAGAUAUGUUGAAGUACUACAAAACAGAGUAUUUGAUGAAGUUUUGCUACAUUCGUAUCCCCUUUUUUUGUUGCAUAACUAAAUUCUUUAUAAACACAAAUUAGAAAGAUACAAAUAAUACAGUAGCUUGAAUUUAUAUGCUUUUAUGGUUAUUUGAUAAUCUAGUGCUGAUCAUAUGUGAUGAUAAACUUAGCUAGUAGUUUUAUAUUUGUUUUCGCAGUUUCCUUAGCGUUCACAUUUUGAUGAGUAAAUUAAGGAUUUCCAGAUGAAGUACAUAAUUAGAUGAAUGCUAAGGAACUGAAGUUUAAUUAAUUGAAAACAAAAAUAAUAAUGAACGUAAUUACGAAAAUGAACAAUGCAGAAGUAGUCCCUAUAGUAUUUCUAAAUUUUCUCUUGGGAUUUCUUAGUAUUCCUCAAUAUUUUAAAAAAAUGACAUGACGAUCUUUGAGUGGACAAAUCUUGGCCUGCUGCUUAGUACCCUUCCAACAUAUAAAGUACUAGAUGUUUUACUGAGAAAAUGACAAGAUCAUUUAUCAAAUUUCUUGCGCAUAUAUACGUAUGUAUAAGAGAAAUGAGAAUCAGUGAUUAUAAGACCUUGCAAUGAGACAAUAAUACAUCAUCAAAUCUAAAAAUACACAAGAAAUUCGGGACAUAUAUAUAACAAAAGACCUCUCAUUGAGUCAUACAUAUUGAGAAUGAAAUGUCAAAAUGCAGACAAAGAGCUUAUACAGAAAAUGAAUAAACUGUCUUUGAACUUCUGAUGGUCAAACAAAGGAAACAGGCAGGAUAUAACACACACUAUCAUAGAUGUAGCGACACGAUGAAGUAAAUCACAUGAAGAUGGAAAGGGGAACCCCUCACAGCAUAAAAUUUGAAUAGAGAGGGGAAAAAGGCUUCAUUUCAAAUGUUGCACAGAAGAAGAGUGACUUGAAUCUCCAUCAGUAUCCAGACAUUCUGCAAACACAGUGCUGAGAAUUUUAACAAGAAUAACAGACAAAAUAUUGUGCUUCUAUACUUGUCACAAAACUAGACCAAAUUAGUCCCCUUUUUGGUUUGUGAAAACUUGAUAUUUUUGAAAAUUCUAUCCAAUGCUUUCAAACAAUAUUUCCAUAAUAUAGUUGUUCAUAGCUAACCUUUGAUGGUGUAAGGAUUUGUUGUAGGCAUAAUGGGCUAAUUAUAUAUAUAUAUAUAUAUAUUUUACCCCCUGAAUGAUAUUCAGCUUCUUAAUUAUGUGUUCAUAGGCAAGAGCAUUUUCUUAAGUACUUUCGUUGCCUUCCAAGUUUCCAAUGAACAAACAGAGCACAAACAAAUUUAACGGAACAGUAACGAUGACAAUAAAUAAUUGGCAAGGAAAGAAAGAAAAAAGUUUGCAUGAUUUCAAGGAAUUAUAAAAUCUGAACACUUUCAACAUGCAAGUGUUGCCCCUUUUGAUGAAAUUUCAUCAUAAAAUGCUUGCAAAGAAUUAUAAAAUUUUAGAGAACAAGCGAACUCUCAAACAAAAUACUCAAAUUAAAUUAAAUUAGACCAAAAGACACUCAAUGACGCAAAAUCUGCCAUUCUAAAUAAUUGAGAUGAAAUUGUGAAACAACCCACGAGAUCAAAUAAAUAAAAUAAGAAUUAAUUACCAGCUUUGACUUUCUUCUCCAAAUUCGCAACUCGAAGACAUAAGAAGCCAAUGAAAUUAGUCGUAACCCAUAAAGUACGACGACGACCCCGCCAAUAGCUGAAAAUAAAAUACUUAUUCAUCAAUUUAAACUAACUUUAUAACAAAUAUCUUAUCGAUAUUUUAUUUAAAAAAAGCAAAUUUGUAGAAUUUUUCCAUGGGAGGUAGAGAGUAAUAUGUAUAUCCGUACCUUUUCAGUAUGUAAUUGUUGUAUGGUUGUGUUAAGAUCAUUAUUUGCCCAACGCCGUUGAUCCUCUGACUCUCCAUACGAGACGUUUACUCUCGGAGGCGUGUUUGAUUCUCCUGAAGUGAAAGUCUUCAUCUUGGGACAACCAAUCACUUCCAGAUAUUCCAGAGAUGGGAAUUUGAAGGUGUAAUUGGCAGAGCAGAAACUUGUGAGACUGUCUAAAUCACACAGAAUCAACGCCUUCAAUUUGCUGAAAACAAUCUCUUCUAUGUCAACUCCUUCUUUGUCAUUUAUUACCACCUCUGUCAUUGCUCUGCAUCCAUAUACUUGCACUGUUACGAGUCGCACCAGAGUUUUUGCUGUGGAGGAUGUUACUAAGUGUAUCAAUUCCUUGCAACCGACAGCUACCAGUUUUGCUAGGUUCCGAAAAGAUACCGAUGAUGAUGGCAAUAGACUUAACAGAUUUUGACAAUGAUAUACUUUUAGAAUUUCAAGAUAUUGAAAAAUGGAGUCAAGUUUGGAGUCUUGUUUACAUAGCUGCUUCAGAUGAUUAAGGUGGCCCAGCUCUAUACAUUUUAUCAUUGCCAACUUCCUCAAACGGUUCUCUAAGCAUCCUUCCGUUGAAAAUACCUCUUCGUAUGAACAAUGAUACAGUAAGAGUAAUUCGAGAUUGUGAAAUCUCUCAAGUACAUUCCUGAUUGGAAAACAAGCCGAGUCAUCAUAAGUUAUGUCUAGUUUUUUAAGACUGCCAAAAAGGUGUUGUGGGAAAUCGGCGUCCAAAAUCAUCUUCACAUCUUUUCCGCUUAACGCCAGUGACUCCAAGUUGGGUAAGAUCUGAUCAUCGUCAAUCACGUAGUAACUAAUCAGGUCAGUUGAUGUUCUCUCCAAUAAUUUUACCUUAGAGUACUUGUUGUAGAUUAUAUAUAUUUUACCAAAAAAAAAAAAGAAAAGAAAGGAAAAAUUGAAUUAGUGAUAAAAUUCAUUCUAGGAUUUUUGUAUGUUAAUUUGAGAGAUAAGAGAGAAAUUAGAAAAAAAAAAGGAUGAUUUAUACUGGCAUAAAAAUAUUUUAUUGCACAAUAAUAAAUUAUUAAUUUAUAUUGUAAGUGAUUAUAUAUGAGAAAACUGAGGAUUCUUUUUUAAUGCUAUACCUAAAAUAAUUCAUCUAACUAUUAAUUUAGUACAUUGAUCCCUUAGUCCAGACUAGCAAAAAUAUUAAUUUUGUACUAAAAGUUUUCAAUUUAUUGAGUAUUAAUUUAUUGAUGUUUAGUUAUAUUUUACAAAGUCAAAAGUCGCUAAUGAUCUAAUUGAUAAGAAAUCUAGAAAGCGGCUUCAUACCUUUUUGAACAAGAAUAGGGGCCGUUGUGCAGGAAUACCAAGUUGAUCAUCCUCAUUAUUCUGUGAUGAAUCUGCAGCGAAUGUCUUCAAUUUGUCACAACCAGACACCACUAAAAUUUUUAGUGCAGGCCAUUCCGAAGUAUGCAUUCCAUGGUAUAAACAUUUAAGUUCCGGUAGCUCUUGGAGUAUAAGAGUGGUCACCCGUUGAAAGACAAAAUGAGGGGUCACAUGAUCUACUCUGUCUUCCGAAAUGAUCUCUUGCAAACCCCUACAAUUCACUAUCUCUACUUGUUGGAGAUGCUCAAAGCUUUGAAUCAUAGAAACUAAAAAUAUGUAUUUUAAUUUGUUACAGUGGCACACAAUCAAUCGUGUUAAACUUUGAAAGCGAGGAAGCAUGACCGGACGAUGAUUGUAAUGCCAAAUCUUGUCGACAUUAAUUUCAGAUAUCUCCAAAGCCUCCAAAUUAGGCAACCCUACCUAAAAAAAUAUUAAUUUCUUGUUAGAUCCAACACCCAUAUGAGAAGGACUUAUUGAAAUUUUCUUCUUUGAUUACAGAUUAAUAAUUCAAGUCAAAAUCAAUUUCCAACUGACAGCUGAGUAUGCAUUCUAAUUCGUAUUACUUGUUAAGAGCUCAAUUAGUGAGUGCGUGAGAUUCUUUUUAUCCUUUUUUUUUCACUUUCUUUCAAUUCUUUAAAUGAUUUAAUUAUUUUCCACGUAUGACAUCAAAAGAGAAUGCACAAUAGCAUAAAGAAAGUGUUAGCCUACGCACCUUGCCGUUGAAAAGCAGUGUUUCCAAAUUGAUUUCGUUGGAGCAAGAACUUGUCAAUUCCUCUUGCAGCCCUUGUCUGUUUGGUGAUGCUGAAGGAGUCUUCAAAUUACGGAAAAAAGUUGUAACCUCUGGAAGAUUUCCCAAACUCAAAGAUCUUAAUUGAGCCAACUCUAUCUUCUCAGCAGCAUUAUUGUUGUCAACAUCAGCAUCUCCCCCAGUAGCAAAAAUCUCUUUCAUCUUGCUGCAAUUAAUAACUGCAAUUCUCUCAAGUCUUGGAAGGCAUUUUGCAGUGGAGAGCCAGAAGAUAUUACUCAACUCAUUACAAUUUUCUACUUUUAUUGUUUUGAGUUUAUUGAAAGACUCUACUUUGAGUCGAUCAAUGCAUAUCCUCUCCAUGUUGAUCAAAUUGUGAAGAGUCAGUGACUCCAAAAGAGGAAAGGCAUCACAAGCGACCAUCUCCAUUGAGUCGACAAUACAAAAGAAGUCAGGAUUAUUUUGAACCCAGAGAAGCUUCAAUUGUGGAAAGCCCUUUGUGUCCAAAUCGAAAAGAACAUUUUUGACACCUUGUAGCUUGUCCAACCAUACGUAUUCAACGUUAUUGAUGGCCUGCAAUUUCAUGGAGCAAAUGUCCGUAAAAUCAGGCUUGAGCUUCAAUUCUCUUAAACGCUCAUGAUUAUGGUUGAUCAAAAAGUGCGACCGACUGCGAAACCAAUCUUUUGUAACAGGCAAGGAAGCCAUGAAUGACUCAUUUCCAAUAGAUAUUUUGAACCUUUCGAGCUUUCUGGCCAAAAAGCCUUCCUGUAAAAUACUGUCAUUUUUAACAUCAAUUUCUAGAGUGGUUAGCCAAGGUAAAAGCAUCAAUUCAUCAAGGCUUGCAUUACUUCUUUCAGUGUUGGCUCUUUCAACCUCCCAUUCAACGGAGCAAUUACCCAUACACAAUUCUUCUAAUCGGAUUAAGCUCGAUAUGACAUUUGGGGCAAUAACUUUUAGAUGGAAACAGUCUCUUAAAUCUAACAGCCUUAGCUUAGUCACUUGCCCUAGUGCUUUUGGUAACUCUACAAUAUCAGACCACACAAAGCUAAGGAUUUCUAGAUUUUCCAACUUUCCAAUAAUGGCUAUGUCCAUGUCUCCCAAAAUGCUUUGAUCAAGACAAAGCGUCGGAAGAUUUACUAGAAGAUCAAUUGAAGAUGGCAAUGACAAUAACCGCAUUCUAGUCAAAUCCAAAACCCGAAGCUUUUUUGUCCUUUCGAAGAAGUUCUCAGGAACAUUAGGCGCAACAAAAGAGUUCUUGGGAGACAUGAAUAAAAAUUCCAAGUUGUGGAGAUUCCAACACUUCGGGAAUGUCAUUAAUAAUACUAUCUUUAAAAAAAUUGCAGGAUAUUUUUUUAAUGCAUCUGCAUCUGGCCAUUUCCACACAUCCUCAUUUCUCACCGCAAAUGCAAUUUUGUCACGACGUGCAAUUGAAAUGGCAACAUCGCGAACAACAUCAUGCAUGGAAAAGAAUUUACUGCCACCAUCCUCAAGCAACAAACAAGAGUCUCUUAGUUGAUGGACCCAUGCAUGUAAUUUGUUAUGUGCAUCUUCUAGCUUAUAGACACUUUCAAAUGCACCCAAGCCCACGCUAUAUUUGAACAAGUCCAUAAUUGAAGUUGGUGUAAUUAGACUACACAGUAAAAAAGUUUUCUUGAGUUGCUCACCUCUUAAAUACUUGUAACUUAGCUCAAUUGUUGAGUAUGCCUCUACUGGUACUCCUUCAUCGAAGCUUGCCUCUGAAGGCGUUUGGAGUUCUUGUAAGACGUUCUUCCACACAGGCAGCUCUUUGUUUCUCAGUGCCUUUGCUACUGUGGUUAGGGCAAUAGGCAAACCUCCACAUGCCUUGGCUACAUUUGUUGCUGUAGAUUUUAACUCACGAUUUUCAACAUAAUUACCAGCCAUUAUCUUGAACAACCUCCAAGCUUCUUGCUCAUUUAGAAUGCCAAUCAAGAAGUUUUUUUCAGAUCCCAUACUUAACAAAACAUUACGAUCCCUUGAUGUUAAUAAUAACUUGCAUCCUCUAUGAUCAACGCCAAAAGGAAUUCCGACUGUCUCUAAAUCAAGAUAUUUCCAGAUGUUAUCCAGAAUCACAAGGAUCAUCUUCUCUUUCUUCAAUCGUUCAUAAAGUCUACUAGCUCUUCUAGAUUCAGCCUCCUCGGACAACUCCAGACCUAGUUUCUCUGCAAUUUCCCCUUGAAUCUUUUUUAUGUCUGGAGUUUGGGAAACCUCUGAAAAAACCACCUGAUCAAAGAGUUUCUCUUCACUGGCUUGCCUUGCAAACUCCUUCACCAGUGUUGUCUUUCCAAUGCCGCCCUUUCCGUAUACCCCAACGAUGCUGACAUUGACAUCAGUCAAUGCAUCUUGUAUAGACUUCAGAGUAGAAAGUCUUAAUUUAAAGGCCUCGUAACCUUUGUUAGACUUUAGCCAUACCUCCUCCGCAAUGGUACGGUAGAAAAUUCUAUCAUCAAAUCUCCUAGCUUCUUCUUUGAGUUCAACAAGGGCCUUCACCUCUGUUUCUGCUUUCUUGCUAAGCUGAUAGCGGGUCUUCAAAUUAGGACACAAGCCCUUGAAACAUCGCUUACUUGUUGUCUCCCCAUCUUCAAUGAAUUUGGCUGCCUGCUCAAUGGUGUUGUUCGCACUAACCAGCCAGUUCUCAACCUUCUCUUCAAUCUUUUCUCCUUUUCUUUCAGCCUCAGAAACUCUGUGCUGAAUGCUCUUACUUUCAUCCUUGAGCUUGUCUAUUUCUGCCUUGAGAUUCUCAAAGUUGGCUUUAUAGUUUCGCAAAUAACCAAGUUGGCGUUCUGUUGGAGGAGCGAAGCAUUUCACAACUUCUAACAGAACAGUAACAAUGCUUUCCACCAUCUUCGAUCCUCUUUUUUUCAAAGUUCCGAAAUGAAAAUAAACGACGAGCGAAAAACAGAGAGAAAGAGAGGCAAAAAAAAAAAAAAAAAAAGAAAAAGAAAAAAAAGAAAAUGAAACAACAAAGAUGACAAGUGUAUCUGUUUGUGGAAGCGGAGAAAUCAAAGAAAGCUUAAAAACUGUUGUGAAUCUGGUGAGAAGAUGGAAACAAGGAAAAGGUUUCUAGUUCAAAACUGAUUGAAUUGAUAUAAGGAAUGAUUUAGAUAAUAGAGGAAAAUUGAAUCAGUCAAAAUAACUUAAGUAUUGACCAGAAGAAAGAUGCAAACAAUAUUAGAGACAACAACCGCGCUAUUGACUGGUAAUAGAGAUGGAGAAAAAGAAAAUAUCUUCACACGGUGGAAGUACAAAGGGUAGAUAUGGAACCAAACAGAGACAACAACAGGCCACAACUAGAUUGGGAAUGGAGAGAAACAAAUUAACAAAGACUGGAGAUUACAACAGAACAGAUGCCAAGAGAAAAGGGUUUCUUCAUCCAGUGAAAUUCAAGAGAGUUGACAGCAAAAGGGAGCACAUGUGUUUCUUGAUUGAGAACGAGUGCAAAGGAUGACUUUUUAAUGAGGUUCUGAAGCUGACGAAUAACGAUUUGCUAAAAUUUUGAGAAAGUUAUAUAUUCCGUAACUUCAACAAGUGAAGAAUAAAAGAAUAAUAGUUCGUCAUCUUCACAAUGAAGAUCAUGGACGAGAUUAAAAGCUAAAACUAGUCCAUUUGAAAAGCCAAAGUUCAAGUUCCUUGGCUAAGUUCAGAAGUGAAGCAAAGAAUAAAUAAAUAAAGAUCAAGGGAUGGGAAUAAAGUCACCCCCAGACAGUUGCAGAAAGAUUAUUAUUUGGUAAGCGUAGUUGAUUAUUAGUACAAAACAGAGUAGGUGAAACACAUCCUUUCUAUUUAGACUGAUCAGCAUCUAAAAUUUUAUGAAUUAUGAGUUGCAUUUUAUUUUGUACAUUCUGUUAACACAUUUUAAUUUAGCCAAUUUUGCAAUAAAUGUUAUUGAUGUAUUAAAUUGCAACAACAAAACACAAUUAUUGGUAUUAAAGAAUGAAAAAAAAUAAAAAUAGAAAAUGAAUUGAAUUCCACUCAUCGUCAUCUUGGGAAAUCAAGUCAAAAAAUAAAAAUCCAUAUGCUUUUGUUAAAGUUAAAAGCUACAUAAAUAAUAUCACAGAAGCUUCUGCUAAGGUUCAUGUGAAGUCACAGCUUUGAUACUUGUACUACAAGGAGCACGGAGAAACCAUAAACUUCAGUUUAGGUAUGUACAUUGCUUGUCUUUCAAACUUGAAUUGAUAAGGGGGAAAAAAAUAAUACUAAAGCAAACAGAAGGAUCAUUUAGUUGACAAAAUUAUUAUUAUUUUGAAAUUCGGGUCAUUCAGUUACUUUCAUUUCAGUUUCACUUCUGAUUCAAUUUAACCAGUUAACGUUGACAAAAAUAAAAUGCAAAUAUAAGGCUAAGGCUGCUAAUUUGAUGAACUAAUUAUCUCAGGAACCAAAGCAUCUAUAAGCAUGCAUGGGUGGCAACACCAUAAUUACUCAAGACUGGAGGAGUAAAAAGAUUGAAGAUGAUAAACAUUAAAUUUUAGGAAAAUCAUUCACAAAUAUGCUUUUAUAAAAGUAUUGUUGGUAAAGUUCGAGAAAUGCAUACAUGUCAAAUUUCCAUUUCUUGUGAGCAUUUCACCAAAUAGCUGAUAUGCAUUAAUAACUCCUAUCCUAUACUAUUGGCCAGUAGGUUGUUGCUGCUUCCCCAUUUUUAAUGAUGCGAACGUCUCAUACUUAGAAAUAAGGGCGGAGCCUGGAGAUUGAUGUAUAAGAUAAUCUUUUGAAUAAAAAUAAAAACAAUUACAGAUUUCAAAUGUGAGAAAAAUAAAAUUGCGUUAUAAAAUUAAUCCCACUAAGAAAGUCGUCUACGAAAUUGCCACAUUAAAAGAAAUUUUUUCCAUAAAUUAAAAUAAAAUUAAAUGAAAACUAUUUUUCAGUAAAGUCAAUUGCCCACGCUAGGCUAAGGCGUUUGUUUAUUUGUUUGUUUGUUUUUAUAAUCUGAAUAGGUAUAAAUUUUUCGUAAGCAUGAAUGAGCUGAGUACAAAUAUAUGAAUGAUAUAUUUAUUUUUCUUUUUCUUAAUACCCAAAUAUAAGUGACAUCUUAUUUAUCUUAAAUAUGGUUAUUUGAUAUUUAUAUUUUUACAAAUAAAAAUAAAAAAAGUAGUUAGAUUUUAUAGUUUAAGAAAUAAAUAUAUUUUAUAAAAAUAUUUUUAGAAUAUAUAUUUAAUUCUUAUUUAGACUUUUUUCUAUUCAAUAAAAGUCACAAAAGGUACUUUUUCUAUUCAAAUGUAAAUGCUUAAAAAUCAGAUAUAAGUUACAAAAAAAAUAAAUUUUAGAAAAAGUCAUAAAUUAAUAAAAUUUCAUAUAUUUAACUCCCAAUGCAGAUCCACCCCUAUCAGUGUGAGGAAAUUGACUGGUGAAGUAGGUUCACAGCUAAAAUGAAAUUGGAAGAAAAUGAAGAACAAGCACAUAGAGGACACCAAAAAUUACAUGGUUCGACUUUUAGCCUACGUCUACGGGUAAAGACAAAAGGAUAAAACUUUACUGGUGAAAUGAGGAUUACUAGUAUUAUAAUAUUUUGUUUCACUUCCCAGAACCCCAAUCCACUCAAUCUCUUAAAAUACUAAUCACUCAAGAGCAUUAAAACUCUUAGUCUCUCACUCUAGAAUUGAAGAAGAAAAGAAUGAAAUGCGGGGGUGAACCCCUCAUUUAUAGUUAAAAAUUUGGGCACUAUUUAUAUUUUUAUAUAUUUUUUUAAAUUAAAAGUUUGAACUUGACAUUCAAACUUUGAAUAUCAAAAGGUAUUGGUCACUCUUCUAGAAAAGUGACAUUGACUUUGACAUUCUCCCACUUAGAAAUUUGAUUGAGAAUCAAUCAAUCUCCACACCAUCCUUUCUGCUUCGCCGCUAUCAUGUUGCUUAUGUCUCUACUAGGCCAUAAAAUGAUCUACUCCAAACAAAUUUAUCAGCAUUGAUAGGCUUGGGCAAAACAUUUGUUAAGUUCUCCUUGGUAUCCACUCUUGUAUCUUUCACUACUUCACGAAGAAGUGAUAUUGUACUCCUAUAUUCUUUGUCCUAAAAUAAAAGGUUGGAUUCCUUGCAUUCUAACUAUCACAAACCAUAAAAAUUUUAUGCCCAAGCUCCUUCAGUAACCUUUGUAUCCAAAUAGCCCUUCCAAGCUUGUGUAGCUGCUAUGUAAUCUGCUUCUAUUGUUGAUAAAGCCACAAUGGUCUGCAAUUUUGAAAUCCAACUAACAAUUUCGCCUUCUGGUGUAAAUACUUAGCCAGUAGUGGGUUUCCUUUUAUUAAGAUUUUCUGCAAAAUCUGAAUGCACAAAGCCCUUGACAGUAAAUUCUAAUCCUUCGUAGCAUAAUGCAACAUCUGAUGUUCCUCUGAUAUUUCUCAGAAUCCUCUUAAUAGUCUUCCAAUGUUCUUUGCAAGGAUUCGCUAUGUAUCGACUAACUGCUCCCACUACUUGUACAAAUCAUAGCGAACCUUAAAUUUUCCACUGCUGAUGCAUACAGUUCUCAAGACAUCUCUUCUUCUCUACUUCAUUACUAUAUGAAUACUUAAGAAUAACUUGAAAUUAAUAGGAGGCGGGGUAGAAAGCCAAAUCUUCUUGCUAUUACUAUCUCGGUGAAUUUGCAUCCCUAAAAUCUUGUUUGUUGGUUCUAAGUCUUUUAUUUCAAACUCCCUAGUUAACUGUGCCUUCAGUUCUUGGACUCGAUCUUUGUUGGGGCUUGCUACCAAUAUGUCAUCCACAUACCACAGUAGAAUGAUGAAAUCAUUAUUAUCAAACUUGUUGUAAUAUGUACAAUAGUCUGAACUGAUUCUAUUGUAUCCAAGGUUUAUGAUGAAGGGAUCAAUUCUCUUAUAUCAACAUCUCGGUGCAUGUUUGAGAUCGUAUAGAGAUUUGUUCAACUUGCAAACCAAGUGUCCCUUUUUAGUAAAACCUUCUAGUUAGAGCAUAUAAAUCUUUCCUUCAAGUUCUCCAUGAAGAAAUGAAAAUUUCACAUCUAACUGCUCCAAAUAUAGGUCAAAUGUAGCACACAUCGACAAGAACACUCUAACUGUCCUGGGUCAAAUCACUGGAGAAAAUAUCUCAUUGAAGUUAAUACAUUCUUUCACCACCAAUCUUUCACGAUACCGCUCCACUAGGUUAUUACCAUCAUGUUUGAUCUUGUGAACCCAUUUGCAACCAAUGGUUUUUUUUUUAUAUGGUAGUAGUACGAGUUCCUAUGUCAUAAUCUUGUGUAGAGCCUUAAUUUCUUCCUGCACUGCUAUCAUUUACAAAGUAACAUCUAAGCUGUUUAAAAUUUCAUAGAAAGUUGAUGGCUUUCCAUUCUCUAUUAAAAGACAGUAUGCAAAAUUGAUAUCUGUGACAUAAUCCAAAUGCCACACAUACAGUUAUCUAUCACGAGUUGACCAACAAACUUUUAGGGCCUCAGACUCGAUUGGUUCUUGUUCUCAUACUUUAGUGCUGCUUCAAAAAAAUCUGAAUCUUCAUUUUCCAGAUUAUUUUCAAACAUAUAUUAGCACAAUCUCUAAAUUUUAAUAGUGCUAUCAUCCAUAUCUCUCUUUUGCAUUUGAUCUUCUACAAAGAUAAUAUCUCUGCUAAUAACGAUUUUGUGGGCAUUGAGGUCCCACAGAUAAUACCCUUUCACUCCAUCAAUAUAUCCUAAGAAGAUACAUCUCUUGGAUUUUGGAUCCAUCUUUAAUCUCACUUGGGUAUCGUAUAUCACGUAAAAGGACAUCAAAAUGCCUGAGAUGAGAGUAAUCAGUUGGCUUUCCUGUCCAUUUUUCCAUUGGAAUCUUCAACCCGAUUGCCUUGAAUGAUGACCCACUUACCACAUAAUAAGUAGUUUUUGCUACUUCCGCCUAGAAUGAGUUGGUAGACCAGCAGUUCUCAACAUAAUUCUUAUUUUUUCUAUAAGAGUCAUGUUCUUUCACUCCACUACUCUAUUUUAUUGAGGAGUGUAUGCCACUGUGAACUAUCUCUAGAUACUUUCUUACUUACAUAUGCAAGAAACAUGCUAUAUGUAUACUCUCCACCAUUGUCUGUCCUCAGGCACUUGAUCCCUUGCCCUGAUUUAAGUUCAAUCUAUGCUUUGAAUUCUUUGAACAAUGGAAAUACAUUUGACCUUUUCUUGAUUAGAUACACUAAAUAUCUCCUAGAAUAAUCAUCAAUAAAAGUCACCAAAUACUUUGCACCUCUCAUAGAUAUAUCAAUUGAUUCCCAAACAUUAGAAUGAAUCAAGUCUAAAAUACAUUUACUUUUGAAAGUGGAUCUGCUAAACUUUCAUCUAUGUUGCUUCAUUGUUUCGACAUGUGGCUAAGCUUAAGAUGCCACAUCAUCGCUGAAUUUUCUCUAUUUGAUGUGACACACACAAAAGCUUUCUGUAGUGUUUCCAUUUAAUUAUGAAUAGAUUAGCACCGAUCUUUUCCACCUUCAUUAAUGCAAGUGUGCCUUUGACUAUCUUUAUGAUCCCAUUUUCUACAUGAGUUUUGUGCACAAGGCUAUCUAUUUGUCCUAAAGACAAGAGAUAUUUUUCAAGUUUUUGACAUGUCUUACCUUCUCAAUUGUGCGAACCGUACCAUUAAACAUAUUUAUUUUGACAGUACCAAUAUCAAUGAUCUCAAAGGCAUGAUUAUCGCCUAUGUAUACAGAUUCUCUUGAAAUAGGUUCAUAUUUGUGAAAUCAUUCUCUUGGAGAGAUCAUGUGCCAGGCAACUAUUAAGUCUAUAAGCCAGACGUCAUAUAGUGGUUUUCUGCCUUCUGAAGCAGUUGUUGCCUUACUGUAGAGAAUUUUGCCAUCAUACGAGGUACUUACUACAUACCCUUGAGCAUUUGAUGACUCAGGAUCUUUACCCUCUCUUCUCUUCUAGUUGUUCCAAUACUCUUCCUUGACAUACUCUUUCUUGCCACAGUUGUUGCAUUCAACAUUCUUAUUACUUCUUGAUUUCGAUCUACUGUGAUUGUGGCUCUCACUAGGGCCACGUUCCAUGGAUCUUCCUUUCAUCAUCAAUAGUGUUUCUACUUGCUGCGAACUUGUCUGUCUAUCUUUUUUAUUUUUUGCUACUCUCCUCAUUUAAUACGGAGGCUGCCAUAUUGUCAAAGACUAACUUGUCUGCUCGAUUGUUAUUAGUUAGAUUAAUGACGAAUUGAUCAUACGAAUCUGGUAAACCUUGAAGUAAAAGCUCUACAUGAUCAUUUUCCUCUAUUUUAUGACCCAAUGUUGUAAGUUAUGAAAAUAAAGUCUUUAAAGUGUUGAUAUGGUCGAUCACUGAUGUAGAUUCCGUCAUUCGAAGAGUAUAAAGCCUCCUCUUUAAAAAGAUUUUAUUUUGUAGUGAUUUGACCUCGUAUAGUCUUGUGAGAGUAAACCAUAUUUCCUUUGCUCUCUUUUACUCUACUACAUUGAAUAAUACCUUAUUUGAAAGUGGUAUGUGUAGAUUUGCAAUGGCAUUAUUGUCUAUCUCAUUCCACUUGUCAUCAUCAGUUAUCUUUGUGAGCCUCUCUUCAAUUGCUGCCAAGCAAUUACUCUUCCUCAAUACAACCUUCAUCUUCAUUUUUCAUGACGAAAAAUUAUUUUUGUUGAACUUCUAAAUUUUGUAUUUUUCUGCCAUCACUGUUCACCACGAGCUACCUUUGCUAAGAUUGAUUCCUACCAUUUCACAUGAGCAGUAACUGUAUAUAUGAAUAAAGUGUUGUAUACAGAAACAAUAUCAUAGACAUGAACAGUACAAUAUAUGUAAACAGUAUCUCGACCCCAAAAAAUACAACCCGACUCUAAUACCACUAUUAGAAAAUUAAUUGGUGAAGUAGGGCCGCGACUAAAAUAAAAUUGGAAGAAAAUGAAGAACAAGCACACUGAGGACACCAUAAAUUAUUUGGUUCGACUUUUAACUUAUGCCCAUAGGUAAGGACAAAAGGAUAAAACUUUACUAGUGAAAUGAAGAUUAUAAGUAUUUUAGUAUUUUGUUUCACUUCUCAAAACCUUAAUACACCCAAUCUCUCCAAACACUAGUCACUCAAGAGUAUAAAACUCUUAAUCUCUCAUUAUAGAACUAAAGAAGAAAAUAAUAGAAUGAAUGAAAUGAGGGGGUGAACCCCUCUAUUUAUAGCUAAAAAUUUGGGCACUUUUUAUAUUUAUUAUUAUUUCAAAAUUUAAAGUUUGAACUUGAUAUUCAAACUUUGAAUAUCAAAAGAUACGGGUUGUUCUUCUAGAAGAACCGCACCAACAUUGACUCUUAGGCAGACCUUUAGAGCUUUAAAUAAAGAAAAAGCUUUUAAAAAUGCCAUGUGUACUUGAUUAUACAAUAAUCUCCACCACAUAGAAUGAUUUGAUAAAAGAAAUUUUUAAUUUUUAAUUUUACUUUUAUCAGGCACGGUGUAUUUCCCCUUGGGCUCAUAUGUAAGGAUGUCAAUAAGAUGGGAAGGAGAGGGGAUUGAUUUCCCCAUACUCAUCUUUAAUACUCUGUGUAUCUCUUUGUACUCUAGACAGUUCCUUCAAAAUUACUUGAAACGAGGGGAUGGAUGUUUCUAAAUAAUACAAAGGGAUCUCUUAUGGCAUCCGAUCUCUGAUUAUUUAAUUUCUUUUUUUUUUCUUAAUUUAAUCAUCUUAAAGUAAAAAUAUAAAAUCAUAUUAACACAAAAAAUAUCAAAUUAACUAAAGUGAUUAAAAUCAUUUCCAUCAAAUUAAGUCAAUGUCAUCAAAUUAGAAGAUAAUCUUUGAACUAAUUAAGCAAAAGUAAAUCUUCAAAGUUGAACUCAUCCAUAAAUGUCAUAUAGUAUAAACCAUCAAUUAAAUUAUCUUUGUCAAUUUUAAAGUGUUUAUAUUUACUUUAUAUUGGCUGUUAUUUAUAUUAUUUUUAUAAAUGUAUUAUGAUAUUUUUUAUUUACAUCACACUAUUACAAUUGAAAUUUUAAAUGUAUUUACUAUAAAUUUGAAAAAAAUGAAUUAAAAAUAGAAACUAAAGAUAGAAAUAAAAAAAUGUGGAGCCAAAUAAAAUAUUAGGGCAAACACUAAGUUAUAAUUCAAGUAACUUACACCCACACAUAUUAAUUUAUCACAGCCUUGUCUCCACAUAGAAAAAUUAGAUCUAAAAUUAUCAAACUCCCGAAUGAGGAAGAUCCCUCGGGGCCAUCGUCCCUGUGGAAAUUUCUGCAUCCCUGCAGUCUACAACGCCUAAUAAUGAAUUGAACGGUUGAAAUCCCUCUAAAUUUUUUAUAAUUUCUAAUCGCCCCUCCAUAUUUGAUUGAACAUCAAAACUAUGGAGUCCAAAUUUAUAACUUUGAUUUAUCUUCCAUUCCAUAGUUUUCAAGUUCUCUCUCUCUCUCUCUCUCUCUCUCUCUUUUAACCCUUUUUACUGCAACCACCAUCAAAGCCUAGUAGUUAAUAUGUAUGCUGCUUUGCUUUCAAAAUCGGACACUACUGGUAUUUAUGGUUUUUAUUCUUUAUUUGACACAAAAUUUGGCGAUAUCUCCGAGGAAAAACACUACUGGUGUAUUCAAUUUUAUCCGGUAAUGAUUAAAUUGAUUAUUACAUGAACCGUAACUUCGCCGAGCCCAAAAUACAUAUUAAGUUAUAAAGCGUUCGCACUCAUUAUUUUUCGCAAAAAGUUUCGCCCAAAAUACAUAUAUUUUUUUAAUUUUUUCUGUGAAAAAAACUACUGUUAUAUUCAAUUUUAUCAUUAAAGUUGUUAGUUACAUGAACCUUAAAUUAACACAAACCGUAACUUAGCCAAGCCCAUAAUACAUAUUUCAUAUUUGUAUGAAAUUUAAAGUUUUUCCACUUAUUAUUUUUCGCUAAAAGUUUCUAAAUUGUAUUGUAGUUUGAACUUGCCCAUCAUUCAAUUUUUUAACUCCACAAUUAUUUGACCUUACCAAGCUUGAAAAUAUCCUUCCAUACAUAUUUAAUUUUCUCCAAGUAUGAUGAAGAUUUAAUCAAGAGCCUCCGGGAUCUUAAAGUGCAAGAAAGGUCCGGAAAAUUUUUAAAACCCCACUGUUUAAAGUUUUUUUGGACUUUCUUGCACUUUAAAAUCUUGGAUUGAUAUAUAUAUAUAUAAUCAUUAUUAGGUGCUAGUGUUCUCAUUUUUUUUUUUAAUGCAAACACCCUUUUAAGCCGUAGGGUUUAAUAACAUUAAAAACUAACUUUCAACUAGCUCUCUUAAAUUGUACGGCUUAAAAGCAUGUUAGCAUGAAAAAAUGAACGUGUCUGUACCAAAAAAGGACUAUAUAUAUUAUUUACUUUAUAUAGACAUACGUGCGCGCGCUCGCAUAUAUAUAUAUAUAUCAUUUUAAUAUAUUCCAUUACUUUAAUAAUCAAUUUAAAAUAGUUUGUGAUAUUUCCAGCUAUUUAUUUAUCUACUUUUAGUUAGUUAUUUACACCGAAUGAAGUGAUAGGGUCCAACUUUUAGUAUCCUUCUCAGCUGUUUGGGGUUAGUAAAUACUAAUUAGCUUAUUCGUCCCGAACAGCCGCGUAAAUGCUGUUAGAUUUCGGAGAGAUGCUGAGGAUGGUACAAGAUUUAUCAAAUUGUGGCGACAUUUUUAUACCUUUAGAAUUUCAAGAUUUUGAAGAAAUAAAUGGAAUCUGUUUUCCAUAAGUGAUCCACUAUCUAUCAGGAGGAAUUCUAAAAUACAUUACAGAUUAAUGAUUUUUCAUAAUAAAUAAACAUAUGUUAUAAUAUUAUUUAUUUAUCAUAUGACUGAUAUAAUACUUCUGAUAUAUUUUGAAAUUUUUAAUUCACCAAAGUUCAUUUUUAGCUUUUAAGGUUUUUAUGUGUGAGCCUCUCAGCAUGUUCCCCAACCUCCUCACGUGAAAAUAUUUCUAUGUACGGUUACAAGCUUUUCCAGAUUGUGAGUAUUCCGAAGCAAUCCAACUUGAAAAACAGCUGGUUCGUAGAAAACGACAGUUUACGAAGCUGGCCCUGCUGCCAUACAUAUGAUGAUGAAGACCAUUUUGCUUUAUGUCAAUUCCUCCAAGUUGAAAUCUUUCUCGGUCUGGGACACUUCCAACACAUAAAGUACUACUAGGCUAGAUGAUUUUAAAAAAUGUCAAGGUCCUUUAUCAAAUUUCAUUUGCAUUCAAGACCAACCCCCUUUGAUGAAAAUCAAUAAUUAAAGACUUUCCAAUGAGAAAUUAUUACGUCUUCAAAUCUCAAAAAACGCCAGAAUAUUAAUUCGCUACAUAUAAUCAAGAUAUCUCAUUGAGACGCAUUAAUAAAAAAUGUCAAAAUGCAUAGAAAGAGCAGACACACGGAUGAUGAAUUUACUCAUCUUUAUUAGUAUUUGAAUUUGAGAGACAGAAUGAAGUACAUGUCAAGAAUAUCAUAAAGAUGGAAACCGGAAGUCCUCCGCACAUAAACUUUGAAGAAACUGGAAAACGACUUUAUUCCAGAUAAUGCACACCAGAGUGACCAAAAUUCUCUUCAGUAACUAUGGAGAAAAUAUUAUUUUGCAUGCAUUUCACGUAACUGGAUCAAACUACUCCCCUGUUGGUUUGUCAGACCACAUUUUUAUGGUGCAAUAUAAACCAUCUUUUCAAAACACUUCGACAAUGUGAGAAACAAAUGAUUUUUAUAUAGUUGUUCAUAGCUAACUUUUGAUGGUUUAAUGAUCUGUAGAUUUUGUUUUAUGCUGUUCAAGGAAUGAUAUCCAAUUGUUCCUAAGAGUUCAUAGGCAGGGGCAUAUAUGCAUGAUUUGAUAUAAUUCUUGCAAUUUCUAAGUACUUGCUCUUUUCAUCCCUUCUAAGUUUUGAAAGAAAGGUCGAAAUAAACAGAGAAACAGGACAAACAGAAGAAGACUGAAUUAACAGAUCAACAAAGAUGGCAACUAACAAAUGGAAAAGUUCUCUUGUAAUCAAACUAUAGCAAACAGACAAUACCAUUGCCAUAUAUCUUAAUCAGUAGAUUGAUUCUCAACAUAUAUGUUAGGAUACAUUUGGUUGUUUAAUAGUUCGAAAUAAAGAGGAUGAGAUGGUUUCCACAUAAAAGUGCUGGGCCUUUCAAUGACAUUUUCAAGGAAUUAUAAAAUUCAAAAUAAAAAAAAAAAUAGCACAUUAUAAAGCCACACCGUCAAAAAAAUAAAUAAAUAAAUAAGUGAAGACCUUUAAUGAUAUAAAAAUAAAUAAAUAGAUAAGUCACUAAGACCUUUAAUGAUAUAAAAUAAGCAUAUAAAUCUCAUAACAAAACAUUAAAACUCAUUCUAAAAGUAAAAAUAAACUAGUGGUGUAUUCCAAACAAUUUAGAUGAAGCAAUAAAACAAGCCAAGAAAUCAAAUAAAAUGAAAUGAAAUUGAAUUAACCGGGACUUUGUUUUUCAAAUUCACAACUCGCUUGUAAUUAAAGUAAAAUGCCAAUGCCAUUAGGACACAUACAUCGUUGAAUAAGAUGAGGACCCCUCCAACAGCUGAAAGUAAAAUUUUCAUUCAUUAGUUUCAAUUAAAAUUAAAGCACACAGAGAUUUGCAGGGAAGCAAGAGAUUUAAUAAAUUUAACAGCAGCAAUUUAAUUUGACAGGACUUCCAUACAGUAAUGAAGUUAAAAACUAAUGAUUAACGAAUUUAGUUUGGUCCCAAAGCUGUUGAUCAUCUCUCUCUCCAUAGUAGAAGUUUACUCUCAGAGGCGCGUUUAAUUCUCCUUUAGUGAAAAUCUUCAUCUUGGGACAACCAAUUAUAGAUUCCUUGAAGGUGUAAUUGGCAGAGCAGAAACUUCUGAGACUGUCAGCAGAAACUUGUGAGACUACCCAAAUCAUACAGAUACAAAAUCUUCAAUUUGGUGAAAACAAUCUCUUCUUCAAAAUUUGCUGCUCCAUCUUCGUCAUUUAUCACCACCUCUCUCAUUGCUCUGCAUCCAUACACCAACAUUGAUAAGAGUCGCUGUAGAGUUUGGAGUGACAGAUUCGAUAAUGAUCAACUCCAAAUACUCGCCAAGAUCGCAAAUCAAACAACCAAGAUGCAAAAAGAAUCAAUCCAGAACAAAUCACAGAGAAACUUAAGAACCGAAAAGAAUUAAAGAAUUAGCAGCAAAGACAAAAGAUAUAACAGAUUUUGACAAUAAUGUACAUUUAGAAUUUCAAGGCAUUGAAUAAAGGAGUCCAAUUUGGAGUCUUGUUUCCACAAUUGCUUCAGAUGAUUAAAUUUGUGCAGAUCUAAAUGUUUUAUCAUUGUAAACUUCCUCACAUGUUUCUUCAAGUAUCCUCCAUUCGAAAAUACCUCUUCGCAUGAACAACGACGCCGUAUGAGAGUUUCCAGAUUAUGAAAUCUCUCAAGUAAAUCAAGUGGAAAACAAGUUGAGUCAUCAUCCACUGUUUGUAGUAGUUUAAGACUGCCAAAAAGGUGUCGUGGGAAAUCGCUCUGCAAAGUCAUCCUCGAGUCUUUUCCACUUAAUGCCAGUUGGGUAAGCUCUGAUCAUCAUCAAUCACGUAAUAACUUAUUAAGUCAAUUCAUAUUCUCUCAAAUAACUUUUAAUAAUCCAAUCAUACACAGUGACUUUAAUAUAAAUGCAUAAUAUUUUACAAAAAAGAAGAAAAAAUCGAAUUAGAGGUAAAAGUUAUUCUACGAUUUUAUUUUUUAUAUAUAUCUUGCAUGCUAUUCCCAAAAGCAAUCCCAAACGACCCUUAAAGCAAUUUUACAAAAGCGGCCCGUACAUGUAUUGCCAACUUUGUUAGGAAUGGCAAUGGAAAGGGGAGGGGAAGAGACUGAUCUCCCCGUACCCAUUCCCGAUAUUCUGCAUAUAUCCAUGUCCUCUUCCCAUUCCCGACAAAAUUACUUUAGGGAAUCCCCCUCCCCUCCCCAAAUAAUAAUAGGGGAUCCUUAAAGGUCCUCGAUUGUCGAAUAACUGAUACGUUUUUAGUUUUAAAUUUUAAUUUAAUCAUAUUAAAAUAAAAAAUAAAAAUAAAGUUUGACGAUAUAUCUUACAUUAACAUUAAUCUAUUACAAAAGUCACAUUACAAAGUAUAAAUCACCAUAAUAAUUAUCUUCGGCAAUCUUCAAAAUCAUAUAAUAAAAAAAAAAGAAAUUACUUUUAUAUCAACAAUGAGAUAAAUGAAAUGAAUAUAGAUACUUAAUCAAUAUUUCUAAUAAAAGUAUUUACCUCUUGUGUCUCCUACUCUUCUUGUUCUUCCUCGAGGAAUGUGACAAAUUGAGAGAUAGCCUCAGAUUUCAAAUUUAAAACAACAAAAAUAAUAUAAGUAAUGUAAAUUCUAAGUGAAAAUAUUAAUAAUUAUAUAAUAUAAUUACAAUGUAAAAUAAACUCAUACUGCCAUUGUAAGCUUGUAGUCAACUUUGACAACAUAUUAAAGCCUCCAAUGUGCUUGAAUAAAGCGUGUUACAGUACUCUAACACUGGUGCUAAAAGCUAAUUCAAAAGCAACAUUUGUAAUUAGAAUUGCCAAAAUAUCUCUAGCAAUUCAUAUACCCUCCUUAUGUUACUAACCACGUGACGGUAGAGAGCCAAUUGGCAUACUAUUAUUUUGACGGUAGAGUUAUAAAUUUGUUUCUAAAUAGAAAACUAUUUGCUGAAGUCAAUAUUUUCAAAACCAAAGUCCCAAAUUCUCUCUCGUGCGUGCCUGGCCAUCCUAAACCUUACUGGUAGCCGGAGAAUGGCGUAAAACGGCGGCGAUCUUCUUCUUCAUCUUAUUAUCUCUCUCAUCGUUUCAGGUAAGCUUGUGAUUAUGAGUUUCUUCUCUUUCUUAGCUUGUAAUUAUAGGUUUUGAUUUCUUUAAUUCGUAUUGUAACCAUUAAUGUCAAUUUUUGUCCCGCCGGCAAUAUUUCUUGUUCCUAGAAGUUGAAGCCCUUCUGUUCUUGUUCCAUUGGUGACUUUGCUCACUCAAAUUAAUUUUGUUCUGCGGAAUUUACAAAGUUCAAAUGGAUUCAUUUGGAUUACUAUUGAAUUUAGCUUUCAUUUCAACAUUCAUUCUAAUGUUUUACAAUCAUGUAUUUAGAUUUACUUUAAUUUUAUGUUUAAAGCUUCUACAAUGAAUAGCGGAGCUUGGGUUUUAGUUUCAUUUUCUAAUUAACUUCUUUUAGUUUAUCUUAUAUGCUCGCCAAGUGCUUGUUAUAUUGUCUGAUAAGUUAUAUAACAUUGCUGAUUCUAUAUUAGUAAUGUCAUGUUCCAUUUACGGAAAUUAUAGCACAAAAGUUUUUACAAUGGCUUGCAUCUACAAACUGAAUUGACUUGUAGAGUAAGAGCUUGGAUUAGUGUUAUGUUCUUGAAUAAAUGAAAGUUCAUAUUGUGUAAGAGCAUGUAGAUGUAAAGCAUCACUACCAUUUCUACAAAAUGCUUUCAUUCUGUUCAGAUGCUCCUCUUGAACUUUGAAAGGUGCCUCAUUCAAGUCCUAGCUAUAACUAAUAGCUCUGAUUGCUUAAGUUCCUGUGCUAGCUGAAACAGAUUUAUUUAAUUAAUUAAUUGUGUAUGUACUAAUUAUAUUGAAAGUAUAUGAAGAAAUUGUUUAACAUGAAUGACUUCUAAAUGACUUAAAAGCCUAAAGGAUAUGUCAAAUAAUGCUCAUUUCACUUGAACGAGCCUAAUACUUUUAUGUCUAUGAUUGUCAAUCUUGCUUAAGUGUUUCAGUUAAGUGGUUUACCUAACAGGGGAAAAAAUUUAAUGGAAAACUUUAGAGUUCGAACAGAAAUAUAGUUGACUGCAGAUAUAGUUAUUUUACGGUACAUAAAUCAUAUUGUCCUAUACUCAAUGUCCUACGACCUAUUUUAUUUUAUAUGGUCAUUCAUUUUUGCGAUGGUUUUUUGUGCUUAUGAGUAUGGAAAUAGUGGGAUUUGGUGUGGCAAACAAAAAUAUACAUAUAAUCAAGUUUCUUAAUCAUGUAUAUUGGUUUUGGGUAUGAAUGUUUUCCUAUUCUAGUUCUAGACAAAGUUUCUUCAUUUUGGUCUUCAGAUUUCCAGUAGGUUAAGUUAAGCAACUAUCAUAACUAGCUAGCUAGUUAUUGCCUGCCUUGUCGCCAUUACCGACGCCAUUACAUUGCAUGGCAUAAGGAAUAGUAACUAGGUGAUUAUUGGUGAUUCCUUGAGUUUAUUAUUGGCCAAACAAACAUAUUCGCCUUUACCCACAACUUAGUUUGAUUAGUUAUUAGAUAAUAAAGAGCCUUAAUCUAUGCAUUGCUUUAUUAUUUUUAUUUGGUUUUUCUUUCAACAAUAUUGUUGAUUUCUUAUAAAAAAUAUUCAUUGGUUUUUAAACACCUAAUCAUUGGCUAUAAUGAAGCUAAUUAAAACGGAGGCUUUGGAUCAAUUUCUGUUAACAACAUACAAAUGAGCAUAACCACCCCCCCCCCCCCCCCCCCAACCACCACCAAAAAAAAAAAAAACCAAAUAGGAAGACUUUGCAAGAUUCACAACCAGGUUACAUUUAAUUUAUUAAUUGUGUGUACGUACUAGUUAUUUGUUGAUAGAAUAGGAAGAAGUAUUUUAAUAUGAAUGGCUUAAAACUUAUUGCUCAGUAAACAUAAUGUGCAUCAGUGCUAGAAAAUGUAUUUAUUGUUUGUAAUUUUUUAUGGUUUUGCUUAAGAAAUGAAAUGUGAAAAAAUGCUACAUUUUAUUAGGAAUAAAUUGAAGAGAUUUAUGAUUUUUAUGUGUUAUUCAAGUUUCAGAUUCAAUUUUAAACUUUUGAUACAUGCAUUGAAAGCUUAAACUCCUUUAAGAAAUUAUUAAUAGACACAUGUUUUAUUAGUGUCAUCUUUUGGAUGAUAGUGAGGAUCUUAUGUCUAUUAAUAAUUCUUGAAUUAUCUAGGCUUGGACAGUUUGGUAAUGCAUAGAUUUCUAUGGCAGCUAGUGCCUGAAAUUUUUUUCCCACGUAAAAAUGGGUUUUUCCGCAGCUGCUCCUCAUGUUCUCUGGGUGCAUACUAGACAAAUGGGUGUCAUGUGUUGUUUUGGCAUAACACAUAAACACUCAUAUAUCUAUGUCGUGUACUUGAAGAACUAUAGGGAGAUGCUUCCGAAGUUUCUAUAAACGUAGAGGAAAACUUUAGAUACUUAAGAUUGAAGAAACUUAUGCAUUCUUGAGUGGGAUAUAUAGGACCACUUACCUUUUGUAAAUAUGAAGGGAAUGUUGGAUAUAUUGAUGGGAGUGGAGGAGCUGAGUGGGAUGAAUGUAAUCGGUUAUGAUUUUGCUGAGUUGACUUGGUUUUGAGUCUUGUAAUUUUGUUUAUAAAUGGAGUACUAUCUCCAAUGUUGGUUUAUAAAUAUGUUUCAGCUGGCUGACCUAAUUUUUUGUUUCUAGGUAACAGGCUUUAUAUAUCUGUAAUUGAUAGCCAAGUGAAGUUCUCAGCAGUGGGUGAGGAUAUUUCUUUACAGAAGGUAUUGCAAACUGUUUUUUAGAUUAAUUAUUAUUGUAUAUAUACUUUAAUUUUCACAUCUUUUUCUCUGAUUCUUGUGGCUUUGCUUGCUUCCAUAUAUAUAAAACCAUAAAAUUGUAUAAUAAUUUUUUUAUUAUAUUGCGAAACUGCGCACACAUGAAAAUAUCUUGUUUAGUAGUAGAAAUGAAGAAUUAAAGUGAUUUAUUUAACUAAUUUUUCUAGUGCAUUAAAAGGAGAUAGUCAUGGACCAGAGUUGGGUUGGUUUGCCAAAUAGAUAUCCAAUUCAUAUACUGAUGGGGUCAAAAAAUUUAUAGAUUUUGCAUUUGAGAAUGUUGUUGGUGAUAAAAGAAUUUAUUGCCCUUUAGAAGUGUCGUAAUAUCGAUAUUUCAUUAUAAGGAAAGUAGCAAGAGACCAUAUCAUUAUAAAUGGCUAUUGGUUAAAGUAUUAAAACUGGAUAUUGGAGGGUGAGCCAUCUUCAUCUUUGAAAUCUAACUAAGAAACAGGUUAGUCAUGACUCGGGUAGUGAUGCUAGUAUGCUUGGAAUGAUGCAUAAUGCAUCACGUAAUCAAAUGUUCAAGUCACACGCAGCAUUGUUAUGGACUAUCUCCGACUUUCUAGCAUAUGCCAACUUGUUUGGGUGGAGUAUUAAAGGUAAAUAAGCAUUUCUUGUUUGCCAACAAAACACUAGAUCUAAUUGGUUGAUACAUAGUAGAAAAUUGUCACGUGGGUCACCGUCGAUUUUUACCAACAAAUCAUAGGUUCCGAAAAUAUAGUGCCAUCUGAUAAAACUAGAGAGUGGGGACAAGCACCUUCUCGGUUGUCUGGAGCCGAGGUGAAAAACCAGUUCAGUAAUGUACUUAAGAUUGAAGACUUGAAAAGAGGAGAAAAGAGGAGAAUGAAUAAAAUGAAAGAAAUGAUAAGAUUACUUGGAAGAAGAAAAGCAUUUUUUAUGAACUAACGUAUUGGGAGUUCAAUUUGAUUCAUCAUAAUCUCGAUGUCAUGCACCGUUUUGAUUUUUGUUAUGAACUCAGAUCAAAAGUUUAAUGUGAUCAAAAUUUCUUAAAAAUAGUGAAAACGACUCCUCCUAAUAAUAUGGAAGAUGGCUAUAAAAGAUAAUUUCUUAAAAGUUUAAUGUGAUCAAAAUUGCUUGUGAACGCAAGGGUUUUAGUUACACUGUCAACGCUGUCAAUGUAGUGAUACAAUGAAGAUGAAGUAAAGCAUUAGUAGAAUAAUGAAGUUGACCAGUAACACAGUAAAGCAAAUUUUAUUCCAGAGCAUGAAAACUUUUAAACAGUAACACAGCUCUUAUUCCAGAGGCUGCACGCGAGUGACCUGAAUCUUCUUCAGAACUUUCAAAUUUUAUCAAGCAAAGCUUUCAAAAUCCUUUGCCUUCCUAAGUUAGGAAAGAUAGAUGUGGAGCAAACUAUUUUUUUUAGAUAUUUUCACUUUGGGCUGUCAGCCCGAGGAAGUAGGGGGGUCUGAGUUAUUCAACUGAAAAUGUCGGCCAAGUUCUUGUGUUAGUUUUAGUAUAUUGUGUACAAAUGAUACACUAACUUGAAUUUAUAUGCUUUUAUGACUAUUUGAUAAUCAAAUGGGUAAAUGACACGAAUAACUUUGAGUUUAAAAAUCUGGCCCUGAUGCCUGGUAGCCCUCCAACCUAUGAAGCACUAGAUGUUUUAAUGAUAAAACGACAAGACCAUUUAUCAAAUUUCUUGUGGAUAUAAAUACAUACACAUAGACGAGACCAACCUCCUCAAAUGAGAAUCAGAGUGAUUACAAGACCUUUCAAUGAGACAAUAAUACACCAUCAAAUCUCAAAAUACAAUAGAAAUUCAUGACAUAUAUAUAAUAAAAGACCACUCAUUGAGUCAUAUAUAUUGAGAAUAAAUUUUUUUUAAUACAUACAAAGAGCUUAGCUAGAAUGAAAUGUCUUUGGACUUGCGAUGAAAACAAAGGAAACAGACAUGUUGCAACUCACACUAUCACAGAUGUAGCGACACAAUGCAGUGAAUCACAAGAAGAUCACGAAGAUGGAAACGGGAACCCCUCAGAAUGUAAACUUUGAAUAGAGGAAAAAAGGAAAACGACCUUAUUCACAGAGGACGAGUGACUUAAAUCUUCAUCAGUAUCCAAACAUUCUGCAAUCAUAGAGUAGAGAAAUUUUAACAGGAACAGCAGAGAAAAUAUUAUGAAUAUGCACUGAUUACGUUUUUUUUUUUAAUUUUUUUAAUCCGAUUAAUGAUAUUCAGCUGUUCUUUAAUUAUGUGUUCAUAGGGAAGAACAUUUUCUAAGUACUUUCCUUGCCUUCUAACUUUCCAAGGAAAUAUAGGUGUGAAGAAAAGCAAACCCAAUGAACAAACAGAGCACAAAGUAAAAUAAAAGAACAGCAAUGAUGACGAUAAAUAAUUGGCAAAGAAAGAAAGGAAAAAGUAUGCACGUUUUCAAGGAUUUAUAAAAUACGAAGGCUUUUAAUGGAAUUUUAUCAUAAAAACGUAUGCAAGGAGUUAUAAAAUUUUAGAAGACGAGGGGAGCUCGCAAAAAAAAAAAAAAAAGACUCAAAUUAAACUAGACUAAAAAGACAUUCAAUUAUGCAAAAUCUGUCCAUAAAAGUCUGAAAGGAUCAUUAAAAUUGCAUUGCAAAUUUAACAGUAAACCGAGGGAUCCAUUCUAAAUAAUUCAGAUGAAAUUGCGAAACAAGCCAUGGGAUUAAAUAAAUGAAAUAAAAAUUAAUUACCAGUUGAGACUUUCUUCUAAAAAUUCGCAACUCCAAGUCAUAAGAAGCCUAUGAAAUUAGUCGUACUGCGUAGAGUAUGACGACGACACCGCCAACAGCUGAAAGUAAAAUUCUUAUUCAUCAAUUUAAACUUUUACUUUAUAAAAAAUAUCUUAUCUAUAUUGUAUUUAAGAAAGCAAAUUUUGUAAAAAUUUAUCAUGGGAGAUAGAGAGUAAUAUGUAUAGACGUACCUUCUCAGCAUGUAAUUGUUGUAUGGUUGUGUUUAGAUCAUUAUUAGCCCAGCGCCGUUGAUCCGCUGUCUCUCCAUAGCAGACGUUUACUCUUAGAGGCAUGAUUGAUUCUCCUGUAGUGAAAAUCUUCAUCUUGGGACAACCAAUCACACACAAAUCUUGCAAAGAUGGGAAUUUGAAGGUGUAAUUGGCAGAGCAGAAACUUGUGAGGCUAUCUAAAUCACGCAGUUCCAACGUCUUCAAUUUGCGGAAAACAAUCUCUUCUUUUUCAACUCCUUCUUUGUCAUUUAUUACCACCUCUGUCAUUGCUCUGCAUUCACGCAUACGCACUGUGACGAGUUGCACUAGAGUUUUUGCUGUGGAGGAUGUUACCAAGUGUAUCAAUUCCUUGCAACCGAAAGCUACAAUUUCGGUUAGGUUCCGAAAAGAUACCGAUGAUGAUGGCAAUAGAAUUAACAGACUUUGACAAUCAUAUACUUUUAGAAUUUCAAGAUACUGAAAAAUGGGGCCAAGUUUGGAGUCUUGUUUGCACAGCUGCUCAAGAUGAUAGUGCUGGUGCAGCUGUAAUUCUUUUAUCAUUGCCAACUUCCCCACAUGUUUCUCUAAGCAUCCUUCCAUCGAAAAUACCUCUUCGUGGAAUGAAAAAUUACACAGUAUGAGUAUUUCGAGACUGUGAAAUCUCUCAAGUACAUUCCAGAUUGGAAAACAAGCUGAGUCAUCGCCACCAAUAUUUAGUUGUUUAAGACUGCCAAAAAGGUGUUGGGGGAAAUCGGCCUGCAAAAUCAUCUUCACGUCUUUUCCAUUUAAUGUUAGGUCCUUCAAGUUGGGUAAGAUCUGAUCAUCAUCAAUCAUAAUAAUUAUUAAGGUCAAUUGAUGUUCUCUCAAAUGAUUUUAAGUAAUCCAAUCACACGCAGUGACUUUAUAGUAUUUGUUUUAUAUUAUAUUUUACACAAAAAAAUGAAUUAUUGAAAAAAAUUAUUAAAUGAUUUUUUAUAUGUUAAUUUUAGAGGUAAAAAAGAAAUUAAGGAAAAAAUUUUGAUUUAUACUGGCUGGAAAUUAUUUUAUUGCACAAUAAUAAAUUACUAAUUUAUUUUGUAAGUUCUUAUAUAUGGAAAGACUAAGUAUCUCCAAAAGGCUCUAUAAAUUUUACUCUUUCAAAUUUCUAUUUGCUUACCUAUGUGGCAAAUAGAAAAGUGAAAAAAUAUGUUAUUCUCCAAAAGACUCUUCAAAUAGAAAUGAAUUAAUAUUAUUUUAAUUAAAUAACUAUUUUUAAAAAAUAAAAAGUCAAUAGUAAUUAAAACACCUCUCUCUCUUUCUCCAACAAAAAGUAAUAAAAUAUAAAUUGAAGAGGGGGAAUGCAACUCUCCAAAUUUGAAGAGAGAUGAUCAUUUCUUAUUUGAAGAAUCUUAAUUGGAGUAUCUUUUGGAACUUUAAAUGCUGAUGUGGCUCUUCAAAUAAGUAAUAAAAUCUUAUUUAAAGAGUCUUUUGGUGAUGCUCUAAGGAUUCUUUUAUAAAUGCUAUACCUAAAAAAGUUCAUAUAAUUAUUAAUCUAUCAAUAAAUCCCUUAGUCUAGACUAGCAAAGAUUAUUGUAUAAUAAAAGUUUUCAAUUUAUUGAGUAUUAAUUUAUUGAUGCUUUGUCAUAUUUUUUAAAGUUCAAACUAAGCUAUUGAUAGAAAUCUAGAAAAUGGCUUCAUACAUUUUCCAACGGCAAUAGGGCCUGUUGUGCAGGAGUAUCAAGUUCAUCAUUCUCAAAAAAAAAAAAAAGAUUGAAUUAUUGAUAAAAUUUAUUAAAUGAUUUUUUAUAUGUUAAUUUUAGAGGUAAAAAAGAAAUUAGGGAAAAAAUGUUGAUUUAUACAGGCUCGAAAUUAUUUUAUUGCACAAUAAUAAAUUACUAAUUUAUUUUGUAAGUUCUUCUAUAUGGAAAGACUGAGGAUUCUUUUACAAAUGCUAUACCUAAAACAAUUCAUAUAAUUAUUAAUCUACCACAUUGAUCCCUUAGUCUAGACUAACAAAGAUUAUUGUAUAAUAAAAGUUUUUAAUUUAUUGAGUAUUAAUUUAUCGAUACUUUGUCAUAUUUUUCAAAGUUAAAAAUAAGCUAUUGAUAAAAAAUCUAGAAAAUGGCUUCAUACCUUUUCCAACGGCAAGGGGGGCAGUUGUGCAGGAAUACCAAGUUGAUCAUUCUCAUUAUUCUGCGAUAAAUCUGCAGCGAAUAUCUUUAAUUUGUCACAACCAUACACAUAAAGAAUUUCUAGCGCGGGCCAUUCCGAAGUAUGCAUUCCAGGGUACAAACAUCUAAGUUUUGGUAGAUCUUGGAGUCUCAGAGUGGUGAGCGGUGGAAAGACAAAAUGAGGGAUCACUUGAUCUGCUCUGUUUUCAGAAAUGAUCUCCUGUAAAUCCUUACAGAAGCGUAUAUCUAGGUGUUGGAGCUGCUUAAGGCUUCCGAUCAUAGACGCUGAAAAUAUGUAUUUUAAUUUAUGACAACGAUGCACAGUCAAUCGUGUUAAAUUUUGAAAGCGAGGAAACAUGACCGGAAGAUUAUUGUAGUGCCAAAUCUUGUCGACAUUAAUUUCAUAUAUCUCCAAAGCCUCCAAGUUAGGCAACGCAACCUAAAAAAAUAAGAAUUUCUCGUUAGAUCCAAUAUCCAUAUGGGAAGCACUUGUUGAAAUUUUCUUCUUUGAUUACAAAUUAAUGCAAGUCUGAAUCAAUUUCCAACUGACAGCUGAGUAUGCAUUCUAAUUCAUACUACUUGUUAAGAGCUCAAUUAGUGAGCGCGUGAGAUUCUUUUUAUCCUUUUUUCCAUUUUCUUUCAAAUCUUUAAAUGAUUUAAUUACGAAAAAUUAAAUGAUUAAGCCCAUUUUAGUUGACCAAUUUUCUUAAUUAUAUGAAUAAAAUCUGUUAUAUAUGAAGAAAAUGUUAGCCUACGCACCUUCUCGUUGAAAAGCAGAGUUGAAGUAUCCAAAGUGAUUUCGCUGGAGCUAUACGUAGUCGUCGAUUCCUCCUGCGACGCUGGUCUGUUUGGUGAUGCUGAAGGAGUCUUUACUUCACGGCAGAAAUUUGUAACCUCUGGAAGAUUCCCCAGACUCAAAUAUCUUAAUUGAGCAAACUCUAUCUUCUCAAUUGCAUUAUCAACUUCUUCCCCAAUUGCAAAAAUCUCUUUCAUCUUGCUGCAAUUAAUAACUGCAAUUCUCUCAAGUCUUGGAAGGCAUUUUGUAGUAGAGAGCCAAAAGAUAUUACUCAAUUUAUCACAACUAUAUGCUUCUAUGGUUUUGAGUUUGUUGAAAGACUCUACUUUGAGCCGAUCAAUACAUAUCCUCUCCAUGUUGAUCAAGUUGUGAAGGAUAAGUGACUCCAAAGGAGGAAAGGCAUCACAAGCGACCAUCUCCCUGGAAUCGACGAUACAAAAGAUGUCAGGAUUAUUUUGAACCCAGAGAAGCUUCAAUUGUGAAAAGCCCUCCGUGUCCAAAUUGAAAAGAACACUCUCGAUGCCUUGCAGCUUGUCCAACCAUAAGCAUUCAACGUUAUUGAUGCCCUGCAAUUUCAUGGAGCAAAUGUCCAUAAAAUCAAGCUUGAGCUUCAAUGCUCUUAAACUCUUGCGAUCUCUGUCGAUCACAAAGUGCUGCCAACUUUUAAACCAUCUGUGUCUAAAAAGCAUGGGAUGUGUGAAUAACCCAUUUCCAAUAUGUAUUUGGAACCUUUCGAGCUUUCUGGCCAAAAAGCCUUCUGGUAAAAUACUAUCAUUUUUAACAUCAAUUUCUAGAGUGGUUAGCCGAGGUAAAUGCAUCAAUUCAUCAAGGCUAGCAUUACUUCUUUUGCUGUUGGCUCUUUCAACCUCCCAUUCAAUGGAGCAAUUACCCAUAUACAAUUCUUCUAAUCGGAUUAAGCUUGAUAUGACAUUUGGGGCAAUAACUUUCAGACGGAAACAGUCUGUUAAAUCUAACAACCUUAGCUUAGUCAGUUGACCGAGUGCUUUAGGCAACUCUACAAUAUCAGAUUCCAAAAAGCUGAUGAUUUCUAGAUUUUCCAACUUUCCAAUAAUGGCUAUGUCUAUGCCUCCCAAAAUGCUUUGAUUAAGACAGAGUGUCUGAAGAUUUACUAGAAGACCAAUUGAAGAUGGCAAUGACAAUAACCGCAUUCUAGUCAAAUCCAAAACCCGAAGCUUUUUCGUCCUUUUGAAGAAGUUCUCAGGAAUAUUAGGCACAGCAAAAGAGUUCUUGGGAGACAUGAGUAGAAGUUCAAGUUGUAGAGAUUCGGACCCUUCAAGAAUGUCAUUAAUAAUACUAUCUUUUAAAGAAAUUGCAAGAUAUUUUUUUAAUUCAUCUGCAUUUGGCCAUUUCCAAUCAUCCUCAUUUCUCACCACAAAUCCAAUUUUGUCACGACAUGCAAUUGAAAUGGCAACAUCGCGAACAACGUCGUGCAUAGAAAAGUAUUUACUGCCACCAUCCUCAAGCAACAAACAAGAGUCUCUUAGUUGAUGGACCCAUGCAUCUAAUUUGUUAUGUGCAUCUUCUAGCUUGUGGACACUUUUAAAUACACCCCAGCCCAUGCUAUAUUUGAACAAGUCCAUAAUUGGUGCUGGCGUAAUAAGACUACACAGUAAAAAAGUUUUCUUGAGUUGCUCACCUCUUAAGUACUUGUAACUCAGCUCAAUUGUUGAGUAUGCCUCUGCUGGUACUCCUUCGUCGAAGCUCGCCUCUGAAGGCGUUCGGAGUUCUUGCAAGGCAUUCUUCCACACAGGCAGCUCUUUUUUUCUCAGUGCCUUUGCUACUGUGAUUAGGGCAAUAGGCAAACCUCCGCAUGCCUUGGCUACACUUGUUGCUGUAGAUUUUAACUCACGAUUUUCAACAUAAUCACCAGCCAUUAUCUUGAACAAACUCCAGGCUUCUUGUUCAUUUAAAAUGCCAAUCGAGAAGUUUUUUUCAGAUCCCAUCCUUAACAGCACAUCAAGAUCUCUUGUUGUGAAUAAUAAUUUACAUCCUCUGUGCUCAACUCCAAAAGGAACUCCAAUAGUCCCCAAAUCAAGAGGUUUCCAGAUGUUAUCCAGAAUCACAAGGAUCUUCUUCUCAUUCUUCAAUCUUUCAUAUAGUCUACUAGCUCUUCUAGACUCAGCUUCCUCGGACAACUGUAGGCCUAACGUUACCGCAAUUUCCUCUUGGAUCUUUUUUAUGUCUGGACUUUGGGUAACCUCCGAAAAAGCCACCAUAUCGUAAAGCUUGUCUUCAAUGGCUCGCCUUGCAAACUCCCGCACCAGUGUCGUCUUUCCAAUGCCGCCCAUGCCGUAGACGCCAAUGAUGCUGACAUCAACAUCGAUCAAUGCAUUUUGUAUGGCCUUCAAAGUAGAAAGUCUUGAUUCGAAGGCCUCGUAGCCUUUGUGAGACUUGAGCCAAAUCUCCUCCGGAAUGGUACGGUAGGAAAUUCUAUCAUCAAAUCUCCCAGCUUCUUCUCGGAGUUUAAAAAGGGCCUCCUUCUCUGUUUCUGCUUUCUUUCCAUGCUGAUAGCGAGUAAUCCAAUUAGGAAACAGCCCCAUGAGACAUCGUUCAUUUGCUUUCUCUUCGUCUUGAAUGAAUUUGGCUGCCUCCUCAAUGCUCUUGUUCGCAUUAACCAGCCAUUUCUCAACCUUCUCUUCAAUCUUUUCACUUUUUCUUUCAGCCUCAGAAACUCUGCGCUGAAUGCUUUCUCUUUCAUCCUUGAGCCCAUCGAGUUCUUCCUUGAGAUUCUCAAAGUUGGCAGCGGAGUUAUACCAAUAACUAAAUUCGCGUUGUGCGUGAGGAGACAAGCAGUUUACAAUGCUUUUCAAAAUGUCCAUUGUUUUUUUGGGUUGGGGGGGGGGGGGGGGGGGGGGGGGGGGGGGGGGGGGGGAGGGGGGGGAAGGGAACGAAAUAGAAAUAGAACAGGGUCAUCGACCGCGCAAUUGAUAAUCAAGUAGAAGCAAAACAAGGCAAAAUUGGAAAAAGAAAUGAUAUUUGUACAAAACAAGGGGAAAAUCAGUGUAACAGAAGAGAAUCAAAGUGUUUUUGAGAUCAGAAAAUUGAAUCAAGAAAAGGGUUGCUUGAUCCAAUGAAAUGCAAACAGCUGGUGGCAAAAGGGAACGAAGCUAAAUAAGAAAACGGCUAGCACGAGCAGUGACCACGAUAAAUAGAAGCAAAGUGUGUAUGAGAUCAAAAGACGAAAAUCAGGAGAGGUUUUCUUGACUGAGAAUUGAAGGCAAAGAGUAGGAGCUGACGAAUACGGGGAUCAAGAGGGAAAAACUGCUUGCUCGUAAAACUACUUUCAAGCGAAUCUGAUAAAAUUAUUUCAAUACUCAUGGGCGACUCCUUUUUAAACUGCAGAAGGAAAAAAAAAAAAAAAAAAAGAGUUCUGAAUUUCAAUAUAUUAAUUUUUAUCCUAAUUUAUGUUGAGAUUCGUAAUCUCGUCUCAAUGAUUAAUUAGUAGAUAUUCUUUCUAACAAAUAUGUGUUGAAUAGAUAUAUUUCUUGACUAUUAGUAAGUUAGAUAUAUUUUGGCAUAGGAAUGAAAGUACCAAGUUGUGUCAUAUUAGAAUAAAAAUUUGAGCUAAAAAUAUUUUUCUAUGACCUUUUAAUUAUUUGUCAGCAAAUAAUUAAGUCAUAUAAAAAAAUUAAUAAUCUGAAUUAGUCUUUAAGUAUUAUAAAUAUUAUUUUUAUUUUUAAUUAUAAUAUCAUUAUUUAAAAAUAAUUGCUUGACUUAUAUUAGUAACAUUACGAUUGUCAUAAAACAUGUGAUCCUGAUCCAAUAUCCAUUAUUUGUGAUCCUUAAUCAAUAAAAUAUCUAACAAUAUCUUCACCUAAAGUUUGAGACAUGUGAUCCUUAUUCCACUGCGUCAAUUACACUCCAGACCAAUGCUGCCGUCAUUAUCGAACGGUCGAUAUCCAACACUUGCACGAAGAUUCCAAGAAGUUGCGUGGCUGCCGACUUUUAGAUGCAAAGCCUCAUUGUGUCGAUGUUACACAAAAGAGAGCAAGUCCGGGUAAUUGCCGAAACUUAGAACUAAACAGUAGCUUAGUCAGAAAAUCAAACGCCAGUAACCGUUAAAAUGACCGAUAAAAAUAUAAAGAAACCAAAGCUUUAAAAGAAAUCAGCCAAAUCACGAAGAUUGAAGAGUAAAUCUAUGGUUUUAGAUUUUUAUUUUAUUUUUUUAGAUAAUAGAUAUUAUUUUGAUGAAUUUUUAAUAUUAGAAUAAUGUUAGGAAUUUCGAUAGUAGAUUUCUAACUUGAGAUCCAAUUGUUAUGUAUCAUUUUUUUAUUGGAUAAUGAAUUUCAUAACUAGUAAAAUUAAUAUUUCGAUCAUCUAAUAAAUGACUAUCAUAUCAGUUGAGACUCAAUUAUUGGGAUCCUUAACAUUGCUCUUACUAUUAAAUUGGACAUCUUAGCUAAAUCAAAUUAGAUUUUAGGCUUUUAUCCAACAUCUCUUUUUUUUUUUUUUUGGUCUAUUUGAAGUGAACGAAAUAAAAAUACAACAGGUUCAACGACUGGGCAAUUGAUAGUCAAGUAGAAACAAAUCAAGGCUAAAUGGGAAAGAGAAAUGAUAUUUGUGCAAAACAAGGAGAAAAUCAGUGUAACUGAAGAGAAUCAAAGUGCUUUUGAGAUAAAAAAAAAUUGAAGCAAGAAAAGGGUCGCUUGAUUGAAUGAAAAUGCUAAGAGCUGAUGGCAAAAGAGAACAAUGUUAAAUAAGAAAACAGCUAGCUCUAGCAGCGACCACAAUAAACAGAAAAGUUGAGAUGGAUUUACAAUAUUUCUGUCUUUCUUCAUGCUUUAACAAAUAUUGCUCUAUAAAAAAAAAUAUUGAGCGUUUUUAUUAUUGGAAUCACAAAAGACCUACACAAUAUAGCAAGUGACUAGGAAUAAAUAAGAAUAUAUAACUCUCUCUCUCAUUCUCACUCUAGCUUUUAAUUGUCACUCAAAACCCAUAAUUCUUCCUUAAAGUGUAAGCAAAUAAGAGAUGACAGCGUCUGGUUGUCAUACGCGCCUUUUAGUUUUCGGAUGACAUGGGGUACACUUCUUCUGUAAACCGAACACGACAUGUCGUACUCUUUGUUUUGAGAUCAUAUUUCAAACUCUUCAUGCUAUGAAUGAAAGAUAAACUACAAUCAUCAAAAUAUUUAGUGUUUAUUUGGUAAUGUAAUGUCAUAGUUGUUGUGAAUUGAAAUUAUUUAUGUAAGAUAAAAGGAUUUGGGUCAUCGUUUGUUAUUCUCUGGCAAUAUUGUUUGGCCGUGACUACUUGAAAUUAUUUCUGUAAGAUAAAAGGAUUUGGGUCAUUGUUUGUUAUUCUCUGGCAAUAUUGUCUGGCCGUGACUAUUUGUUAAAUAUUUAAAAAAUAAAUUUAUAUUUAUUAAGUAUAAAAAAAAUAAACAAACAAAAAUAAAAGGAAAAGUUUAUACAUUACAUAAAAUAAUAAGAACAAUAUCAAUAUUUCACACUCUAUAAUUGAGUGAUGUGUUGUCCAACUGCCAUACUGAUAAACAGUGAACUCGAAACUCAAGUACUACAAGUCGUUUAGAGGAUUCAGUCUCGGAUGACUUGUCACUUGUAGAAGUUCCUGAAGCCAGAACCGACAUAAUCUUAGUCAUCUGUUCUAUCUUUAGUAGUACACGUGGUUUGCACAUGUGUUGAAGCUAACUCUUGCUUGGAUCAAGAAACGACGUCUCUGAGUGCAGUUUCUUAAUCACACUUAAAUCAGCGUGUGACAAGCACGUGAGGCAGAGCUUCUUGGAUAGAUUUGGCGGGAAUGGUAGUUGGCGUAACAACCCAGAAACAGAGGAUAAAAAGGUGCAGGCUUUGUCAUCGUCUUCACAUGAUUUGGGAAACACUGAGAGUAGAGAGAAGAUAGAGAGAGAAAGGGGUUUACAAGUUCUUGUUCUCUGUAAAUCAAUUCCUAUUCUUGUAUUGUUUUGUGAACGAAAUAGUGAAAGACUGUUGCUUUGUUUCCAGUGGAUGUAAGCACCACUUCUUGGUGCUGAACCACUUAUGCUUGGUGUCUUGUUUGUGAUCUUGAAAACUUUGAUUCGUGUGUGUAUUUGUUGCUGAAUAGUCUGUGUUAAUCAUUCUUAAAACCAUCGAUACAGAACUAAGUGUCUUGGGGAGAAUUUGGUUAAUCUUAUCAAAGCCAAAUUCACAACACAUACAUUGGUCCCAAACAGAGACUUAAAUAUUAAAGUCCAAAGUUAUUGUGAUGAUGACUUAUAAUCGCCAAACUUGACAUAGGGGUAAUCAUGCAUUAUAAGGUGCUGAUUUCUUCCGAUCAGAACCUUAUUUUUCAUUUACAAAUAAAUAAAUGAUGUGACUUCACGGUUGGCGGGGUCCUUUGUGUCAUUUGGGCAUUUCACUAAAUGAUUGAUUGCAGCAGGAAGAUUCCUGGAAGUUGCCAUUUGCCAAUGCUACUAACAUUUUCAAACUUGGAAAACCCUUCAAUCAAUCUUUUAGUGGUAGGCUCUGGUAGCUUGGUUUGAUUAUGACAUAUGAUUAUUUGAUAAUAAAGCUAGAGGAUGUAUUAAUAUAAAAUUUGUUUAUUGGUGUUGAAGUUAAUUAUCUCAUUAAUAAUGGUAUAAAAAGUUAAUUACUAAGAAACACAUAGCAGUAUUCUGGGAUAUAAUUUUAUAUCAUAACUUUGUAAGUGUAUAAUUACGCAUUAAAUUAACAAAAUUAUUUUAAAAUAUUUCGUUAGAAAAAAUAAAUUAUAUUCUUUUUAUUUCAAAUAAUCUAUAAGUUAACUCAAAACAUAAUCAAGUUGAGAAUUAAAAUAAUGCUACUGUAUGAGAGGAUUUUUAUUUUUUCCCGAAGUUUCACUAGGAAAUUAUUGAUAUAUAGCUUUAUUCGGAUCAUCUGAGUUCAAACGACAAAUAAUUGAAAGACUAAAGUAAAUAGACCAGCCAACAACUUUGUACAGCAGAGUUCAAAAAUUAAGGUCAUGGUAUUGAGGUGUUUUGUCUUGAAAAGUACGGCAUAAUGAUAAAAUAAAAACUAUUAGUCUUUGGUAAGAUAUAACUUUUAAAUAAUAAUUUUCACAAAAAUACAAAGAAUAUUUUAUAAAGUACUUCUAUAGUGAGGAGACCCUCACUUUGUUAAAGUGAAAAUAUCAAUAAUAUACAAGAAACAUAUAUUCUAACAUAUUGAGAACUGUAUCUUUUUAAUCUAUUAGUGUAUUGAAAUAUGUGUUAUUUAGUUUGUUAGUGAUAUCAUCACUUUGUUAAAAUACGGAUGUCAGAACCAUUAUAUUUUAAAGUUUUACUUCAUUGCUUUAUUAAUCUUAUUACUAUUUCUCCUUUGCACUUCUAAAGAAACCAAUUAACCAAAGCUUUAAAAGAAAUCAGCCAAAUCACGAAGAUUGAAGAGUAAAUCUAUGGUUUUAGAUUUUUAUUUUAUUUUUUAGAUAAUAGAUAUUAUUUUGAUGAAUUUUUAAUAUUAGAAUAAUGUUAGAAAUUUCAAUAGUAGAAUUCUAACUUAGGACCCAAUUGUUAUGUGUCAUUAUUUUAUUAGAUAAUGAAUUUCAUAACUAGUAAAAUUAAUAUUUCGAUCAUCUAAUAAAUGACUAUCAUAUCAGUUGAGACUCAAUUAUUGGGAUCCUUAACAUUGCUCUUAGUAUUAAAUUGGACAUCUUAGCUAAAUCAGAUUAAAAAUCAAAUUAGAUUUUUUGCUUUUAUCCAACAUCUCUUUUUUUUUUUGGGGUCUAUUUGAAGUGAACGAAAUAAAAAUACAACAGGGUCAACGACUGGGUAAUUGAUAGUCAAGUAGAAGCAAAUCAAGGCUAAAUGGGAAAGAGAAAUGAUAUUUGUACAAAAUAAGGAGAAAAUCAAUGUAACAGAAUUACAGAAGAGAAUCAAAGUGCUUUUGAGAUCAGAAAUUGAAGCAAGAAAAGGGUCGCUUGAUCCAAUAAAAAUGCAAAGAGCUGAUGGCAAAAGGGAACAAAGUUAAAUAAGAAAAUAGCUAGCGCUAGCAGCGACCACAAUAAACAUAAAAAGUUGAGAUGGAUUUACAAUAUUUCUGUCUUUCUUCAUGCUUUAACAAAUAUUGCUCUAUAAAAAAAAUAUUGAGCAUUUUUAUUAUUGGAGUCACAAAAGACCUACACAAUAUAGCAAGUGACUAGGAAUAAGAAUAUAUAACUCUCUCUCUAAUUCUCACUCUAGCUUUUAAUUGUCACUCAAAACCCAGAAUUUAUCCUUAAAGUGUAAGCAAAUCAAAGAUGACAGCGUUUGGUUGUCAUACGUGCCUUUUAGUUUCUGGAUGACAUGGCGCACACUUCUUCUGGAAACCCAACACUACAUGUCGUACUCUUUUGUUUUGAGAUCGUAUUUCAAACUCUUCAUGCUAUGAAUGAAAGAUAAUCUACAAUCAUCAAAAUAUUUAGUGUUUAUUUGGUAAUGUAACGUCAUAGUUGUUGUGAAUUGAAGUUAUUUCUGUAAGAUAAAAGGAUUUGGGUCAUCGUUUGUUAUUAUCUGGCAAUAUUGUCUGGCCGUGACUAUUUGUUAAAUAUUAAAAAAAUAAAUUUAUAUUUAUUAAGUAUAAAAAAUAAAUAAACAAACAAAAAUAAAAGGAAAAGUUUAUACAUUACGUAAAAUAAUAAGAACAACAUCAAUAUUUCAUACUCUAUGAUUGAGUGAUGUGUUGUCCAACUGCCAUACAUUGGUCCCAAAUGGAGACUUAAAUAUCAAAGUCCAAAGUUAUUGUGAUGAUGACUUAUAAUCGCCAAACUUGACAUACGAGUAAUCAUGCAUUAUAAGGUGCUGAUUUCUUCCGAUCGGAACCUUAUUUUUCAUUUACAAAUAAAUAAAUGAUGUGACUUCAUGGUUGGCGGGGUCCUUUGUGUCAUUUGGGCAUUUCACUAAAUGAUUGAUUGUAGUAGGAAGAUUCCUGGAAGUUGCCAUUUGCCAAUGCUACUAACAUUUUCAAACUUGGAAAACCCUUCAAUCAAUCUUUUAGUGGUAGGCUCUGGUAGCUUGGUUUGAUUAUGACAUAUGAUUAUUUGAUAAUAAAGCUAGAGGAUGUAUUAAUAUAAAAUUUGUUUAUUGGUGUUGAAGUUAAUUAUCUCAUUAAUAAUGGUAUAAAAAGUUAAUUACUAAGAAACAAAUAGCAGUAGUUAAUUGGUGUCAUAUUAUUGGGAUUCUGGGAUAUAAUUUUAUAUCAUAACUUUGUAAGUGUAUACUUACUCAUCAAACUAAUAAAAUUAUUUAAAAAUUUCAGUUGGAAAAAAUAAAUUAUAUUAUUUUCAUUUCAAAUAAUCUAUAAGUUAACUCAAAACAUAAUCAAGCUGAGAAUUAAAAUAAUGCUACUGUAUGAGAGGAUUUUUAUUUUUUCCCGAAGUUUCACUAGGAAAUUAUUGACACAUAGCUUUAUUCGGAUCAUCUCAGUUCAAACGACAAAUAAUUGAAAGACUAAGCUAAAUAGACUAGCCAACAACUUUGCACAAGAGAGUUCAAAAAUUAAGGUCAUGGUAUUAAGGUGUUCUAUCUUGAAAAGUAUAGCGUAGUAAUAAAAUAAAAACUAAUAGUCUUUGGUAAGAUAUAACAUUUAAAUAAUAAUUUUCACAAAAAUACAAAGAAUAUUUAUAAAGUACUUCUAUAGUGAGGACACCCUCACUUUGUUAAAGUGAAAAUAUCAAUAAUAUACAAAAGACAUAUAUUUUAACACAUUAAAAAUUGUAUUUUUUUUUAUCUAUUGGUGUAUUGAAAUAUGUGUUAUUUAGUUUGUUAAUGAUAUCAUUACUUUGUUAAAAUGAGAAUGUCGUUACUAGAGAAUCAUUAUAUAUACAUAUAUAAAGUGCCUCUGUCCAAGACCUAGACUUUAUUAACAUUUAAGAAAGCAAAUAUAUUUUAUAUGGUAUAAUAGUGUAAUAACAUCACACAAUUAUAUCAUAUAGAGUAAUAGUUUUUCGAACUUUAAUAAAGUUCAAGAUUAUAGAAUGAAUGAUUUUUAUAUAUUAUAAAUUUUUUUAUCAUAAAUGGAGGACAAAAUUAACAUAUUUUCAAAUUAUAAUAAGUAUUUAUCAAAUAAUUUAACAUUGCAAUUUCUCCUAACUAGUAUAGUAAAUAAUACGACCUAGGAGAUACAUUCAAAGCAUUUCAUAAGUUAGUUGUUAAUAAUAAAUGAUAUAUGCAGCUCCAAUCAUCAUUGUACGGUGAGUAAUUUCCAGUUAUAAAUAGAUAUUACUCCCUUCCCAGCAAUUUUUGAUGACUUAAUUUAGUGGGAUCAAAAUCAACAUUGAAUUUUUGACCAGCUGCCAACAACUUGUGAGCAGUUCACAGUGGGUACUGCACAUGAUGCCUGUUUCUCCUUUUGCAUCUAUUUUUGUUGUUAACAUUAAUUUCAAUAGCAGCUCGUUAAUCCCAAUUGUUGAUUUGGGACUAGAUAAGAAUUUAUCUUGGAACUCCAAUUCUCCCAAUUAUUUUAGUUGACAAUAUAUUUAACAUUAUUAAUUGCAUAUUAUUUAAUUAUCAGUAUAUAAUAUUCUUUAAUUUUCUAAUUUUAUAGGAUUAGACACAAAAUUGAUUAUGCCUUUUGAAAUUUAAGGGUUAUGUCAAUUGAAUAGAAAACUUGGAGGUAAACUUGUGGAUGUUUUUGUUGAUUAUCAAUUUAUGCAUGAAUUUUUGUACGUUUACUUUGGUUUAUAAUUAUUACUUUUAAAUAUUUUUGUUGGUUUGAUUUAGGGUCAAUUUGGUAAUCCUGUAGCUUUUAAAAUAAUUACAAUUAGUUAUGCUGUAGAAAUUGAUCAAUCGUCAAGAGAAUCAGCUGAACAUUUAGUAAAAUUUAUUUUUAAAAGUACUUUUAGUUUUAAAAGCGUUGUAUGAAUAAAACUGUUACACUAAAAAUUAAAUGUAUUGCCCACAUGGGUAAAUAAAGCUAUAUAUUACAACUGUUACACUAAAAAUUAAAUGUAUCUUAAACCCAAACUUCUUCUUCCUUUUUUUUUUUACUAACAAAAUUAAAAACAAUAGUGAACACAUUCUUUAAUAAACAAUAAGUAAUAAAUAAAAUCGUGUUAAAUUUCUUAAAAACUUUCUUUCACGGUUUGCUAAAUAUUUUUAUUAGUAUUUUAAAUAAAUAAAAAUAGUUGAUUUAAUUUUUUUAAAUAAACUUAUUAGGUUCAUGUAAAGAUGUUUUUGUUAUUUUAAAAAGUGUAGAAAGUACUCCUAAAAAAAAGCGUAGAAAGUAAAACUUAAUUUUUUAAAUUUAUUUGCUGAGUGCAUAAAUAAUUGAGUGUUCAUAAUGAUUUUUAAAGUAUAGAUAGUCGGACCCUAAUUUUUUAAUAUAUGAAAAUUUUGCUAAUAUGUUAAUGAGAAUUAAAAAGAUAAUUAAGGGAGGCAAUCGAGACAUUCAGGAUAGUUAGGAUGGGACAUGAUUGUGAGUGGUUUGAUAUUGGUCCUAAUUUUGAUCACAAAUAUAUAAACAGGACGAGUUUAUCUCUACUGACAUUCCAUUUGAUAAUUAAGAUGAGAGCGGAAUUGUCAAAUCUCAAAUCAUCCUGAACCAUUGCCAUCAAAGGUACUCUCACUAAUAAUAUCUAAAGAAAAAUCUACAUCUAUUUCAUACUUUUUUUUUUUAAACGGAAAGAGCCUUCAUGGGGCUUGAAAUGUUAUCCCAAAUAGUAUUAAGAAUAUCAAGCCAUGAUUGGGUUUGAGACAAACAAAUAUUACAUAGUUAGGAUACGUAGUUAUAGUGUCCCAAUUUAUGUAGUAUCUAUCAUUUAGUGCACAUAUAAAAUAUUAAUCAGCUUAAUUAAUUUAUAAAAUUUAAAUCUAAUUAAUAAGUGAUACAUAAAAGCCAAGUGCAAUAUUGUAUAUGCAAAACAUGUUUGUGGAUCAUUACAAAACUUGCUCUUGAAAACAAGCAAGAAAGCUUAAUUAAGAACUUAAAACAAAAAGAAUUAGAUUGAAAACAGUCAAGCUUUAUUUUUUCAAGGAUGGAGCUUAUAAAUCUUCAAGUACCAACAUAUGCUUGGCCCAAUUGUUGUUAUUAAAAUUUCAAUAUACAUAUAUAAGUAUGAUAUAGCAAAAAUUUGAUGGUACAUAUCUCGGAAUAUACUAGUUCAUGGAUGCAUUUGAUUAUUGUUUCCAUAAAUUUGAACCGGGAAGGAUGACAUGAUAAAAUUUGAUUUUAUGGUAUGGUUGAUUUCAGAUCUCAUGCCCUCAUUUCUUAAGAUAAUCAAAUUUUCUCUGGCAUCUUUUGCAACUGUGGAAAUAUCAAUUAUGAUCAAUCAAAACGAUUUCAAAACCUUUUAACGAGACAUAUUUAUAAUACAAUAUUGUGAAAAUUACAACAAAAAAUUAAUUUAUUAAAUAAUAUAUUAUUAUCCAACGAGCACACAAAAAUGAAUUCGUACAAAUCUAAAAUACUUAGCAAUUUUCAAAUAGAAUUUACCAUGUACUACAAGAAAAUAGGGUAUAUGUGACCCCUAAUGUGAAUGCAAAUUUGCAAAAGCAGCCAUUACGCAUGCCACUAACUUCUAACUUUGCAACCUCGAGUUGCUUACUUGCUUUUGUUACCCUUUAUGUGACGGCCACACUGCUGUCACAUAUGUUACUAACCACGUGACGGUAAAGAGCCGUUCGGUAUAGCACUAUUUUAGAAAUUUAAAUUUAUUUCCAGUUAGAAAACUAUUCGCUGGAAUAGCCACCAUCGUAAACCUAACUGGUUGCCGGCGAACGGCGUAAAACACCGGGCAUCUUCUUCUUCAUCGUAUUCUCCCUUCAUCUUUUGAGGUAAGCUUGUGAUUAUGAGUUUCUUCUCUGACUUAGCUUGUAAUUAUAGAUUUUGAUUUUUUUUUUUAAAUUCGUAUUGUAGCCAUUAUUGUCAAUUUUUGUCCCGCCAGCAAUAUUUUUUUAUUCCUACAAGUUGAAGCCCCUGUGUUCUUGUUCCAUUGGUGAGUUUGCUCACUCAAAUUAAUUUUGUUCUGCGGAAUUUACAAAGUUCAAAUGGAUUCAUUUGAAUUACUAUUGAAUUUAGCUUUAAUUCCAACAUCCAUUCUAAUGUUUUGCUAUUAGAUUUAGUUUAAUUUUAUGUUUAAAGCAUCUACAAUGAAUAGCGGAGCUUGGGUUUUAGUUUCAUUUUCUGGAUAACUUGUUUUAGUUUAUCUUGUAUGCUCACCAAGUGCUUGUUAUAUUGUCUGAUAAGUUAUAUACAUUGCUGAUUCUAUAUUAAUAAUGUUACGUUCUAUUUUCAGAAAUUAUAAUACAAAAGUUUUUACAAUGGCGUGCAUCUACAAACUGAAUUGACUUGUAGAAUAAGAGCUUGCAGUAAAUGAAAGUUCAUAUUGUGUAAGAGCAUGGAGAUGUAAAGCAUCAUUACCAUAUCUACAAAGUGCUUUCAUUAUGGUCAGAUGCUCUUCUUGAACUUUGAAAGGUGCCUCGUUCAAGUCCUAGCUAUAACUACUAGCUUUGAUUAAUUAAGUUCCAAUACUAGCUGAAACAGAUUUAUUUAAUUAAUUAAUUGUGUAUAUACUAAUUAUAUUGAAAGUAUAUGAAACUUUUUUUUUUUUUAAACAUGAAUGACUUCUAAAUGACUUAAAAACCUAAAGGAUGUGUGAAAUAAUGCUCAUUUCACUUGAAUGAGCCUAUUAAUACUUUCUAUGAUUGUCAAUAUUGGCUUAAGCAUUUCAGUUAAGUGGUUUACCUAACAGAGAAAAAAAUUUAAUAGAAAACUUCAGAGUUCUAACAGAAAUAUAGUUCACUCUGCAGAUAUAGUUAUUUUACGGUAUACAAAUUAAGUUGUCCUAAUCUCAAUGUCCUGUGACCGAUUUUAUUUUAUAUAGUCAUUAAUUUUUGCCAUGGUUUUUUGUGUUUAUGAGUAUGAAAUAGUGGGAUUUGGUGUACCUUAGCAUCUUUUGAAAAUUCUCUUUAAGUAUGGCCAACAGAAAUAUACAUAUAAUCAAGUUUCUUAAUUGUGUAUAUUAGUUUUGGGUACGAAUGUUCCUAUUCUAGUUCUAGACAAAGCUUCUUUGUUUUGGUCUUCAGAUUUCCAGUAGGUUAAGUUAAUCAACUAUCAUAACUGGCUAGCUACUUAUUGUCUGCCUUGGCGCCAUUACCCAGGCCAUUAUAUUGCAUAGCAUAAGGAAUAGUGAUUAGGUGAUUAUUAGUGAUUUGUUGAGCUUAUUAUUGACCAAACAAACAUAUUCGCCUUUGCCCACAACCUAGUUUGAUUAGUUUUAGACCACAAAGAGCCUUGAUCUAUUCAUUGGCUUUAUUAUUUUUAUUUGGUUUUUCUUUCAACAAUAUUUUUGAUUUCUUAUAAAAAUAUUCAUUGGUUUUUAAACACCUAGUCAUUGGCUAUAUGAAGCAAAUUAAAACUGAGGCUUUGGAUCAAUUUCUUCUAACAAGAUACAAAUGAGCAUAACCUUUCUCCUCUAAGUAAUUUUUUUUAAUAUCCUUGAUUUGUAAGGAUCUGGAGGCCUGAAAUCCUCUAGAUUUUUUUUAACACUGUCAAUGUCCUUUUUAUUCUGAAAAGGAAAUAAAAGGUUUUAUCUUUCAUACCCUAAUAGUAGGCUGGCCUUGUCUUAACAUGGCUUCUUGAGGAUUUGCAAGAUUCAUAGUUCCCCCAACACACGCCCCCCAAAAAAAAAGAAGAAAAAGAAAGAAAAAAGAAAAAAGGAAGAUUUUGCAAGAUUCACCACCAGUUUUUUUUUUUAAUUUAUUAAUUGUGUGUACGUACUAGUUAUAUGUUGAAAGAAUAGGCAGAAGUAUUUCAACAUGAAUGACAUAAAACUUAUUGCUCAGUAAACAUAAUCUGCAUCAGUGGGAAAAUGUAUUUAUCGUUUGUAUUUUUUAUGGUUUUGCUUAAGAAAUGAUAUGUGAAAUAAUGCUACAUUGUAUCAGGAAUAAAUUGAAGAGAUUUAUGAUAUUUAUGUGUUAUUCAAAUUUCAGAUUCAAUUUUAAACUUUUGAUACGUGCAUUGAAAGCUUAGACUUGUUUAAGAAAUUAUUAAUAGACACAUGUUGUAUUAGUGUCAUCUUUGGAUGAUAGUGAGGAUCAUAUGUCUAUUAAUAAUUCUUGAAUUGUCCAGGCUUGGACAGUUUGGGAAUGCAUAGUUCUCUCUGGUAGCUAGUAGCUGAAGUUUUCUUCCCACGUAAAAAUGGCUUUUUCGGUAGCUGCUCCUCGUGUUCUCUGGGUACGUACUAGGUGAAUGGGUGUCAUGUGUUGUUUUGGCAUAACGCAUAAACACUUAUAUAGCUUUGUCGUGAGCUUGGAGAAUUAUAGGGAGAUGGUGCUGAAAUUUUUAUAAACGUAGAAGAAAACUUUAGGUACUUGAGAUUGAAAAAACAUAUGCAUUCUUGAGUGGGAUAUGUAGGAUUUAUCACUUACCUUUGGUAAAUAUGAAGGGAAUGUUGACUCCUUGAAAUAUGCCCAAACCCAUGGAGUAUCUAAAUAAGUCUGAAAACCAAACACUGUUACCUACUAGACGACAAAGCAGAAAAAUUUUCUUGACUCGCUCACCUUUUAAAUAAUUGAAACUCAGCUCAAUACUUGAAUAAGUUUCUGCAGGCACAUCUUCGAAGUUUACCAUUGAAGGCGUUCGGAGCUCUCGCAAGGCAUUCUUCCAUUCAUGGAGACUCUAGUUUCUCAGUGCCCUCAACGCAAUGGGCAAACCUCCAUAUGCCUUAACUACAUUAAUUGCUGUAGACUUGAACUUACAAUUUUCAACAUCAUCACCAUUCAUUAUCUUAAACAAUCUCCAGGCUUCUUGUUCAGUUAGAUUGCCAAUCAAAAAGUUAUCUUUGGAGUCCAUACUUAAAAGCACAUUAUUAUCUCUUGCUGUCAGCAAUAGUCUACAUCCUUUAUGAUUAUUUCCAAAAGGAAUUCCAACCGUCUCCAAAUCAAGAUGUUUCCAGAUAUUAUCUAGAAUCACAAGAAUCUUAUUCUCACUCUUCAAUCGUUCAUACAGCCUACUAGCUCUUCUAUAUUCAGCUUCAUCGGACAACUCCAGACCUAACUUCUCUGCAAUUUCCCCUUGAAUCUUUUUUAUCUCUGGAGUUUAUGAAACCUCUGAUAAAACCACCCCAUAAAACAGCUUUUUUCCCUGGCUUGCCUAGCAAACUCUUUCACCAGUGUGGUCUUUCCAAUGCCGCCUAUGCCGUACACCCCAAUAAUGCUGACAUUCGCCUCCGUCAAUGCAUUUUUAAUAGACUGCAAAGUAGAAAGUCUUGAUUCGAAGGCCUCGUAACCACUGCUAGACUUAAGCCAUAUCUCCUCCGGAAUGGUACGGUGGGAAACAGUAUCAAACUUCUUAACUUCUUCUCCAAGUUCAAUAAUGGCCUUCACCUCCGUCUCUGCUUUCUUGCUAAGCUGAUAGCGACUCUUCCAAUGAGGACUCAAGCCCUUGACACAGCGCUUAUUCGUUGACUCCUCAUCUUCAAUGAAUUUGGCUGCCCGGUCAAUGAUGCCGUUCGCACUUCGCAGUAACCAGCCACUUUUCAACCUUCUCUUCAAUCUCUUCCCCUUUUUCUUUCGCCUCUGAAACCCUGCGCUGAAUGCUCGUAUGUUCAACCUUCAACUUCUCCAUUUCCGCCUUGAUAUUCUCAAAGUUGGCAUUGUAGUUCCAAAUAAACAAGUUGGCGUGCAGUUGGAGGAGCCAAGCAUUUUACAAGUUCCAAGACGAUAGUCACAAUGAUUUCCAGCAUCUCGAAUCCUGACAAAAACGUAGAAGCGAAGAAAGCCAAAGGAAAGUAAAAACAAAGAGACAGCGAUAGGACAAGCAAUUGUGUUUUUCAGAUGAGAUGAAGGAAACAAGAAAAGGGUUUCUAUCACGACGUAAAGAGCUAAAAGAGCUGAUGGGUACAGAAUAAGAAAUGAGACUGAGGAGUGAGCAAAGCUAAAUAAUAACAGAACAAGAACAAUGACGAAUAGAAGAAACAGUAGCAAAGAGCCGUUUAGAUGAUUAGAAUGAAACUAAGCGACUGGAAAUAGUAGAUGGUAGACUAAAGAGAAAGUGAUUGAUUAUUUUAGGAGGCCAAUUAACGUAAUGACAGAUCCGGUUUCGAUGUUUGUAAUUUGAGUAUGAGGUAAAUCGAUUCUUUGUCGAGCCAGUCAAAUACAAAGGCAAAUUAGUAAAACACGAGCCAGCAACUUUUACUCACACAAAAGCCAAUAAUAUAUUGAGAUCACGCAACAUUGCAAUAAAGUUAUCAUCAAGUUGUAGCCUUCUUAUUCAAUCAAUUAUGGCAUUAUCUCUAGCUCUGUAUUUUUCAAAAAAAAAAUUAUUAUUCAAAAGAUGUCUGUCAUUAAUUUUUCAAUGAUUAAAAUUAUAAUUUUUGUUUAAUAUAUAUAACGUAAAAUUUUAAAAGAAUCAGACAUGCAUUAGGGUUAAAAUAAAAAAUAUGGAGGUAGCUUUUAACUAGGUAAUUGGCUCAACUAUGGAUCAGUGUGAGAUCACUAUUUUUCUUAUUAAAAAAAAUUCCAGCCAAACAAUUGUCGCAAAAUCUUAAUAUAAAUUACAAAAAAAGACAAUAUUUUCUAAAAUCAUAGCAAUAAUUUAUAUUUUGAAUACCUGUAAAUAAACCACUUAGAAAGCUUUCGAAACACGAAUAUUGUUGUCGUUUUUAAAGACUUGACAUUUUGGGUAAUCUGAAUUAACAAUGCACAUCACUUGUUUGUCACAAUGUCCAAAUAAAUAAUUUUAAAAAAAAGUUAUUUUCAUUCUUUCUUUUCAGGUAUCCUAAUUCCUUUUGCAGUUUGAUUCCUCUUUUCCUGAAUUUCACACAGCGCACCCACAUUUUUUGACCAUGUGCACCUCCCCCUAUUUCUAUUAAAAAAUCAACUAAUCUAACUGUUUAGGCUGUUAUAAAUUUAAAAGACUAUACUACCCUUAUUUUGAAUGAAUUGGGUAUAUAAGUACUAAAAUACCCUUACAACUAAUAAAAUUUAAAUCAAAAAGUAAAAAUUUAUUAUAAUAUUUUUAAAUUUAUAUGUAUACGAUUUUUUCCCGGAUUACAAACCCAAGAUUAUAAACCUAGUAAAUUACAAAAUCAGAGGCAAAGCAUGAUUCCAAUGUGAAAGAAAAAAAUCAAACACACAUUCAUCAGUACAUUACAAAAUAAAUCCGAUAAUCCCACCAAAACAAAUAAAACCCAAUAGAAAGAAACCCUAAACUAAUGAUACCAAAAUCCCUGAGAGCAAAUUUCAUUGUAAAAUUCUAUUACAAAAUAAAUUCAUACUAAGAAAAUUCAAUAAAAAGAAACCCAAUAAUCAAAAAUCUUAAAACUAAAGAUAUCAAACCCAAAAUUAAAUUAUAGAGGUGGCGAAAGAAAAAGGGUUUUUUUAAUUAUAUAUAUUAUUUUAAUCUUGUGUUAAUUACCAUUCUACCCUUCUUUCCGUUAACAUUAGAUUUGAAAGAAAUGAGGGUGGUGGACAUGGUCUGUAGAUUGGGGGCACAAUGCAAAAUGUCAAAACAAUUGGGGCUAAUGCUAAAUUACACAUUAUUUAAAUUAAAUUAUCCUAAUUGUAUUUUUAUUAAUUAAUUAACAAUUAGUUUCAUUACUAUGAUAGUUUUGUCACUAUGUUUGUUACCAUCUCUCAAAAAAAAAAAAAAUUACUUUUACAUGUCGAAUUGUGUAACAACGAUUUAAUGAAAAAUUAGAAAACAGCACGACAUCUCGUGGCUUAACAUGGUCAUCAUGAAUAUCCCUUAUUAUUAAAAAAUGAACAAACAAACUCUUUUUUAAUACAUGUAGUCCUUUUUUUUAUAUUUCAAAAUAGUUAAACAGAUCCUGAAUUUGUGUGUUCCUCAAUAAAUUUUCAUGAUCAUUUUUUAAAAUAAGGGAUUUUUGUGAUUAUUUUGCCACGUCCAAGGAUGCCGCUGUUCUUGUCACCAAAAAUUAUUCUCAUAAGAGUCAUGAUUAAUUGGACGUCAGCAAUGAGGGCAUGUAAUGAAAAAAAUUUGUUUUGCAUGGGAUCCAAUAAUUUUAAUUACAAUGGUGGUGACAGACCCAGCUGGAAAAUCAACUGAUUUUAGAAUUCUGUUGAAAAUUCUUUAAAUGAUCACUAUAUCUCUAGUUCGAUUAUAUCCUUAAGCUCAUUGAUUCUUUUGUAUUGAUUUUGUUACUUCUUUUCUAAGAAAUAUUAUAAGAACUGCUCAGGCUGUAAGAUUGAUAAGCUUAAAGAGUCGGAACGAGGCUUACCAGUUCGUAAGCUUUUAAUUAUUUGGAUUGCUGUGCUUGCAACUGGUAAAUUUUUCAACUUCAACUCGAUAUAAUGAUUUUGGAGAGAACCAUUUACAGUGAUUUUCAAUUCUUUUGUGAUUUUUUUUUUCAGUUCUGCCAGUCUCAUCUCUCUUUCCCUUCCUUUAUUUUAUGGUGAGUGGAUUAUUAUUGCCUUCAGCGCAGUGGUUAUUAGUGAGAAAAUUUAUAUUUUCCUAUCAAGCUUGGUGAUUUUCUGAGAAAUAUAAGAAAAGACAAGUUUUAUAUGUCAAAUAAUUCAUUGCUUUUUCACAGCAGUCAUUUAUGAUUUCUUUUCAGAUUAGGGAUUUUCACAUUGCAAAAAGGGAGGAAGAUAUUGGAUUCUAUGCUGGUUACGUGGGUGAGUUAUUCUAUGUUUUUUUUUAUCGUAUUUAAUAAAUGACACACAGUAUGGAGUCCGUCUUGGGUACGAAUGUCCACACCUUAUAAAGUGCUGACUCACGCCUUUACAACUCUGGGAAGACAUUCUACCGAGACUUUACAUCACUGUAAACGCACUGUACAAGAGCUUUACAAUACGGACCCGCGUCUUUACAACUUUAAAGGGCCAAGUCUAUGCUUUAAAAAGUACAUAUGUUCGCACCUGGAAACGAUUUACAUAUGUAUGUAUAUAUGUAUAUAUGUAUGUAUGUGUGUGUAUAUAUAUGUAUGUAUGUAUGUGUGUGUGUGUGUGUGUAUGUAUGUACGACCAAUAAAACAGUUCAAAUUCCUCGAGAAGUUAUCCUAACAAGCAUCUUAAUACCUUGAUGAAAUUGAAGGGUCUUAAUACAUGCUUGGCAGAGCUCUAACAUCUGUUUUGUGGGGAAUGGUGGCUGACCGCUGUGGUCGAAAGCCUGUAAUAAUAAUAGGAAGCAUCACAGUGUUAGUGACUUCUAUUUUCAUAUGAUCAAGCUUGAAAUUGAUGAUACUUCGGCAAUUUCUGGAUUUCUUGUCUGUCUUAAAAUGCUCACAGGGUUAUUUUUAACACUCUUUUUGGGCUUAGUGUGAAUUUCUGGAUGGCCAUAGCUACAAGGUUUCUCCUUGGGGCUUUGAAUGGUUUACUUGGACCAAUAAAGGUAUUGAUUGGGGGUAUUUGUUGAUAAUUCCAAUUUAAUUCCUGCAAAUAUUUGUGCUCAAACUUCUCUUACACCACGAGGCAUAUGCAUGUGAAAUAUUGCGCGAUCAGCACCAAACUUAUUACGAAACCAAAAAUGUUACUUGUUUUCUGUACUUGCUUUCGCAUGCAUCACCCCCACAAAACUGCUUGACGAUUGUCCUCAUUUUGAACUUACUAUAGGUUUCAUUCUCCUUGUUUUUCAACUUACUCUGUACCCUUACGUCGAGAGGAUUAUUGGGCCAAUAAUCAUAACACGAAUUGCAGGGGGUAAUAUUUUGAACACCUCAUGCGGCAUUUGGACCAUUUGAUAGUUUGUUUCAAACAUAUCUGUUUAUAAAAUACUUUUCUUCAUGGUUUUGGUCCCAUAACUUUCUAUGUAUGUACAGGUUUUAUCGAUACCGCUUUUGACAAGUUACACUUACAUAGCAAUGCUAUCUGGGUUCAGCCUUGCCUUUUUGAUAAACUGUGCUUCUGUGAUGAAGAAUGUUUUAUCUGUAAGUGGAUAUCCUAAUCAUUGAUCCAUAUACUAAGGUUAUAUUAUCCAUCAGCAAGUAUGUAUAAAAUUAUUUUGUCUUUUUUAUUAGAAUUUUUGUAAUUCUUUUUUACUUUUCCUGAAUUGUAGCAUCAGGUGUCUAUAAUAACUGGAUCGUUCCUUCUGCAAAUCAGAGCAGUGGUAAAUAUAUUUUCUUUUGUUUGUUUAGUACAUUUCCAUGCUUUCAGCUUUUUCAAAUUUUGUAUGUGCCAAAGUUUAAAUUAAUUGGUUGGUUUAUGGUAUAAUAACAGGUAUGAUAAUUUACUAAUGAAAUUUCUCACUAGUUUGUGAAUUACUUGGUGCUAAUUAGCUUAAUCAGCUGCUUAAACUAAAGUGCAGGUAACCAGAUGAUUUUUUUCAUUCUGAAUUCGGUGGAGGCACUUGGAGUAAUAUUGACAUUCAAACCGUUUCUAACUCAACGUGCCCCGUGAGUGGAGAAAAGAUGCAUCUGUUGAAAUAUUCAAAUAUAUAUCAAGCAAAUUAAAGCUUUCAAAAUCUUUCAACAAUUUGAUUGUUUGAUGUGGUUGCCACUUGCCAUAUUUUGUGUUACUUUUCUAAAGGCUUAAAUAUGAAAAUGGUUGUUGGUGCUCACGCCAAUUGAUUGCUGGUAACAUUAAUUGUGCAGUACUUGUCAGAACUACCACAAUUUAUCUUCACAAUGAUGCUAGCUAGAAAGAAAAUUUCAUGUUAAGUAAAAUAUUGAAGCCAUAAAGAGUCUUAUUCCAGAGCCUCAUUAAGUACUAAGUUUUCUGCCAUGCUUUCAAAGUUUACAAAUUCGAAGCUUGGGGAUUCUGUAACAAUGGAGGAUAAAAAUUAUAUAAGAAUAUUUUUUGUACAAUUUUCAUACGACCAGACAGAAGCGAGCAUAAUUUUUUGAUCAUAACUCAGAUCAAAAGACCUUCAAUGAUGUAUAAUAUGCACAUAAAGCUAGCUCAGAACCAGACAUUAAAACUUAUGAUGAAAGGGAAACAUAGAUGUUGAGAUUGAAAACAUAGAGAAAUUUUUUUAAAAAAUCUGAAAUUUUAUUAAUAGAAGUUUGAAUAACAAAAUUAGGGUAUUGGACCCUUUUUAUACAAAUUCUAAAUAUUAUGUAUUUAUCAAAAUAGGCAAACUUGAAAUAUUAUUACAUAAUAACGUUCUCCUAACUGAAAUAAAAAAAAUAAAACAAAUCAUACUUAAAAUCUUAUAUUUAGAGAAAAAAUAUAAAAAUAUUGAAAAUAAUAAGAAAAAUAAGAAAAUAACUUAAACUUUGUAAAAUAACUACGAAAUAAACAGAAUUUCUUGCCGAAUAGAUACCCGCUCAAGUUAUGAUCUAGGAGUGAUAUCCUACUCAUCCUAUGCAACCAUCAGCUGCAUCAACUUCAUUCCAAAAUUAACAAAUAAACCAACUGACGCAUUGCAAAUAAUAAGAUGAAACGAUAAAAUAAACCUAGAGAUCAAACAACACAAGGUAAUAUAUUAAAAAGCCUAUGGGAUCAAAACACAUCGUACUAUGUCGAGAGAGAUGACGACUCCUCCAACAGCAGAAAAUAAAUUCUUUCAUUCAUUAAUUUAAAGUAAAUUUGGUGCUCCAUCUUCUUCUCCGUCACCUAUUACCACCUCUGUCAUUGCCCUGCAUCCAGCUACCUUCAUUGAUACGAGCCGCACUAGACUUUCUGCUGUAGUGGACGGAUGUUACAAUUCCUUGCAAUGGAAAAUCAACAGUUCUGUUAGAUUCCCAAAAGAUAUAGAUGAUCAUGGGAAUAGACUUAAAUGCUUGUAAAAUAGUCGUAGAAUGUCAAGAUAUUUAAAAUGGAGUCCAGUUUGGAGUUGCUUCAAUGAUUAAGUCUGGACAGGAUUAACCAUUUUAUCAGUGCCUACUUCCCCACUUGUUUUUAGCAGUAUCCGGCUUGAUUUAAGAAUCUCUUUGUAUGAACUAUAUUACCCAAAAAAAAAAAAAAUCUUAUUUCAAAUGAUGCACAGGAGAAGAGUUACUUGAAUCUUCAUCAGUAUCCAGACAUUCUACAAUCACAGAGUAAAGAGUUCUAGCAGGAAAAACUGAGAAAACAACGUACUUCUAUAGUUUUUCACAAUAUUUCCAACGUUUUCAAACAAUAUUUCCACAAUAUAGUUUUUCAUAGCGAAGAGUUUUGCUUUGGUGGUCUAAGGAUUUGUUCUAGGCAUAAUGCUCUGAUUAGAUUUUGUUUAUUUUUAAUUUUUUAUCCGAUGAAUGAUUUUCAGCUGGUCUUAAUUAUGUGUUCAUAGGGAAGAGCAUUUGGAAAGAUCAUCAAAAAAAAAAAAAAAAAAAGUUUCCAAAGAAAGAUAGGUGUGAAGCAAACCAAACUAAAUGAACAAACUAAAAUAACAGAACAGCAAUGAUGUUUUCAAGGAAUUAUAAAAUAUGAAGGCUUUUAAUGAAAUUUUAUCAUACAAAGUAUGCAAGGAAUUAUAAAAUUUUAGAAAACAAGGGGAACUCUCAAAAAAAGAAAAAAAGAAAAAAAUACUCAAAUUAAACUAGACUAGAAGACAUUCAAUGAUGCAAAAUCUGUCCACAAAAGUCUGAACGAAUCAUUAAAAUUGCAUUCCAAAUUUAACAGUAAGCCGAUUGACCCAUUCUAAAUAAUUCAUAUGAAAUUGCGAAACAAGCCAUGAGAUCAAAUAAAUGAAAUAAAAAAUAAUUACCAGCUGAGGCUUUCUUCUAAAAUUCACAACUCCCAAGUCAUAAGAAGCCUAUGAAAUUAGUACUGGGUAGAGAUCGCCGACUGCACCGCCAACAGCUGAAAAUAAAAUUCUUAUUCAUCAAUUUAAACUUUUACUUUAUAACAAAUAUCUUAUCUAUAUUUUAUUAAAAAAAAAAAUUGUAAAAUGUUUCCAUGGGAGAUAGAGAGUACUAUGUAUAUCCGUACCUUUUCAGCAUGUAAUUGUUGUAUGGUUGUGUUUAGAUCAUUAUUGGUCCAAAGCAAUCGAUCCUCUGUCUCUCCAUAGCAGACGUUUACUCUUGGAGGCGUGAUUGAUUCUCCUGUAGUGAAAAUCUUCAUCUUGGGACAACCAAUCACCCACAAAUCUUGCAAAGAUGGGAAUUUGAAGGUGUAGUUGGCAGAGCUGAAACUUGUGAAGCUAUCUAAAUCAAACAGUUCCAACGUCUUCAAUUUGCUAAAAACAAUCUCUUCUUUUUCAACUCCAUCUUUGUCAUUUAUUACCACCUCUGUCAUUGCUCUGCAUCCACAUACUUGCACUUUGACGAGUUGCACUAGAGUUUUUGCUGUGGAGGAUGUUACCAAGUGUAUCAAUCCCUUGCAACCGAAAGCCACCAGAGCUGUUAGGUUCUGAAAAGAUACCGAUGAUGAUGGCAAUAGAAUUAACAGACUUUGACAAUGAUGUACUUUUAGAAUUUCAAGAUACUGAAAAAUGGGGCCAAGUUUGGAGUCUUGUUUGCACAGCUGCUUCAGAUGAUAGUGCCGGUUCAGCUGUAAUUUUUUUAUCAUUGCCAACUUCCCCACAUGUUUCUCUAAGCUUCCUUCCUCCGAAAAUACCUCUUCGUUGAAUGAAAAAAAACACAGUAUGAGCAUUUCCAGAUUGUGAAAUCUCUCCAGUACGUUCCAGACUGGAAAACAAGCUGAGUCAUCUCCAGCAAUCUCUAGUUGUUUAAGACUGCCAAAAAGGUGUUGUGGGAAAUCGGCCUGCAAAAUCAUCUUCACAUCUUUUCCACUUAGUGAUAGUUCCUUCAAGUUGGGUACGAUCUGAUCAUCAUCAAUCAUAAUAACUAAUGAGGUCAAUUGAUGAUCUACGGUCACACGCAGUGACUUUAUAGUAUUUGUUUUAUAUUAUAUUUUUUUAAAAAAAUUGAAUUAUUGAUAAAAUUUAUUUUAUAUGUUAAUUUUAGAGGUAAAAAAGAAAUUAGGGAAAAAAGGUUGAUUUAUACUGGCUCGAAAUUAUUUUAUUGCACAAUAAUAAAUUACUAAUUUAUUUUGUAAGUUCUUCUAUAUGGAAAGACUAAGGAUUCUUUUAUAAAUGCUAUACCUAAAACAGUUCAUAUAAUUAUUAAUCUACCACAUUGAUCUCUUAGGUAAUGUUUAUAUAAUUAUGGCAAGGCAUGAUUAAAUUGAUCAUUUGUUUGGUAACAACUUUAUUAAUCGGGUUCUGGCAGAUUUUCUUGGUCACAAAAGCGUCAAGAUGCUGGUUUCCUCCCAGGUAUGAUGAUAUACUAAUGAAAAUUCCCACUAGUUUGUGAGUUGCUUUGUGCUAAUUAGCUUAAUUAGCUGCUUAAAUUAAAGUGCAGAUAACCAGGUGAUUUUUUUCAUUCUGAAUUUGGUGGAGGCACUUGGAGUAAUAUUGACAUUCAAACCGUUUCUAACUCAACGUGCCCCGUGAGUAGAAAAGAUGCUCUGUUGAAAUAUUCAAAUAUCUAUCAAGCAAAUUAAAGCUUUCUAAAUCUAUCAACAAUUUGAUUAUUUGAUGUGGUUGCCACUUGCCAUAUUUUGUGCUACUGUUCUAAAGGCUUAAAUAUGAACAUGGUUUUUGGUGCCCACGCCAAUUGAUUGCUGGUAACAUUAAUUUAUCUUCACAAUGAUGCUAUCUACAAAGAAAUUUUCAUAUCAAGUAAAAUAUUGAAGCCACAAAGAGUCUUAUUCCGGAGCCUUAUUAAGUACUAUGUUUUCUGCCAUGCUUUCAAAGUUUACACAUUCGAAGCUUGGGGAUUCUGUAAUAAUAGAGGACAAAAAUUUUAUAAGAAUAUUAUUUUGUACAAUUUUCAUACAACUGACAAAAGCAAGCAUAAUUUUUUUAUCUUAACUCAGACCAAAAGACCUUCAAUGAUGUAAAAUAUGCACAUAAAGCUAGCUCAGAACCAGACAAUAGAACUUAUGAUGAAACGGAAACAUAAACGUUGAGAUUAAAAACAUCGAGAAACACCCUUUCAAAAAAAAAAAAAAAAAAUCGAGAAACACAGCUUUUGAAAAGUCUGAAAUUUUAUUAAUAGAAGUCUGAAUAACAAAAUUAAGGUUUUGAACCCUUUUUAUACUAAUCCUAAAUAUUACGAAUUUAUUAAAAUAAGCAAACCUGAAAUAUUAUUACAUAAUAAGGUUCUCCUAACUGGAAUAAGAAAAAUAAAAUAAAUCGUAUUUAAAAUCUUAUAUCUAAAAAUAAAAUAUAUAAAAAUCUUGAAAAUAAUAUGGAAAAAUAAGAAAAUAUCUUAAACUUGUAAAAUAACUAUGAAAUAAACAAAAUUUCUGGUUGGACCAUGAGGCCAAUAGGGUGUCAUAGUAUUAGAUUAAUGGUAUAUUAUACGCCCUAGAUAGAUACUAUAGCUCAAUUUAUGAUCUCGGAGUGAUAUCCUACUCAUCCUAUGCAACCAUCGUCUGCAUCAACUUCAUUCCAAAAUAAACAAUAAACGAAUUGACGCAUUGCAAAUAAUUUAGAUGAAACGAUAAAAUAAACCUAGAGAUCAAAUAAAAUGAAAUGAAAAUGAUAGUUACCUCGGACUUUCUUCUUCAAAUUUCGCAGCACUAUGUAAUAAAUUAAAAAGCCUAUGGCAUCAGAACAUAUCGUACUGCGUCAAGAGAGACGACGACUCCUCCAACAGCUGAAAAUAAAUUCUCUCAUUCGUUAAUUUAAAGUAAAAUUUGUAAAUUUAGGUACUUGCUGAAGAAACGUGUUUUCAUUUCUUAAAUAAAGCAUUAUACAUUGAGAGUUAUUUAUAGAUGCAGAGGCUACAUUUUUUCAAAGAUUACAUAUGUGAAUACGGAAGGAAAUGUGUCAAUCCGUUCGGCGCGAAUCAUCCGUUCGGCGCGAAUCUUGUCUUUGACAAGUGCAGAUUACCCCUUUGACAAGUGCAGAUUCUGUCUUUGAAAGCUUCAUUCAAUGUCGUUUUAUUUGAUUUUCAACACUCCCCCUCAAGCUGGUGCAUAGAUGUCUUUCAUACCCAACUUGUCUAGGAAUUUUGUAAAUGCCCUGCUUGAAAUGGCCUUCGUUAAAAUAUCUGCAAGUUGAUCUUCUGAUCGAAUUUUCGGCAGUUCUAAGAUUUUUUCAUCUAAUUUCUCCUUGAUGAAAAAUCUAUCUACCUCCACAUGUUUUGUUCGAUCGUGUUGAACUGGGUUAUGAGCAAUAUCUCGUGCAGCUUUGUUGUCACAGUAUAGUUGUAUUGGUUGUUGUGAUGGAUAGCCCAUAUCGUUUAAGAUAAAACUUAUCCAUAGCCCUUCACAUAUCCCAAGGGCCAUGCCUCGAUAUUCUGCUUCAGCGCUCGAACGGGCAACGACAUGUUGUUUCUUGCUUCUCCAUGUGAUAAGGUUUCCUCCCACAAAGGUAAAGUAUCCUGAAGUAGAGCGUCUAUCACUAACUGACACGGCCCAAUCUGCAUCAGUAUAAACUUCUAUGUUGCUGUAAUCUUCAUUUUUGGAAAGUAAGAUUCCUUUUCCUGGAUUUGUCUUCAGGUACCUCAGGAUCCGCAUUACUGCUUUCAUGUGUUGUUCUCCGGGAUUAUGCAUAAACUGGCUUACAACACUCAAUGCAUAAGCAAGAUCUGGCCUUGUGUGGGACAAGUACAUCAAUCUUCCAAUCAGCCUUUGAUAUCUUCCUUUGUCUACUGGAACUUGGUCUGAAGUAAUACAAAACUUCAGUCCUUCUUCUAUUGGGGUGUCAAUAGGCUGACAAGCUGUCAUUCCCGUUUCGUGCAAUAGAUCUAAGGCAUAUUUCCUUUGAGACAGAAAGAUUCCUCCCUUAGAUCGAGAAACCUCAAUUCCAAGAAAGUAUUUUAAGGCACCUAAAUCCUUCAUCUCAAACUCUCUUGACAAGUACUUAUGAAGAGCCUCUGUUUCUUCCUCGUCGUUGCCUGUAACUACCAUAUCAUCCACAUAGACAAUAAGGGCAGUGAUUUUACCUUGUCGUUUUUUAAUGAAUAAGGUAUGAUCUGAAUUGCUUUGGUUAUAUCCAAAACGAACCAUAGCCUUUGUGAAUUUCCCGAACCAUGCUCUUGGGGAUUGCUUCAACCCAUACAAUGAUUUCUUCAAUUUGCAUACUUUCUGAUUGAGUCGUUCUGGUCCACUGCAUCCUGGUGGCAGAUCCAUAUAAAUUUCUUCAGACAGGUCUCCAUGGAGGAAAGCAUUCUUUACAUCGAACUGUUGCACUGGCCAAUCCAAGUUGACUGCUAAUGAUAAUAAGAUACGAAUAGUAUUAAUUUUUGCUACCGGUGCAAACGUAUCAGUAUAAUCAAUCUCGUAGGUUUGGGUGUAACCCUUAGCUACGAGUCUUGCUUUGUAUCGUUCAAUAGAGCCAUCUGCUUUGUAUUUUAUAGUGUAGAUCCAUCGACAACCCACUAGUUUCUUUCCUGGUGGAAGAUCAACUAGUUCCCAUGUUUGAUUUUUCUGAAGAGAUCUCAUUUCAUCAUUCAUAGCCGCUUUCCACUUUGGAUCUUUUAAAGCUUCCUGCACACUGUUAGGAAUAGAUACAGCAGAUAAUUGAUUCACAAAUGACUGAUUUGAUUCUGACAAGCAAUGGUUAGACACAAAAUGACUUAUAGGGUAUUUGACUAUACUAGAGAAGUCAGGCUCAUAUGUGGGUUUAGGGAUACCUCUAUUUUGACGCUGGGGAAGAAUUCUUCUGAUUGGACUUGUGGUAGGAACAUCCUCUGCAGACGAUUGGUUAGGUAUUUCUUCAUGUGACUCAUUCUCGAUUGCAGUUGUGUCUGAGUUAUUGUGCUCCCCAAAUGUGUCUUCACAUAUCUUAGCCUGCGAAUUAUCACCAUUUGCUUUUCCAGUAUCUUGAAGGUUUACUAUCUCAAUGGAAGAUUGACUUUCUUCAGGUGGAAGAUAUGUAAGAGUAUGAAUUUCCUCUUCAUUAUACUCCCCCUGAAAUUCAGACUCUGACAAGUAGUACAUGAUAUCUUCAUGAAAAACGACAUCCAUGGUGAUGUAUAUUUUUCUUGAUGGUGGAUGAUAGCAUCGGUAUCCCUUUUGAUGUAAGGCAUACCCUACAAACACACAACGUAGUGCUCGAGGAGAUAAUUUUUCUUGUUGCGGCAAAUGAACGAAGGCAACACAGCCAAACACAUGUGGGGGCAGAUUCGGCACAUUUGGUGACAUAAUUGCAUCAUUCAGAACUUGGAAAGAAGUCUGGAAUCCAAGGGAGCUUGAAGGUGUUCGAUUGAUCAAGUAUGUUGCGGAUGCCAGUGCUUCUCCCCAAUAAGAUAAUGGCAUGUGGGCUUGGAUUAGUGAUGCUCGAACAACUUCUAGUAAAUGUCUGUUUUUUCGUUCAGCAACGCCAUUUUGUUGGGGUGUCCCCACACAAGUGGUUUGAUGGACAGAUCCUUGUGAUUUCAAAAACUGUUGAAUUGCUGUGCUCAUAUACUCGCCUCCAUUAUCAGUAUGUAGAACUCGAAUUUGUGUCUGAAAUUGAGUUGUCACCAUCUUAUGAAAUCUUUGAAAUAAAGAGUUUACUUCGUCUUUCGAUUUCAUCAGAAAAAUCCAUGUCAUUCUGCUACAAUCAUCAAUAAAUGUAACAAACCAACGAGCACCUCCAAUUGUAGAAACUUUAGAUGGCCCCCAUACAUCAGAAUGUACUACCAUAAAAGGAACUGGAUUUUUAUUUAAGGACAAUGGAAAAGUAGUUCGAUGGCUUUUUGAAAGUUCACAAACAUCACAUUUAAAGUUACAAACAUCAAAUUUCAGAAACAAACUAGGAAAUAAUUUUUUUAAGUAACCAAAUGACACAUGCCCUAAACGUCUAUGCCAUAACCAAAUUUCUGAUUUCCCUUUUUUUAUGGAACUAUCUGCGACUAGUGCAGGGCUUAGCUUUCCAGUGUUUGUUGAUGACAUCUCCAAGUAGUACAAGUUGCCUCGUCUAAUACCAUAACCAAUCGUUUGCUUCGUUUGGAUGUCCUUAAACACACAAUGAUCAGGCCAAAAAAUUACAACACAUGAUAAGUAAGUGGUUAAUUGAGACACAGAUAAAAGAUUAUAAUCUAAAGAUGGAACAAUUAACACAGCGUCUAAAUUUAAUUCAUUUGUGAGUCGUAAAGAUCCUUCCCCAAUAACUGAGGUUGUGGUUCCAUUUGCAGUGGAAAUAUGUUUUUGUGAAGAUGGUUUCAAUUGAGAAACUUGUCGAGAAUCAAAAGUCAUAUGAUCAGUUGCCCCAGAAUCAGUUAUCCAUGUACUAUUAAUAACAGGUGUAAGAGUUUUAAGGGCCUUACCUGGACUGACAGAGGUUGCGAUUUGCACUGAAGAUUCUUUUUUAAGAUCUGUAGUGGAUGUGGAUUCAGCUACUGCAGUUUUUGAUCCAUGCUUGGUGUUCUUCUUUCGAGUAUCCCACCAGUCAGGAUAUCCAAUGAUUUCAAAACAUUGUUCUUUCGUAUGACCCUUCUUUCUACAAUGAGUGCAAUGGAGUGAUGACUUGUCAACAAACUUCCUUUGAGGUUGCUGUCGUGCUAUCAUAGCAGACGUUUCUGAGUCGACCUUCUUGUUUAGUUUGCUUUGCCAUAUAUCUUCUCUUCGGAUCAGAGAAUAACAUUCUUCUAAGUCUGGAAUAAUGUCUUUUCGUAGAAUUUCUCCACGAACUUGGUCAAAUUCUUCAUCUAGCCCAGCAAGAAAAAUGUGCACUCUCAAUCUUUCAACAGACCUUCUGUAUAUUACAACAUCUUCUGGAUCCUUCAUGACCACUUUAUCUCGGUGAUCAAGUUCUCGAAAUAUUUCGACCAAUUCUCCAUAGAAUUUAGAGAGUGGUUGUCCAUUUUGCUUGGUAGAGAAUGCCUUUUGGUUUAGAGUGAAAACUUGUAAUUCAUCGCUUCCAUCAUAGAAGGCUUUUGAUAAUGCAUCACAGAUUUCGUAGGCUGUAGAAAUUCGUAAAUAUUGCUUCAUGAUCUCCGGAGACAUGGAUAUGAGUAACAAUCUUUUUACUUUUUGGUUCUCACUAUACCAUUUCUCAUAUUCCUUUUAAGAUUCCUCAAAUGGCUUUGUGCUGCUACGAAUAUAUGAGAGUUUUUCUCUUUCUGCAAGAUGCAUUUCCAUUAUUUGAGACCAAACAUCGUAGUUUGUCUCAGUGAGGAUAAUUCCAGCAUUAAAUACUCCAUCAGAUUGAACAGAUUGAAUGACAACAGGACUAGAUUCAGUUGGAGUUUUCUCCAUUUUUUUUGUUUUUGUUUUUUUUUUCUUUUUCUUUUUUCUCUUUUUUUUCUUUUUUUUUGUUUUCUUUUUUUUUUUGUUUUUUUUCCCGUCUAGAUUGAAAGAAGAAAAAAAAAAUAACCUUUUUAGGUAACAAAACGACAGGUCGUUUAGCCACUGCUUACCAAACCGACAUGUCGGUUAUGGUGGAAUAUAAACGACAUGUCGUUUUACUCCUGCUGCACUUCUGGAAACUAAGCGUCACGUCGUUUUAUCUCUAAUUUAGAAAAGACAUAUCGGUUUUAAUAUAACACAAAACGACACGUCGGUUUUUGACUGCUGCACUUCUGAGAUAAAAAUGACAUGUCGGCUGACGUCUUCUUCAACCUCUGGAGCGCGUGAGGGCGCGUGAAUGAUGACAGAGGUGCGUGGUUGACUGGCCGUGGCUUCGGUUGGCGCGUGGGAGCGCGUGGGAAUGUGUUUAAAUGCGAAAGUUUUACAGUUUCCUCACUAAAAACUGAGAAAUUUUAUGGUGUUCUUGGUUUUGGACGAACACACUCUCGGAAAAUUGAUGGGAUUGUUGAUAAAUUUGUAAACUCAAGUUUUUUACGUAUUGGUGGCUUGUUUCUUGAUCGGCAUGGAUAUCUGUAAUGGUAGGAAUGGGUUUAAGAAAGAAAAUGGUGGGAAAAAUGGUUGUGGGAGGAAUUUGGUUUCCUCUGUUUUUGUUACAAACAGAGCAACGGAACUUGAAGAAACUUGAGCGUAUUCAUGGCUCUGAUACCAUGAAGAAACGUGUUUUCAUUUCUUAAAUAAAGCAUUAUACAUUGAGAGUUAUUUAUAGAUGCAGAGGCUACAUUUUUUCAAAGAUUACAUAUGUGAAUACGGAAGGAAAUGUGUCAAUCCGUUCGGCGCGAAUCUUGUCUUUGACAAGUGCAGAUUAACCCUUUGACAAGUGCAGAUUCUGUCUUUAAAAGCUUCAUUCAAUGUUGUUUUAUUUGAUUCUCAACACUUGCACAUAGAGAUUUGCAAGGGGAGCGAGAGAUUCAAUAGCAGCAAUUUAAUUUGACGGGACUUUCAUUGAAUAAUGAAAUUAAAAACUAACGAUUAUUGAAUUUUUUAUAUUCUCUUAACUCUUGUGGAAAUGUCAGCUCUAAAUAGGACAGCUUCAAGAAUCUUUAUCUGAAAGUGUAAUUGGCAGAGCAGAAACUUGUGACACUAUCUAAAUCACAAAGACUCAACGUCUUCAAUUUGCUGAAAACAAUCUCUCGUUUUGAAUUUACAUUUGGAGCUCCAUCUUCUUCUUCGUCACCUAUUACCAUAUCUGUCAUUGCCCUGCAUCCAGCCACCUUCACUGAUACGAGCCGCACUAGACUUUUAGCUGCAGUGGAUUUUACAAUUCUUUGCAAUGGAAAACCACCAGUUCUGUUAGAUUCCCACAAGAUAUAGAUGAUCAUGGCAAUAGACUUAAAAGAUUUUUACAUGCAGUAAUAUACUCUUAAGUGGUGUUUGGUUGGGAGGAGAGAAUAGAAGAAAGGAAAGUAAUUUAAAUGCUCUUUUUAUUUCCAUUAUUUGGUUUGACAAAAUAGAUAAGAAUUUAAUUUCCAUUAGAAUUUGAAUUCCACACCAAGUAGUGAAAAAUUUAAAUUCCUCUUAUGUUAAAAACUAAAGUUUCCAAAAUUAUCCUUCAAAUUUUUAACUUGUUUAAUGUCAUUAAUAAUUAUUAUUUAUAAUUUUAUUUUAUUGAUUUAAUAUUAUAAAUAGACCUCCACCGGUAAGUCGCCGGACCACUGUCGGACUUCACCGGACCACCGCUGAACUUUCGCCAGACCAUUGCCGAACUUCCACCGGAAAGUCGCCGGACUUCCACCGGAAUAUAGUUUUUCAUAGCGAAGAGCUUUACUUUGAUGGCUUAAGGAUUUGUUCUAGGCAUACUGCUGUGAUUAGAUUUCGUUUAUUUUUAACUUUUUUUAAUCUUUUAUCCGAUGAAUGAUUUUCAGCUGUUCUUAAUUAUUUGUUCAUAGGGAAGAGCAUUUUCUAAGUACUUCCUUGCCUUCUAAGUUUCCGAAGAAAGAUAGGUGUGAAGCAAAGCAAACCAAACCAAAUGAACAAACAGAGCACAAACUAAAAUAACAGAACAGCAAUGAUGACAAUAAAUAAUUGGCAAAAAAAGAAAAGAAAAAAGCAUGCACAUUUUCAAGGAAAUAUAAAAUAUAAAGCUUUUAAUGAAAUUUUAUCAUAAAAAGUAUGCAAGUAUUUAACAAGAUGUUUGGAACGAUAGAAAAUGAAAGAAAAUUGAUUAAGAAGAUUCUGGAACAAUCAUAAUUCUUAUUGAUGAAACUGAUCAAAAUCGUACAUUGUGAACGAGCUCAGCACUAUUUAUAGUUACACACAUGCUGAUUAGAAAGUGUAGAGCUCAAAACUGCAAUAUUAACAAACUAAUUAACCUUCCAAUCAUAUUAAGCCAGCUGGACAGUUAGUUACAACCAAUCAGUACAAAUAACAACCUAAUCCAGCUUGGCAACUUUGUUACACAUCAUCAGCCAGCUCAGCUUAGCAAACUUACACUCUUAACAGCAAGGAAUUAUAAAAUUUUAGAAAACAAGGGGAACCCUAAAAAAAAAACUCAAAUUAAACUAGGCUAAAAGACAUUCAAUGAUGCAAAAUCUGUCCAUAAAAUUCUGAACGAAUCAUUAAAAUAGCAUUCCAAAUUUAACAGUAAACCGAGUGACCCAUUCUAAAUAAUUCAGAUGAAAUUGUGAAACAAGCCAUGAGAUCAAAUAAAUGAAAUAAAAAUUCGCAACUCCAAGUCAUAAGAAGCCUAUGAAAUUAGUCGUAAUGCGUAGACAACGACGACGGCACCGCCAACAGCUGAAAAUAAGAUUCUUAUUCAUCAAUUUAAACUUUUACUUUAUAACAAACAUCUUAUCUAUAUUUUAUUUAAAAAAAGCAAAUUUUGUAAAAUUUUUCCAUGGGAGAUAGAGAGUAAUAUGUAUAUACGUACCUUCUCAGCAUGUAAUUGUUGUAUGGUUGUGUUCAGAUCAUUAUUAGCCCAGCGCCGUUGAUCCGCUGUCUCUCCAUAGCAGACGUUUACUCUUGGAGGCGUGAUUGAUUCUCCUGUAGUGAAAAUCUUCAUCUUGGGACAACCAAUCACCCACAAAUCUUGCAAAGAUGGGAAUUUGAAGGUGUAGUUGGCAGAGCUGAAACUUGUGAAGCUAUCUAAAUCAAACAGUUCCAACGUCUUCAAUUUGCUAAAAACAAUCUCUUCUUUUUCAACUCCAUCUUUGUCAUUUAUUACCACCUCUGUCAUUGCUCUGCAUCCACAUACUUGCACUUUGACGAGUUGCACUAGAGUUUUUGCUGUGGAGGAUGUUACCAAGUGUAUCAAUCCCUUGCAACCGAAAGCCACCAGAGCUGUUAGGUUCUGAAAAGAUACCGAUGAUGAUGGCAAUAGAAUUAACAGACUUUGACAAUGAUGUACUUUUAGAAUUUCAAGAUACUGAAAAAUGGGGCCAAGUUUGGAGUCUUGUUUGCACAGGUGCUUCAGAUGAUAGUGCCGUUUUAGCUCUAAUGUUUUUAUCAUUGCCAACUUCCCCACAUGUUUCUCUAAGCUUCCUUCCUCCGAAAAUACCUCUUCGUUGAAUGAAAAAAAACACAGUAUGAGCAUUUCCAGAUUGUGAAAUCUCUCCAGUACGUUCCAGACUGGAAAACAAGCUGAGUCAUCUCCAGCAAUCUCUAGUUGUUUAAGACUGCCAAAAAGGUGUUGUGGGAAAUCGGCCUGCAAAAUCAUCUUCACAUCUUUUCCACUUAGUGAUAGUUCCUUCAAGUUGGGUACGAUCUGAUCAUCAUCAAUCAUAAUAACUAAUGAGGUCAAUUGAUGAUCUACGGUCACAUGCAGUGACUUUAUAGUAUUUGUUUUAUAUUAUAUUUUAAAAAAAAUUGAAUUAUUGAUAAAAUUUAUUUUAUAUGUUAAUUUUAGAGGUAAAAAAGAAAUUAGGGAAAAAAGGUUGAUUUAUACUGACUCGAAAUUAUUUUAUUGCACAAUAAUAAAUUACUAAUUUAUUUAGUAAGUUCUUCUAUAUGGAAAGAUUAAGGAUUCUUUUAUAAAUGCUAUACCUAAAACAGUUCAUAUAAUUAUUAAUCUACCACAUUGAUCCCUUAGUCUAGACUAGCAAAGAUUAUUGUAUAAUAAAAAUUUUUAAUUUAUUGAGUAUUAAUUUAUCGAUGCUUUGUCAUAUUUUUCAAAGUUAAAAAUAAGCUAUUGAUAAAAAAUCUAGAAAAUGACUUCAUACCUUUUCCAACGGCAAUAGGAGCUGUUGUGCAGGAAUACCAAGUUGAUCAUUCUCAUUAUUCUGCGAUAAAUCAGCGAAUAUCUUUAAUUUGUCACAACGAUACACUAAAAGACUUUCUAGCGCGGGCCAUUCCAAAGUAUGCAUUCCAGGGUACAAACAUCUAAGUUUUGGUAGAUGUUGGAGUCUCAGAGUGGUGAGCUGUGGAAAGACAAAAUAAGGGAUCACUUGAUCUGCUCUGUUUUCAGAAAUGAUCUCCUGUAAAUCCUCACAGAAGCGUAUAUCUAGGUGUUGGAGCUGCUUAAGGCUUCCGAUCAUAGACGCUGAAAAUAGGUAUUUUAAUUUGUGACAAUGCCGCACAGUCAAUCGUGUUAAAUUUUGAAAGCGAGGAAACAUGACCGGAAGAUGAUUGUAGUGCCAAAUCUUGUCGACAUUAAUUUCAGAUAUCUCCAAAGCCUCCAAGUUAGGCAACGCAACCUAAAAAAAAGAAGAAUUUCUCGUUACAUCCAAUAUGCAUAUGAGAAGCACUUGUUGAAAUUUUCGUCUUCGAUUACAAAUUAAUGCAAGUCAAAACCAAUUUCUAACUGACAGAUAAGUAUGCAUUCUAAUUCAUACUACUUGUUAAGAGCUCAAUUAGUGAGCGCGUGAGAUUCUUUUUAUCCUUUUUUUUCCAUUUUCUUUCAAUUCUUUAAAUGAUUUAAUUAUUUUCCACGUAUGACAACAAAACAGAACGCAUGAUAGAAUAAAGUCUGUUAUAUAUAUAUAUAUAUAUAAAGAAAAUGUUAGCCUACGCACCUUCUCGUUGAAAAGCAGAGUUGAAGUAUCCAAAGUGAUUUCGCUGGAGCUAUACGUAGUCGUCGAUUCCUCUUGCGACGCUGGUCUGUUUGGUGAUGCUGAAGGAGUCUUUACUUCACGGCAAAAACUUGUAACCUCUGGAAGAUUCCCCAGACUCAAAGAUCUUAAUUGAGCAAACUCUAUCUUCUCAAUUGCAUUAUCAACUUCUUCCCCAAUUGCAAAAAUCUCUUUCAUCUUGCUGCAAUUAAUAACUGCAAUUCUCUCAAGUCUUGGAAGGCAUUUUGUUGUAGAGAGCCAAAAGAUAUUACUCAAUUUUUCACAAUUAUAUGUUUGUAUGAUUUUGAGUUCGUUGAAGGACUCUACUUUGAGCCGAUCAAUACAUAUCCUCUCCAUGUUGAUCAAAUUGUGAAGGCCAAGUGACUCCAAAAGAGGAAAGGCAUCACAAGCGACCAUCGCCCUUGAAUCGACGAUGCAAAAGAAGUCAGGAUUAUUUUGAACCCAGACAAGCUUCAAUUGUGAAAAGCCCUCCGUGUCCAAAUUGAAAAGAACGUUCUUGAUCCCUCGCAGCUUGUCCAACAAUAAGUAUUCAACGUUAUUGACGCCCUGCAAUUUCAUGGAGCAAAUGUCCGUAAAAGCAAGCUUGAGCUUCAAUGCUCUUAAACUCUUGCGAUCACUGUCGAUCAAAAAGUGCUGCCAACUUUCAAACCAAUUUUGUCCAGCAAUCAUGGGAUGUGUGAAUAACACAUUUCCAAUAUUUAUUUUGAACCUUUCGAGCUUUCUGGCCAAAAAGCCUUCUGGUAACAUACUCUCAUUUUUAACAUCAAUUUCUAGAGUGGUUAGCCGAGGUAAAUGCAUCAAUUCAUCAAGGCUAGCAUUACUUCUUUUGCUGUUGGCUCUUUCAACCUCCCAUUCAAUGGAGCAAUUACCCAUAUACAAUUCUUCUAAUCGGAUUAAGCUUGAUAUGACAUUUGGGGCAAUAACUUUCAGACGGAAACAGUCUGUUAAAUCUAACAGCCUUAGCUUAGUCAGUUGACCCAGUGCUUUAGGCAACUCUACAAUAUCAGACCGCACGAAGCUGAGGAUUUCUAGGUUUUCCAACUUUCCAAUAAUGGCUACGUCUAUGCCUCUGAAAAUGCUUUGAUCAAGACAAAGUGUCUGAAGAUUUACUAGAAGACCAAUUGAAGAUGGCAAUGACAAUAACCGCAUUCUAGUCAAAUCCAAAACCCGAAGCUUUUUCGUCCUUUUGAAGAAGUUCUCAGGAAUAUUAGGCACAGCAAAAGAGUUCUUGGGAGACAUGAGUAGAAGUUCAAGUUGUAGAGAUUCGGACCCUUCAGGAAUGUCAUUAAUAACACUAUCUUUUAAAGAAAUUGCAAGAUAUUUUUUUAAUUCAUCUGCAUUUGGCCAUUUCCAAUCAUCCUCAUUUCUCACCACAAAUCCAAUUUUGUCACGACAUGCAAUUGAAAUGGCAACAUCGCGAACAACGUCGUGCAUAGAAAAGUAUUUACUGCCACCAUCCUCAAGCAACAAACAAGAGUCUCUUAGUUGAUGGACCCAUGCAUCUAAUUUGUUAUGUGCAUCUUCUAGCUUGUGGACACUUUUAAAUACACCCCAGAGCAUGCUAUAUUUGAACAAGUCCAUAAUUGGUGCUGGCGUAAUAAGACUACACAGUAAAAAAGUUUUCUUGAGUUGCUCACCUCUUAAGUACUUGUAACUCAGCUCAAUUGUUGAGUAUGCCUCUGCUGGUACUCCUUCGUCGAAGCUUGCCUCUGAAGGCGUUUGGAGUUCUUGCAAGACAUUCUUCCACACAGGCAGCUCUUUUUUUCUCAGUGCCUUUGCUACUGUGGUUAGGGCAAUAGGCAAACCUCCGCAUGCCUUGGCUACACUUGUUGCUGUAGAUUUUAACUCACGAUUUUCCACAUAAUCACCUGCCAUUAUCUUGAACAAUUUCCAGGCUUCUUGUUCAUUUAAAAUGCCAAUCGAGAAGUUUUUUUCAGAUUCCAUCCUUAACAGCACAUCAAGAUCUCUUGUUGUGAAUAAUAAUUUGCAUCCUCUGUGCUCAACUCCAAAAGGAAUUCCAAUAGUCCCCAAAUCAAGAGGUUUCCAGAUGUUAUCCAGAAUCACAAGGAUCUUCUUCUCAUUCUUCAAUCUUUCAUAUAGUCUACUAGCUCUUCUAGACUCAGCUUCCUCGGACAACUGUAGGCCUAACGUUACCGCAAUUUCCUCUUGGAUCUUUUUUAUGUCUGGACUUUGGGUAACCUCCGAAAAAGCCACCAUAUCGUAAAGCUUGUCUUCAAUUGCUCGCCUUGCAAACUCCCGCACCAGUGUCGUCUUUCCAAUGCCGCCCAUGCCGUAGACGCCAAUGAUGCUGACAUCAACAUCGAUCAAUGCAUUUUGUAUGGCCUUCAAAGUAGAAAGUCUUGAUUCGAAGGCCUCGUAGCCUUUGUGAGACUUGAGCCAAAUCUCCUCCGGAAUGGUACGGUAGGAAAUUCUAUCAUCAAAUCUCCCAGCUUCUUCUCGGAGUUUAAAAAGGGCCUCCUUCUCUGUUUCUGCUUUCUUUCCAUGCUGAUAGCGAGUAAUCCAAUUAGGAAACAGCCCCAUGAGACAUCGUUCAUUUGCUUUCUCUUCGUCUUGAAUGAAUUUGGCUGCCUCCUCAAUGCUCUUGUUCGCAUUAACCAGCCAUUUCUCAACCUUCUCUUCAAUCUUUUCACUUUUUCUUUCAGCCUCAGAAACUCUGCGCUGAAUGCUUUCUCUUUCAUCCUUGAGCCCAUCGAGUUCUUCCUUGAGAUUCUCAAAGUUGGCAGCGGAGUUAUACCAAUAACUAAAUUCGCGUUGUGCGUGAGGAGACAAGCAGUUUACAAUGCUUUUCAAAAUGUCCAUUUUUUUUUUUUGGUUGGGGGGGGGGGGGGGGACGAAAUAGAAAUAGAACAGGGUCAACGACCGCGCAAUUGAUAAUCAAGUAGAAGCAAAACUAGGCAAAAUUGGAAAAAUAAAUUAUAUUUGUACAAAACAAGGGGAAAAUCAGUGUAACAGAAGAGAAUCAAAGUGUUUUUGAGAUCAGAAAAUUGAACCAAGAAAAGGGUUGCUUGAUCCAAUGAAAAAGCAAAGAGCUGAUGGCAAAAGGGAACAAAGAUAAAUAAGAAAACGGCUAGUACGAGCAGCGACCACGAUGAACAGAAGCAAAGUGUUUAUGAGAUCAAAAGACGAAAAUCAGGAGAGGUUUUCUUGACUGAGAAUUGAAGGCAAAGAGUAGGAGCUGACGAAUACGGGGAUCAAGAGGGAAAAACUGCUUGCUCGUAAAACUACUUUCAAGCGAAUCUGAUAAAAUUAUUUCAAUACUCAUGGGCGACUCCUUUUUAAACUGCAGAAGGAAAAAAAAAAAAAAAAGAGUUCUGAAUUUCAAUAUAUUAAUUUUUAUCCUAAUUUAUGUUGAGAUUCGUAAUCUCGUCUCAAUGAUUAAUUAGUAGAUAAUCUUUCUAACAAAUAUGUGUUGAAUAGAUAUAUUUCUUGACUAUUAGUAAGUUAGAUAUAUUUUAGCAUAGGAAUGAAAGUACCAAGUUGUGUCAUAUUAGAAUAAAAAUGUGAGCUAAAAAUAAUUUUCUAUGACCUUUUAAUUAUUUGUCAGCAAAUAAUUAAGUCAUAUAAAAAAAUUAAUAAUCUGAAUUAGUCUUUAAGUAUUAUAAAUAUUUUUUUUUAUUUUUAAUUAUAAUAUCAUUAUUUAAAAAUAAUUGCUUGACUUAUAUUAGUAACAUUACGAUUGUCAUAAAACAUGUGAUCCUCAUCCAAUAUCCAUUAUUUGUGAUCCUUAAUCAAUAAAAUAUCUAACAAUAUCUUCACCUAAAGUUUGAGACAUGUGAUCCUUAUUCCACUGCGUCAAAACAAGGAGAAAAUCAGUGUAACUGAAGAGAAUCAAAGUGCUUUUGAGAUCAGAAAUUGAAGCAAGAAAAGGGUCGCUUGAUCCAAUGAAAAUGCUAAGAGCUGAUGGUAAAAGGGAACAAAGUUAAAUAAGAAAACAGCUAGUGCUAGCAUCGACCACAAUAAACAGAAAAUUUGAGAUGGAUUUACAAUAUUUCUGCCUUUCUUUAUGCUUUAACAAAUAUUGCUCUAUCAAAAAAAAUAUUUAGCAUUUUAUUAUUGGAGUCACAAAAGACCUACACAAUAUAGCAAGUGCUAGGAAUAAAUAAGAAUAUAUAACUCUCUCUCUAAUUCUCACUCUAGCUUUUAAUUGUCACUCAAAACCCAGAAUUCAUCCUUAAAGUGUAAGCAAAUCAGAGAUGACAGCGUCUGGUUGUCAUACGUGCCUUUUAGUUUUCGGAUGACAUGGCGUACACUUCUUCUGUAAAUCGAACAUGACAUGUCGUACUCUUUGUUUUGAGAUCAUAUUUCAAACUCUUCAUGCUAUGAAUGAAAGAUAAACUACAAUCAUCAAAAUAUUUAGUGUUUAUUUGGUAAUGUAACAUCAUAGUUGUUGUGAAUUGAAAUUAUUUAUGUAAGAUAAAAGGAUUUGGGUCAUCGUUUGUUAUUCUCUAGCAAUAUUGUUUGGCCGUGACUAUUUGUUAAAUAUUAAAAAAAUAAAUUUAUAUUUAUUAAGUACAAAAAAUAAAUAAACAAACAAAAAUAAAAGGAAAAGUUUAUGCAUUACAUAAAAUAAUAAGAACAAUAUCAAUAUUUCACACUCUAUAAUUGACUGAUGAGUUGUCCAACUACCAUACAUUGGUCCCAGAGACUUAAAUAUUAAAGUCCAAAGUUAUUGUGAUGAUGACUUAUAAUUGCCAAACUUGACAUACGGGUAAUCAUGCAUUAUAUAAGGUGCUGAUUUCUUCCGAUCGGAACUUUAUUUUUCAUUUACAAAUAAAUAAAUGAUGUGACUUAACGGGUGGCGGGGUCCUUUGUGCCAUUUGUGUAUUUCACUGAAUAGUUGAUUCAACUUGAUUGCAGCAGAAAGAUUCCUGGAAGUUGCCAUUUGCCAAUGCUACUAACAUUUUCAAACUUGGAAAACCCUUCAAUCAAUCUUUUAGUGGUAGGCUCUGGUAGCUUGCUUUGAUUAUGACAUAUGAUUAUUUGAUAAUAAAGCUAGAGGAUGUAUUAAUAUAAAAUUUGUUUAUUGGUGUUGAAGUUAAUUAUCUCAUUAAUAAUAAUAUAAAAAGUUAAUUACUAAGAAACACAUAGCAGUAUUCUAGGAUAUAAUUUUAUAUCAUAACUUUGUAAGUGUAUAAUUCCUCAUUAAAUUAACAAAAUUAUUUUAAAAUAUUUAGUUAGAAAAAAUAAAAUAUUUUACAAUACCUCCCUUCAGAUUGCACAAAUUACAUAAAAAAAAAAAAUUGCUUUAUGUAUAAAACUUUCAAACAAAUUGGGCCAAAAUCUAACUUUACCAAGUUUAGAGUAAUUUUGGGCUCUACAUUCCAUUUCCGACAAACGAAUUUUCUUUAUCACCAAGGUAUGAUACUUUUCAUAUUUAUCCAACGGCUCGUCAAUGACAAUACCUUUGUAAAAAGUACUUAUUUUCAAUAGUAUAUUGUGGAAAUGUCUGGUCGGUAAUACAACUAUUUCUUAUAGUGUAAAAAUGAUACACUAAGCGUUCACAUUUUGAUGAGUAAAUUAAGGAUUUCAAGAUGAAGUACAUAAUUAGAUUAAUGCUAAGAAACUGAAGUUUGAUCGAUUGAAAACGAAAAUAAUAAUAAAGGUAAUUAAGAAAAUGAACAAUAUAUGCAGAAGCGGCUCCUUAUUAGGACUUCUAGAUUUUCUCUUGGGCUUUCCUUAUUAUUGUUAAAAAAUGACACGAAGAACUUUGAGUUUAAAAAUCUGGCCCUGAUGCCUGGUAGCCCUCCAACAUAUGAAGCACCAGAUGUUUUGAUGAGAAUAUGACAAGACCAUUUAUCAAAUUUCUUGUGGAUAUAAAUACGUACACAUGGACGAGACCAACCUCCUCAAAUGAGAAUCAGAGUGAUUACAAGACCUUGCAAUGAGACAAUGAUACACCUUCAAAUGUCAAAAUACAAUAGAAAUUCACGACAUAUAUAUAAUAAAAGACCUCUCAUUGAGUCAUAUAUAUUGAGAAUAAAAAUGUUAUAAUACAUACACAAAGCUUAGCUAGAAUAAAAUGUCUUUGAACUUGCGAUGAUCAAAUAAAGAAAACAGACAGGUUGUAACUCACACUAUCACAAGAAGAUCACGAAGAUGGAAAUAGGAACCCGACAGAAUGGAAAUUUUGAAUAGAGGAAAAAAGAAAAACGACCUUAUUCACAUAAGAAGAGUGACUCAAAUCUUCUUCAGUAUCCAGACAUUCUGCAAUCAUAGAGUAGAGAAAUUUUAACAGGAACAGCAGAGAAAAUAUUAUGAAUAUGCUAUAGACCAAUAUACUUGUUCAUAGCUAACGUUUGAUGGUUUAAAGAUUUGUUCUAGGAAUAAUGGGCUGAUUACUUUUUUUUUAUUUUAAUUUUUUUUUAAUCCAAUGAAUGAUAUUCAGCUGUUAAUUAUGUGUUCAUAGGGAAGAACAUUUUCUAAGUACUUUCCUUGCCUUCUAACUUUCCGAAAAGCAAACCCAAUGAACAAACAGAGCACAAACUAAAAUAAAAGAACAGCAAUGAUGACAAUAAAUAAUUGGCAAAGAAAAAAGGAAAAAGUAUGCACGUUUUCAAGGAAUUAUAAAAUAUGAAGGCUUUUAAUGAAAUUUUAUCAUAAAAAGUAUGCAAGGAAUUAUAAAAAUUUAGAAUUUUUGGAAUUUUUAAUGCACCAAAGUUCAUUUUUAGCUUUUAAGGUUUUUAUGUGUGAGCCUCUCAGCAUGUUCCCCAACCUCCUCACGUGAAAAUAUUUCUAUGCACGGUUACAAGCUUUUCCAGAUUGUGAGUAUUCCGAAGCAAUCCAACUUGAAAAACAGCUGGUUCGUAGAAAAUGACAGUUUACGAAGCUGGCCCUGCUGCCAUACAUAUGAUGAUGAAGACCAUUUUGCUUUAUGUCAAUUCCUCCAAGUUGAAAUCUUUCUCGGUCUGGGACACUUCCAACACAUAAUGUACUACUAGGCCAGAUGAUUUUAAAAAAUGUCAAGGUCCUUUAUCAAAUUUCAUUUGCAUUCAAGACCAAUCCCCUUUGAUGAAAAUCAAUAAUUAAAGGCUUUCCAAUGAGAAAUUAUUACGUCUUCAAAUCUCAAAAAACGCCAGAAUAUUAAUUCGCUACAUAUAAUCAAGAUAUCUCAUUGAGACGCAUUAAUAAAAAAUGUCAAAAUGCAUAGAAAGAGCAGACACACGGAUGAUGAAUUUACUCAUCUUUAUUAGUAUUUGAACUUGAGAGACAGAAUGAAGUACAUGUCAAGAAUAUCAUAAAGAUGGAAACCGGAAGUCCUCCGCACAUAAACUUUGAAGAAACUGGAAAACGACUUUAUUCCAGAUAAUGCACACCAGAGUGACCAAAAUUCUCUUCAGUAACUAUAGAGAAAAUAUUAUUUUGCAUGCAUUUCACGUAACUGGAUCAAACUACUCUCCUGUUGGUUUAUCAGACCACAUUUUUAUGGUGCAAUAUAAACCAUCUUUUCAAAACGCUUUUACCAUGUGAGAAAUAUACGCAUUAAAUUUCAUAAACUAAAAACUCCAAUUGUCAAAAAAAAAAAAAAGGGUGAGAAACUCAGUAGAAUUUACAACUUCUCAGACUCACGAAAAGGUGAGAAACAAAUGAUUUUUAUAUAGUUGUUCAUAGCUAACUUUUGAUGGUUUAAUGAUCUGUAGAUUUUGUUUUAUGCUAUUCAAGGAAUGAUAUCCAAUUGUUCCUAAGAGUUCAUAGGCAGGGGCAUAUAUGCAUGAUUUGAUAUAAUUCUUGCAAUUUCUAAGUACUUGCUCUUUCCAUCCCUUCUAAGUUUUGAAAGAAAGGUCGAAAUAAACAGAGAAACAGGACAAACAGAAGAAGACUGAAUUAACAGAUCAACAAAGAUGGCAACUAACAAAUGGAAAGUUCUCUUGUAAUCAAACUAUAGCAAACAGAUGACACCAUUACAAUAUAUCUUAAUGAGUAGAUUGAUUCUAAACAUAUAUGUUAGGAUACAUUUGGUUGUUUAAUAGUUUGAAAUAAGGAGGAUGGGAUGGUUUCCACAUAAAAGUGCUGUCCCUUUCAAUGACAUUUUCAAAGAAUUAUAAAAUUCAAAAUAAAAAAAAAAUUAGCAAAUUAUAAAGCCACACCGUCAAAAAAAUAAAUAAAUAGAUAAGUUAAGACCUUUAAUGAUAUAAAAAUAAAUAAAUAGAGAAGUCACUAGGACCUUUAAUGAUAUAAAAUAAGCAUAUAAAUCUCAGAACAAAACAUUAAAAUUCAUUCUAAAAAUAAACUAGUGGUGUAUUCCAAACAAUUUAGAUGAAGCGAUAAAACAAGCCAAGAGAUCGAAUAAAAUGAAAUGAAAUUGAAUUAACUGGGACUUUGUUUUCCAAAUUCACAACUCGCUUGUAAUUAAAGUAAAAUGCCAAUGCCAUUAGGACAUAUACAUCAUUGAAUAAGAUGAGGACCCCUCCAACAGCUGAAAGUAAAAUUUUCAUUCAUUAGUUUCAAUUAAAAGUAAAGCACACAGAGAUUUGCAGGGAAGCAAGAGAUUUAAUAAAUUUAACAGCAGCAAUUUAAUUUGACAGGACUUCCAUACAGUAAUGAAGUUAAAAACUAAUGAUUAACGAAUUUAGUUUGGUCCCAAAGCUGUUGAUCAUCUCUCUCUCCAUAGUAGAAGUUUACUCUCAGAGGCGCGUUUAAUUCUCCUUUAGUGAAAAUCUUCAUCUUGGGACAACCAAUUAUAGAUAAAUCUUCCAAAGAUGGGAAUUUGAAGGUGUAAUUGGCAGAGCAUACAAAAUCUUCAAUUUGGCGAAAACAACUCUUCUUUUAAAUUUGCUGCUCCAUCUUCGUCAUUUAUCACCACCUCUCUCAUUUCUCUGCAUCCACAUACCACCAUUGAUAAUAGUCGCUCUAGACUUUUUGCUGUGGAGGAGGUUGCUAAGCUCAUCAAAUUCCUUGCAACGAAGAACUAGAAGUUCUUUUAGGUUCCCAAAAGAUACCGAUGAUGAUGGCCAUAGAUAUAACAGAUUUUGACAAUAAUGUACAUUUAGAAUUUCAAGGCAUUGAACAAAGGAGUCCAAUUUGGAGUCUUGUUUCCACAAUUGCUUCAGAUGAUUAAAUUUGUGCAGAUCUAAAUGUUUUAUCAUUGUAAACUUCCUCACAUGUUUCUUCAAGUAUCCUCCAUUCGAAAAUACAUCUUCGCAUGAACAACGACGCCGUAUGAGAGUUUCCAGAUUAUGAAAUCUCUCAAGUAAAUCAAGUGGAAAACAAGUUGAGUCAUCAUCCACUGUUUGUAGUAGUUUAAGACUCCCAAAAAGGUGUUGUGGGAAAUCGCUCUGCAAAGUCAUCCUCGAGUCUUUUCCACUUAAUGCCCGUUCCUCCUAAGUUGGGUAAGCUCUGAUCAUCAUCAAUCACGUAAUAACUUAUUAAGUCAAUUCAUAUUCUCUCAAAUGACUUUUAAUAAUCCAAUCAUACACAGUGACUUUAAUAUAAAUGCAUAAUAUUUUACAAAAAAGAAGAAAAAAUCGAAUUAGAGGUAAAAGUUAUUCUACGAUUUUAUUUUUUAUAUAUAUCUUGCAUGCUAUUCCCAAAAGCAAUCCCAAACGGCCCUUAAAGCAAUUUUACAAAAGUGGCCGGUACAUAUAUUGCCAACUUUGUUAGGAAUGGCAAUGGGAAGGGGAGGGGAAGAGACCGACCUCCCCGUACCCAUUCCCGAUAUUCUGCAUAUAUCCCCAUCCUCUCCCCAUUCCAGACAAAAUUGCUUUAGGGAAUCCCUCUCCCCUCCCCAAAUAAUAAUAGGGGAUCCCUGAAGGUCCUCGAUCCUCGAAUAACUAAUACGUUUUUAGUUUUAAAUUUUAAUUUAAUCAUAUUAAAAUAAAAAAUUUAAAUAAAAAUAAAGUUUGACGAUAUAUCUUACAUUAACAUUAAUCUAUUAAAAAAGUCACAUUACAAAGUAUAAAUCACCAUAAUAAUUAUCUUCGGCAAUCUUCAAAAUCAUAUAAUAAAAAAAAAGAAAUUACUUUUAUAUCAACAAUAAGAUAAAUGAAAUGAAUAUAGAUACUUAAUCAAUAUUUCUAAUAAAAGUAUUCACCUCAUGCGUCUCCUACUCUUCUUGUUCUUCCUCGAGGAAUGUGACAAAUUGAGAGAUAGCCUUAGAUUUCAAGUUUAAAACAAUAAAAAUAAUAUAAGUAAUGUAAAUUCUAAGUGAAAAUAUUAAUAAUUAUAUAAUAUAAUUACAAUGUAAAAUAAACUCAUACUACCAUUGUAAGCUUGUAGUCAACUUUGACAACUUAUUAAAGCCUCCAAUGUGCUUGAAUAAAGCGUGUUACGAUACUCUACCACAGGUGCUAAAAGCUAAUUCAGAAGCAACAUUUGUAAUUAGAAUUGCCAAAAUAUCUCUAGCAAUUCGUGCCAAUAUAGGAUAUCUAUAGACAUUUGUUUUACACCAACUCAAAAUAUUAAAAUCUUUCAUCCGUGGCAUAACUUUUUCAUCCAAAUAUUAAUGUAGUCAAUUAGGCCUAAAGUUUAAUAAUAUAAUUAUUUUAAUUUUUUUAUUUAUACUAAUAUUUAAUAUUUUAUUAUUUAUAUUUUAUUAUUUAUUUACAAAUAAUUUUAAAAAAAUUAAAAUUAAAAUUAAAAAAUUGGAAGGGGAUAGGGAUUCCGCUGCAUCCCCGUCCUUUUUUUGAAUAAGAAAUUGGGUAAAAAAACUAUUUCCGUCGCUUUUCUAAAUAAAAAAUUAAGUAAAAAAUUAUGUACCCUCCUGAAUUGGGAAAAUCUCGAGGGUCAUGUCCCCGCGGGAAUAUCUGCCAUUCCAAAACUUUGUAACAGCCACUUGCUUUUGUGACCGUUUAUGUGACGGCUAGACUGCUCUCACUUAUGUUACUAACCACGUGACGGUAGAGAGCCAAUUGGCAUACUAUUAUUUUGACGGUAGAGUUAUAAAUUUGUUUCUAAAUAGAAAACUAUUUGCUGGAGUCAAUAUUUUGAAGACCAAAGUCCCAAAUUCUCUCUCGUGCCUGGCCAGCAUCCUAAACCUUACUGGUAGCCGGAGAAUGGCGUAAAACGGCGGCGAUCUUCUUCUUCAUCUUAUUCUCUCUCUCAUCGUUUCAGGUAAGCUUGUGAUUAUGAGUUUCUUCGCUUUCUUAGCUUGUAAUUAUAGGUUUUGAUUUCUUUAAUUCGUUUUGUAGCCAUUAAUGUCAAUUUUUGUCCCACCGGCAAUGUUUUUUGUUCCUAGAAGUUGAAGCCCUUCUGUUCUUGUGCCAUUGGUGAGUUUGCUCACUCAAAUUAAUUUUGUUCUGCGGAGUUUACAAAGUUCAAAUGGACUCAUUUGGAUUACUAUUGAAUUUAGCUUUAAUUCCAACAUCCAUUCUAAUGUUUUGCCAUUAGAUUUACUUUAAUUUUAUCUUUAAAGCUUCUACAAUGAAUAGCGGAGCUUGGGUUUUAGUUUCAAUUUCUAAUUAACUUGUUUUAGUUUAUCUUAUAUGCUCGCCAAGUGCUUGUUAUAUUGUCUGAUAAGUUAUAUAACAUUGCUGAUUCUAUAUUAGUAAUGUCAUGUUCCAUUUUCGGAAAUUAUAACACAAAAGUUUUUACAAUGGCUUGCAUCUACAAACUGAAUUGACUUGUAGAGUAAGAGCUUGGAUUAGUGUUAUGUUCUUGAAUAAAUGAAAGUUCAUAUUGUGUAAGAGCAUGUAGAUGUAAAGCAUCACUACCAUUUCUACAAACUGCUUUCAUUCUGUUCAGAUGCUCCUCUUGAACUUUGAAAGGUGCCUCAUUCAAGUCCUAGCUGUAACUACUAGCUCUGAUUGCUUAAGUUCCUGUGCUAGCUGAAACAGAUUUAUUUAAUUAAUUAAUUGUGUAUGUACUAAUUAUAUUGAACGUAUAUGAAGAAAUUGUUUAACAUGAAUGACUUCUAAAUGACUUAAAAGCCUAAAGGAUAUGUGAAAUAAUGCUCAUUUCACUUGAACGAGCCUAUUAAUACUUGUAUGUCUGAUGGUUGUCGAAGCCAACAAAAAUAAAUUCAUACUCUAAAUAAAUUGUGUAUAGUGAUUGAGCAAGGUCAUGUCCACAGAGAUCGGUAAUUAUUUAAAUCCUUUUGAAACGUAAAACGUAAAAUGGGGGAAUUGUUGACAAUAAUAAAAAUCAAAUUAAAAUAACAAGAAUGCAAAUUAAAGUUGUAAUUCAAAUUAGAGAAAGCUCUGGUUGAAGGAAUUAAUUCAGCUUGAUUCGACUACUGAUCAUUGAUUCAAAUAUAGAUUAUUAUUACUUAUGAAUAGACCGGUUAUAGCUACUGAGACCCUCUAAUAGCCAAUCUCUCCUUAACUAGUCGAUAACCAAGGUACGACUGUUGGUUAUUUCCCUAAUCAAUAGACAACCCUAGAUACGAUCAUAGGAUUUAAUCAAUUGACAGCCUGAAAAACCAGAGAGACCCAAAUCCUAAUCAACACAUACGAUGAUUCAUUUAAAUUAGAUUGUUUAUUCUCACAACACAACUCUCUGCUAUGUUAUUUGUCACAAACAUUAAAUUCUUCAUACGAUGAAUCCUUUAAUUGACAAUAGAUUAAGUUGAUAAUUAAAUAGUGGCCAAUUACCUAAUUAACAAACAUAAUCAUGAAAAUAAUUCAGAGAAUAAACAAAUACCCAAAAAGUAAUAAAACAAUUAAAGCAUAAAAUAGAUCUCACAAUAGUGAUGAAUCAAAGCUUCAUUAUCCUUCAACCAGAAAAAUAUAUUUAGUUCUUCAUAGAGAGAAGAGAAAAGUUUAGAUCUAGGGUUUCUUUCUCUUCUCUUCAAAAGUCCCAUUUUUCACAAUAGAUUCCUCUCUUAAAUACUCUCUCUCUCUUCUCCUCUAGAAUUCUAUUUAAAAUAAAAUACUAAUAUAUGAAAUAUUAAAUUCGUAAUUACAAAAAUAACCAAAAAUACAAAACACGUUAAACUAAAAACUGUAGGUCCGUAGUUGCAGCACGCGCCCACGCGUUAUCAACAAAGUUCUUCUGACGCUCAUAAUUUCUCCAAGAAAGCAAUCAUCUUUAAACAUCAUCUUAUAGCUCAAUUUUAUCACAAAUCAAUAGAAUUGCACCUACAAAAGUAAAACACAAGUAAAUUAUCAUUAUUAAGUGCAAAACAUCAAUAUUAAGGGAAGUAAACAAUGCAAAACUAGUGCAUAAAUUGCACUCUAACAAAUUCCCCCACACAAAGAUGAUGCUUGUCCUCAAGCAUAUAACUCAAGACUAAUCCCAAAUCUCCACUCAAUUCUCAUCUCAACUCAUCCAAAAACAAUUUUAAGCAAGUAUACCUCAAGAAAUUAAGUCGAUCAACAUUCGAGAGACAAGGAUUUUAAAGCAUAGAAUCUCAUAAGAUAGAAUAAGAACAUUCAACCACCAAGAAGAUCCAUUCAAAAUUCAAGUGCAACAAGAUUUAAUAGCCCUCUCAUUGACCUCACUCCAUGCACUCAAAGUGUUUAGGGUGUCAUUUAUUCACUCAAAUCAAAUCAAAGAAUGUUAUUACCAUAAACUUGCUUAUAUAUCACAUCUCAAUCCACAAAACAUGAAUUAAAUGCAAAAAUCUAAGGGUCUUAAAAGGUUGUAACGGGGUUAAAUGGGUUAAAUGAAAAAGAAAAGUUUAUGAAAGAAAAAGAGAUCAAAAUGAGAAGAAUGAACUCAUUGAACGAACUUUAUGAUAUCGAAACGCUUAUUUCUACACAAGUCACCAAGAAUGUAAACAUUUUUUUUUCUUUUUCUUUUUUUUUUUCAAUUUUUUUUUUCGAUUUUUCUUUUUCUUUUUCUUUUUUUUUUUGAAUCAAACAAAAGAAACGAACCUUGCACAAUUUAAUUCAGGCAUAAUGCUUGUUGAUCUAAUUGAGAAACUUUAAUACAAGGUAGAAAAAGCAACAAAAUAUAUACAAAAUAUAUCCACACAAUGAGUCCAAAAAUCUCCUUAAAUUGAGGCUCAAAAAGAAGAAAAAUGGUUAAGUAGACGGAGAGAAUUAGAUGGGUAAUGGUUAAGGCUCAAACAAAGAUAGUAAAUCAAGGUCUUCGGGUAGAGAAAAAAAAAUGCGAGAAUAGAAAAAUGGUAAAUGGUUUGCCCUUAUCAUUUUAAUGCAAAAAAUCCGUAAUGUGGCUUCAACAUGCAUAACAAAGCAAGUUCUAGAAUAAACAAACUAAGAUUGAUAUUCACAUAACAAAAAUAAUAGAGCAAAGUGGUUGCUCAUAGGCUCAAAUCCUCACAAAGUUGGUAAAUUUGCCAUCAAAUCAUGUGCACUCUUCAAAUGAAUCAACCAUCAAUAGUGGUGUAGAAUGAGAAGAAGGUAUGAUUGAGAUAUGAAAGGAAAGGUAAAAAGGAUAAUAAGCGAGAAAGAUGUAUGUAGUAAAAAAAAUGAAUGAUAAAAUGUGAGUGAUGAAAGAGUAUGAUAGAAUAAAAAUAUAUGUAAAUAAUUUGAGGUAGAUGGGAAAAGAGUAGUGAGAGAGAAAGGAAAAGAAAAUUAAUAAUAUAUGAAGCAUACUAACUCCAAAAUCAUUUAAGGAUGAGUAGAGUGAAAAUAAUAAUUCCAAACAUCAAUAAUGUAAAAAAAUCCCUCCCCCACACCAAGAACUUACAUUGUCCUCAAUGUAAGAUAAUCAAAGCUCACAUAAAAAUUAAAGCGUAAGGAUAAAAGAUUAAAGACAAAAAAAAAAAAAAACUUCCCUGAAUUAUGAGCUUUGAUCCACAUAACGUCUAUGGGCUUGGCAGAAAUGGUGGGGUAAAUCCCACACUCUCGAAGUAUGCGGCCAAAUUCUGCUCCAUCUUGUUCAGCUUGUGCUCCAUUUUCUCUAACUGAAUGCUCAAAGGUGGUGCGGAUGUAGAAGGAAUAGUUGGCGGGGCAGCAGUGUCGUCGUCAAACUCGUCAUCAGAGGUAGCACCACUCCUAGCAUAAAGCUUCUUCGGAGGUUGAGUGGGUCCUGGUUCAGUAAAAUGAAAUCUCCCCUCCUUGAAUUCGACCAUACCUGUUCUUUCAAACACAGACAUAUCCAAAAAUUCCUUUUUGCAAGCAGGAUGCAAAUCAUUAUUGUCAGGAUCAAGCACACAUAGGUUUAUAGCUAACAGAGUAAUGUAUGGACCAAGAAAUAAAGUUCUAUACCGUUUAAGCACACUUUGAAAUUGAUCCGCUAACCAAAAACCUAAAUUAGGCCUCACAUCAUUUAACAUGCACCAGAUAAAAUAACAUUCAGUUUUAGAGAAAACUCCUGAGUGAUCUUUCUUACCGAAAAAAUUAUAUGCUAAGAAUCGAUGCACACAUUUCAAAACAGGAUCACGUAAGAAAGAACUCUUUGAUUUACUCGGGUCAUAGGCAUUGUGAUCAAUAGAUAAAUUACGCCAAAGACCAUAAGGCUCAAAAUUUUCGCUAAAGUCACAAGUUGUUCCUAAAUAUGCAUCACUAGAAGAAUAAUCAUCAUCAAUGAAUCCUAAAGCUAGGUUAAAAUCCGUGAUAGAGUGUAAAAAAUUUCGUCCCAUUAACCUAAACUUAAUGACAUCCGGGGUAUGCAAAGUAAAAUCAUUCGGCAUAUUAAAUUGAAAAGUAGCAUAAAACUUCCUAAUCAACUCAACAUAACCCAAACAAUCAACAUCAACAAACUUAUGUGACCCAAUCUUAUCUAUCAAAGAAUCAAAAUUAUCCUUAACAUUCAAUUUUUCAAGAGUCGGGUAAUGAAUAUACUUAGCUGGAAGUAUUUUGCGCGUGGAAAUAUCUUUGUACCUCUCUUUCUCUUGUUGAGUCGCGAAUGCGAGGCACUCUUUGAGAUUGGAUUCCGCAAGUGGCAAAACACUCAUGCCUUUUCCAUGUUUCGAUCUUUGUCUCACGGCUUGGCGUGAAUAUGAAAUUGUGUUCCAUGGAACCGUAGUGGGAGCGGCAAUCUUAGAUUUCUUUGCGACGAGUGUCUUUUUAGAUGACUUGGAAGUAGAUGCUUUCCUCUUCGGCAUUGUUACAAUAAUUGCACUCACGGAUUUCGAUUUACCUGGCUGGAAUACAGGGCGUAGGUUGGAUCUGCGUUGCGUUGCUGCUUGGCUGGAGCUUGCUGCGCAGGUUGGGGCUGGUUGCGCGCUGCUGCUGGUUGUGUUGCGCGCUGCUGCUGGUUGUGUUGCGUGAUGCUGCGCGCUGCGGGUGGAAUUGGUUGCGCGCUGCUGGGGCUGGAUUCGGGUUGCGCGCGGGGGCUGGGGAUGCUGGUGCGCGCUGCGGGUGGGACUAAUGCGCUGCGCUGAGGCUAAUUCGCGUUGCUGGGGCUGCGUUGUGGGAUGCUGGUGCUGUGUUGCGUUGCGCGCGGCUGCUGCUGCUGCAUGGCUGCGGCUGCUGCUGCUGCGGGUGAAAACGAUAAUCAACAGUGAAUUUUUAUUUUAUUUUUUUGAAUUAGGGAUUUAUGAACAGUGAUUUGUGAUUUUUGUUUUUUUUUUGUUUUUUUUAAAUAAAAAAAAUAUGUAUAUAUAAAAGAAAGAAAAGAAGGAAAAAAAAUAAUAUUUUUUUUUUUGUGAUGAAUCACUUUGAGACACUAAAAAUUUCAGAAGUACUUUUCUAAUAAGCACGUGGGCACGCCUUAAAACCAUUUUAUUUUAAAAAUCACAGAAGUACUUAUUAGUUAAGACGUGGGCACGCCUUAUCAAAAAUUUUCUUCUGACCAAAAUAAGCAAACACAUUAAAAAAAAAUGAAUCAAAAUUAAAAGAAGAUAUAACAAAAACCAAAAUAAAUAAAUCAUUUGGGUUGCCUCCCAAAAAGCGUCUUUGUUUUAUGUCUUUGGCUAGACACAUUUAUGCAUCAAUCUCCAUAAUUGGGACUCUCGAGAGCCACAUCCUCCACAAUAUUCACAAAAAAACCUUCAUAAAAAGGUUUUAAGCGAUGACCAUUAACCUUAAAAAUUUUGUCAGAGGUCGGACUUCGAAUCUCAACUGCACCAUGAGGGAAAACAUUAGUAACAAUAAAAGGUCCAACCCAGCAAGAACGUAAUUUACCCGGAAAAAGUUUAAGCUUAGAAUGAAAAAGAAGAACUUUUUGACCAACAGAGAACUCCUUUCUCAAAAUCAUUCUAUCAUGAAAUGUCUUCGUUUUUUCCUUGUAAAUAACUUCCUGCACUAUAGGGUUAAUAACAUCCACAGAAAAUACCGAAUGUUCCUCACUAGGAUAUUUCAUGGCAUCAUUCAUAUUGAAUUCUAUAACCUCUCCAUCAAACUCCAUAGUGAGAGUCCCUUUAUGUACAUCCAUUUUAGUCCUAGCAGUCUUAAGAAAAGGUCUUCCUAGCAAAAUUGGGACAAAAUUGGAGGAGUUAUCCUCUUCCAUAUCAAGUGCAUAAAAAUCAGCAGGAAAAACCAACUCAUUAACUUGUACUAAGACAUCUUCUAAUACCCCAUCAGGAUAUGCAUUAGACCUAUCAACUAGUUGAAUUAUCACGCCAGUUUCUUUUAAUGGACCAACAUUCAAAGAUGAAUAAAUGGAACGAGGCAUGACAUUAAUAGAAGCUCCUAGAUCUAACAAAGCCUUUUCAAUUCUAACACUACCAAUUUUACAAGGGAUAGUAAACAUACCUGGAUCCUUGCACUUAGAGGUAGUUUCUUUUGGAGAACUGCUGAAACAUUCUCCCCCAUGUGAACUUUUUCAUCUCCUCUUAAUUUUCUCUUAGAGGUGCACAGUUCCUUAAGGACUUUAGCAUAUCGAGGUAUUUGUUUUAUAGCAUCUAAUAAAGGAAUAUUUACCUCAACCUUGCGAAAUGUCUCAAGGAUGUCUUUCUCUUGUUCCUCCUUCUUGGAUAUUGCAAACCGGCUUGGAAAAGGAGGAGGUAUCACAAUAGGUAGGGGUUUCGCUCUGGUGGGUUGCGCAUCUUGAGAUUUAGGCAUCAAUUCAUUCUUCUCAAGCUCAUCUUCUACAUGCUUUGUCACUUUCUUACUAGGCUCUUGCAACUCCUUCCCACUUCUAAGGAUGACAGCACUAACGUUUUUCUUUGGAUUCACCUCAGAUUGUGAAGGCAAUCUCCCUAAUACUUGAGACUCCAGAAGGCUCACUGUAGUCGCCAAUUGACUCAUUUGGUUCUCCAAAUUCUGAAUGCUUGUUGUAGUUGCCUGCUGAAAUUGUUGAGUGUUAGUCGCAAGUGAUUUAACAAUUUCUUCAAGAGAUAUACCUGACUUAGAGUUUGAUUGUGGAGGUGCUGGUUGUCUUGGUGGAUACUAUUGUGGGAAUCCUGACGGCCUAACUCCAUAGCUGAAGUUGGGGUGAUCCUUCCAUCCCGGAUUGUAUGUUUAUGCAUAAGGAUCAUACCUCCUCUGAGGCAUGCCUGGAAAUCCUCCAACUGCAUUGGUUUGUUCAACGGGUUCUUCUUGAAGUGUAGGACACAUAUCAGUUGAAUGACCCAUAUUGUAACAAAUGCCACAAGUCUUCACCUGUUGCACAUUACCUACAACAAACUUUUCCACAAGAGAAGUAAGUUUAUCUAAACUUUGUCCAAUAGAAGAAAUAUUUACCUCAUUUACCUUCCUUGAAGUGAGAUCUUGCCUGCUGCCAAAUUGUUGUGCGUUGGCAGCCAUAUUUGAUAUCAGCUCCUUUGCUUGAGUAGGGGUCUUGUUCACCAACACGCCUCCACUAGCAGCAUCUAUCAUACUCCUAUCCAUCAAUGACAGUCCUUCGUAAAAAUAUUGAAUAAGAUGUUGAUCAGAAAUCUGAUGCUGAGGACAGCUGGCACACAAUUGUUUGAAUCGCUCCCAAUACUCAUACAAAGUCUCCCCAGGAAGUUGUCUGAUCCCACAAAUGUCUUUUCUGAUGUUAGCAGCUCUUGAAGCAGGAAAGUAAUUCUCGAGGAAUUGCUUGUUCAAACCAUUCCACGUUGUAAUUGAUCCAGGAGGCAAGUAGUACAACCAGUCUUUAGCUAGUCCAUCUAAAGAGAAAGGAAAAACACGCAGCUUAAUCUGCUCUUCAGUCACGCCUUGUGGUCUCAUACUUGAACACACAACAUGAAACUCCUUAAGAUGUUUAUGAGGAUCUGCACCUGCAAAACCAUGAAACUUGGGUAAUAAAUGAAUAAGACCAGACUUUAAUUCAAAAUUUACCUCCAAGUCUACAUAUUGAAUGCAGAGUGGUUGUUGACUCAAGUCUGGUUCAGCUAACUCUCUAAGAGUUCUUUCUACAGGUGCAGGUCUAUCUAUCAUUUGUUCUUCUGAAUCGCUAGAUGAUUCAACUAAAUCAGGCACUGUAUCUAUUUCAGAAAGCAAAGGCGACGAGGAUCGUUACUUAGCUCGCUUCGUCUGCUGUCUCAGCUGGCGAGCUGUCUUCUCAAUUUCAGGAUCAAACGAAAGUGUACCUGUACGAGAAGAACGAACCAUACACCAAGUAAAACGUAAAAAGGAUUAAAUAAAUGACACCAAUCCCCGACAACGGCGCCAAAAUUUGAUGGUUGUCGAAGCCAACAAAAAUAAAUUCCUACUCUAAAUAAAUUGUGUAUAGUGAUUGAGCAGGGUCGUGUCCACAGAGAUCGGUAUUUAAAUCCUUUUGAAACGUAAAACGUAAAAUGGAAGAAUUGUUGAUAAUAAUAAAAAUCAAAUUAAAAUAACAAGAAUGAAAAUUAAAGUUGUAAUUCAAAUUAGAGAAAGCUCUGGUUGAAGGAAUUAAGUCAGCUUGAUUCGACUACUGAUCAUUGAUUCAAAUAUAGAUUAUUAUUACUUAUGAAUAGACCGGUUAUAGCUACUGAGACCCUCUAAUAGCCAAUCUCACCUUAACUAGUCGAUAACCAAGGUACGACCGUUGGUUAUUUCCCUAAUCAAUAGACAACCCUAGAUACGAUCAUAGGAUUUAAUCAAUUGACAGCCUGAAAAACCAGAGAGACCCAAAUUCUAAUCAACACAUACGAUGAUUAAUUUAAAUUAGAUUGUUUAUUAUCACAACACAACUCUCUGCUAUGUUAUUUGUCACAAACAUUAAAUUUUUCAUACGAUGAAUCCUUUAAUUGACAAUAGAUUAAGUUGAUAAUUAAAUAGUGGCCAAUUACCUAAUUAACAAACAUAAUCAUGAAAAUAAUUCAGAGAAUAAACAAAUACCCAAAAAGCAAUAAAACAAUUAAAGCAUAAAAUAGAUCUCACAGAAGUGAUGAAUCAAAGCUUCAUUAUCCUUCAACCAGAAAAAUAGGUUUAGUUCUUCAUAGAGAGAAGAGAAAAGUUUAGAUCUAGGGUUUCUUUCUCUUCUCUCCAAAAGUCCCCUUUUUCACAAUAGAUUCCUCUCUUAAAUACUCUCUCUCUCUUCUCCUCUAGAAUUCUAUUUAAAAUAAAAUACUAAUAUCUGAAAUAUUAAAUUCGUAAUUACAAAAAUAACCAAAAAUACAAAACACGUUAAACUAAAAACUGUAGGUCCGUAGUUGACAGCACGCGCCCACGCCUUAUCAACAAAGUUCUUCUGACGCUCAUAAUUUCUCCAAGAGAACAAUCAUCUUUAAACAUCAUCUUAUAGCUCAAUUUUAUCACAAAUCAAUAGAAUUGCAUCUACAAAAGUAAAACACAAGUAAAUCAUCAUUAUUAAGUGCAAAACAUCGAUAUUAAGGGAAGUAAACAAUGCAAAACUAGUGCAUAAAUUGCACUCUAACAAUGUCUAUGAUUGUCAAUCUUGCUUUAAGUGUUUCAGUUAAGUGGUUUACCUAACAGGGAAAAAAAUUUAAUGGAAAACUUUAGAGUUCUAACAGAAAUAUAGUUGACUGCAGAUAUAGCUAUUUUGCAGUACAUAAAUUAUGUUGUCCUAUUCUCAAUGUCCUACGACCUAUUUUAUUUUAUAUGGUCAUUCAUUUUUGCGAUGGUUUUUUGUGCUUAUGAGUAUGGAAAUAGUGGGAUUUGGUGUGGCAAACAAAAAUAUACAUAUAAUCAAGUUUCUUAAUCAUGUAUAUUGGUUUUGGGUAUGAAUGUUUUCCUAUUCUAGUUCUAGGCAAAGUUUCUUCAUUUUGGUCUUCAGAUUUCCAGUAGGUUAAGUUAAGCAACUAUCAUAACUAGCUAGCUAGUUAUUGCCUGCCUUGUCGCCAUUACAUUGCAUGGCAUAAGGAAUAGUAACUAGGUGAUUAUUGGUGAUUCGUUGAGUUUAUUAUUGGCCAAACUAACAUAUUCGCCUUUACCCACAACUUAGUUUGAUUAGAUAUUAGAUAAUAAAGAGCCUUAAUCUAUGCAUUGCUUUAUUAUUUUUAUUUGGUUUUUCUUUCAACAAUAUUGUUGAUUUCUUAUAAAAAAUAUUCAUUGGUUUUUAAACACCUAAUCAUUGGCUAUGAUGAAGCUAAUUAAAACGAAGGCUUUGGAUCAAUUUCUUCUAACAACAUACAAAUGAGCAUAACCACCCCCUCCCCCCGAACCCAAAAAAAAAAAAAAAAAAAGGAAGACUUUGCAAGAUUCACAACCAGGUUACAUUUAAUUUAUUAAUUGUGUGUACGUACUAGUUAUUUGUUGAUAGAAUAGGAAGAAGUAUUUUAAUAUGAAUGACUUAAAACUUGUUGCUCAGUAAACAUAAUGUGCAUCAGUGCUAGAAAAUGUAUUUAUUGUUUGUAAUUUUUUAUGGUUUUGCUUAAGAAAUGAAAUGUGAAAAAAUGCUACAUUGUAUUAGGAAUAAAUUGAAGAGAUUUAUGAUUUUUAUGUGUUAUUCAAGUUUCAGAUUCAAUUUUAAACUUUUGAUACAUGCAUUGAAAGCUUAAACUCCUUUAAGAAAUUAUUAAUAGACACAUGUUUUAUUAGUGUCAUCUUUUGGAUGAUAGUGAGGAUCUUAUGUCUAUUAAUAAUUCUUGAAUUAUCUAGGCUUGGACAGUUUGGUAAUGCAUAGUUUUCUAUGGUAGCUAGUGCCUGAAAUUUUUUUCCCACGUAAAAAUGGGUUUUUCAGCAGCUGCUCCUCAUGUUCUCUGGGUGCAUACUAGACAAAUGGGUGUCAUGUGUUGUUUUGGCAUAACACAUAAACACUCAUAUAUCUAUGUCGCGUACUUGAAGAACUAUAGGGAGAUGCUUCCGAAGUUUCUAUAAACGUAGAGGAAAACUUUAGAUACUUAAGAUUGAAGAAACUUAUGCAUUCUUGAGUGGGAUAUAUAGGACCACUUACCUUUUGUAAAUAUGAAGGGAAUGUUGGAUAUAUUGAUGGGAGUGGAGGAGCUGAGUGGGAUGAAUGUAAUCGGUUAUGAUUUUGCUGAGUCGACUUGGUUUUGAGUCUUGUAAUUUUGUUUAUAAAUGGAGUACUAUCUCCAAUGUUGGUUUAUAAAUAUGUUUCAGCUGGCUGACCUAAUUUUUUGUUUCUAGGUAACAGGCUUUAUAUAUCUGUAAUUGAUAGCCAAGUGAAGUUCUCAGCAGUGGGUAACAGGCUUUACAGAAGAAUACUAUAAAUAAUUCUUGAAUUAUCUAUGCUUAUUGACCAUAGAUCAAAACAAUCUCUUCCUUUUCAACCCCAUCUCUGUCAUUGCUCUGCAUCCGUAUACAUAAAGUGAUAUGAGUCGCACUAGAGUUUUUGCUGUGGAGGAUGUUACUAAGUGUAUCAAUUUCUUGCAACCGAAAGCUACAAGUUUUGUUAGGUUCCCAAAAGAUACCGAUGAUGAUGGCAAUAGAAUUAACAGACUUUGACAAUAAUAUACUCUUAGAAUUUCAAGAUACUGAAAAAUGGGGGCAAGUUUGGAGUCUUGUUUGCACAGCUGCCUCAGAUGAUAGUGCCGGUGCAGCUUUAAUUCUUUUAUCAUUGCCAACUUCCCCACAUGUUUCUCUCAGCAUCCUUCCUUCGAAAAUUCCUCUUCGUUGAAUGAAAAAUAAACCAGUGCGAGUAUUUCGAGAUUGUGAAAUCUCUCCAGUACGUUCCAGAUUGGAAAACAAGCUGAGUCAUCUCCGGCAAUCUCUAGUUGUUUAAGACUGCCAAAAAGGUGUUGUGGGAAAUCGGCCUGCAAAAUCAUCUUCACAUCUUUUCCACUUAGUGAUAGUUCCUUCAAGUUGGGUACGAUCUGAUCAUCAUCAAUCAUAAUAACUAAUGAGGUCAAUUGAUGUUCUUUCAAAUGAUUUUGAGUAAUCCAAUCACGCAGUGACUUUAUAGUAUUUAUUUUAUAUUAAUUUUACCCCUAAAAAAAUUGAAUUAGUGAUAAAAUUCAUUAUAUGAUUUUUUUAUAUGUUAGUUUUAGAGGUAAUAAAGAAAUUAGGGAAAAAAACGAAAUUAUUUUAUUGCACGAUAGUAGACUCUUGCUUCUCAGUGCCUUUGCCACUGUAGUCAAGGCAAUGGGCAAACCUCCACACAACCUGGCGACGUCUGUUGCUGUAGAUUCCAACUCACGAUUUUCAACAUCAUCACCGGCCAUCAUCUUAAACAAUCUCCAGGCUUCUUCUUCAUUUAAAUUGUUAAUCAAGAAGUUGUCUUUAGAUCCCAUUUUUAAGAGGACGCCACGAUCUCUUGCUGUCAGCAGUAGUUUGCAGCCUUUAUGAUCUUCUCCAAAAGGAAUUCCAACUGUCUCCAAGUCAAGGUGCUUCCAGAUGUUAUCUAAAACCACAAGGAUCUUCUUCUCAUUUCUCAAUCGCUCAAAUAGUUUACAUGCUCUUCUAGAUUCAACUUCCUCGUGCAACUCCAGGCCCAACUUCUCGGCAAUUUCCUGUUGAAUCCUUUUUAUGUCUGGAAUUUGGGAAACCUCUGAAAAGACCACCAUAUCAAAGAGCUCGUCUUCCAUAGCUUGCCUGGCGACCUUCUUCACCAGUGUCGUCUUUCCAAUGCCGCCCAUGCCGUACACCCCAAUGAUGCUGACACUAACAUCGAUCAAUGCGUUUUUUACAACUGACUUCAUCAACAAAGCUUUUGUGAAUAUGCGUUACAUUACAACUGCGAUAUCCUUUCACUGUAUAUUCAUACAGUGGCAGGCCAUGUGACGUUGUGACCCAUGUGCUAGCUUUCACUAUUCAUAUUAUUUUUUUACACGGUGUUUAACAAAAUCUUCACGUAAAGAUUUCAGACGCGUGAUCCUAAUUCAGUAUGCAUUAUUUAUUUAUAAAAUGAAAAUAAAAAGAUAAAAGGAUGUGACUUAACUUGCUAUCAGUGCGGAUCCAGGACUUAAUAUUAUUUCGGGUUAAAUUUUAUAUUUUAAAAUUUAUAUUUUGAAGUGAACAUAAAAAUUUAUAAGUAGAAAGAAGUAUAUUAAAUGAGGGGAGAUAUGGAGAGCUUUAUCCCUAUGAAUAUGUAUUAUAAACGAAAAUAAUUGUAAGAAAAGAGUAGAAACCAAAAGGCAAUUCAAAUAUCAAAACAUUAUUUUUCAAUUAUGGAAUCCGAUAUUGCAACCUAUAAUAACAUGUAAUUAUAUAAGGAUUAAUAAAUCAAUUAAGAAUUUCAAACUAAAUUAGAUCAGUACAUGUGAUUAAAAUUAAUUAAAGAUUACAAGUAAAACUUUUUUGUUUGAAGUCAAGUACUAAAUUACCAAGCUUAAAUAAAUUUAAAAAAUUAAAAUUCAUUCAUUCUUUCGAAUUAUAAAAGUAUUAUUAAUAAAAAAUUUAGUAAUAAACUAAAUUCAAUUCAACAAAAAGUUAUUUGGAUAUCGUUGUUUCAUUGCCAGUGCACUAACUUUCUUUAUAGAAGUAGAUGUUGAUGAUUCUUCUAUUAAAGUUCCUCAAAAUACCUAAAUUUUAUUUUCUAACUUCUUCUCGUAGUUAAUGUAACUAAUAAAUAGAAUCUAAAAAAUCACAUAAAAUGUUUAUGAAAAUGUUGAUAAUUGUUACUAUUUAUUGUUUUCGUAAGUACUUUUAAUGCUAGUGACGAUGUUAUAUUACAUUGAUUUAUAUUUUUUUUCAAUUAGAAGUUUUUUAAAAUAAAUUAAAGCGAUAAUAAUACUUUAGCUCCUAAUGUUUUCAAUCUAUCCACUAAGUAUAUAAUUUAAUCAUUUUAUAAAAUAAGUCACUAAUUUCAAUUGGAAAUAAUACAAUUUAAUUAGGGAUAUAUUUGAAUAUAAAAUAAUAGCCCAAUUGUUAUACUAAAUUGAUGAAAAUAUAAGGGUAAUUGAGUUAGGGAAAUAUUUGAAUAUAAAGUAAAAACUCUAUUGUUAAACUAAAUUGAUGAAAACAUAAGGAUACUUGAGUUAGGGACAUAUAUGAAAACAAAAUAAAAACUCUAUUUUUAUAAAAAAAUUAUAAGAAAACAAGGUGUAUAAAUGAUUUUUUCUGUGCUAGACCAAGCUACAACCCAGUCUAGCCCAACUGUAGGUCCGCCACUACUUGCUAUUUACAUACAGACAUGUAGCCCUUAUUCUAAUAUCUAUAGGAAAAGACACUUAUACUCCAAGAUUUGAAGAAAUGGUCACGUAGAUCUCUAAGUUUUCAGUAACCAAAAUUUCUUUUUGACUAUAAUACUUUUUGUACAUAGUAAAUAAAAAAUGACUUUAAGAUUUUUUUUAAUAAAUAUAAAUAUAACUUAAAUAGUUUAAUCUGUCUAAUAGACUAAUAAUAUUAGAAUAUUUUUAAUAUAUAAAAUAUUUUUUAAAUAAAAACAUUAUAUUUAUUUUAAUAAUAUAUUUUUAUUUAUCAUAAAAAUAUCAAAUAAAUCAUUGGGGUUAAAUAGAAUUUAAAAUUAAUAAAACACAUCUCAUUAAUAAAAUAUAUCUCAUGUAGUAAUAAUAUUGAAAUUAUUUUAUAUAAUAUUUAAAAAAUUUAUAAAAUUUAUAAAAUUUAUAAAAUUUAUUUUAAUAUUAUGUUCUUAUUUAUUAUAAAAUUUAGUCUAAUAUAAUAUAAGAUUGUUAAGUAUAUAAAUAUUUUCCUAAAUUGAAGUUGUUUUAAAAUGUUAAUAUUUUAUGUUUAUUUCAAUAUUAUAUUUCUAUUUAUUAUAAAACAUAGGAGUCAAUUUUUUUGAGUUAAUAGAGUCAAAUGUAUUAUAGUCGAAAGAGGUAUUGGUAUUCCUUAUUAAAAAUUUAGGGGUCUACAUGACUAUUUGCCAAACCUUAGGUGUAACGUCCUUUUCUCCAAAAUUGAUUCUCUAUAGGUAUUUCAUGAAGGAAAAUGAUAUUUACAAUGAAUCAAACCCCGGACUAGUUAAAAUGCAUUAUUUCAGCUUAAAUAAUGGUAAAUAUUUGUUCAGUCUCUAUAUUUUGAAUUAAGUACCGUUUAGUCCCUCAAGACACCUUUGUCAGUAAGCACAAUAUAAUCCUACCCUUACUUUUUCUUUGAUUUUAUAAUAACAUGCUUGCAACAAUAUUCUUAGAUAUGUUAAUGUAAAGAAAAAUUUAAAUUUAUCAAAUCAGCCUUAAAAGUAAAAUACAAAUUAGUUGUUAUUAUUAUUAAUAAAAUAAUAAAAUAAUAAAAUAAUAAAAUAAUAAUAACAAUAAUUAACAUUAAUUAAAAUAAUAAAGUUAAUAUAUUAUAUAACAAAAAAAACAAUAUUUACAUUUAUCAAAUUUUCAUGUGUUUAAAAAAAAUUAUGUGAUAUUACAUUAUUAUCUUUACACAAUCAAUCAUUUUUAUGAUCAAGUUAGGCUAAUGGAUCAAGCUUUAAAAAAUUUAAAACAAUAGGAGUUAUAUAAAUAAAUAUUUAAAAAAUUUUGUUUUAUGAUAUUAUAAUAAACAGUAAAGAUUUAAGUCUUAAUAACCAAUUGAACACAUCUCAACCGUUGACAGUAGCGGCUCGACCUCUAGGCAACUUAAGCGGUUGUCUAGAGCCCCGCUUUACAUUAAGGUCCUAUGAAAUGAUUAUUUUGUAUAUAAAAGGGAAAAGUGAAUUUAAAAGUCAUUACUAUGCAUUUAAUUUGUUAUUAUUUUGUAAUUAUCUUUUUCUAAAUAAACUAUCAAAUUCCUAUAAAGUUUAUUUAAUGUAGUACUUAGUAGUUUUAAUUCCUACAAAACCGAUAAAUUAAUAGUUUCAAUCCUACAAAUUCUCUAUUUAAUUGUUAGAAUUAAUAUGUUAUAAUUAAAAAGUUUUAUAUUCAUUUUAAACCUCUAUAAAAGCCCCACAUUUUAUUACUUAUCUAUUAAAUUUUUCCUCUAAUAAUCAAGACACGAUAUGUUGUUAGUGUUUGAGAGAAAGAAAGACAGAGAUGGAAAAAAUCAUGCUUCCUCUACUUUCCACUCAAGAAGAAAAAAAAAAAUCUAAUAAUUUUCUCUAUACUCUAUGGCUAUUGGUCAUUACUUAAAUCCUCAAAUAAUUAAUAUAAAUAUAAAGUUAAUUCAUGAUUUCAUCUCAAAUUCCAGAUUUUAUCUUUUUAUUAUUCUCUUAAUUAGUUGUGUUAUUUACUUGUUCUUAUUUUUUUUCAAUAUAUUCUUUUAUUCAUCUACUUUUUUUUGUAUGCUUGUUUUAUCUAUUUUGAAAUAAAAUUAUAUCGAAAAACUUUAGAAAAUAGAAAAAUUAGUUUAAUCUAGAAAAGGAGUAGUAAAAAAGAUGUAAUUUGAGUUGAAGAACAAUAAGUGAAAAUAUUAUAAUUGAAUUAAAAUUUAAUAGAUAACCCUAAUUUUUUUAUAAGAACUAAUUAAAAUCAUUUGCCUAGGGCCCCAAAUAUGGUUGAGUCGGCCCUGACCGUUGAACACUUUAGCUAUUAGAUUCAUCAGUUGAAUUAGAAAAAUAUAAAAUUUGGGGUACCGUGCAACUGUUGCAAGGUAGGCGGACACGUUAUAUUUAAUAUAGAAUAAAUAAACUAAAUAUGUGUAAAGAAUAUAGGUUAUUAACCUUGCAAUACUUCAAAAAAUUAUAAAAUAAAAAAGGUGAAAUUUCAAAAUAAGGAACUGUAAAAAGUAUUAGGUUCUAAAAUUUUAUUAUUUUAAUAUUACAAAACUUUACUUUUUUAUAACAUUUUUGUUUUUAAUAUUAGUUGACAUGUUAGUUUAUUUGUAUAUAAAAUAUGUUAAUUUACCUAUAAAAUACUAAUAUUACUCUUGAAAUUUAAGGAAGCCAUUUUAAUUUUUUAAAAUUUUAAAUGUAGCCCAACAAAGUCAUAGAAAUAUAAAUAAAGAAUAGCAUAAAAGGAAGUUAGUUUAAUUUUUUGAAGAAUACUUCAAAAGCAUUUGAGUUUUAUGUUUCUUGAGAAUUAUACCUUUUUGUUUUUUAGAUAUUUGAGCUUGUGAAUCUUGUUGUAAUGAUAAUUUAUUAUUUAUUCUUGAUUAAAAAUAAUUGAAUAGUAAAUUUAUUGGUUUCUAAUUACUCUUUUAAAUGUAGGGCGAUUGCUUAAUUUUUAUUAUGUUACCCUAAAUUUUUUGAUGAUGGCUAAUCAACCACUGCAAAAGACUCUACCAUGAUUAUUUUUACUUUCUCUACAUCCCUCUAGACCAUCAUCACUCAAAGAAUUAAGAGUCCAUUUGGCAUACUGUAUUAUAUUAUACUGUAUUGCAUUAUUUAAUAUAGGUAUAUUGUAUUAUGUUAUAUUACAUUAGUACUAAAUUAUAAUAAUAUUUGUACAACAUUUGGUAAUUGGUAUUACAUUGUACUGCAUUAAUUUUAUAUUAAUAUUAUACUAACAUUAUUUAAAUUUAUUAUUAAUUAUAUUAAAUUAUUAUUUUUAUAUAAAUAUAAUAUGAUAUAAUAAAAUAAUAUGAUAGUAUAAUUUAAUUUUAUAUUUUUAUUUAUUAUUAUAAUAAAUAAAAAUAUAAUAAAAAUAUAUUUAAUGCUUAAUUAAGGUAAAAUAAUAAUAAUAACAAUAGUAUUACUUUAAACAAAAAAAUCUAUAAAGUUUAAAGAUGAUGAUGAUGAUGUUGACGACAUUAAUAAUAACAUAACAAUUAAAAUAAUAAAACAAAUAAAUUUUAAUGAUAUUAAUAUUAAUAAAAUAAUAAUAACAAUAAUUAAAAUAAUAAAAUUAAUAUAUUUUAAUAAUAGUAAUAAAAAUAAUAUUAAUGACAGUAAUAAAAUUAAUAAAUAAUAAUAAUGACUUAAUUAAAAAUAAUCAUAAUAAUUAAAAUAAUAAAUUUUGAUGAUAAUAAUAAUAAUAUUAUUAUUAUUCUUAUUAAUAUAAUAAUAAUGACAUUAAUAAAUAAUACUAAUAAUAACAGUCAAAUGUUUUUGAAAAACCAUUUUAUCCCAAAAAAAGGGACUUAUAUAUAAAAUUUUGUAACUUCUAAUGUCUAUUCAAUUUUUUCAUAAAAUAUAAGGUAGUGCAGUGUAAUUAAUAAAAAAGACAAAAUUCGGUGGUAUGCUGCAAUUGUUGCAACAUAGUUUCAUCUUUAUUUGUGAUCCUAAAGUUUGAGAUAUGUGAUCCUUAUUCUAUUGUGUCAAUUAUAGUCCAGUCCAAUGCCGCCAUCAUUAUCGAACAGUCGAUAUCCAACACUUGCACGAAGAUUCCAAGAAGUUGUGUGGCUGCCGACUUUUAAAUGCUAAGCCUUAUUGUGUCGAAGAUACACAAAACAGAGCAGUCCAGGUAAUUGCCAAAACUUAGAACUAAACAGUAGCUUAGUCAGAAAAUCAAACAAGUACCAAUAAAAUGACUGAUAAAAAUAUAAAGAAAUCAGUCAAAUCACGAAGAUUGAAGAGUAAAUCAAUGGUUUUAGAUUUUUAUUUUUUUUUUUAGAUAAUAGAUAUUAUUUUGAUGAAUUUUUUAAUAUUAGAAUAAUGUUAGGAAUUCCAAUAGUAGAAUUCUAGCUUAAGACCCAAUUAUUAUGUGUCAUUUUUUUAUUGGAUAAUGAAUUUCAUAACUAAUAAAAUUAAUAUUUCGAUCAUUUAAUAAAUGACUACCAUAUUAGUUGAGACUCAAUUAUUAGGAUCAUUAACAUUGCUCUUAGUAUUAAAUUGGACAUCUUAUCCAAAUCAGAUUAAAAAUCAAAUUAGAUUUUAAGCUUUUAUUCAACAUCUCCUUUUUUUUUUUUUUUUUUGGUCUAUUUGAAGUGAACAAAAUAAAAAUACAUUAGGGUCAACGACUGGGCAAUUGAUAGUCAAGUAUUUUGUUGUUUUUGCUACCUUGAAUUAAAUUUUCUCAAUUAGAUCAACAAGCAUUAAGCUUGAAUUAAAUUAUGCAAGGUUCAUUUCUUUUGUUUGAUGCAAAAAAAGAAAAAAAAGAAAAAAAAAUGUUUACAUUCUUGGCGACUUGAGUAGAAAUAAGCGUUUUGAUAUCAUAAGGUUCAUUCAAUGAGUUCAUUCUUCCCAUUUUGAUCUCUUUUUCUUUCAUAGACAUUUCUUUUUCAUUUAACCCCAUUACAACAUUUCUAAGACCCUUAGAUUUUUGCAUUUAAUUCAUGUUUUAUGGAUUGAGAUGUGAUAUAUGAGCAAGCUCAUGAUAAUAGCAUUCUUUGAUUUGAUUUGAGUGCAUAAAUGAUACCUUAAACACUUUGAGUACAUGGAGUGAAGUUAAUGAGAGGGCUAUUAAAUCUUGUUGCACUUGAAUUUUGAAUGGAUAUUUGAUAACUCUAGGAAAUGAGAGUUAUUACAUCAAUUCUAGACUUGAAUCAAGGUCACUUAGAGAACAAAUAAAGUGUUUUUAUUACAUUUUGGGUACCUUUUUGCAUAAACAUUCAUUUUAGUUGAGUCUAAUAAAUUUUGCUUGAAUCAUAGUAAUUUGUGCUAAAAACAGGUUUUAAAUUGUAGGUUUUAAAUUCGUGAGAGGAUGUUGAGGCAUUAGAAGAGCAAGAGGAGGAAGGAAGUUGGCCACAAAAGAAGUAAAGCACAAUCGGGAAUAAAACAGUAUUGUAGCAGCUGUUAGAGCAACCAGUGCUAUAACAAUCUUGGAGCAAUGCGGGAGAAAACUUAGGCGCGAGUCAGCCACAAAAUCGUGAUCUGCAUGUUUCCUAAUUCAAGCAUAUGCACGCUCAUAGGCUUUGGUUUAACCUAAUUUGCAAUAUAAAAAAGAGGCGUGCAGCACAUAGAAAGGCGGCAAGGAAUUAUCAUAAAAAAUAAUUACAAAGGCAAGAAGAAGGAGAUCAAGAUUAAAGAGUGCUAUUCGGAAACAAAAGGAGAGAGCCGUGCAGAAUUAUUUGCCUUUCAUCGUGCUCAACUUAUAUUUUCUCUUUUUCCUUGAAUUGUUGGGAUGUAUUCCGAGUUCAACAUAUUUGUGUUUAUUUUUCUCAUCCAGAUUAUGAACUAAAUUUACUUGUGGUUGAGUGAAAAAUAAUCCAAUGGGUUCUUGACUAUUCUUUUAUGUUGUUAUGGUAAUGUUGUAGCAUUAUACUCUAGUAGUUUUUAUGAAUACAACUGUUGUUUCGGUUCACCACCCAUUUAAUAGUUUCAGUUAAGAUAGAGCAGCAAAAGGGCAUGUCUUAGCGGACAUUAUUAGAGUAUUACUUGUUCUUAAGUCGAGUUUCCUGGAAUAUGUUAUCUUGAAUCCCAUAAGGGCAAUACUUGAAGUUAAGAUUUGUGACACUCUAGACAUAGGUGUUCACCUUGUAGGGUAGAGAGAUUAAAGGUUAUAAUGCCAUACCAUAAAUAUAUGAGCAACUGGUCAUUGUUAGUAGAUUUAAAAGUAUGAAAUUUCCAACAUGCGAUAGCUGCGGAUGCAGAUUUAUUCUACCCAUUGCUGCAGCACUUAUUGAAACAAUUGGUGCUAAUUUGGUAAACAACAGUCACCCCAUUAGGAGAGUUUGAUCAUUCAACUACUAUAUUUUCAAUUGAAUCUUAGACACAUUUAACUUAGUUUACUUCAUUACAGUAUUGUUUUAUUUUCAUCUCUCAUAAUUAUUAGUUACAGCAGAAUUAUUUGACAAUUGUUUGUUUCGAUCUUUAAUUGAUUUGCACUAUUGUGAUUGUUUUAGCAUUUUGAGUAACAGCAAUCCCUGUGGAGACGAUCUUGAAUACUCAUCACUUUAUUACUUGUUGUGUAUACUUGCACAUUGGCAUUGAUAAUAAUUGCUUAUAGAAAUUAACCAACAAGUUUUUGGCGCCGUUGCUGGGGAUUGAUUGUUUAUUUUUGAAGUGUGAAGUAAAUCUUGAUAGCGCCAAAUCUGAUUUGAUUUAUUCUAUUUAUUGGCAGAUCGGUACAUGCAUGUGUAAAGACAAAUCUGUGGUAUUCUAAUUCGAUCCUGAGAUUGAAAGGACUGUCAGGAGAUUACGAAGAGAACAAAGGAAUUCAGAAAUUGCUUCAAGCAUGAAUAAUUUACAAGAUGCAGGAAAUUUGAAUCCUCACGGGCCCUUACAACCAGUGAACAUUCAAGAAGAGCAGAAUGACCAUGCUAACGGGAGACAGCCAGGCAAUAACAAUAUUAUUUACAUGGCUGAUGACAGAGACAGAGCUAUAAGAGACUAUGUUGUGCUAACUCCUCAAGUUAUAUAUCCUGGCAUCAUCAGACCUGAAGUAGACGCUGCCAAUUUUGAGUUGAAGCCAGUGAUGUUUCAAAUGUUGCAAACUGUUGGGCAUUUUAUUGGAUUACCAAAUGAAGAUCCUCAUCUCCAUCUUAAAUUGUUCUUGGAAGUAAGUGAUGCUUUCAAGAUUGCUGAAGCAACACAAGAUGCCUUAAGGCUGCGGCUUUUCCCUUAUUCCUUAAGAGAUCGAGCAAGAGUAUGGUUAAAUUCGUUACCAUCUGAUUCCAUCACUACAUGGAAUGAAUUGGCUGAUAAAUUCUUAAUGAAAUAUUUCCCACCGACAAAAAAAUGCGAAGUUGAGGAAUGAGAUUACUUCCUUCCAUCAACUUGAAGAUGAAAGUUUGUACGAGGCUUGGGAAAGAUUCAAGGAAUUGCUCAGAAGGUGUCCUCAUCAUGGUAUCCCUUGUUGCAUUCAAUUGGAAACUUUUUACAAUGGGUUGAAUCCAAGUACAAGGUUAAUGGUGGAUGCUUCAGCAAAUGGAGCUCUGUUAUCCAAAUCUUACACUGAAGCCUAUGAAAUUCUGGAAAGAAUUGCCAACAAUAAUUACCAGUGGCCUUCAGCCAGGCAACCAGCAGCAAGAGGAUCAGCAGGGGUACAUAACAUUGAAACAAUUACAGCUUUAUCAGCUCAAGUAACCUCAUUGACUAACAUGGUAAAAGCCAUGACAGCUGCUCCAGCAACAGUAAAGCAAGUUACUGAACUUUCUUGUGUCUACUGUGGUGAAGAACAUGAUUUUGAUAAUUGUCUUGGAAAUCCAGCCUCAGUAAACUAUGUGGGUAACUUCAAUCGACAACCUCAGAACAACCCAUAUUCAAAUACUUACAACCCAAGCUGGAAACAACACCCAAAUUUCUCAUGGAGCAGUCAAAAUCGAAAUGCUCCAGCAUUGAAUGGACUAAGUACAAACACACAACCACUUAGUUUUCAUUAGCAAAGUCAAGGGCAAAAGCAUAUUAGUCAGGAUCCAAUCACUUCACUAGAAACACUGAUUAAGGAGUAUAUUGCAAAGAAUGAAGCAAUUGUGCAAAGUCAAGCUGUAUCUUUAAGAAACCUUGAGAACCAAAUGGGACAACUAGCUACAGCAAUGAGCAGCAGAACUCAAGGAAGCCAACCUAGCAACACAGAAGACCCUAGGAGAGAGGGCAAAAAAGAAGUUACAACACCAGUAGUUACAACUUGCACAAAAUCAAACAAACAAAGUUUAAUAUCCCCUGAAGUUACCCAGCAGUUUAGACAUCCACCACCUUUCCUACAAAGGUUCCAGAAGCAAAAAUAAGACAAGCAGUUCAGCAAAUUCCUGGAAGUGCUGAAAUAAUUGCACAUAAACAUACAUUUUGUGGAAGAUUUGGAGCAAACGCCAAAUUAUGUUAAAUUUCUAAAAGAUAUCUUGGCACGAAAAAGAAGGCUGGGAGAGUUUGAAACUGUUGCUUUAACACAAGAAAGCAGUCAUAUGCUCCAGAGCAAAAUUCCCACAAAAUUGAAAGAUCCAGGGAGUUUUACAAUACCUUGUUCUAUAGGAACUAGAUAUGCUGGCAGAGCACUUUGUGACUUGGGAGCUAGUAUUAAUCUGAUGCCAUUAUCUGUAUUUAAGCAACUGGGAGUAAGGGAGUGCAGACCAACAACAGUCACUCUGCAAUUAGCUGACAGAUCUCAUGCAUACCCUGAAGGAAAGAUAGAGGAUGUAUUGGUGAAGGUUGACAAAUUCAUCUUUCCAGUGGAUUUCAUUGUGUUGGACUUUGAAGCCGACAAAGAGGUACCCAUUAUACUUGGAAGACCUUUUCUAGCAACUGGAAAAACUCUGAUAGAUGUGCAGAAAGGAGAGCUCACCAUGAGAGUGAAUGAUCAGCAAGUCACAUUUAAUGUGCUAGAGGCAAUGAGAAACCCUAGAAGAUUGUAAUUUCCUAAGUGUAGUGGAUCUUGUUGUAGCAGACAGAAUGGACAGAUGCUGCAGUAAUAUACUUGACAAAGUCACCACCUUUGAGGAUGUUGAAGAGGAAGAUGUUGCAGCAAUCCAAACAGAUUGGAUGGACAAACAACAAUCUGAUAGGUACAACAGGUUUAUUGAACACCUGAAUCUUUUAGACAUGGAAGUAAAAACAACUUUACCAUCUAUUGAAUCACCUCAUAAUUUUGAGUUAAAAUUGUUACCUUCACAUUUAAAGUAUGCUUAUCUUGGUCAAAACAACACACUCCCUGUAAUCAUUUCUUCUACUUUGGAUGCAGGUCAAGAACAUAGUUUAGUAGAUUUGCUGGGAAAAUACAGAAGAGCAAUUGGAUGGACCAUGGCAGAUAUAAGGGGGAUAAGCCCAUCCAUCUGUAUGCAUAAAAUCCUAUUAGAGGAUUGUUCCAGCAAUUCGGUGGAACACCAGAGAAGGCUGAAUCCUAUUAUGAAAGAAGUGGUGAAGAAGGAAAUCAUCAAAUGGCUAGAUGCUGGAAUCAUAUACCCAAUAUCAGACAGUUCAUGGGUAAGCCCAGUUCAGUGUGUUCCAAAGAAAAGAGGGAUAAUAGUAAUGGCUAAUGAGAAUAAUGAACUUAUUCCUACAAGGACAGUGACUGGAUGAAGAGUGUGUAUGGAUUACAAGAAGCUUAACAAAGCCACAAGGAAAGACCAUUUCCCACUUCCAUUCAUAGAUCAGAUGUUGGACAGACUUACUGGAAAACAGUACUACUGUUUCUUAGAUGGGUAUUCAGGCUACAACCAGAUUGCUAUAGUUCCAGAGGAUCAAGAGAAGACUACAUUUACUUGUCCUUAUGGAACAUUUGCCUUCAGAAGAAUGCCAUUUGGGCUAUGCAAUGCUCCAGCAACUUUUCAGAUAUGCAUGAUGUCUAUAUUUUCUAAUAUGGUAGAGCAAACUUUGGAAGUUUUCAUGGAUGACUUCUCAGUUUUUGGAGAAACAUACAAUGAUUGUUUACACAACUUGGAAGAAGUUCUUAAAAGAUGUGAGAUGACCAACUUAGUACUCAAUUGGGAAAAGUGCCAUUUCAUGGUGCAAGAAGGAAUAGUGCUGGGUCACAAGAUAUCCAAGGAUGGUAUUGAGGUAAACAAAGCCAAGUUAGAGGUAAUAGAUAAACUGCCACCUCCAACUUCAGCAAAGGGUGUUAGGAGUUUUUUGGGUCAUGCUGGAUUCUACAGAAGAUUCAUUAAGAAUUUCUCCAAUGUAGCUAAACCUCUGUGUUCAUUGCUGGAGCAUAACAAACCAUUUCACUUUGAUACAGAGUGCCUUAAGGCAUUUGGAGAAUUAAAGAAAGCUCUUAUCAUUGCUCCAGUAGUUAUAUCUCCAUAGUGGACUUUACCAUUUGAAUUGAUGUGUGAUGCUAGUGAUCAUUCUGUGGGGGCAGUAUUAGGGCAAAGAAAGGAUAAGGUUUUUCAUUCCAUAUACUAUGCAAGCAAAACGUUCACUCCAACUCAGAUCAAUUACACAACUACAGAGAAAGAGUUGCUAGUAGUAGUUUUACUUUUGACAAAUUCAGAGCUUACCUGGUGGGUACCAAAGUAACUGUUUACACAAACCAUGCAGCCAUCAAAUAUUUAAUUUCAAAGAAGGAUGCCAAACCAAGAUUAAUCAGAUGGAUCUUAUUGCUUCAAGAAUUUGAUCUGGAAAUUAAAGAUAGAAAGGGGACUAAGAAUCAAGUGGCAGACCACUUGUCACGGUUGGAAUCAGACACUAGUACAUUGACAAGGAAGGACAUCACCGAAACUUUUUCUGAUGAACAGUUGUUGGUAAUACAGCAAGCACAGAUGCUGCAGCAGUCAGAAUCUCCAUGGUAUGCAGACUUUGCUAACUACUUAGUAAGUGGGUUGCUACCACCUGAGCUGAAGUUUUAAGAGAAAAAUAAAUUUCUUCAUGAUGUUAGAAGUUAUCAGUGGGAUGACUCACAUUUAUAUAAGCUAUGCUCAGAUCAAGUAAUAAGAAGAUGUGUUGCAGCAGAAGAAAUACCUCAUAUACUGGAGUCAUGUCAUGCUGCAGCAUAUGGAGGAUAUUUUGGUGGUCACAGAGCAACUGCCAAAGUUAUGCAAUCAGGUUAUUAUUGGCCCACUAUCUUUAAAGAUGCUUAUGAAUUUGUUAAAUGUUGUGAUAUGUGUCAAAGGACAGGGAACAUAACUAGCAGACAUGAGAUGCCUUUGACUAACAUAUUGGAAGUGGAAGUUUUUUAUGUUUGGGAAAUAGAUUUCAUGGGACCUUUUCCCCCAUCCUUUGGGAACUUAUAUAUCAUUGUUGCUGUAGAUUAUGUCUCCAAGUGGGUAGAAGCUGCAGCAUUACCUACCAAUGAUGCUAAAACAGUGGUGACUUUUCUUCAAAAAAAUGUUUUCUCUAGGUUUGGCACUCCUAGAGCAAUUAUUAGUGAUGAAGGCACACAUUUUUGCAACAAAAUCUUUGCUGCAGCAAUGAUGAAAUAUGGAGUCAGACACAAGAUAGCAACAGCAUAUCACCCACAAUCCAAUGGUCAGGCUGAAGUGUCCAACAGAGAAAUUAAAAAGAUCUUAGAAAAAGUGGUGAACCCAAAAAGGAAGGAUUGGUCUUUACAUUUGCAUGACUCUCUAUGGGCCUACAGAACAACAUACAAAACUCCACUCGACAUGUCUCCUUACCGAAUUGUUUAUGGCAAAGCAUGUCAUUUGCCACUAGAGCUAGAGUACAAAGCCCAUUGGGCAUUAAAGAAAUUAAAUUAGGAUAUGCAUGCUGCAGCAGGGCAAAGGAAACUUCAACUUUGUGAGCUUGAUGAAUUACGGCUGUUUUCAUAUGACAAUGCAAGAAUCUAUAAAGAGAGAACAAAACACUGGCACGACAAGCAUAUUCAACACAGGAAAUUCACCCCUGGUCAAUUAGUGUUACUCCACAAUACAAGACUAAGAUUAUUUCCAGGAAAGCUCAAGUCAAGAUGGUCUGGCCCGUUUAAGUUGUUAAAAUCUUACCUUCAUGGAGCUGUUGAUCUUCUAGAUGAACAAACAGGCCACGAGUUCAAGGUUAAUGGACACAGGGUUAAGCAUUACAUACAUCCAGCAGCAGAAUGUUCAAAGGAGGUGUUACUCCUUAAAGAACCUAGCUAUUGAACAAAGAAGGAAGGUCAUGCUGAAGGACCUUAAAUCAAGCGCUUCAUGGGAGGCAGCCCAUUGAGGAGAUAGCCACUUCAAACCAAGUUUGAUAGCCUUUGGUUUUGUAGACAGCUUUCUCUCUUUGCCAUCUUAUUUAAUUUCUGUUUUUCUAUGAUUAGCCCUUAUUUUCAUCCAUUUACAUUAUUGCAUUCUUUACUUUCACUUUAAUUUGCUAUAUCUAUUUCUUUUAAUAAAUUUUAGACUUAAUGUUAGUAAGUGUGAUAAUUGAAUUUCAUAUUGACAAGUGAGAGUGAAUGGUGGCAGAAUUCAGAGGUGAAUCACGUGUUAGAAGCUUUUAGUGGGGAGUCUGUAUCCGUUGUUAGAAUAAGCGAAUGGGUGCUGCAGCAGCUAAUUUUACCGUUACAGUAAAUUAAAAGCUGGAGCCUUUCACUUACCGUUGGAGAUAAAAUCGUGACAGAUGGAUGCAUGGACAUGGAUAGAAAAUUGAGGAAACCAAUCUAUGAAAUUAAAGCUUUAAUUUCAUUGGCCGAUAAUUUUGGGGAUAUGGACAUUUAAUUCAAAUAUUUUAUUCCCUCAAUUAUCUCUCGUUACCGUAUUUAUCUUCAAAUUAAAGUCCAUUAUAAAAAAGAAUCACUGUGCUUAGUGCUCUACGCCACUAUUCCCCAUCUCCUUCGCAAAGACAACUCUAAAAACUCUUAAACUCUUUUUCUCUUUUUAUUCUCAGGAACAGUAGCUUCAAUUUGUUAUUGCUACAGCAAUGCCGAGAUACAAGAAAAUAGUCAGUCGCCUCAAAGAUCUAUCACGAUUCCAGAGUUACCACGCUGAAGAAAAAUAUGAAGAAUUCAUAGAGCCACGUCGGAUUCUGGAAGAAAAAAGGGUUUCAAUUCCCAGACCAACUCACGGGAAUUGUGCAAACCAUUCAUAAUGCUAUAGCAAAGCGAGGAUGGUUAGAGUUUUGCAACCACCCUCGCGAUCCUGUGUUGCCUGUAGUCAAAGAAUUUUACGCCAAUUUGGUGUUCGUCUUGACGCUAGAGAUGAACAUGUAAAAAAUGAUGGUGCCUGUACGGCACGUACCAUUGAGAGAGUUGCUGGUGAGAGUGCUGGAACAACCACUGAACCAGCUGCUAUCACUGGAGCAAGACGAGCCAUUGGUUUAGAACAGACUAUCCAGGUACUCAGCAAUAGUAUAACUCAAUGUGUGGAAGCUCAACAGAGGGAAAAUGGUCGAUUUUGGAGCUAUCUACAGCACUUGGAUAACCAACUACACCAAUUUGAUCUGUACAUGAAACGCACUCACUGGAACUUCCCUGAUGCACUGCUCCAGCAGUUCCAUUUUGCCAUAAACACCACAGGUGCUCCAGCAGCAGCCAGUGAAGAAGCCACUCCUUCAGAUGAACCAGCAGAGGACGCUGCCACUGAGCUACAAGCAGCAGUCGACUCAGAAGAGGCUGAACCGUCUGAUCCACCUGAGGACGAAGGUGACAAGUCUGAGACUGAUAGCUCACCCUCAGAGGCAGAGGAUAACUCAGAGAAAGAAAGUGAGGAACCAACCAUCCCAAGCUAGCCCAAAACUAGAAAAAAGCAUAUUAUUCAAGAAGAAGAAGAGGAAGACCUUGAAGAGGAGCUGCCUAUUCCAGUCUUUAAGGGUAAGAGGAAGGAUAAGGGUAAAGCAAAAUUGGCAACCCCUCCAGCCUCUGAAGAUGAAAUGGAGCAAGUCGAUGCUGAGUUGGCUGCUGCAGCAGCCAGAGCUAUGCCUACACCUGAGCAAGCCUAGCAACUACUUGCGGUUAUUGCUGCCAUCACCGCUGAGGGCCAGGCAGCUGAUGCAUUGACUCAAAAGCCUCCACAGCAAACUCCUGACCAGCCUAUCCGCACCAGUCCAAGACAAUCCAGCAAAUGAAAAGGCAGUACGUCUACAGGUACUGCUACAACAACCCCAGCCACCACUCCUCUCACCAGCCCCGCAGCGAAAAAGACAAAGACAUUGCCAGCCACUUCCCCAAAAGCUUCACCAAAGGAUAAGCUGCGCAGUGCGUCCAAGAAGCGCUGAUAGCAUCCUGUCAUGUGCUGCAGUCCCCACCACAGGGGAGUACUCUUUCCUUACUAGUGCAUUAAAAAAAAAAAAUUCAAUUUGUGUGUCAUUGUUAUGUUUGCUUGUGAGGACACAGCAACUCUCAAGUUUGGGGCGGGUUGUGUUCCCAAAUGCAUAUGUUUAUGUUUGUAUGCAUGUGUUUAUGUUUGUGUGGUGUGGAGCUCUAUUAUCUAAUAUUUGUGUAUGGAUUUGAAAGCCUAAUGAAGAUAAAUUGAGUGCUAUUCAAUAUAUAUAUGCCAAGUAGAGAUAGUUAUAGAUGAAAGUGAAAUUCUGUCCCGACACUUAGACUUUGGUUGAAUUGUACGAGACUGUUAGAGCAAAGCCAAAAGAAGAGAAAAGAUCUCAAGUUUGGGGGGGGGGGGUAGAAGCAAGUUUGAAUAACUGUGAUAUCUAUGGAAUACAAUUUGUUCCAAUGACUCAAGUUGCUGAGUAACCAUAUCUGAGUAUGUACCCCAUAUGCAGACUUGUGUUCAAAGGUAGCGAGAGUUAUGAGCAAUGCUGCACCAUAUAUAUAUAUAUAUAUAUAUAAAGAAAUCAUCUGUCUAAGGCAUUGAGUAGUUAGGUCUGUUCAUGAGCCCCAUGUUCAGCCUUGAGUAAAAGAUACUUCUAGAUAAGAUUACCUUACAAUUACUGGUGCAGCAACUCUAAUCUGGGCAUGGUUUGAUUAAUUGGGUGUCAUCAUUACAAUUGAUUGACAUUCACAUGAAAGAUAAAUGUUACAGUGAGGAGGUUAAAUAUUUCCUAGUUUGUCAAUCCUAAAAUAAUCACAGUUGAGUAUGUGAAAGUUAUGAUUACCCCAUUUAUGAAUGAAGUGUUCUCACUGUUGAAAUUCAUGCAAUCCCUUGGUGAUGCUAUAGCAUAUCUAGAAUUCAACCGAAAGAGCACACACACACACUAUGGACAGAAAGAAGCUUAAGUCUAGGACUAAUUUACUAUGGUCAUCUUGCUUGAUUGAGAAUAUGAUCUAAAGGUGGAAGAAUCCUUGCAAAGUUGAUAAAAGAGUUAAAUUUGUGUAAAGUGUUAGUAUGUGUCAUUACUUGAGGACAAGUAAUAGUUUAAGUUUGGGGGUGUGAUAACUCUAGGAAAUGAGAGUUAUUACAUCAAUUCUAGACUUGAAUCAAGGUCACUUAGAGAACAAAUAAGGUGUUUUUAUUACAUUUUGGGUACCUUUUGCAUAAACAUUCAUUUUAGUUGAGUUUAAUAAGUUUUGCUUGAAUCAUAGUAAUUUGUGCUAAAAACAGGUUUUAAAUUGUAGGUUUUAAAUUCGUGAGAGGAUGUUGAGGCAUUAGAAGAGCAAGAGGAGGAAGGAAGUUGGCCACAAAAGAAGUAAAGCACAAUCAGGAAUAAAACAGUGUUGUAGCAGCUGUUAGAGCAACCAGUGCUGUAGCAAUCUGGGAGCAAUGCGGGAGAAAACUUAGGCGCGAGUCAGCCACAAAAUCGUGAUCUGCAUGUUUCCUAAUUCAAGCAUAUGCACGCUCAUGGGCUUUGGUUUAACCUAAUUUACAAUAUAAAAAGGAGGCGUGCACCACAUAGAAAGGCGGCAAGGAAUUAUCAUAAAAAAUAAUUACGAAGGCAAGAAGAAGAAGAUCAAGAUUAAAGAGUGUUAUUCGGAAACAAAAGGAGAGAGUCGUGCAGAAUUAAUAGUUUCAGUUAAGAUAGAGCAGCAAAAGGGCAUGUCUUAGCGGACAUUAUUAGAGUAUUACUUGUUCUUAAGUCGAGUUUCCUGGAUUAGGUUAUCUUGAAUCCCAUAAGGGCAAUACUUGAAGUUAAGAUUUGUGACACUUUAGACAUAGGUGUUCACCUUGUAGGGUAGAGAGAUUAAAGGUUAUAAUGCCAUACCAUAAAUAUAUGAGCAACUGGUCAUUGUUAGUAGAUUUAAAGGUAUGAGAUUUCCAACAUGCGAUAGCUGCGGAUGCAGAUUUAUUCUACCCAUUGCUGCAGCACUUAUUGAAACAACUGGUGCUAAUUUGGUAAACAACAGUCACCCCAUUAGGAGAGUUUGAUCAUUCAACUACUAUAUUCUCAAUUGAAUCUUAGACACAUUUAACUUAGUUUACUUCAUUACAGUAUUGUUUUAUUUUCAUCUCUCAUAAUUAUUAGUUACAGUAGAAUUAUUCGAUAAUUGUUUAUUUCGGUCUUUAAUUGAUUUGCACUAUUGUGAUUGCUUUAGCAUUUUGAGUAACAUCAAUCCCCGUGGAGACGAUCUUGAAUAGUCAUCACUUUAUUACUUGUUGUGUAUACUUGCACAUUGGCAUUGAUAAUAAUUGCUUACAGAAAUUAACCAACAAUAUUCUUGGUGGUUGAUUUUGUUUUUUUAUACUAGCUUAUGAGAUCCUAUGCUUUAAAAUUCUUGUCUCUCGAAUGUUGAUUGAUUUAAAUUCUUGAGGUAUGCUUGCUUAAGAUUAUUUUUGGAUGAGUUGAGAUGAGAAUUGAGUGGAGAUUUGGGAUUAGUCUUGAGUUAUAUGCUUGAGGACAAGCAUUAUCUUGGUGUGGGGGAAUUUGUUAGAGUACAAUUUAUGCACUAGUUUUGCAUUGUUUACCUCCUUUAAUAUCGAUGUUUUGCACUUAAUAAUAGUGAUUUACUUGUGUUUUAUUUUUGUAGGUGCAAUUCGAUUGAUUGGUGCUAAAAUUGAGCUACAAGAUGAUGUUAGAGGAUGAUUGUUUUCCUGGAGAAAUUAUGAGCUUCAGAAGAACUUUGUUGAUAAGGCGUGGGCGCGUGCUGUCAACUAAGGACCUGCAGUUUUUAUUUUAACGUGUUUUGUCUCUUUGUUUAUUUUUGUAAUUUUGAAUUUAAUAUUUAGAUAAUAUUUUAGAUAUUAGUAUUUUAUUUUUGGAAAAACUCUAUAAGAGAAAGGAGACGUGAAAAACAAAGGAGGAUGAGAUUUUUAAAAAAAGAAAAAGAAACCCUAGAUCUAAAUUUUUCUCUUCUCUCUAUGAAGAACUAACCUAUUAUUCUGGUUGAAGGUUAAUAAAGCUUUGAUUCGUCAUUACUGGGAGAUCUUUCUUAUGCUUUAAUUGUUUUAUUACUUUUUGGGUAUUUGUUUAUUCUCUAAAUUAUGGUUAUGAUUAUGUUUGUUAAUUAGAUAAUUGGCCACUAUUUAAUUAUCAACUUAAUCUAUUGUCAAUUAAAAGAUUCAUCGUAUGAAGAUUUUAAUGUUUGUGACAAAUAGCAUAGCAAUGCGUUGUGUUAUGAGAAUAAACAAUCUAAUUUAAAUGAACCAUCGUAUGCGUUUGUUGAUUAGGAUUUGGGUCUCUUUGGUUUUUCAGGUUGUCAAUUGAUUAAACCCUAUGAUCGUAUCUAGGGUUGUCUAUUGAUUAGGGAAAUAACCAAUGGUCGUACCUUGGUUAUCGACUAGUUAAUGAGAGAUUAACUAUUAGAGGGUCUCAGUAGCUAUAAUCGGUCUAUUCAUAAGUAGUAAUGAUUUAUAUUUGAAUCAAUGAUCAGUAGUCGAAUCAAGCUGAGUUAAUUCCUUCAACUAGAGCUUUUCUCAAUUUGAAUUACACAUUUAAUUUGCAUUCUUGUUAUUUUAAUUUGAUUUUUAUUAUUGUCAAAAAUCCCCCCAUUUUGUAUUUUACAUUUUAAAAGGAUUCAAAUAAUUACCGAUCUCUGUGGACACGACCCUGCUCAAUCACUAUACACAAUUUAUUUAGAGUAGGUAUUUAGUUUUGCUGGCUUCGACAACCAUUAAUAUUAAAAAAUAAAUUUAUAUUUAUCAAGUAUAAAAAAUAAAUAGACAAACAAAAAUAAUAUGUUACCUAAAAUAAUGACAAUAUCAAUAUUUAACACUCUAUAAUUUAGUGAUGUGUUGUCCAACUGCCAUACAUUGGUCCCAAACAGAGCCUUAAAUAUCAAAGUCCAAAGUUAUUGUGAUGAUGACUUAUAAUCGCCAAACUUGACAUACGGGUAAUCAUGCAUUAUAAGGUGCUGAUUUCUUACUAUCAGAACCUUAUUUGUCAUCUAUAAAUAAAUAAAUGAUGUGACUUCACGGUUGGCGGGGUCCUUUGUAUCUCCUUUUGCAUCUACUUUUGUUGUUAACAUUACUUUCAAAAGCAGCUCGUUAUGUAUGCAACAUUUCAAAAUUAAUCUAAAAAAAACAAAAAUUAGUUCAGCUGACUAAAUUUGAAAGCAUGGAUUUGCUGUCGAUUAAAAACCGUUUUGUAGGGAAAAUUUUUGGAUUGCAAUUCUCAUAUAAUACAUAGAAUUAUCAUAAUUUAUAAAUUUUAUUUUCGCUUUUCUGUGGUAGUAAGUCAGACUCCUUAGUGACAAUUUAAUUUGAAAAAAUAAAAUCAUAAAUAAGAAUUAUUCGAUAAGAAUUAAAAUAAUUGAUAAAUAUUUGAGACGUGCAAUUUUGGAAGAUUCGAUUUCUAAUAGGAGGGGAAUUUAAAUUUUACAGCCUUUGGUGAGGAAUCCAAAAUGCACAAUUUGAUGAAAAUUAAAUUUCAAUAGAAAUUGAAUUCCCAUAUAUUAGUGAAAACCAAACAACAGAAAAGUGAAAUGAAUUUGAAUUUAUUUCCUUCCUCUCUUCUCCCUCCAACUAAAUACCAUUGAAAUCCAAAGGUAUGGGAUUUGUUUCGGAGUUUAAGAUUGAAAUUAAUCCCAAUUGUUGAUUUGGGACUAGAUAAGAAUUUAUCUUGGAACUCCAAUUCUCCCAAUUAUUUUAGUUGACAAUAUGUUUAACAUUAUUUUUUUAACAUUAUUAAUUGCAUAUUAUUUAAUUGUCAGUAUAUAAUAUUCUUUAAUUUUCUAAUUUAUAGGAUUAGACGCAAAAUUGAUUAUGGCUUUUGAAAUUUAAGUGUUAUGUCAAUUGAAUAGAAAACAUGGAGUAAAAAUUUUGGAUGCUUUUGUUGAUUAUCAAUUUAUGCAUGAAUUUUUGUACAUUUACUUUGGUUUAUUAUUAUUACUUUUAAACAUUUUUAUUAGUUUGGUUUAGGGUCAGUUUGGUAAUCCUGUAGCUUUUACAAUAAUUACAAUUAGCUAUGCUGUAGAAAUUGAUCAAUCGUGAGGAGAAUCAGCUGAACAUUUAGUAAAAUUUAUUUUUAAAAGUACUUUUAGUUUUAAAAACAGUCGUAUGUAUUUCUUAAAUCUUAUUGUUAAACUGGUGCAAGAAUAUAAAUGAUGAAUUGGACAUAAUGCGAAAUAAAAUUUAUUUACAAACAUGUAUAUAAAAUAUUUUUAUUAUGUACAUAUAAUUAUUGAUAACUAAAAUAAAUAUUUUAUAUUAUUAAAUUUUAUUCUCUAUUUUGUUAUCUCAAUAUAAUUGGUAAUAAUAAUAAUCUUUUUAAAGUUAAUGAUUUUAUUUCUUAAUUAAUAAAGAUAAUUUUGGAUUUUUAUUAUAUAAUGAGAAUAUAUAUAUAGAAUUGGAUUAAGUAUAGAAGUGAUUCUCAAAACCAGAUUUUGAAAAACUAUUCAUUCCCUACUUUUCAAAAUCUAAUGUAUGAUGAAAUGAUUUUGCCAAAACUAAUUACUAAAAAAAUUUAUAAAACACUAAGAAUUAACUUUUACUUUUUAAAAUCACUUUUAAGCUUCCCAAAAACAAUCCUAAGGGCCUUUAUUUGGGUGGUGUUGGAACUUGUAACUUUUGGAUCUUUUAGCUUUUAUUGGUUUGACACAACUGUUACACUAAAAAUUAAAUGCAUCUUAAACCCCAAACUUCUUCUUCUUCUUUUUUGAUUGCACAAAAUUAAAAACAAUAGUGAACACAUUCUUUAAUAAACAAUAAGUAAUAACUAAAAUUGCGUUAAAGAAUUUAGUUGAUAUAUAAAUUGAUUUCAAUGUUGUAUAUGCUAAAUUUCUUAAAAGUUUUCUUUCACAAUCUGCUGCAUAGUUUUAUUAGUAUUUUGAAUAAAUAAAAAUAAUUGAUUUAUAUUUUUUUAAAGAAACUUAUUAGGUUCAUGUAAAGAUGUUUUUUUUUUUAUUUUAAAAAAGUGUACAAAGUAAAACUUAAUUUUUUAAAUUUAUUAGAUGAGUGCAUAUAAUAUUUGAGUGUUCAUAGUAAUUUUUAAAGCAUAGAUAGUCGGGCCCUAAUAUUUUUAAUAUACGGAAAUUUUGCUAAUAUGUUAAUGAGAAUUAAAAUGAUAAUUAAGGGAGGCAUUCGAGACAGUCAGGAUAGUUAGGAUGGGACAUCAUUGUGAGCGGUUUGAGAUUGGUCCUAAUUUUGAUCACAAAUAUAUAAACUGGAUGAGUGUAUCCAUACUUACAUUCCAUUUGAUAAUUAAGAUAAAUGUGGAAUUGUCAAAUCCCAAAUCAUCCCAGACCAUUGCCACCAAAGGUACUCUCACUAAUAAUAUCUAAAGAAUAAUCUACAUCUAUUUCAUACUUUUUUUUUAACGGAAAGAGCCCUCAUGUGGCUUGAAAUGUUAUCCUAAAUAAUAUUCAGAAUAUCAUACCAUGAUUGGGUUUGUGACAAACAAAUAUUACAUAGUUGGAAUACGUAGUUACUAGUGUCCCAAUUUAUGCAGUAUCUAUCAUUUAGUGCACAUAUAAAGUAUUAAUCAGCUUAAUUAAUUUAUAAAAUUUAAAUCUAAUUAAUAAGUGACACAUAAAUGCCAAGUGCAAUAUAUGCAAAUCAUGUUUGUCGAUCAUUACAAAACUGGCUCUUGAAAACAAGCAAGAAAGCUUAAUUAAGAACUUAAAACAAAAAGAAUUAGAUCGAGAACAGUCAAGCCUUAUUUUUUCAAGGAUGGAGCUUAUAAAUCUUCAAGUACCAACAUAUGCUUGCCCCAGUUGUUGUUAUUAAAAUUUUAAUAUAUAUAUACACACACACACACACACACACACACAUAAAAAAGUAUGACAUAGCAAAAAUUUGAUGGUACAUAUGUCGGAAUAUACUAGUUCAUGGAUGCAUUUGAUUAUUGUUUCCAUAAAUUUGAACCAAGAAGGAUGACUCGAUAAAAAUUGAUUUUACGGUAUGGUUGAUUUCAAUCUCAUGCACUCAUUUCUUAAGAUAAUCAAAUUUUCUCUGGCAUCUUUUGCAACUGUGGAAAUAUCAAUUAUGAUCAAUCAAAAGGAUUUCAAAAACUUUCAACGAGACAUAUUUAUAAUACAAUAUUGUGAAAAUUACACCAAAAAUUUUAUUUAUUAUAUAUUAUUAUCCAACCAGCACACAAAAAUGAAUUCGUACAAAUCUAAAAUACUUAGCAAUUUUCAAAUAGAAUUUACCAUGUACUACAAGAAAAUAGGGUAUAUGUGACCCCUAAUGUGAAAAUAGGGUAUAUGUGACCCCUAAUAGAAUUUGUUGAACCUAGACCAGACUUAAUAUCCAAUCAAGAAUCUCCAGGAUCUAGCUGAACUCUCUAAUCAAGAUCUAAAGAAUGGUUAAUCAAUUCACAGAAAAGAAUCACCCAGAAACAGUAUGCAAAGAACAACAAAUAUAAGUGGUUCGGCUGAAAGAGCCUACAUCCACUGAAGAACAGACCAACAGCUUUUCACCAUUAACAAAGAACAAGUUACAAGUUUAGAGAUGAAGUUACAAGCAAUACAUUCCCUGAUUUUCCAGUCCUUAAGACUACUUAUACUAGCUUAAAGGCCCUCACAAAGACCCCCUGUCAACCAGCUGUAAUCUAGGUUUGUUAGCUAACAAACCCAGAAUUCUCCCGCCUAUUGUAACUGACUUUAACAGCUUCCAGGACACGUGUUGAAUUCUUACAAACAGCAAGCCCCAAAACGACAUUCUUUCAUGCCGUUCAGAGUAAGUGGAAGCACGUGACAUUUACGUGCUUCACUUAAAGCUUUGGGUGACGACCAAAGUUUGUCAUACAGGCUUGUAUCCUUUACAGCUGACAUGUCGUAUACCAACAUGACCACAAACUGACAUGACGGUUGAUCUUCUGGAAAUCAGUUUAAAGCUCAUACUUUAACAUUCUCCACCUUGAGCUUGAAACUCUCAUGACCUGCUCAUCUUCUCUCCCACCAUCUGUAUUUUAAUUAUCACAGAUGCCAGCCAAAUCCAAACAGAAUUUGAAUUUAGCCCCUGAAAUAGCUUUAGUUAACAUAUCUGCAACAUUGUCAUCUGUAUGGAUUUUCUGAAGCAUCACAGUUGCUUUUGAGACUUCCAGCCUGAUGAAGUGCACCUUAAUGUCAAUGUGUUUGGUUCUUUUAUGGUGAGUUUGAUUCUUACUUAGACAUAUAGCACUUUGGCUAUCACAAUGUAUCACCACAGACCUCUGAUUGACUCCAAGCUCCUUCAACAUACCCUUCAGCCAUAUUGCCUCUUUUAUGGCUUCAGCAUCUUUUAUGGCUUCAGCAGCAGCUGUGUACUUUGCUUCAGUUGUGGACAAAGCCACAACACUUUGUAGUUGUGAUUUCCAGUUUAUUGUGCAGUUGUUGAAUGUGAACAGAUACCCAGUUAGAGACCUUCUUCUAUCCAAGUCUCCUGCAUAAUCAGCAUCCACAUAUCCUACAAUUAAACUGUCAUCUCUUCUCUGUCCCCCAUAUAUCAGACCAUGCCCAGAAGUUCCCCUUAGAUACCUGAGUAUCCACUUUACAGCCUUCCAAUGUUCUUUUUCAGGAUUGGACAUAUACCUACUAACCACACUGACUGCAUGUGCUAUGUCAGGUCUGGUGAGUACCAUAGCAUACAUUAAGCAGCCUACAGAACUUGCAUAAGGAAUUUUCAUCAUUUUAGACUUGUCAGCAUUAGCUUUUGGGCACUGCUGCUCUGAUAAUCUGAAGUGGGCUGGUAAUGGUGUUUGCACUGGUUUGGCAGUAGCCAUGUCAAACUUAUCAAGUACUCUCCUGAUGUAUUCCUCAUGUGUAAGAAACAAGGUGCCAGAUUUCCAAUCUCUGAUUAGUUGCAUUCCAAGUAUUUUCUUAGUUGGUCCCAGAUCCUUCAUCUCAAAUUCACCUUUGAGUUGUUGUUUCAGAACUUUAUUUGUUCCAUGCUCUUACUAGCAAUAAGCAUGUCAUCCACAUAUAGAAUCAGAUAAACCAUUUCCCCUGAUAUCUCUUUGUAAUAAACACAGCAAUCUAGAUUACAUAUUUGAAAACAAAUUUUCAUCAUAAAGCUGUCAAACCUGAGAUACCAUUGUCUUGGAGACUGCUUGAGGCCAUAAAGUGAUUUCUUCAGAAGGCAUACCCAAUCACCAUUUGACUAGUCUUCAAAGCCUUCAGGUUGAGACAUUAUUAUUUGUUCUUCAAGCUCACCAUGUAAAAAUGCAGUCUUAACAUCCAUCUGUUCAAGAUGCAUGCUAUGAACUGCAACCAGUGCUAGGAUCAUUCUUAUUGAGGUAUGCCUAACUACAGGUGAGUAGACUUCUGUAAAAUCUAUCCCUUCCUUCUGUGUGUAGCCUUUGGCAACCAGCCUAGCCUUAUAUCUCAUGGAUUCAAUCCCUGGUAUACCCUGCUCGACCUUGUAAACCCAUUUGCAGCCUACUACCCUUUUGUUUUCUGGUCUUUUUACAAGCUCCCAAGAGUUAUUCUUGUGUAAUGACUCCAUUUCAUCCUUCAUAGCUUUUAUCCACUUGUCUGCAUCUUUUCCUGAAACAGCUUCUCUGAAGGUUUUAGGUUCAUCAUUGUCUAGUUCAUGGGCUGCUGUUAGAGCAUAUGCUAUCAAAUCUGGAUAUGCAAACCUCUUAGGUGUUUUGAUAAUUCUCCUUUGUCUGUCUCUUGCCAGCUGAUAGUCUUGAAUAUCUGUAUAAGUUCCAGAAGUUUCACUAAUAUCUUUAGUUUCUUCUCUCUCCAUGUCUUCAGCUUCAUCAUGGUAGUUCAGAGUUGAUUUACCUUUCAACUCCAUCUUCAAAUGUUGUCCCUGUGAGUCCACUCCUCCUUCUGGUUUAGCAGGAUCUUUUUUAUGUCUUUUCAUCAGCAUCUCUGACUCAUUGAAGACUACAUCUCGGCUAACUAUACACUUUGGUGGCCUCAUUUCAGUGCACCAGAGCUUAUAACCUUUGACACCUUCAGGAUACCCUAGGAAUACACAUUUCAGUGCUCUUGGCUCCAGCUUCCCUUGCUUGACAUGUGCAUAAUCUGGACAACUAAAAAUCUUUAGAUUUGUAUAAUUUGUUGUUCUUCCUGACCACAUCUCUACUGGUGUCUUGAAGUUUAAGGCACUGGAUGGGCUUCUAUUCACUAGAUAAUAUGUUGUCAUCAAAGUUUCAGCCCACAAUGUUUGAGGAAGCUUUGAAUGAAUCAGUAAACAUAUGACCUUAUCCAUCAAAGUCUUGUUCAUUCUUUCUGCUAACCCAUUUUGCUGUGGGGUGUAAUUCACUGUUUUGUGUCUUGCUAUGCCAUUGAGUUUAUAGAAAUCAUCAAACUGUUGAUUGCAGAAUUCAAGCCCAUUAUCAGUCCUCAGUCUCUUAAUCUUCCUACUACUCUGAGUUUCUACCAAUGCUUUCCAUUGUUUAAACCUCUCAAAGACUUCAUCCUUGCCUUUCAAGACAUAAACCCAUACCAUUCUCGAGUAAUCAUCUAUAAAGAAGAGAAAGUAUUUUGCUCCACCUAGAGAGACAGUAUGUGAUGGCCCCUACAGAUCUGAAUGGAUGUAAUCUAGGGUCCCUUUUGUGUUAUGCACUGCAGUUUUGAAACUAGUUCUUGAGGAUUUGCCUAGGACACAUACCUCACAGAACUCCAGAGACCCCAACUUAUCAUCCCCUAAGACUCCCUGUUUUUCUAAAAUUUUUAGCCCCUUCUCACUCAUAUGUCAUAACCUUAGAUGCCAUAUGAGAGUUUUAUCCAAACCCAGACUUGCUGAAAUACUGACAUCUCCAGUUACAGUAGUGCCUUGAAGCACAUAUAAGCCAUUUUGCUUAUUCCCUUUCAUUAUCACUAUAGACCCUCUAACAACCUUCAUUACUCCAGAUUCAACUUUAAUGGAGCAUCCAACCUGAUCUAGAGUGCCUAGAGAUAUUAAAUUCCUCUUUAAAUCAGGAAUAUGCCUUACCUCUCUUAGCUCCCUAAUCAUCCCAUCAAACAUCUUAAAUCUAAUGGUUCCUAACCCAACAACCUUACACAUUGUGUUAUUCCCCAUUAGAACCUCACCUCCAUUAAAAGAAUUAUAAGUAGUAAAAAGAUUUUGAUCAGGGCACAUGUGAUAUGAACAUCCAGAAUCAUGAAUCCACUUACUGUUUGUCUGAGUUUCAGAAGCCAAAAGUACACCAGCUGAGUCAUAGCCCUCAUCCUCGGAUGCAACAGCAGCAUCACCAUUAUUUCCAUGCCCUUCCUUACCCUUGUUCUUUCUGUCUGGACAGUCCCUCUUGAAAUUCCCUUCUUUAUGGUAGUGAAAGCAUUUCAUAUUUUUAUUCUUGGACUUUGACUUGUCUCUUUUCUUCCCUUUGUUGUAUUCUCUCUUUUCAGGUCUUCAUCUUGCCAUCAGACCUUCCCCAGCUUUUGUUUCUGACCUCUUUGUGACUUCUUUAUAACUGAGAGAAUCCUUUACAUCAGCCAUCGAUAUUGACUGCCUUCCAUAGAGCAGUGUAUCUACAAAGUGUUCAUAGGAUGGUGGGAGAGAUGAUAAUAAGAUUAUUGCCUUGUCUUCAUCCUCUAGACUCACAUUUAUAUCUUCAAGAUCCAGGAUGAUCCUGUUAAAGCUAUCAAUGUGAGUUGCCAAAGAACUUCCUUCCUCCAUUUGCAAAGUAUAUGGCCUCUUUUUGGUACAAAGUCUUUUGGUUAGAGACUUCUUGGUAUAUAGGUCUUCAAGCUUUUUCCAGAGGCCUGCAGCAGUAGUUUGAUCUCCCACUUCCCUAAGAACUCCAUCUCCCAGACUCAAGAUUAGAGUGUUAUGAUCUUUAUCCAAAGCAUCUAGCAUUUCUUCAUCAAAAAGCUUGCUGGGUUUCUUUUCAGAUCUUGGAUCACCCAAAGUAUCCUCCAGCCCCUGAUGAACCAACAGAGCUCUCAUCUUGAGCCGCCAUAGAUGGAAGUCAUUUUCUCCAGUGAAUUUUUCUACCUCAAACUUAGAGGUUCUCAUUUCUUGGAUCAAAGAUCAGAGAUAAGGCUCUGAUACCAAUUUGUUGAACCUAGACCAGACUUAAUAUCCAAUCAAGAAUCUCCAGGAUCUAGUUGAACUCUCUAAUCAAGAUCUAAAGAAUGGUUAAUCAAUUCACAGAAAAAAAUCACCCAGAAAUAGUAUGCAAAGAACAACAAAUAUAAGUGGUUCGGCUGAAAGAGCCUACAUCCACUGAAGAACAGAGCAACAGCUUUUCACCAUUAACAAAGAACAAGUUACAAGUUUAGAGACGAAGUUACAAGCAAUACAUUCCCUGAUUUUCCAGUCCUUAAGACUACUUAUACUAGCUUAAAGGCCCUCACAAAGACCCCCUGUCAACCAGCUGUAAUCUAGGUUUGUUAGCUAACAAACCCAGAAUUCUCCUGCCUAUUGUAACUGACUUUAACAGCUUCCAGGACACGUGUUGAAUUCUUACAAACAGCAAGCCCCAAAACGACAUUCUUUCAUGCCGUUCAGAGUAAGUGGAAGCACGUGACAUUUACGUGCUUCACUUAAAGCUUUGGCUGACGACCAAAGUUUAUCAUACAGGCUUGUAUCCUUUACAGCUGACAUGUCGUAUACCAACAUGACCACAAACUAACAUGACGGUUGAUCUUCUGGAAAUCAGUUGAAAGCUCAUACUUUAACAUAUAUCACUAACUUCUAACUUUGUAACCCCGAGUUGCUUUUGUUACCCUUUAUGUGACUGCCACACUGCUGUCACAUAUGUUAUUAACCACGUGACGGUAAAGAGCCGUUCGGUAUACUACUAUUUUACAAUUUUAAAUUUAUUUCCAGUUAGAAAACUAUUCGCUGGACUCCGUGUUACAUAUGCCACCAUCGUAAACCUAACUGGUUGCCGGCGAACGGCGUAAAACACCGGCCAUCUUCUUCUUCAUCGUAUUCUCCCUUCAUCUUUUGUUCGUAUUAUAGCCGUUAUUGUCAAUUUUUGUCCCGCCAGCAAUAUUUUUUUAUUCCUACAAGUUGAAGCACCCGUGCUCUUGUUCCAUUGAUGAGUUUGCUCACUCAAAUUAAUUUUGUUCUGUAGAAUUUACAAAGUUCAAAUGGAUUCAUUUGAAUUUAGCUUUAAUUAUGUAUGUCAAUUAUGUAUUUAGAUUAUGAAUUUAGCCGUUAUUGUCAAUUAUGUAUUUAGAUUUACUUUAAUUUUAUGCUUAAAGCUUCUACAUUGCUGAUUCUAUAUUAAUAAUGUUAUGUUCUAUUUUCAGAAAUUAUAAUACAAAAGUUUUUACAAUGUUGUGCAUCUACAAACUGAAUUGACUUGUAGAAUAAGAGCUUGGAGUAGUGUUAUGUUCUUGAAUAAAUGAAUGUUCAUAUUGUGUAAGAGCAUGUAGAUGUAAAGCAUCAUUACCAUAUCUACAAAGUGCUUUCAUUCUGUUCAGAUGCUCUUCUUGAACUUUGAAAGGUGCCUCGUUCAAGUCCUAGCUAUAACUACUAGUUUUGAUUAAUUAAGUUCCUGUACUAGCUGAAACAGAUUUAUUUAAUUAAUUAAUUGUGUAUGUACUAAUUAUAUUGAAAGUAUAUGAAUUUUUUUUUUAAAACAUGAAUGACUUCUAAAUGACUUAAAAACCUAAAGGAUGUGUGAAAUAAUGCUCAUUUCACUUGAAUGAACCCAUUAAUACUUUUAUGUCUAUGAUUGUCAAUAUUGGCUUAAGCAUUUCAGCUAAGUGGUUUACCUAACAGAGAAAAAAAUUUAAUAGAAAACUUCAGAGUUCUAACAGAAAUAUAGUUCACUAUGCAGAUAUAGUUAUUUUACGGUAUACAAAUCAAGUUGUCCUAAUCUCAAUGUCCUAUGACCGAUUUUAUUUUAUAUAGUCAUUAAUUUUUGCCAUGGUUUUUUGUGUUUAUGAGUAUGAAAUAGUGGGAUUUGGUGUACCUUAGCAUCUUUUGAAAAUUCUCUUUAUGUGUGGCCAACAGAAUAUAAUCAAGUUUCUUAAUCGUGUAUAUUAGUUUUGGGUAUGAAUGUUCCUAUUCUAGUUCUAGGCAAAGCUUCUUCAUUUUGGUCUUCAGAUUUCCAGUAGGUUAAGUUAAUCAACUAUCACAACUGACUAGCUAGUUAUUGUCUGCCUUGGCGCCAUUACCCAGGCCAUUAUAUUGCAUAGCAUAAGGAAUAGUGAUUAGGUGAUUAUUAGUGAUUUGUUGAGCUUAUUAUUGACCAAACAAACAUAUUCGCCUUUGCCCACAACUUAGUUUGAUUAGUUAUUAGACCUUAAAGAGCCUUGAUCUAUUCAUUGGCUUUAUUAUUUUUAUUUGGUUUUUCUUUCAACAAUAUUGUUGAUUUCUUAUAAAAAUAUUCAUUGGUUUUUAAACACCUAAUCAUUGGCUAUAUGAAGCUAAUUAAAACUGAGGCUUUGGAUCAAUUUCUUCUAACAGGAUACAAAUGAGCAUAACCUAUCUCCUCUAAGUAAAUUUUUUUAAUAUCCUUGAUUUGUAAGGAUCUGGAGGCCUGAAAUCCUCUAGAUUUUUUUUAACACUGUCAAUGUUCUUUUUAUUCUGAAAAGGAAAUAAAAGGUUUUAUCUUUCAUACCCUAAUAGUAAGCUGACCUUGUCUUACCCGAGGAUUUGCAAGAUUCAUAGUGCCCCCCCCCCCCCCCCCCCAAAAAAAAAAAAAACACAAAUAGGAAGAUUUUGCAAGAUUCACCACCAGGUUUUUUUUCAUUUAUUAAUUGUGUGUACGUACUAGUUAUAUGUUGAAAGAAUAGGAAGAAGUAUUUCAACAUGAAUGAAUGACUUAAAACUUAUUGCUCAGUAAACAUAAUCUGCAUCAGUGCGAAAAUGUAUUUAUCGGUUGUAUUUUUUAUGGUUUUGCUUAAGAAAUGAUAUGUGAAAUAAUGCUACAUUGUAUCAGGAAUAAAUUGAAGAGAUUUAUGAUAUUUAUGUGUUAUUCAAAUUUCAGAUUCAAUUUUAAAUACGUGCAUUGAAAGCUUAGACUUGUUUAAGAAAUUAUUAAUAGACACAUGUUUUAUUAGUGUCAUCUUUGGAUGAUAGUGAGGUUCAUAUGUCUAUUAAUAAUUCUUGAAUUGUCCAGGCUUGGGCAGUUUGGGAAUGCAUAGUUCUCUCUGGUAGCUAGUAGCUGAAGUUUUUUUCGCAAGUAAAAAUGGGUUUUUCGGUAGCUGCUCCUCGUGUUCUCUGGGUACGUACUAGGUGAAUGGGUGUCAUGUGUUGUUUUGGCAUAACGCAUAAACACUUAUAUAGCUAUGUUGUGUGCUUCGAGAAUUAUAGGGAGAUGGUGCCGAAAUUUUUAUAAACGUAGAAGAAAACUUUAGGUACUUGAGAUUGAAGAAACUUAUGCAUUCUUGAGUGGGAUAUGUAGGAUUACUUACCUUUUGUAAAUAUGAAGGGAAUGUUGGAUAUAUUGAGGAUAGUGUAGGAGCUGAGUUGGAUGAAUGUAAUUGGUCAUGAUUUUGCUGAGCUGACCUUGGUUUUGAGCUUGUAAUUUUGUUUGUAAAUGGAGUGCUAUCUCCAAUGUUGGUUUAUAAAAAUGUUUCAGGACUUGCUGACCUAAUUUUUUUUUUCCUAGGUUACAGGCUUUAUAUAUCUGUAAUUGAUAGCCAAGUGAAGUUCUCAGCACUUGGCGAGGAUAUUUCUUUACAGAAGGUAUUGGAAACUGUUUUUUACAUUAAUUAUUGUUGUAUAUAUACUUUGAUUUUCACAUCUUUUUCUCUGAUUCUUGUGGCUUUGCUUGCUUUCAUAUAUGUAAAUUCUAAUGAAAUUAACCAUAAAAUUGUAAAAUGAUCUUUUUAUUAUAUUGCAAAACCGUGCACACACGAAAAUAUCUUGUUUAGUAGUAGAAAUGAAGAACUAAAAUGAUUUACUUAACUAAUUUUUGUAGCGCAUUAAAAGGAGAUAGUCAUGGACAAGUGUUGGGCUGGUUUGCCAAAUAGAUAUCCAAGUCAUAUACUGAUGGGGUUGAAAAUUUUAUAGAUUUUGCAUUUGAGAAUGUUGUUGAUGAUGAUAUGAUUGGAAUGAUACACUGCAUCACGUAAUCAAAUGUUCAAGUUACACGCAGCAUUGUUAUGGAUUAUCAGUCACUUUCUAGUAUUGCCAACUUGUCUGGGUGGAGUAUUAAAGGUAAAUAAGCAUGUCUUGUUUGCCAACAAAACACUAGAUCUAAUUGGUUGAUACAUAGUAGAAAAUUUUGUCACGUGGGUCACCGUCGAUUUUUACCAACAAAUCAUAGGUUUCGAAAAUAUAGUUUCUUUUGAUAAAACUAGAGAGUAGGGACAAGCACCUUCUUGGUUGUCUGGAACUGAAGUGAAAAAGCAGUUUAAUAUACUUACUGAGUAUAAGAUUGAAGACUUGAAAAGAGAAAUGAUAAGAUUACUUGGAAGAAGAACAGCAUUUUUUUAUGAACUACCGUAUUCAUCAUGAUCUUGUUGUCAUGCACUGCUUUGAUUUUUGUUAUGAACUCAGAUCAAAAGUUUAAUGUGAUCAAAAUUUCUUAAAAAUAGUGAAAACGACUCCUCCUAAUAAUAUGGAAGAUGGCUAUAAAAGAUAAAAGGAAAGGCUUAAAAAGAAAAGCCAUGCCUGUCAAAAAAAAAUAAAAAAAUUGGCAGCGUCAAAUUUAUAACAAAAAUCAAAACGGUUUUGAGAGUGUAUUAAAAUACAUUUAGAGUGGGAGCUGUGUUGUUUUUUGAAGGUAGAAUGAUUGUGAGAUAUUUGUCGACGAAGCCAAAACCAAAGAUGAAGCCCAUAGAGCUCAAAACUCCACCGGAGCAAAUUCAGACAAUUACGAGGGUUAUGUUUGACAUAGUCAAGGAACACAGUCCUCUCACCGUUGCCGAAACUUGGGAAUGCGUCAAGGUGUGUGUAUCUGUUAAAUUGAAUUUCAACCCGUUUGAUCUGUAAUUAUAAUUAAUCCAAUCGAUCUGACAGUGAUCACUAGUAGUUGUUUUACAUUUUCAGCAAGCUGGAGCGAGUGGAUUGACGGCCAAAAGCCACAUGAAGAUUGUGUUGAGAUGGAUGAGGGACAGACAAAAGCUCAGGUUCGUCUGCAAUCACGUGGGCCCUCAUAAGCAAAUCCUGUACACAACUUGGUUCACCAAACCCGACAACUUGAAGCAGCCAAAAUCAGGGAAUGAUGCUUCUAUGUCACAACCCUAGAAAUUUCAAACACGGUGAAGAUGAAGUAAAGCAUAAGUAGAACAAUGAAGAUGGUAGCCCCUCAGCAUGUAAACUUUUCAACAGUAACACAGCUCUUAUUCCAGAGGCUGCACAGAAGAGCGACCUGAGUCCCCUUCAAAACUUUCAAAUUUUUAUCAAGUAAAGCUUUCAAAUUUCUCAACAAAUUGAUUAUUUGUGUGGUUGCCACAUUUUGUGCAACUGCCAUUCGUGUUCAAGUUCAAAUUCCUUGCCUAGUAAGUUAGGGAAGAGAGAUGUGAAGCAAACAGGGAAACAGAACAAACCGGCCAAAUUUAAAAUGACAGAACAGUAAUGAUGGCAAUUAACAAACUAAUAGCAAUAUUACAUUUGAUUCUUUAGCCCAAUUGUUCCUUCUGUCAGCAUUCUUCAAAAGUUUUUGAAAAUUAGAUGUGAAGCAAACAAAAUAAAACAAAUUUAGACAACAGAAGCCCUGUAUUCAGCAUCAUAUAUAUACCUUGAAUACCUAAUAUAAUAAAUUUCACAUCUAAAAUACUAGAAAUUUCAAACAGUACCAGCAAUAGAAUAAUGACAACGACAACAAUAACAGAAAAUUACAAGAUUGCUGAUAAAAUUUCAUUUGCAUGGAUGUAUAACAAAAAUUCUGUGAUUUAAUGUGCGUUCAUGCAUGCAAGUCCUAACGUUCCUGUGAUCACAAAAUGAAACUGAAGAUAAAUCAGAACAACUACCAAACCUCUGACUGAAAGUUCAAAAGAAUUUAUAUUCAAAAUGUCAAAAUAUACUGGAAAUUUAUUGCACAUAUUACAAGAAGCAGUACACACCAAUGGUAAAUUGAUACAUCGUUUUUGAACUUAACAAAGUCAAAUGAAAGAAACACGACGGAGGGUUAAUGUAAAAGUGAAUACCCUCAGCAUGUAAACUUAACUUCAAAGGACGGAGCACAAGUUUCACAGAAAAGUAGCUCUUAUUCCUGAUGCUGCAAACACACAGGAGUGACCUCAAUCUUCUUCAUAACUUGGGAAUUCUGCAAUUAUAGAGCACGACAUUGAGCAUGAACUAGAAAAAAUAUUUAUUUUGUACAAUUUUCAUAUAACUUGACUAACCAAGAUUAAUUUCGUGGUAAUGUAUUGAGUCAUUAAUUCAUAUGUUUUUAAAUAUUUUUAAAAAACUAAUUUCUCAAUUUGAAAUGGCCCAUAAAAAUUAUUCUCAUAUAAAAACUAAAUUUGACAGACCCCUCGAUUAAAGCAGGGGAAAAGGCUUUCCACAUGAAAAUGUUGUUUGUCACUUUGAAUGAUAUUUUGAAGGGAUUUCAUUCUAAAAAUAAAAUACCUGGGACCUCAUUCUUCAAAAUUGACAACUCGCCAGGUAUUAAAAGCGUAUGAGAUCAGUACUGCGACGAGUAAGAAGACGACCCCUCCAACAGCUGAAAACAAAAUUCGCAUUCAUCAAUUUAAAUUAAAAUUCAUAUUAUGAAACUAAAACUAAUGAUUAGUGAAUUUUCGAGGAAUUUAAUAAGAUUCUCAGAUAUAAACGUGAUAACAAAUUCACUCAUCAAUAACAAAUAAUCUAACAGUUAUCCGUACCUUUUCUUGAUGUAAUUGUUGUAUGGUUGUGUUAAGGUCAUUAUUAGACCAACGCAGGUUGUCCUCUCUCUGCCCGUACCGGACGUUUACUCUGACAUGGGUACUUAAUUCUCCUGAAGUGAAAAUCUUCAUCUUGGGACAACCAAUCACAGCAAGAUAUUCCAAAGAUGGGAAUUUGAAGGCGUAAUUGCCAGAGGAGAAGCUUGUGAGACUAUCUAAAUCAAACAGGGACAACGUAGUCAGUUUGCUGAAAACAAUCUCUUCUUUUAAAUUUGCUGUUUCAUCUUCGUCACUUAUUACGACUUCUGUGAUUGCUCUGCAUCCAAAUACACCCAAUGAUACGAGUCGCUCUAGACUUUUUGCUGUGGAGGAUGUUAGUAAGUUCAUCAAUUUCUUGCAAGCACAAGCUUGCAGGCGUGUGAGAUUCUGAAAAGAUACCGAUGAUGAUGGCAAUAGACUUAACAGAUUUUGACAGUAAUAUGCUCUUAGAAUUUCAAGAUGUUGAAAAAUCAAGUCCGGCUGUUUGGAAUCGUGUUUCCACAGUUGCUGCAGAUGAUUAAGUCUGGUCAGGUGUAACAUUUUUAUCAGUGCCAGCUUCCUCGCAUGUGUCUCCAAAUAUCCUUCAUUUGAAAAUACCACUUCGUACGAACAAUCCGACAGGUGGAGAAAUUCCAGAUUGUGAAACCUCUCAAGUAAACCAAGUGGAAAGCAAGCUAAGUCAUCAUCCCCAACCUGUAGUCGUUUGAGACUGCCAAAGAGGUGUUGUGGGAAAUCGCCUUGCAAAAUCAUCGUGAUGUCUUUUCCACUUAAUGCCAGUUCCUCCAAGUUGGGUAAGAUCUGAUCAUCAUCAAGCACAAAUUAUUAACUUAGCACAUUGAUCCCUAAUUCGAGACUGGCAAAAUUCAUUGUUAUAUACACACACAUAUAUAUAUAGUAUUUAUUAAAAUUUCUGGUCUGUGAGUAAGAAACAACAAAGACAACUGACAAAAAAUCUAAAAGUUGGUUUCAUACCUUCUUGAACGAGAAUAGGGGCUGUUGUGCCGGAACACCAAAUUGAUCAUUCUCGUUAUUCUGGGAUAACGUCAUUUUAUCACAAUUACACGCCUCCAAUAUUUUUAGUGCUGGCCAUUCCGAUGUAUGCAUUCCAGGGUAUAAACAUCUAAGUUCUGGUAGACCUUCGAGUUUCAGAGUGGUCACCCGUGGAAAGACAAAAUAAGCGGUCACUUGAUCUGUUCUGUUUUCAGAAAUGAUUUCUUGUAAACUCUUACAUAACCGUAUCUCCAGGUGUUGGAGUUGCUCAAGGCUUUGGAUCGUAGAAGCUGAAAAUAUGUAUUUUAAUUUGUCACAGCCCCACACUAUCAAUCGUGUCAAACUUCGAAGGCAAGGAACCAUGGCCGGAAGUUGAUUGUAAUGCCAAAUCUCGUCGACAUUAAUAGCAUUCAGCUCCAAAGCCUCCAAAUUUGGCAACACUACCUAAAGAUAAUUUUGUCGUUAGAUCCAAUAUCCAUAUAAGAAGUGCUUAUUGAGAGCUUAAUUAGUGAGUGUAUGAGAUUUUUUUUUUUUGCAUUUUCUUUUUCUAAAUGAUUUAAUUUUUUUUCACUUAUGGCAUCAAAUGCAAGUUCAUGAUAGAAUAAAAAAAAAAAUGCAAUAUCCAUAUGAAAAGGACUUGUGUGGUCCAGUUUGGGAUUAUGGAUGCUGAUUAAAUAAGUUGCUCCUGCUGUACGGAUGCAAUAAGUAGUUGAUUAAAAAAGCAGUUAGCUGUUUGGUAAACUGUGUUGUUGCAGUUGCUGUGAGUUUGAAAAGCAAUGUACAUGCGUUUGGUAAAUUUUAUUACAAACGUGUUAUUUUAUCAUAUAAUGACCAAAAUAUAUAUAAGUUUAAAUUUCCGUUUAUUUUUUUUAAGCAUGUUUAAUAAUCUUUAGAUAUGUCAUUUUCUUUUUAAAAUACGUAAAAUUAUAUUAAGUGAAAAAACUUAAUAAUUUGUUACAUAAAAUAUGAUAAAAAUUUAUACUAGUAUAUGAUCCAAAUAAAAUAAAAAAAGUAAUAUGCAUUACUUUCACAUUAAACUUGUUGCAAUAAACACCAUGACUAUAGAAAAUAUAAAUAGAUUGAAUGUUAAAAGCUAUGGUUAUAAAAUUGAUUUUAAAAGUUAUGAUUAAUUUUCAUGUGAAAUUGUUUAUAGUUCAAAAAAAAUUUACAUAAUUACAUGCAAGUCUUUUUUAAUCUUAUUAUAGAAAAUACAAGUAUAAUAUAAAAAAUAUGAACUUACUAAAUCAAAACUUUGAUAUUAGAGAGAAUAUAUAGUAGUUGUGGUGGUAAUAUGAUAUCUAAUAACUUAUAUAUUAGAGUGUAUGGAAAUAUAUGACAUAAUUAUUUUUGUUAAAAUAUUAAUUAAGGUUAUAAUAGAAACUUUAAAAAGAUGUGAUAGCUUAUUUAAUAAGCUGCUUAUGAAAAGUAACUCCCUAUCUGCUUUUAAAAGUUAAUGUCAAAAUAGAGAAAAUUAUAAAAUAAACAGUUUUUACAAAAUUUAACAAAUACUAUUUUUGUCACAGAUUAUGAAAUAGACAGUUUAUUGAGUUUUAACCUCAAUUCCAAACAGGGGCCACAAUAUCCACAUGACAAGCACUUAUUGAGAGCUUAAUUUGUGAAUAUAUGAGAUUUUUUUUUCUUUUUCUAAAUGAUUUAAUUUUUUUGCACAUAUGGCAUCAAAUGCGAGUGCAUGAUAGAAUAAAGGAAAAAAAAAAAAAAAGAAUGCAUUACCCUACGCACCUUCUCGUUGAAAAGCAGAGUUGAAGUAUCCGAACUGAUCUCGUUGGAACUAGCUAUCAAUUCCUCUUGCGACUCUUGUCUGUUUGGUGAUGUGGAAGGAGUCUUCACUUCACGGCAAAACCUUGUAACCUUUGGAAGCGUUCCCAGACUCAAAGAUCUUAGUUGACCAAACUCUAUCGUCUCAUCAACAUCGACAUCAGCUUCUCCUCCAGUUGCAAAAAUCUCUUCCAUGCUGCUGCAAUUGAGAACUGCAAUCCUCUCAAGUCUUGGAAGGCAUUUUGUACUACUAGAGAGCCAGAAGAUAUUACUCAUCUCAUCACAAUUUUCCACUUUUAUGGUUUGGAGUUCAUUGAAGGACUCUAUUGUGAGUCGAUCAAUACAUAUCCUCUCCAUAUUGAUCAAAUUGUGAAGAGUAAGGGACUCCAAAAGAGGAAAGGCGACACAAGGUUCUCUCUCCAUUGAAUCGGCAAUACACAGGAAGUCUGGAUUAUUUUGAACAUGGAGAUGCUUCAAUUGUGAAAAGCCCUCAGUGUCCAAUUCGAAAACAACAUUCUUGAUUCCUUGCAACUUAUCUAAACAUAAGUAUUCAACGUUAUUGAUGCCCUGCAACUUCUCGGAGCAAAUGGCCAUAGAAUCAAGCUUGAGCUUCAAUGUUCUUAAACUCUCAUGAUUACUGAUUGUUAGAGCAGCUCAUUAUGCUGAACAGAAGAAGGUGAAGACUAAGAUGAAGAAAAUACAGAGCAAGUUACAGGGCAAGUGUGUCAGCAGUGCCAGCUCAGCUAACAGCUCAGCAGAUUAGUUAAAGAUGGUUGUAAGCAUGAUGUGCAUUGUACUGAAGUUAGUUAGCUUUGAUUACAGUUAGUCUUUGGAUUAGUUAAAUGAAGUUACCGUGAUUGCAUUGUAUAUAAACAGGUGAUGCUUUGUAAUCAAAAGUUAAGCAAAAUAAAAAUCAAAGUUUGUUAAGGAAAUAUCUCCAGAAUUAUCAAUUCAUUUUCUUAGUAACCAAACAACUUUAUUUCAUUUUUCUUUCAUGGUAUCAGAGCAAGGUUAAUGGCUAGUUCCAGUAGCACAACAUCAAAUCCAAAUCAAAUGAAUAUAAAUCAAUCAUCACAUAUCUCCUUUUCGUUCAGCACUCCAGUCAAAUUGGAUCGAUCAAAUUUCAUGAUUUGGCGAAAGCAAGUUCUUACUACAAUAAGAGGAAAUCGUCUUGAAGAUUUUAUUUCUGGAAAUCAAAUCAUACCAGAACAAUACAUUUCUAAUACAGUAGCUGAUGGAUCAGUACAGAGAAUCACGAAUCCAGCUUACAUCAACUGGCGAGCUCAGGAUCAAACUUUGCUUGGCUGGAUUUUGUCAUCCAUAAGUGAAGGUAUCUUAAAUACUGUUCUUAAUUGCGAAAAUUCAUUUGAAGCAUGGAGAUCAAUUGAAAAACAAUUUGGAGUACAAUCUGAGGCUAGAGUAUUGCAAUUGAGGUAUGAAAUGAAUGUCCUUAGAAAAGAGAAUAUGUCUGUUGAGGAGUACUGUUUAAAAGUAAAAGCUGUUGCUGAUAAGCUUGCUUGUGCUGGUAGCCCUGUGUCUGAGAAAGAUCUGCUAAUGCAAAUUUUGAAUGGCCUAGGACCUGGAUUUCUAGAUCUUGCUUCAAUAAUUACUGCUAAUAGAAUGUCGUAUGAUGAUGCUUAUGCAUUACUCUUAACACAUGAGGCAAGAAUGGAACAAAAUCAUAAUACUAAAGAUCUUUUUAGUGCAAACUAUGGGAUGAUGAAUGCUAACUACUCUCAGUUUAGAGGAAAUAAUAAGAGAGGUGGUUAUAGUGGAUAUCAAGGGCAAUUUAAUGCUGGAAAUAGGAAUCAAAAUGGAGGAAGAGGAAUGUUUUUCAAUUCAUUCUCAAGAGGUUUUCCAGCUGGUGGAUAUACUGGUAAUGCUGGUGGCAGAGGACAGCAAAUGAAUGCAUAUGCUUAUAAACCUGUGCUUAACAACAGGCAUAAUUUCAAUAUGAAUCAUGGCUCAACUUCAAUGUCCAAUGGAAAUGGAUCUGAUGAUAAUGUGCUUAUCUGUCAAAUCUGUCAUAAAGCUGGACAUGCAGCUGAUGUUUGUUGGCACAGACACUUUGAUGGCUAUGCUCCUCAACCCAGACAAUUUGGAAGGGGCAGAGGGCAUAAGUCUGCUUAUAUGGCUAACUUUGAUCCACAAAUUGGCUUUACUUCACAAUUUGAAGAUUCGUUUGCUACAGAAUAUCCUGGUUAUCAUGGGUACCAUCCACCUGAUAUGAAUGCAUCAGUUGCAUCAGUAAGUCAUCACUCAUCUGAUAUGCAUUCUGUACCUGGAGCAGCUUAUAUUGCAAAUUUUGAAGGACCAGCUGAUGAAGGGUGGUAUCUUGAUAGUGGAGCUACGCAUCACAUCACUAACAACAUGGCCAAUAUGCAUAUCAGAGAUCAAUUCAGUGGAGCAGAUCAGCUCAUUAUUGGAAAUGGACAAGGUUUGCCCAUAACUCAUGUUGGUGAUGCAUCCUUUCUCUUUAAAAGUUCCAAUUCUACACACAAACACUCACCUAUAGUACUUAAAGAUAUUCUGUUGGUGCCUUCCAUUACCAAAAAUUUGUUAAGUAUCUCGAAGCUUACCACUGAUAACAACUUGUCUGUUGAAUUUCUUGGAAAUGUUUGUUUUGUGAAGGAUUCUCUGAGGGGACAGGUACUUCUGCAGGGUCUUGCUGAGAAAGGGUUAUACAGGCUGUUAUUGAAAUCAUCAUCAUCCUCUCAGUUAUCAUCAUCUUUUCUUUCUCACAUGUGUUCCAAUAAACCUUUGUCUAUGCUUUCUUGUUGUUGUUUCAAUUCUGUUCCUUCUGGAGUUGUUACAGAAUCUCAGAAAUCAUGUAAUCAAACUGAUGAUUCAUCUUGUAAAACUUCAGUUAAUAAAGCUAUUUUGCUUCAUAGAAAGUUUGGUCAUCCCAAUCAUCAAAUAUUAACUCAUAUACUCAAAACAGCAAAAUCUAUUCAUUUACCUGCAUAUCAAAAGCAACAAAUGCAUCAGCACAUCUGUGAGGCCUGUCAAAUGGGCAAAACACAUAAACUUCAUUUUCCUAUUACUGAAACCAAAACCUCCAAAACUCUAGAACUUAUACACACUGAUUUAUGGGGUCCUUCUCCCAUUAUUUCUAGAGAUGGUUAUCAGUAUUAUAUAAGUUUUGUAGAUGACUACAGCAGGUAUACAUGGAUUUAUCAUUUGAAGCUAAAGUCUGAGGCAUUAGAAGUCUUUAAGCUCUUUAAACUGCAGGUUGAAAAUCAGUUUAGCACAACCAUUAAGAUGAUGCAAUCUGAUUGGUGGGGAGAGUAUAGACCAUUCACUGAGUUUUUAAGCCAAUUUGGUAUCAUCUUUAGACAUCCUUGUCCUUAUACUCAUCAUCAAAAUGGGUUAGUUGAAAGGAAGCAUAGACAUAUUGUUGAAUUGGGUCUGACUCUCUUAGCUCAAGCUCAACUUCCCUUUAAGUUCUGGUGGGAUGCAUUUCAUACUGCUGUAUAUCACAUCAACAGACUUCCAUCUCCUGUUUUGCACCUUUUAACCCCAUAUGAAAAGACAUUCAAACACAAACCUGAUUAUGAUUUUCUCAGAUGUUUUGGGUGUUCUUGUUAUCCUUACUUGAGAGAUUACAAUAAACAUAAAUUUGCCUACCAUUCUAGUAAGUGCAUAUUCAUUGGUUACAGUCCUUCACAUAAGGGCUACAAAUGUUUACACCCUUCAGGUCGAGUCUAUGUGGCAAGACAUGUUACCUUUGAUGAAUCAGUUUUUCCUUAUGCCACUGAGUUUGUUUUUCAUAGUCAUGCUAAAACUGAUUCUCAAAUUUCUCAUUCCCAUACACCACAGCAAAUCCAUCAUAUCUCUUCUUUGCCUGUCAAUAACAGCACUGGUAAUCUGAACUCUGUAAGAUCUGGAAGCAGCAGUUCAAGUCACUCAGAUCAUCUAGAACAGACAGCAACUGAUCAGAAUUCACAACAAGCUACCAUAAAUGACAGGUCACCUUUUCAUACAUGUCCAACAAUUGUUGAAUCUAUACAAAAUAUUCCAGAACCUCCACAUCACUCUUUGCCUAUACAAAGUCACCAUCCUAGCAACACCUCUUUCUAUCCAUAUACACAACCAAAUACACAUCAGAUGAUAACCAGAAGUAAAGCAGGGAUUUUCAAACCCAAAAUUUAUACUGCUGUGCUUACUCACAAGGAACCAGAUACUGUGCAAGAAGCAUUAAAUGAUUCAAAGUGGCUACAAGCUAUGAGGGAGGAAUAUGAUGCCUUGAUUAAGAAUAAUACAUGGACAUUGGUUCCAAGACAAGCUGAUCAGCAUGUGGUUGGAAAUAAAUGGGUGUAUAGAAUCAAAUAUAAUACAGAUGGAAGUAUAGCUAAGUAUAAAGCUAGACUUGUUGCAAAGGGUUUUCAGCAAGUGGCAGGGAUUAACUAUUUUGAGACAUUUAGUCCAGUUGUGAAGUCAGCUACAGUUAGAGUAAUACUUAGCUUGGCAGUGAUGAAUCAGUGGAGAAUAAGGCAAGUGGAUGUCAAUAAUGCCUUUUUGAAUGGAGAGCUAACAGAAGAAGUUUUCAUGUCUCAACCUGAUGGCUUUAUUGAUGCUCAGAGAUCUGAUUUUGUAUGCAAAUUACACAAGUCUCUGUAUGGGCUCAAGCAAGCUCCUAGAGCCUGGUAUGACAAGCUUAAAGGAUGCUUAAUAAGCUGGGGUUUCACUACUACUAGUUCUGACACCUCAUUGUUUGUUAGGAAGAUCAAGACAUCUAUGAUCAUAGUUCUUAUAUAUGUUGAUGACAUACUGAUCACAGGUCCAAACACUGAGGAGCUGGAAGGUUUCAUAACUGAAUUCAGCAAAACUUUUGCUCUAAAGGAUCUGGGAGUGUUAUCUUAUUUCCUUGGAAUUGAGGUAUUAUAUGAUGCAGAUUGUAUGUACUUGUCACAGAGAAAGUAUAUCAGAGAUUUGUUAUCGAAGGUAGAAAUGACUGAAUGUAAGGGCAUUGAUACACCCAUGAGUACUGGCUCUAAACUGCAAAAGAUAGUUCAGGGGGAACUUGGAUACUAUCUUGAAGAUCCAACUCAUUAUAGAAGCAUAGUUGGAGGAAUGCAGUACCUGAUACUUACCAGACCUGAGAUUGCGUUUGCUGUAAACAAGCUCAGUCAGUAUGUAGCUGCACCAACACUACAACAUCUAAUGGCAUGCAAGAGAGUUCUAAGAUAUCUGAAGGCAACUCAAGAUUAUGGUUUAAAAUUUUUCAGAGAAGGAAGCUUAACACUCACUAGUUUUACUGAUGCAGAUUGGGCAUGUGACUUAGAUGAUAGGAAAUCAGUUGGUGCUUAUUGCAUUUAUUUAGGCAAUAAUUUGAUAUCCUGGUCUUCUAAGAAACAAUCAGUGAUAACCAGAUCAAGUGCCGAGAGUGAGUAUAGAGCUUUGGCAUCAGUGAGUGCAGAGCUGACAUGGUUACAAUCCUUAUUUUCUGAGUUGGGAUUAAGUUGCAUAGAAAAGCCAAUCAUAUGGUGUGACAACAUUAGUGCCACUGAACUAGCAAAGAAUCUUGUGUAUCAUUCAAGAACAAAGCAUAUCGAAAUUGAUAUGCACUUCAUUAGGAAUAAGGUUCUUGCUGGUGAGUUGAUUAUUCACUAUGUACCAAGUGAAGAACAGAUUGCAGACAUAAUGACCAAGCCUCUCUCAUUUGUAAGGUUUAACUACUUGAGGUCCAAACUCAAUGUCCAUCUUUGUCCUCUGAGUUUGAGGGGGGCUGUUAGAGCAGCUCAUUAUGCUGAACAGAAGAAGGUGAAGACUAAGAUGAAGAAAAUACAGAGCAAGUUACAGGGCAAGUGUGUCAGCAGUGCCAGCUCAGCUAACAGCUCAGCAGAUUAGUUAAAGAUGGUUGUAAGCAUGAUGUGCAUUGUACUGAAGUUAGUUAGCUUUGAUUACAGUUAGUCUUUGGAUUAGUUAAAUGAAGUUACCGUGAUUGCAUUGUAUAUAAACAGGUGAUGCUUUGUAAUCAAAAGUUAAGCAAAAUAAAAAUCAAAGUUUGUUAAGGAAAUAUCUCCAGAAUUAUCAAUUCAUUUUCUUAGUAACCAAACAACUUUAUUUCAUUUUUCUUUCACUGAUCAUAAAGUGCUGCCGACAUUCAAACCAGUCGUUCCCAAUAACCUUGGUAGAGUCGAAUGAUGCAUCUCCUAUUGAUAUAUCAAACCUUUCCAGCUUUUUGGAAAAAAAGCCAUCCGGUAAAAUGCUAUCGUUUUUAACAUCUAUUUCUAAAGUGGUCAAUCGCCUCAAAUGCAUCAAUUCGUCGAGGGUGGCAUUACUUCUUUCACUAUUGGCUUUUUCAACUUCCCAUUCAACAGGGGAAUUACCCAUAUACAGUUCUUCCAAUCGAGUGAAGCUUGAUAAGAUGUUGGGCAAAAUAAAUUUUAGUUGCAAACAAUCUCUUAAAUCUAGCAGCCUUAACUUAGUCAGUUGACCUAGUUCGUAAGGCAACCGUACAAUAUCAGACCUUAAAAAGCUAAGGAUUUCUAGAUUCUUCAACUUCCCAAUUAUGGCUAUGUCUCCCAACAUGCUUUGUACUAGACACAGUGUUUGAAGAUUUGCUAGAAGAUCGAUUGAAGAUGGCAAUGAAAAUAAUCGCAUUCCUGUCAAAUCCACAACUCGAAGCUUUUUCAUCCCUUUGAAAAAGUUCUCAGGGAUAUUGAGCUCGACAAAAGAGUCUUUGGGAUGAAUAAGUAAAAAUUCAAGUUGCGGACAUUCCAAUUCCUUAGAAACUUCAUGAAUGCUACUAUACAGUAAAGAGAUUGCAGAGCAUUUUUUAAGUGCAUCCUCAUCUGGCCACUCCCACACAACCUCACUUCUCACCAAGAAAACAUGUUGUUCUCGACAUGCAAUUGAAAUGGCAACAUCGCAGACAACAUCAUGCAUAGAAAAUUGUUCAUUACUAUCACCCUCAAGCAAAAAACAACAAUCUCUAAGUUCAUGGAGCAAUGCAUAUAAUUUGUUUCGUGCAUCUACCAUCCUGUUGACUCCUUGAAAUAUGCCCAAACCCAUAGAGUACCUAAACAAGUCUAGAAACCAAAAACUGUUACCUAUUAGACUACAGAGAAGAAAAUUUUUCUUGAGUUGCUCACCUUUUAAAUACUUGAAACUCAGCUCAAUACUUGAAUAAGUCUCUGCAGGCACACCUUCGAAGUUUACCAUUGAAGGCGUUUGGAGUUCUCGCAAGGCAUUCUUCCAUUCAUGCAGAGUCUUGUUUCUCAGUGCCCUUGCCACUGUAGUCAAGGCAAUGGGCAAACCUCCACAUGCCUGGGCUACAUUAAUUGCUAUAGACUUGAACUUACAAUUGUCAACAUCAUCACCAAUCAUUAUCUUAAACAAUCUCCAAGCUUCUUCUUCAUUUAGAUUGCCAAUCAAAAAGUUAUCUUUGGAGCCCAUACUUAAUAGUACAUUAUUAUCUCUUGCUGUGAGCAAUAGUCUACAUCCUUUAUGAUCAUUUCCAAAAGGAAUUCCAAUCGUCUCCAAAUCAAGAUGUUUCCAGAUAUUAUCUAGAAUCACAAGAAUCUUAUUCUCAUUCUUCAAUCGUUCAUACAGCCUGCUGGCUCUUCUAUAUUCAGCUUCAUCGGACAACUCCAGACCUAACUUCUCUGCAAUUUCCCCUUGUAUCUUUUUUAUGUCUGGAGUUUGUGAAACCUCUGAAAAAACCACACGAUCAAACAGCUUCUUUUCCCUGGCUUGCCUAGCAAACUCCUUCACCAGUGUCGUCUUUCCAAUGCCGCCCAUGCCGUACACCCCAAUAAUGCUGACGUUCACAUCAGUCAACACAUUUUGUAUAGACUUCAAAGUAGAAACUCUUGAUUCGAAGGCCUCGUAACCUUUGUUAGACUUAAGCCAUAUCUCCUCCGGAAUGGCACGGUGGGAAACGAUAUCAAACUUCUUAACUUCUUCUCCAAGUUCAACAAGGGCCUUCACCUCUGUCUCUGCUUUCUUGCUAAGCUGAUAGCGGGUCUUCAAAUUAGGACACAAGCCCUUGAGACAGCGCUUAUUUGUUGACUCUUCAUCUUCAACGAAUUUGGCUGCCCGGUCAAUGAUGCCGUUAGCACUAACCAGCCACUUCUCAACCUUCUCUUCAAUCUCUUCCCCUUUUUCUUUCGCCUCUGAAACUCUGCGCUGAAUGCUCGUACGUUCAACCUUCAACUUCUCCAUUUCCGCCUUGAGAUUCUCAAGGUUGGCAUUGUAGUUCCGCUUGCGCAAAUAAACAAGUUGGCGUUCUGUUGGAGGAGCCAAGCAUUUUACAAGUUCCAAAAUGAGAGUAACAAUGAUUUCCAGCAUCUUGAAUCCUGACAACAAUGUAGAAAUGAAGAAGGCCAAAGGACAGUAAGAACAGAGAGACAACGAUACGACAAGCAGUUAUGGAGCUAAAAAUAAAUAACAAACAAACAGAAGCAAAGUGUUUUUCGAAUGAGAAGAAGGAAGCAAGAAAAGGGUUUCUAUUUAGAUUAAGAAUGAAUGUAAAGAAGUGACAAAGAUGUCACAUAAUGUAAUUAAGUACUGAAUCCAAAUCCUAUCCUAAAUGGUUAGAUAAAAAUAAGGGAAUGAAAAGAGUAAUGGUAGAUUAAUUUAUGAGGCCAAUUAACGAAACGACAGAUCUGGUUUCCAUGUUUGUAAUUUAAGUGUAUGAGUACGAGGUGAACCAACUCUUUGUCGAGUCAAGCAAUUAGAAGGAGAAAUUACUAAAACAAGAACCAGCAACUUUUACUCACACAAGAGCUAAUAAUGUAUUGAGAUUGUGCAGAGUAAUACAAAACCUUAAAACUAGUAUAAUAAAUUUGUCAUCAAGUUUUAGCCUUCUUCUUCAACCAAUUACAGCACUAUCUUGAGCUCUGAGUUUCUUUUUUUAAAAUUUUUCAAAAGAUCUUUGUCAUUAGUUUUUCAAUGAUAAAAAUUAUAUUUUUAUCUCAUAAAAUAUAAAAUUUUAAAAAAAUCAAACAUAUAUUAUAGGUUUGUUUGAGAUUAUUUUUAAAGGCUCAAAAGUCACUUUUUAAAGUUAAAUGUUAAUUUUGGUAUUUGGUAAAAUUUUUAGAAAUCACCUUUGGUAAAAUCACUUAUCCCACAACAAAUUUCGGAAAGCAAAAAAGGAAUAGUUUGUCAAAAUCUAAUUUUGAUAACCAGUUUUAUACUUAAUAUAAUUCUAUAUACAACCUUAUAUAUAUUAUAAAAAAAAAAUAUCCUUAUUAUUUAGGAAAUAAAAUUAUUAAUUUUAAAGAUAUUUUAACAAUUACAUUGAGAUAACAAAAUAAAAAUAAAAUUAAUAAUAUAAAAUAUCUAUUUCUGUUAUCAAUUAUUAUAUAUACAAGAUAAAAAAAAUAUGUUAUAUACAUGUUUAUAAAUGUAUAAAUAAAUUUUAUCUAACAUUAUGUUCAAUUAAGUCAUUUACAUUAAUAGCACUUUUACAAGUAAAUUUUCCUAAAUGUUUAACUGAUUAUCUUCACAGUGAUUAUUUCCACAACAUAACUACCAGAAAUUAUUGUAAAAGAUACAACAUUACCAAAAAAAUAUUGAGGUACAUUUUAAUUAAGUAAUUGACUUAAUUAUGAAUCAAUUUAUUAUUUUCAUCUGUGUUAUCUAAACCAGCUCAUUAAUGAGAUCACUCUUUUUCUUAAAUAAAAUAUUCCUGCCAAACAAUUGUUGCAAAAUUUCAAAUAUAAAUUACAAACAGCAAAAUUUUCUAAAGUCAUAACAAUUAUUUAUGUUUUGAAGGGUCCAGCUAGCUUGCAACCGUGAUUUGGUACCCCAUUUUUUGUCUUUUUGUGAUCCAACCAUUAGAUCCAACCCAAAAGUUGUAAAAGCUAUUCCAACGGCAAGGAUGCAAUUACUUAGUUAUUAACGCUGAAGCCCCUCUUGUUUCAUAAAAAAAAGAAAAGGUUAAAUUUCAAGAUUUUGACACAUAAGUCCAUCAAAAUAUUUUAUGAUUUUUAUAUGAGUCCAGGUAAUUUAAUAAAUGAAUAUAUUUAGAUAUACAAAAAUAUGGAUGGAUUAUUUUAACUUGCUAAAAUACUCCCCACAUCCAUUUAUUUAAAAUAUCAAUUACAAAAAAUCCCAUUUUUUAGUAUAAUUUUUUUAAAAAUAAAAUACCCAUUUAAUGUUUUACCAUUUAAGAUAGUGUUACUUAUAAGGAUAAAUAAUUAUUUUAACUAAAUAAAUGAAACUUAACUUUUAUUUCUAUAAAUUUGCUCAACAUCAUAUAACCUUAUAAUUGUUAGCAUAAGAUAUAAAUUUAGUCUAAAAAAUUUAUUCAAAGGGUCCCCUUAGGGCAAAAAAUUAAUUAUCAUAUGAUAAUUUGGUUGGCACAAACUCUAUUAUUCUUAAUUUACUUAUCCAUGCCAAACACUAUAUUGGAAUUAAAUUUUAGUAAAAUAAACAUAUGUCAACAUCUUUAACCGCAUUCAACUGACCCUAAUUGUUUAGAUUUUGUUAUAGAGAGCAAGAUAUAGUUCUUUUCUUAUUAUAGUAGUAAAAAUAAAUAAAAAUAAACACAAUAGAUUUCUUUUAAGAGAAUGCAAGCAUUAUUUUUAUGAGAUUUUGUGUUCAAGAAAUUAAUCUAAUUAUGUGGUUAGAAGACUCUCUAUUUUGUGAUAUUUUAGAAGAAUUAUAUGUUGGAUAAAUGAAUAAAUUAAGAUCAAAGCAAAACAAAAAUGAUUGAGAAGAAAACCGAGAGAGAAUAAUUUUUUAAAUUUUAAAAUUUUCAUUUUUUAAUUGGGGUUUAUUUUGUAAAAUUAUUGCAAUUUAUAGUUUUUAAUAUUACCAAAAACAGUAGAGAUUGCUAAAGAAAAUGCCAAACAAAUUUUUUAGAAUUAUAAAAUUAUUAUAUUUUAAUUAGGGCUUGUUGUGUAAAAUUUUUAAAAUUUAUAGUUUUUAUUAUUUACCAAAAACAAUGAGGAUUGUUAAAGAAAAUGUCAAAAUUGGGUGUUUGGUAUAACGGAGGCAAAGUAGUUUCGUCCUGUUUUGAAUACAUGUAACUAAACCACAUUGAAAGUUGUCAAAACAGGAGGACCUAAUGUUAGUAAAAUUAUUUUUCAAGCAAAUGCAGUGACGAAUUUGGUUUCAUGUUUCACCCUCGAUAACUUAAUUUUCAUAUCUAACAAAUCAUCCAUAUUAUUAACAAUAUCAUCACCAACCAUAAUCUACCUAAACAUAAACUAAACAUAACACAUACAUAUAACUAUAUACAUACCGAAUCAGGAAAACAAUGAGAGCUACACGUAUCCGGCUCCACAAUUCCUUGUUGAUACCCUUGUGCUUCUAAAAUUAUCAACCAAUUAUAAAAAUUAGCUUAGGCGCAACUUUACCCCUUUUUUUUGGAAAACUUAACUAUAAAUAAAGUAUACAAAUCUCUAAAUUAACUUUUUUCCCAUGAAAUUCAGCAUAAAUAGAAAUAGAAUUAUAGAAAUCUUACUUCCUUUUAUGAGAAAUCCAACUUAUAUAUUUGAGACCUCUCUCUCUAAGCACGCGCUUCCUCUCUCUGUAUACUUUCCACCUUUAAAUUCUCCUCAUUAAAUCUGUCUAAAUGAAUUUAGCAGUCUCCCAGUUUCUUUAGCAUUUUUCUCCGUGAAAAUAAGUGAAAAGCGAAAGUGAUUUGAUUAUUUUAAUGUAUGACAGAUCUGGUUUCCCAUCUCCGUAAUUUAAGUGUAUCAAAUUGUCGAGUCAGUCAAAUAUAAAAGACAAAUUACUAAACCAAGCAGAGCCAAAAAAAAAAAAAAAUUCCAAUUAAAUAAUCAUCAAGUCUUUUUCAAUUAAAAUAGGGAGUGCAGAACAACUGUCGAGAGAUAAUCAUUGUUUAUGGAGCCAUAUUAUAUUUUCGAUUAAAAUAUUUGCGCGUGAACAAUUGGCAGAAUUCGUAUAAAUUGUUGUAAGGUCUAUUAUAAUUAACAAGCGGAAUGGCCAAUGGAUGAAGAACCACUGUAAUUUCGUUUAUGAAUUUAAAAUGCUAAAGAAACUGGACAUCAACGCUAAAUGUUAGCCUGCGGUCCUUGCCUCAGUUUCUUUCAGGCGUUACUCUGGGUAGUUGAUAUACUGACCGUCCCUUUAUCAAUUAAUAAUCGAAAUAGGUUAAAAUAUGAAUGGAUUGGAAUGGUAUGACUUGGAAAUGGGAUGACAAUCAGAUUAAUUUAUUCAUUUAAACUGAGAAAUUAGAAUCAAAAUAAAUUAUAUUGUUAUUGAUAUAUUUACUUUAUCUUAAAAUUAUGAUAAGUUGUUACGAGUUAUUAAUAUGCCUUAUUUUUUAUUAUAAUAAUUAUUAUUUAUUAUAACAUUUUUCAUAUAAUAAUAAUAAUAAUAAUAAUAAUAAUUAAUAUUGAAAAAAUUUUAUUGUUAAUAAUAAAGUAUCAUUAGAGUACUAGACAAGCUCACCACGUCUAAGCUAAGUGAAGAAAUAGACUUCAUCAACAAAGCUUUUGUGAAUAUGCGUUACAUUACAACUGCGAUAUCCUUUCACUGUAUAUUCAUACAGUGGCAGGCCAUGUGACAUUGUGACCCAUGUGCUAGCUUUCACUAGUCAUAUUAUUUUUUUACACGGUGUUUAACAAAAUCUUCACGUAAAGAUUUCAGACGCGUGAUCCUAAUUCAAUAUGCAUUAUUUAUUUAUUUAUAAAAUGAAAAUAAAAAGAUAAAAGGAUGUGACUUAACUUGCUAUCAGUGCGGAUCCAGGACUUAAUAUUAUUUCGGGUUAAAUUUUAAAAUUUAUAUUUUGAAGUGAACAUAAAAAUUUAUAAAUAAAAAGAAGUAUAUUAAAUGAGGGGAGACAUGGAGAGCUUUAUCCCUAUGAAUAUGUAUUAUAAACAAAAAUAAUUAUAAGAAAAGAAUAGAAACCAAAAGGCAAUUCAAAUAUCAAAACACUAUUUUUCAAUUAUGAAAUCCGACAUUGCAACCUAAUAACAUGUAAUUAUAUAAGGAUUAAUAAAUCAAUUAAGAAUUUCAAACUAAAUUAGAUCAGUACAUGUAAUUAAAAUUAAUUAAAGAUUUCAAGUAAAACUUUUAUGUUUGAAGUCAAGUACUAAAUUACCAAGCUUAAAUAAAUUUAAAAAAUUAAAAUUCAUUCAUUCUUUCGAAUUAUAAAAGUAUCAUUAGUCAAAAGUUUUAGUAAUAAACUAAACUCAAUUCAACAAAAAGUUAUUUGGAUAUCGUUGUUUCAUUGCCAGUGCACUGACUUUCUUUAUAGAAGUAUAUGUUAAUGAUUCUUCUAUUAAAGCUCUUCAAAAUACCUAAAUUUUAUUUUCUAACUUCUUCUCGUAGUUAAUGUAACUAAUAAAUAGAAUCUGAAAAUUCACAUAAAAUAUUUAUGAAAAUGUUGAUAAUUGUUACUAUAUGUUGUUUUCGUAAGUACUUUUAAUGCUAGUAACGAUGUUAUAUUACAUUGAUUUAUAUUUUUUUCAAUUAGAAGUUUUUUAAAAUAAAUUAAAGCAAUAAUAAUAUUUUAGCUCCCUAAUGUUUUCAAUCUAUCCAAUAAGUAUAUAAUUUAAUCAUUUUAUAAAAUAAGUCACUAAUUUCAAUUGGAAAUAAUACAAUUGAAUUAGGGACAUAUUUGAAUAUAAAAUAAUAGCUCAAUUGUUAUACUAAAUUGAUGAAAAUAUAAGGGUAAUUGAGUUAGGAAAAUAUUUGAAUAUAAAGUAAAAACUUUAUUGUUAAACUAAAUUGAUGAAAACAUAAGAAUACUUGAGUUAGGGACAUAUAUGAAAACAAAAUAACAACUCUAUUAUUAUAAAAAAUUUAUAAGAAAACAAGGUGUAUAAAUGAUUUUUUCUGUUCUAGACCAAGCUACAGCCUAGUCUAGCCAGCUGUAGGUCUCCCACUACUUGCUAUUUACAUACAGACAUGUGGCCCUUAUUCUAAUAUCUAUAGGAAAAGACACCUAUACUCCAAGAUUUGAAGAAAGAUUUGAAGAAAUAGUCACGUAGAUCUCUAAGUUUUCAGUAACCACAAUUUCUCUUUGACUAUAAUAUUUUUUGUACUUAGAAAAAAAAAUGACUUUAGAUUUUUUUAAUAAAUAUAAAUAUAAGUUAAAUAGUUUAAUUUGUCUAAUAGACUAAUAAUAUUAGAAUAUUUUUAAUAUAUAAAAUAAUUUUUAAAUAAAAAAUAUUAUAUUUAUUUUAAUAAUAUAUUUUUAUUUAUCAUAAAAAUAUUAAAUAAAUCUUUGGGGUUAAAUAGAAUUUAAAAUUAAUAAAACACAUCUCAUUAAUAAAAUAUAUCUCAUGUACUAAUAAUAUUGAAAUUAUUUUAAUAUAAAAUUUAUUUUAAAAUAAAAAUAAAUUUAGAAUAUUGAAAAAUUUUAUAAAAUUUAUUUUAAUAUUAUGUUCUUAUUUAUUAUAAAAUUUAGUCUAAUAUAAUGUAAGAUUGUAAAGUAUAAAAAUAUUUUCCUAAAUUGAAGUUGUUUUAAAAUGUUAAUAUUUUAUGUUUAUUUCAAUAUUAUAUUUCUAUUUAUUAUAAAUCAUAGGAGUCAAUUUUUUUCAGUUAAUAGAAUCAAAGGGUAUUAUAGUCAAAAGAGGUAUUGGUAUUCCUUAUUAAAAAUUUAGGCGUCUACAUGACUAUUUCCCAAACCUUAGGGUGUAACUUUCUUUUCUCCAAAAUUUAUGAUUCUCUGUAGGUAUUUCAUGAAGGAAAACGAUAUUUACACUGAAUCAAAUCCCGAACUAAUUAAAAUGCACUAUUUCAGCUUAAAUAAUGGUAAAUAUUUGUUUAGUCUCUAUAUUUUGAAUUAAGUACCGUUUAGUCCCUCAAGACACCUUUUUCAGUAAGCACAAUAUAAUCCUACCCUUACUUUUUCUUUGAUUCUAUAAUAACAUGCUUGCAACAAUAUUUUUAGAUAUGUUAAUGUAAAGAAAAAUUUAAAUUUAUCAAAUCAGCCUUAAAAGAAAAAUACAAAUUAGUUGUUAUUAUUAUUAAUAAAAUAAUAAAAUAAUAAAAUAAUAAUAACAAUAAUUAACAUUAAUUAAAAUAAUAAAGUUAAUAUAUUAUAUAAAAAAUAAUAUUUACAUUUAUCAAUUUUUCAUGUGUUCAAAAUUUUUUAUGUGAUAUUACAUUAUUAUCUUUACACCAUCAAUCAUUUUUAUGAUCAAGUUAGGCUAAUGGAUCAAACUUUAAAAAAUUUAAAACAAUAGGAGUUAUAUAAAUAAAUAUUUAAAAAAUUUUGUUUUUAUGAUAUUAUAAUAAACGGUAGAGACUUAAGUGUUAAUAACCAAUUGAACACGUUGAACACUUUAGCUAUUAGAUCUGGCUAAAUUAGAAAAAGACAAAAUUUAGGGUACCGUGCAACUGUUGCAAGGUAGGCGGACCCGUUAUAUUUAAUAUAGAAUAAAUAAACUAAAUAUGUGUAAAGAAUCUAGGUUAGUAACCUUGCAAUACUUCAGAAAAUUAUAAAAUACAAAAGGUGAAAUUUCAAAAUAAGGAAUUGUAAAAAGUGUUAGGUUCUAAAAUUUUAUUAUUUUAAUAUUACAAAAAUUUACUUUUUUAUUACAUUUUUAUUUUUAAUAUUAGUUGACAUUUUAGUUUAUUUGUAUAUAAUAUAUGUUAAUUUACCUAUAAAAUACUAAUAUUACUCUUGAAAUUUAAAGAAGUCAUUUUAAUUUUUAAAAAUUUUAAAUGUAGCCCAACAAAGUCAUAGAAAUAUAAAUAAAGAAUAACAUAAAAGGAAGUUAAUUUAAUUUUUUUAAGAAUAUUUCAAAAGCAUUUGAGUUUUAUGUUUCUUGAGAAUUAUACCAUUUUUUUUUAGAUAUUUGAGCUUGUGAAACUUGUUGUAAUGAUAAUUUAUUAUUUAUUCUUGAUUAAAAAUAAUUGAAUAGUAAAUUUAUUGGCUUCUAAUUACUCUUUUAAAUGUAGGGUGGUUGCUUAAUUUUUAUUAUGUUUCCUUAAACUUUUUGAUGAUGGCUAAUCAACCAUUGCAAAAGACUCUACCUGAUUAUUGUUUCCUUAAACUUUUUGAUGAUGGCUAAUCAACCAUUGCAAAAGACUCUAGCAUGAUUAUUUUUACUUUCUCUACAUCCCUCUAGACCAUCAUCACUCAAAGAAUUAAGGGUUCACUUGGCAUACUGUAUUAUACUAUACUGUAUUGCAUUAUUUAAUAUGGGUAUAUUGUAUUAUGUUAUAUUACAUUAGUAAUAAAUUAUAAUAAUAUUUGUACAACAUUUGGUAAUUGGUAUUACAUUGUACUGCAUUAAUUUUAUAUUAAUAUUAAACUAACAUUAUUUAAAUUUAUUAUUAAUUAUAUUAAAUUAUUAUUUUUAUAUUAAUUAUUUUUAUAUAAAUAUAAUAUGAUAUAAUAAAAUAAUAUGAUAGUAUAAUUUACUUUUAUGUUUUUAUUUAUUAUAAUAAAAAUAAAAAUAUAUUUAAUGCUCAAUUAAGGUAAAAUAAUAAUAAUAACAAUAGUAUUACUUAAAAAAAAAUCUAUAAAGUUUAAUGAUGAUCAUGAUGUUGACGACAUUAAUAAUAACAUAACAAUUAAAAUAAUAAAACUAAUAAAUUUUAAUAAUGUUAAUAUUAAUAAAAUAAUAAUAACAAUAAUUAACAUUAAUUAAAAUAAUAAAGUUAAUAUAUUUUAAUAAUAGUAAUAAAAUUAAUAUUAAUGACAGUAAUAAAAUUAAUAAAUAAUAAUAUGACUUAAUUAAAAUAAUUAUAACAAUUAAAAUCAUAAAUUUUAACAAUAAUAAUAAUAAUAAUAAUAUUAUUAUUAUUAAUAUAAUAAUAAUGACAUUAAUAAAUAAUACUAAUAAUAACAUUCAAAUUUUUUUUAAAGCUAUUUUAUCCCAAAAAAGGGACUUAUAUAUAAAAUUUUGUAAAUUCUAGUGUCUAUUCAAAAUUUUCAUAAAAUAUAAGAUAGUGCAGUGUAAUUAAUAAAAAAAAGACAAAAUGAUAUGCUGCAACCGUUGCAACAUAUUUUCAUCCUUGUUUGUGAUCCUUAAUCAAUAAAAUAUCUGACAAUAUCUUCGCCAAAAGUUUAAGACAUGUGAUCCUUAUUCCACAGCGUCAAUGAAACUCCAGUCAAAUGCUGCCAUCAUUAUUGAACAGUCGAUAUCCAGCACGUGCACGAAGAUUCCAAGAAGUUGCAUGGCUAUCGACUUUUAGAUGCUAAGCCUCAUUGCGUUGAUGAUACACAAAACAGACGGUCAAGGUAAUUGCCAAAACUUAGAACUAAACAGUAGCUUAGUCAGAAAAUCAAACGCCAGUACCGGUAAAAUGACCGAUAAAAAUAUAAGGACAUAAAAAUUUUAAAGUUUUACUUUAUUGCUUUUUUAAUCUUAUUACUAUUUCUCCUUGCACUUCUAAAGAAACCAAAGCUUUAAAAGAAAUCAGCCAAAUCACAAAGAUUGAAGAGUAAAUCUAUGGUUUUAAAUUUUUAUUUUAUUUUUUUAGAUAAUAGAUAUUAUUUUGAUGAAUUUUUUAAUAUUAGAAUAAUGUUAGGAAUUCUAACAGUAGAAUUCUAACUUGGAACCCAAUUGAUAUGUGUCAUUUUUUCAUUGGAUAAUGAAUUUCAUCACUAGUAAAAUUAAUAUUUGGAUCAUCUAAUAAAUGACUACCAUAUCAAUUGGGACUCAAUUAUUGGGAUCCUUAAAAUUGCUCUUAGUAUUAUAUUGGACAUCUUAGCUAAAUCAAAUUAAAAAUUAAAUUAGAUUUUAGGCUUUAUUCAACAUCUCUUUUUGUCUUUUUUUUGGUCUAUUUGAAGUGAACGAAAUAAAAAUACAAUAGGGUCAACGACUGGGCAAUUGAUAGUCAAGUAGAAGCAAAUCAAGGCUAAAUGGGAAAGAGAAAUUAUAUUAGUGCAAAACAAGGAGAAAAACAGUGUAACAGAAGAGAAUCAAAGUGCUUUUGAGAUCAGAAAUUGAAACAAGAAAAGGGUCGCUUGAUCCAAUGAAAAUGCAAAGAGCUGACGGCAAAAGGGAAUAAAGUUAAAUAAGAAAAUAGCUAGCGCUAGCAGCAACCACAAUAAACAGAAAAUUUGAGAUGGAUUUACAAUAUUUCUGCCUUUCUUCAUGCUUUAACAAAUAUUGCUUUAUAAAAAAAAAGAAAUUGAGCGUUUUUAUUAUUGGAGUCACAAAAGACCUACACAAUAUAGCAAGUGACUGGGAAUAAAUAAAAAUAUAUAACUGAUAAGUGCAUAUUUUCCAUAUAUUUUGUUAUUAAUUUCUCCAUCUUUUUCUUGAUUUGAUCUUAAAUAUUCUAGUUAUUUUAGUUAAUUUUUAAUUAAUUGUAUUAUUUUAUUGAAUAGGGAAUUAAUUGGAGAUUGUGGAUAAAAAGGGCAUGAAGAAAUUCAAAUUGAGAAGGAAUAAGGAUUAAAUUGGAAAAGGAUUUCAAUUAGAAUGGAAAAAGGAUUUCUUUAUUCUUGUUGGAGAAGAAUUCGGUCAACUAGCUUUAUAAAAGGGGAGCUGCUGGAUGAAAAAAAAGGAGGAGAAUAUUCGGCAGCCAAGAGGAUUUGAGGAACUAGCAGCCGAAAGAAGGAAAAGCAAGGGAGAAACCGAAAAGGAAUUGAAGAAAAAGGCAGCUGCUUGAAUUAAUCUCCAUGAUUGGUUUUGUCAAUUCUCUUAUUUCCAAUUCAAUUAUGUUAGGCUAGAUUUUUAUUUGGUUGAGGGUGAAUUCAAAACCCUAAACAUGCUAUGCAAUUAAAUUUAAAUUCUAUCAUUUAAUUUAUUUAAUUGAGAUUGUUUAUGUUCUUCUAUAAUUAAUGUUCAUGGUUUGUUCUUGUUUUAUUUGAGUGGCCAAUUAGAUAGGACUUGAAUAAAUUUUAUUGCUAGAUUAAAAUUCUUGAUCCGUAAUUAUCUUGAUAUUUUAAUUAUUAGUAACAUGUUGGAAUUAGUGAUUUCAAUUAAAGAACAUAACCUAGGUUAAAUAAUCCGAGCUUGUGUGUUUAUUGCCUAGAUCAACCUAAUAUCUUUCUCUGUUUAAUGCUUCCAUUAUCUUAAAUUUAAAGAGCUUGUUUUAAAUUAUUUAAUGGUUAGAGAUUAGGUGAAGAGCUUAUUUUGCCUAACGACACACUAAGGAAAGAUUGAGACUAACAGAGCUUAUUGUUGUCUACGGUUGAUAGUUUUAAUAUAAAUUAAUGAUAGAAUUGAUAUAUUAUGUGCAUGUUUGGUGGUGGCGAAUGAUCCUUUAACCAAAGUUUUCAUCAUUAAUAUUUCUUUCUCCUUUAAUUAGAGUUUUUAUUAAAUUCUUGUUCGUAGUUUUAAUUUCUUUACUUCUUACUAUUUAGUUAAAAAUUCAUAAACCCCCUCUUUUAUUUAUAAUUGGUAAUUUCCUUAGUUAGAUUAAUUUAUAUUAUUAUUACUACUAUUAUUUUAUUUUAAAUCUUGCUUUAGAGUUGAUAAUAAAUAUAACUACAUAGUCUUUGUGGGAUCGAUCCUUACUCGCUCUGUACUAAUUAUUUAUAUUAGUGGUAAGGUUAUAAAUUUGGUGCACCUUAACGACACUACCAAAUUUUUGUAACUCUCUCUCUAAUUCUCACUCUAGCUUUUAAUUGUCACUCAAAACCCAGAAUUCAUCCUUAAAGUGUAAGCAAAUCAGAGAUGACAACGUCUGGCUGUCAUACGUGCCUUUUAGUUUUCGGAUGACAUGGCGUACACUUCUUCUGUAAACCGAACACGACAUGUCGUACUCUUUGUUUUGAGAUCAUAUUUCAAACUCUUCAUGCUAUGAAUGAAAGAUAAACUACAAUCAUAAACAUAUUUAGUGUUUAUUUGGUAAUGUAACGUUAUAGUUGUUGUGAAUUGAAAUUAUUUCUGUAAAAUAAAAGGAAUAUUUAUAAUAGUAUAAAAGGAAUAUUAAUAGAGGAUGUAUUAAUAUAAAAUUUGUUUAUUGGUGUUGAAGUUAAUUAUCUCAUUAAUAAUACUAUAAAAAUUUUAAUUACUAAGAAACACAUAGCAGUAGUUAAUUGGUGUCAUAUUAUUGGGAUUCAGGGAUAUAAUUUUAUAUCAUAACUUUGUAAGUGUAUAAUUACUCAUUAAAUUAAGAAAAUUAUUUAAAAAUAUUUAGUUGGAAAAAAUAAAUUAUAUUCUUUUUAUUUCAAAUAAUCUAUAAGUUAACUCAAAACAUAAUCAAGCUGAGAAUUAAAAUAAUGCUACUAUAUGAGAGGAUUUUUAUUUUUUCCCGAAGUUUCACUAGGAAAUUAUUGAUAUAUAGCUUUAUUCGGAUCAUCUCAGUUCAAACAACAAAUAAUUGAAAGACUAAGCUAAAUAGACCAGCCAACAACUUUGUGCAAGAGAGUUCAAAAAUUAAGGUCAUGGUAUUGAGGUGUUCUGUCUUGAAAAGUACAGCAUAGUGAUAAAAUAAAAACUAUUAAUCUAUGGUAAGGUAUGACUUUUAAAUAAUAAUUUUCACAAAAAUACAAAGAAUAUUUAUAAAGUACUUCUAUAGUGAGGAGAUCCUUACUUUGUUAAAGUAAAAAUAUCAAUAAUAUAAAAAAACAUAUAUUUUAACACAUUAAGAACUGUAUUUUCUUAAUCUAUUGGUGUAUUGAAAUAUGUGUUAUUUAGUUUGUUAGUGACAUCAUCACUUUGUUAAAAUAAAGAUGUCGUCACUAGAGAAUCAUUAUAUAUACAUAUAUAUAAAGUGUUUCUCUCCAAAACCUAGACUUUAUUAAAAUUUAAGAAAGCAAAUAUAUUUUAUAUGGUAUAAUAGUGUAAUAACAUCACACAAUUAUAUCAUAUAGAGUAAUAGUUUUUGGAACUUUAAUAAAGUUCAAGAUUAUAGAAUGAAUGAUUUAUAUAUAUUAUAAUUUUUUUAUCAUAGAGUGGAGGACAAAAUUAACAUAUUUUCUAAAUUAUAAUAAGUAAUUAUCAAAUAAUUUAACAUUGUAUUUCUCCUAACUAGUAUAGUAAAUAUGACCUAGGAGGUACAUUCAAAGCAUUUCAUAAGUUAGUUGUUAAUAAUAAAUGAUACAUGCAGCUCCAAUCAUCAUUGUACGGUGAGUAAUUUCCAGUUAUAAAUAGAUAUUACUCCCUUCUCAGCAAUUUUUUAUGGCUUAAUUUAGUGGGAUCAAAUCAAAAUCAACAUUGAAUAGUCAAAAUAUUAAUGACCAAACAGACCCAGAUAGAAUAAUAUUAAAUGUAGUUAUCUCAAACAAGAUAGAAUAAUAAUUGAUAAGGUAGGUGUAUGAGUGUGUGUGAUGUGUACUCUUUAUGCCAUUGUGUAUAUAUAUAUAUUUGUUUUUUUUUUCUAUUUCGCGUGGUUCCACCAUGCAUAAUUGAAGGGCUUCAAAUUCUUAAACGUUCGGUCACCGAAAUUGAAAUCCCAAUGGAACAAGUAAUUAAGCAUGUUAAUUCAACAAGAUUCACUCCCUUUAUUACUUAAAAGUUAUUUUCGCUUUUGAUAUUGAUACUUAUUUUUACAUUUGCAUGCACUAGGGCAGACGCGAAGCUAAAGGUGGGCUAACCCAGGCAGCAGCCUCGGUUAGCUUUUUGAAAAAAAAUAAUUAAUUAUAAUUUAUAAAUUUAUUUUAUUAAUAUAUAUAAAAAAUAAAAAUAAAUCUAAUAUUUGAUAAUAUUUUUCUUAUUUACAUUGUAUUUUUAUAAUUUUAUGGUUAGAUUUUUAUGUAUAUAGUGUGCUUAAUUUCGUUUAUAUAAAACAAAUUUUUUGAAAAGUAAAUUUCAUUUUUUAAAAAAAUCUAGCCCACCCAAAAAAAUACGCUAGCUUCGCCACUGCACUAGGGACAUAUUAAUCAGGUGGGUUAUAUUACAACCAGAGGAUUUAAAUUUGAUUUAAGAUAUGUGGGGUCUGCUUUUGGAUUUAGAAAAUUUGCCCAUUAAGAGUUGAAACCAAGUGACCUACCGUUAGAUUAGAUUAAUAGUGAUUUCUUGUAGUAAACAUUUGUGAAUUUGAAAUAUGUGAAUUCUAUCCUGGUGAUACAAAACAAGCUUCUUGUACACGAGAACUAUUUGUUUUUAUGAUUUGGAAACCAAUCUAUAAAGAUGAAUUAAGUUGGCAUAAUGGUACAAAGCAACUUUAAUUUUUCAAUAAAUUCAAAAGUUGGCAGGUUGGUUGUGAUUAUUAUCUUUUCUUUUUUACUAUUUAAACUACAAUUAAUUGAAUCCAAAGACUAAAGGGUUGGAUCGAGAAGAAACUAAUUUUAAGUAGACAUUCCGGCGAAAAUCACUCCCAUGAUCGAGACACUCAUGCAAUCAAUACAAAAAAUGGACACAAAAAUUGUCUACUUAAGUUUGGUUGAAUGAUUUUAAAAAUAGUUUUAUUUGUUUCACACUCGAAUUUGUAUUUUGAAAAAGAGUGGGAGUUAAAAAUUGAUUUACACUUUAUCAAUUACUCUAUUUUAAAAAGAAAUAAAUAUUAAAAAAAUAAAAACAUUAAUUUCUUGUUUGUUUGUACUUACCAUUGUAGGAUAAAUAAAGUGGUUGACAAAAAUUAGAUAUCUUAAAAAUAAAUUCUAAAUUUAUAACUAAUGUAUAAUGAUUUCAAUUCACAUGUUUCAAUCCCAAAUAAAUUCUCCUUUGGUUAUUUGAAUCUUAGCACGGUAAGAUUUCAUUCUCUUGUAUGCAUUUGUGUAAACUUCUCCCUUUACCUUUAUCAUUUUAUCAACUGUAUUGAUUGCCAAACAACUUUAGGGUUUAGGCAUGAAUCACACAAGGGAAUGAUAUUGUGGCAAUUUUUUCCCCCUUCUUUCUUCUUUUUGAAAAAAAAAAUUAAUUAUAGCUUUGCUUUGAUGGGUAGAAGACUAGAAGACCAAUUAAUUUCUUUUUGUUGCGUGGUGAUAAUAAUGGUGAAAAUUGCUAUGUGCGUGUUGGUGAUUGCAUUGCUAAUCACAUAUUGCUUCCCAUCAUGGAGACAAAGGGGACCCCUCUAUCAAAGCUAGCUGUUGAAAUAUCAUACCCAAAAUCACAUGAAUUCAAAGGUUGAAUGGGAAAACGAUCUUGCUUCUUUGUAUGUUUUAUUUUAUUUAAAGACUUAUUUUUCCCAUAAGAGAUAAGCUUGGAUCUAUCUUUCCUUUUAAUCAUUUUAGCCUCCAACUCCCAUCUUUUUCAAAAGUUUCGUUUAGCCCAUUUUGAAUGGCAAGGUAAGCUUCAAUCAACGCUACAAGUUCUAGUGAUUCCCGUCAAUAUUCGAUUGCAUGUAUGUAGCUUUGAAUGCUCAAAUUUAUUUUAUUUAUUAGUUGUUAUCACUUAUCAUUUUCUUUUUAAUAAUGAGAUUUGGGCAUUUUCUUUUUAAUAAUGAGAUUUGGGUCCCUAGAUGGUGAUUAGCCAACAGUCUAGUUAUGAGAAAUUAAUGUCUUAAUUACAAUGACAAAAAAAGGCAAGUGGGGAUCUCAUUUGCCAUUAGGUAACACAACAUCUUCAGCAUUGGAGCUUUUCUUCCUUUCUCUCCUUCUUUCUUUCUUUCUCAAAAUAAUUGAAAAUCUAAUGCAAUACAAUUAAAUUGAUCAACGAUCUAAUUUAAUCAAUACAUUAUAUUAAGAUAUUUAAAAUAAAAUCGGUUCAAAUGGAAUGAGAAAUUCUACUCACAAAAUAACAACAUUUAUUCCCGAAUUCAAAUAACCUUGGAUUCCAAAUGCAUUCAAGACUAGCCAGGCUGCAUAUCCAAGAAGAAAACAAAAUCAAAACUUUAGCCACAAACAUAUACGUGUGUGUGUAUGUGUGUGUGUAUAUAUGUGUGUGUGUGUCUGUGUAUAUAGAGAGAGAGAGAGUUCUUUCACUAGGUUCAUUUGCGUGAAACUUUUUGAUCAUUUAGGUUUAAGACUAUAUCAUAUAUCCUAUUGCAUGAACAUUGAUUAAUAUGAAUGAGUCAAACCCACUAAGCUUGUAACAAAAUCUUUUCAUAGUUACUAGAGAAUAUUUAUAUUUUUUUCAAACAUUAAUAAAAUUAUUGAAUUGCUUUAUUUAUAGUAUGUAUACAAUUAAUAGUGUAUGGAUUUUUUUAUCUAUUGGUAUAUUGAAAUAUGUGUUAUUUAGUUUGUUAGUGAUAUCAUCACUUUGUUAAAAUGAGAAUGUCCUUACUAGAGAAUCAUUAUAUAUACAUAUAUAAAGUGCUUGUGCUUCUAUCCAAGACCUAGAUUUUAUUAAAAUUUAAUAAAGCAAAUAUAUUUUAUAUGGUAUAAUAGUGUAAUAACAUCACACUAUUAUAUCAUAUAGAGUAAUAGUUUUUCGAUUUUUUUAAAGUUCAAGAUUAUAGAAUGAAUGAUUUAUAUAAAUUAUAAUUUUUUUAUCAUAAAUGGAGGCGAAAAUUAACAUAUUUUCAAAUUAUAAUAAGUAUUUAUCAAAUAAUUUAACAUUGUAAUUUCUCCUAACUAGUAUAGUAAAUAAUAUGACCUAGGAGGUACAUUCAAAGCAUUUCAUAAGUUAGUUGUUAAUAAUAAAUGAUAUAUGCAGCUCCAAUUAAUCAUCAUUGUACGGUGAGUAAUUUCCAGUUAUAAAUAGAUAUUACUCCCUUCCCAGCAAUUUUUGAUGGCUUAAUUUUGUGGGAUCAAAAUCAACAUUGAAUGUCAAAAUAUUAAUGGCCAAACAGACCAGCUGCCAACAACUUAUUCCAAUGUGAGUAGUUCACAGUGGGUACUGCACAUGAUGCUUGUUUCUCCUUUUGCAUCUAUUUUUGUUGUUAACAUUAAUUUCAAUAGCAGCUCUUUAAUCCCAAUUGUUGAUUUGGGACUAGAUAAGAAUUUAUCUUGGAACUCCAAUUCUCCCAAUUAUUUUAGUUGACAAUAUGUUUAACAUUAUUUUUUUAACAUUAUUAAUUACAUAUUAUUUAAUUAUCAGUAUAUAAUAUUCUUUAAUUUUCUAAUUUUAUAGGAUUAGACACAAAAUUGAUUAUGCCUUUUGAAAUUUAAGGGUUAUGUCAAUUGAAUAGAAAACUUGGAGUUAAACUUGUGGAUGUUUUUGUUGAUUAUCAAUUUAUGCAUGAAUUUUUGUACGUUUAUUUGGCUUAUUAUUAUUACUUUUAAACAUUUUUAUUGGUUUGAUUUAGGGUCAGUUUGGUAAUUCUAUAGCUUUUAAAAUAAUUACAGUUAGCUAUGCUGUAGAAAUUGAUCAAUCGUCAAGAGAAUCAGCUGAACAUUUAGUAAAAUUUAUUUUUAAAAGUACUUUUAGUUUUAAAAGCGUCGCAUGUGUUUCGUAAGUUAUAUACAUUGCUGAUUCUAUAUUAAUAAUGUUAUGUUCUAUUUUCAGAAAUUAUAAUACAAAAGUUUUUACAAUGGCGUGCAUCUACAAACUGAAUUGACUUGUAGAAUAAGAGCUUGGAGUAGUGUUAUGUUCUUGAAUAAAUGAAAGUUCAUAUGGUGUAAGAGCAUGUAGAUGUAAAGUGUCAUUACCAUUUCUAUAAAGGACUUUCAUUCUGUUCGGAUGCUCCUCUUGAACUCUGAAGGGUGCUUCAUUCAUAACACACAUAAUUUAUGCCAGGGAAGAGAAGAUGCCAAAAAAGUUGAAGGUGAUCAUUCAUAACUUUUCAGAAAGUUGUUGCAAAACAGAAAUCACCCAUCACGAUCGGUCGUACAAGUGUCUGCUACGAGUGCAGCAAAACGUUUGUCACGCUAGUUGUGCUAAAUGGACCUCUCCUGUGUGCCUCUAAAAUCAAUGCAUGUGAUCAUGUCGGUGAUUCAAUGGCUGGUGGGGAUGAGUCCACUCAAAUUCUGAAACUAAUCAGGUGAAAUAUAAACCCUUUUUGUCUCCUUCUUUAAUUGUAUGUUUUACUAUCCAUGUUUUACCCAAAAAAAUUGUAGGUUUACACUUUGCAAUCAAAUUUUGUAGUUGUGCUUUUUUCUUGCUUUUAUCCUAAUAAGCAAAAAAUCUAAUUAAUCCUAAUUAAAGGUGUUUUAAAAUUUAAAUAGAGAAAGUACCAUUGAGAUUUGAGAGAAAAUGAAUCGAUUGAUUUACUUCACAGUAUGAAUACACAGAGAGUUCGCUUGCUUUAUAUGCAGUAAUCUAACCAACUUGUUAACUAAGCUACUAUUCCCAGCAAAUCAAGCUAACCAAUCCCACUACUCAGCUUGUCUACUACAGAUCACAGAACCACUUGGGCUGAGCCGUAAUUCCAUGUCAUCAGUCUGUGCAACAACCUCAUUGAUCACUUGUUGUGCUGACUAUCGAACAACAGUGUGCCUCUUUAACAUAAUAGACUAAGCUCGUAUGCAUAGGAAUGGAUCUUUUAUUAUUGUCAUUAACUAUCUGUCCCUAAGGGUUUGGUUGAGUGAUUUAUUCCUUUAGUUGGCCCUCCCAAUCUUUUGGAUUGUUAUUGUCAUUAAAUAUCGGUCCCUAACUGCGUGAUGUAAGUACUUUCUAGAAGAUAUCUAAAUGGUAAAGCGACAUUACCAUUUCUAUAAAGGACUUUCAUUCUGUUCAGAUGCUCCUCUUGAACUCUGUAAUUCAGAUCCUAGCUAUAACUACUAGCUUUGAUUAAUUAAUUUCCUGUACUAGCUGAAACAGAUUUAUUUAUUUAAAUAAUUGUGUAUGUACUAAUUAUAAUGAAAGUAUAUGAAGAAAUUUUUUAACAUGAAUGACUUCUAAAUGACUUAAAAACCUAAACAAAUAAUGCUCAUUUCACUUGAACGAGCCUAUUAAUACUUGUAUGUCUAUGAUUUUUAAUAUUGGCUUAAGCGUUUCAGUUAAAUGGUUUACAUAAGAGGGAAAAAAAUUUAAUGGAAAACUUUAGAGUUCUAACAGAAAUAUAAUUGACUAUGCAGAUAUAGUUAUUUUAUGGUAUACAAAUCAUGUUGCCUUAAUCUCAAUGUCCUAUGACCUAUUUUAUUUUAUAUAGUCAUUCCUUUUGGCCAUGGCUUUUUGUUUUUAUGAGUACGGAAAUAGUGGGAUUUGGUGUAUCUUAGCAUCUUUGGAAAAUUCUCUUUAAAUGUGGCAAACAAAAAUAUACAUAUAAUCAAGUUUCUUAAUCAACUAUCAUAACUGGCUAGCUAGUUCUUGCCUGCCUUGCUGCCAUUACCCAGGCCAUUACAUUGCAUAGCAUAAGGAAUAGUGAUUAGGUGAUUAUUAGUGACUCGUUGAGCUUAUUAUUGACCAAACAAAUAUAUUUGCCUUUACCCACAACUUAGUUUGAUUAGUUAUUAGACCAUAAAGAGCGUAAAUCUGUUCAUUGGCUUUGUUAUUUUUGUUUGGUUUUUCUUUCAACAAUACUGUUAAUUUCUUAUAAAAAUAUUCAUUGGUUUUUAAACACCUAAUCAUUGGCUAUAAUGAAGCUAAUUGAAACUGAGGCUUUGGAUCAAUUCCUUCUGGCAAGAUACAAAUGAGCAUAACCUAUAUCCUCUAAGUAAAUUUUUCUAAUAUGCUUGAUUUGUUAGUAUCCGGAGGCUUGAAUCCUCUAGAUUUUUUUAACACUGUCAAUGUUCUUUUUACUCUGAAAAGGGAAAAAAAAGGUUAUAUCUUUCAUACCCUAAUAAUAAGUUGUCCUUGACUUAACAUGCCUUCCUGAGGAUUUGCAAGAUUCACAAGCAGCUCAACAACACCCCCCCCCAAAAAAAAGCAAAUACGAAGAUUUUGCAAGAUUCACAACCAGGUUAUAUUUAAUUUAUUAAUUGUGUGCACGUACUAGUUAUAUGUUGAAAGAAUAGGAAAAAGUAUUUUAACAUGAAUGACUUAAAACUUAUUGCUCAGUAAACUUAAUCUGCAUCAGUGCUAGAUAAUGUAUUUAUUGUUUGUAUUUUUUAUGGAUUUGCUUAAGAAAUGAUAUGCGAAAUAAUGCUAUAUUGUAUUAGGAAUAAAUUGAAGAGAUUUAUGAUAUUUAUGUGUUUUUAAAUUUCAGAUUGAAUUUUAAACUUUCAAUACAUGCAUUGAAAGCUUAGAUCGUUUAAGAAAUUAUUAAUAGACACAUGUUUUAUUAGUGUCAUCUUUGGAUGAUAGCGAGGAUCAUAUGUCUAUUAAUAAUUCUUGAAUUGUCUAGGCUUGAACUGUUUGGGAAUGCAUAGUUUUCUACGGUGGCUAGUAGCUGAAGUUUUUUUCCCACGUAAAAAUGGGUUUUUCGCUAGCUACUUCUCAUCUUCUUUGGGUGCAUACUAGAUAACACAUACACACUCAUAUAUCUAUGUCGUGUGCUAGGAGAACUAUUGGGAGAUGCUGCCGAAAUUCCUAUAAACGUAGAAGAAAACUUUAAAGUACUUGAGAUUGAAGAGACUUAUGCAUUCUUGAGAGGGAUAUAUGGGACCACUUACCUUUUGUAAAUAUGAAGGGAGUGUUGGACAUAUUGAUGGGAGUGAAGGAGCUGAGUUGGAUGGAUGUAAUUGGUUAUGGUUUUGCUGAGUUAACUUGGUUUUGACCUAGUAGUUUUGUUUAUAAAUGGAGUACUAUCUCCAAUGUUGGUUUAUAAAUAUGUUUCAGCUGGCUGACCUAAUUUUUUGUUUCUAGGUAACAGGCUUUAUAUCUGUAAUUGAUAGCCAACCGAAGUUCUCAGCUGUGGGUGAGGAUAUUUCUUUACAGAAGGUAUUGGAAACUGUUUUUUACAUUAAUUAUUGUGGUAUUUAUACUUGAAAAUCUUUUUCUCUGAUUCUUGUCGCUUUGCUUGCUUUCAUAUGUAUAAAUUCUAAUGAAAUUAACCAUAAAAUUGUAUAAUGAUUUUUUUUAAUUAUAUUGCAAAACUGUGCACACACGAAAAUAUCUUGGUCAUUAGUAGAAAUGAAGAACUAAAAUGAUUUAUCUAACUAAUUUUUGUAGUGCAUUAAAAGGAGAUGAAAAUGGAGAAGAGUUGGGUUGGUUUGGCAAAUAGAUAUCCAAGUUAUAGAUUUUGUAUUUGAGAAUGUUGUUGGUAAUGCAAGAAUUUAUUAUCCUUGUAAGGAGUGUCGAAUAUUUUGUUUUAAGGGAAGUAUCAAGAGACCAUAUCAUUAUAAAUGGUUUUUGGUUAAAAUAUUAAAACUGGAUAUUGCAUAGUGAGCCAUCUUCAUCUUUGGAAUCUAGCCAAGAAACAAGUUGGUCGUGACUCAGGUGCUGAUGAUGAUAUGAUUGGAAUGAUACAUGAUACAUCACAUAAUCAAAUGUUCAAUUCACACGCAGCAUUGUUAUGGACUAUCAGUGACUUUCUAGCAUAUGCCAACUUGUUUGAGUGGAGUAUUAAAGGUAAAUAAGCAUUUCUUGUUUGCCAACAAAACACUAGAUCUAAUUGGUUGAUACAUAGUCGAAAAUUUUGUCACGUCGGUAAUGUCGAUUUUUACCGACGAAUCAUAGGUUUUGAAAAUAUAGUGCCUUUUGAUAAAAGUAGAGAGUGGGGACAAGCACCUUCUCGGAUGUCUGGAGCUGAAGUGAAAAAGCAGUUGAGUAAUAUACUUACUGAGUUUAAGAUUGAAGACUUGAAAAGAGGAGAAUGAGUAAAAUGAGAGAAAUGAUAAGAUUACUUGGAAGAAGAAAAGCAUAUUUUAUGAACUACCGUGUUGGGAGUCCAAUUUGAUUCAUCAUAAUCUUGAUCUCAUGGGCUGUUUUGAUUUUUGUUAUGAACUCUGAUCAAAAGUUUAAUUUGAUCAAAAUUUCUUAAAAAUAGUGAAAACGACUCCUCCUAAUAACAUGGACGAUGGCUAUAACAGAUAAAAGGAAAGGAUUAAAAAGAAAAGCUAUGCCUGUUAAAAAAAGAAAAAAAAUUGGUGGCGUCAAGUUUAUAACAAAAAUUAAAACGGUGCGUUUGAGAGUGUAUAAAAUACAUUUAGAAUGGGAGCUGUGUUGUUUUUUGAAGGUAGAAUGAUUGUGAGAUAUUUGUCGACGAAGCCGAAAUCAAAGAUGAAGCCCAUAGAGCUCAAAACUCCACCAGAGCAAACUCAAGACAAUUAUUGACAUAGUCAAUGAUUGUAUUUGACAUAGUCAAGGAACAGGGUCCUCUCACUGUUGUCGAAACAUGGGAACGCGUCAAGGUGUGUGCAUCUGAUUGAGUGUGUUUUACAUUCAAUGAUCACUGAUCAUAAUACUAGUAGUUGUUUUACAUUUUCAGCAAGCAGGAGCGAGUGGAUUGACGGGCAAAAGCCACAUGAAGAUUGAGUGUGUUGAGUAAGCAAAUCCUGUGCACAAGUUGGUUCACCAAACCCAACAACUUGAAGCAACCAAAAUCAGGGAAUGAUCCUUCUCCGUGAUGGAAGUAAAGCACCAGUGAUGGAAGCUCCUCAGCAUGUAAACUUUUCAACAGUAGCACAGCUCUUAUUCCAGAGGCUGCACAGAAGAGCGACCUGAAUCCUCUUCAAAACUUUCAAAUUUUUAUCAAGUAAAGCUUUCAAAAUUUCUCAGCAAAUAGAUUAUUCAAAUGAAAGAAACACAAGGGAGUGACCUGAAUCCUCUUCAAAUCAGGAAAUUUAUUGCAUAAAUUACAAGAAGCAGUACACACCAAUGGUAAAUUGAUAAAUCGUUUUUUAACUUAAUAUAGUCAAAUGAAAGAAACACAGCGGAGGGUUAAUAUAACACUUUCAAAGCUGCAUUAGUAAUACGUUAAAGUGAAUACCCUCAGCAUGUAAACUUAACUUCAAAGGACGGAGCACAAGUUUCACAGAAAAGUAGCUCUUAUUCCUGAUGCUGCAAACACAGAGGAGUGUCCUCAAUCUUCUUCAUAACUUGGGAAUUCUGCAAUUAUAGAGCACGACAUUGAGCAUGAACUAUAAAAAAUAUUUAUUUUCUACAAUUUUCAUAUAACCUGACUAACCAAGAUUAAUUUUGUGGUAAUGUAUUGGGUCAUUAAUUCAUAUGUUUUUACUGUCAUCACUUUAGAAAAAACUAAUUUCUCAAUGUGAAAUGGCCCAUAAAAAGUAUUCUCAUUUAAAAACUAAAUUUGACAAACCCCUCGAUUAAAGCAGGGGAGAGAAAAGAAAAAAAAAAGAUCUGAAGGCUUUCCACAUGAAAAUGUUGUCACUUUGGAUGAUAUUUUCAAGGGAUUUCAUUCUAAAAAUAAAAUACCUGGGACCUUAUUCUUCAAAUUGACAGCUAGCCCAGUACUAAACGCGUAUGAGAUCAGUACUGUACUGUGACAAGUAACGAGACGACCCCUCCAACAGCUGAAAAUAUAAUUCGGAUUCAUCAAUUUAAAUUAAAAUUCAUAUUAUGAAAUAAAAACUAAUGAUUAAUGAAUUUUCGAGGAAUUUAAUAAGAUUCUCAUAUAUAAACGUGAUAAAAAAUUCUCUCGUCAAUAACAAAUAUUCUAACAGUUACCCGUACCUUUUCUUGAUGUAAUUGUUGUAUGAUUGUGUUAAGGUCAUUAUUAGACCAACGCCGUUUGUCCUCACUCCUUCCGUACCAGACGUUUACUCUCGGAGGCGUGCUUAAUUCUCCUUUGGUGAAAAUCUUCAUCUUGGGACAACUAAUCACCCACAAAUCUUGCAAAGAUGGGAAUUUGAAGGCGUAAUUGCCAGAGGAGAAGCUUGUGAGGCUGUCUAAAUCAAACAGGGACAACGUACUCAAUUUGCUGAAAACAAUCUCUUCUUCUAUAUUUGCUGUUUCAUCUUCGUCACUUAUUACGACUUCUGUGAUUGCUCUGCAUCCAAAUACACCCAAUGAUACGAGUCGCUCUAGACUUUUUGCUGUGGAGGAUGUUAGUAAGUUCAUCAAUUUCUUGCAAGCAAAAGCUUGCAGGCGUGUGAGAUUCCGAAAAGAUACCGAUGAUGAUGGCAAUAGACUUAACAGAUUUUGACAGUGAAAUGCUCUUAGAGUUUGAAGAUGUUGAAAAAUGAAGUCCGGCUGCUUGGAAUCGUGUUUCCAUAGUUGCUGCAGACGAUUAAGUCUGGUCAGGUCUAACCUUUUUAUCAGUGCCAGCUUCCUCGCAUGUGUCUCCAAAUAUCCUUCAUUUGAAAAUACCACUUCGUAUGAACAAUCCGACAGGAAGAGAAGUUCCAGAUUGUGAAACUUCUCAAGUAAACCAAGUGGAAAGCAAGCUAAGUCAUCAUCCCGAACCCGUAGUCGUUGAAGACUGCCAAAGAGGUGUUGUGGGAAAUCGUCUUGCAAAAUCAUCGUGAUGUCUUUUCCACUUAAUGCCAGUCCCUCCAAGUUGGGUAAGAUCUGAUCAUCAUCAAGCACAAAUUAUUAUCUUAGCACAUUGAUCCCUAAUUCCAGACUGGCAAAAUUCAUUGUGUAAUCAAAGUUUCAAUGAUCUAACUAACAUAUAUAUAUAUAUAUAGGUAUUUAUUAAAAUUCAUUGUGUAAUGCCAAAUCUCGUCGACAUUAAUAGCAUUCAGCUCCAAAGCCUCCAAAUUUGGCAACACUGCCUAAAGAUAAUUUUCUCUUUAGAUCCAAUAUCCAUAUAAGAAGUGCUUAUUGAGAGCUUAAUUAGUGAGUGUAUGAGAUUUUUUUUUUCAUUUUCUUUUUCUAAAUGAUUUUUUUUUUUUUUUUUUUUUUUUUGCACAUAUAGCAUCAAAUGCAAGUGCAUGAUAGAAUAAAAAAAAUGCAAUAUCCAUAUGAAAAACACUUGUGUGGGCCAAUUUGGUAUUACAGUUGCUGAUUAAAUAAAUUGCUUCUGCUGUACGGAUGUAAUAAGUAAUUGAUUAAAAAAGCAGGUAGGUGUUUGGUGAAUUAUGUUGUUUCAGUUGAUAUGAGUUUGAAAAGCAGCGUACAUGCGUUUGGUAAAUUUUAUUUUAAACUUGUUAUUUUAUCAUAUAAUGACCAAAAUAGACAUAAGUUUAAAUUACCUUUUAUUUUUUUGAAGUAUGUUUAAUAAUGUUUAGAUGUGUCAUUUUCUUUUUAAAACACGUAAAUUAUAUUAAGUGAAAAAACUUAAUAAUUUCUUACAUAAAAUACGAUAAAAAUUUAUACUAGUAUAUAAUCCAAAUAAAAUAAAAAAGUAAUAUGUAUUACUUUCAAAUUAAACUUGUUGCAAUAAACACCAUGACUAUAGAAAAAAUAUAAAUAUAUUGAAUGUUAAAAGCUAUGGUUAUGAAAUUGAUUUUUAAAGUUAUGAUUAAUUUUCAUGUAUAGUUCAAAAAAAAUUUAUAUAAUUACAUGCAAGUCUUUUUAAAUUUUAUUAUAGAAAAUACAAGUAUAAAUUGUAUAAUAUAAAAAAAAAUAUGAACUUAUUAGAUCAAAACUUUGAUAUUAGAGAGAAUAUAUAGUAGUUGUGGUGGUAAUAUGAUAUCUGAUGACUUAUAUAUUAGAGUGUAUGGAAAUAUAUGACAUAAUUAUCUUUGUUAAAAUAUUAAUAAGGUUAUGAUAGGAACUUUAAAAAGAUAUGGUAGCUUAUUUAAUAAGCUGCUCAUGAAAAGCAAUCUCUAUCUGCUUUUAAAAGUUACUGUCAAAAUGGAGAAAAUUAUAAAAUAAGAGUUUUUAUAAAAUUUACCAAACACUAUUUUUGUCACAGAUUAUGAAAUAGACAGUUUAUUGAGUUUUAACCUCAAUCCCAAACGGGGUCACAAUGCCACAUGAGAAGCACUUAUUGAGAGCUUAAUUUGUGAUUGCAGUUUUUACAAAAUUUACCAAACACUAUUUUUGUCACAGAUUAUGAAAUAGACAGUUUAUUGAGUUUUAACCUCAAUCCCAAACGGGGUCACAAUAGCCACAUGAGAAGCACUUAUUGAGAGCUUAAUUUUGUGAUUGCAUGAGUUUUUUUUAUUUAUUUUCUUUUUCUAAAUGAUUUAAUUUUUUUGCACAUAUGGCAUCAAAUGCGAGUGCAUUAUAGAAUAAAGGAAAAAAAAAGAAAAAGAAUGCAUUAGCCUACGCACCUUCUCGUUAAAAAGCAGAGUUGAAGUAUCCGAACUGAUCUCGUUGGAACUAGCUGUCAAUACCUCUUGUGACUCUUGUCUGUUUGGUGAUGUGGAAGGAGUCUUCACUUCACGGCAAAACCUUGUAACCUUUGGAAGCUUUCCCUGAGUCAAAGAUCUUAAUUGAUCAAACUCUAUCUUUUCAUCAACAUCAACAUCAGCUUCUCCUCCAGUUGCAAAAAUUUCUUCCAUGCUGCUGCAAUUGAUAACUGCAAUCCUCUCAAGUCUUGGAAGGCAUUUUGUACUACGAGAGAGCCAGAAGAUAUUACUCAACUCAUCACAAUUUUCCACUUUUAUGGUUUUGAGUUCAUUGAAGGACUCUUUUUUGAGUCGAUCAAUACAUAUCCUCUCCAUAUUGGUCAAAUUGUGAAGAGUAAGGGACUCCAAAAGAGGAAAGGCGAUACAAGGUUCCAAUUCUAAAACAACAUUCCUGAUUCCUUGCAACUUAUCCAAACAUAAGUAUUCAACGUUAUUGAUGCCCUGCAACUUCUUGGAGCAAAUGGCCAUAGAAUCAAGCUUGAGCUUCAAUGUUCUUAAACUCUCAUGAUUACUGAUCAUAAAGUGCGGCCGACUUUGAAACCAGUCCUUCCCAAUAACAUUGGUAGAGUCAAAAGAUCCAUCUCCUAUUGAUAUAUCAAACCUUUCCAGCUUUUUGGUAAAAAAGCCAUCUGGUAAAAUGCUAUCAUUUUUAACAUCUAUUUUUAAGGCGGUCAGUCGCUGCAAAUGCAUCAAUUCAUCGAGGCUGGCAUUACUUCUUUCACUAUUGGCUUUUCUCACUUCCCAUUCAAUAGAGCAGUUACCCAUAUACAGUUCUUCCAAUCGAGUGAAGCUUGAUAAGAUAUUGGGCACAAUAAAUUUUAGUUGCAAGCAAUCUGUUAAAUCUAGCAUCCUUAACUUAGUCAGUUGACCUAGUUCGUCAGGCAACAGUACAAUAUCAGACUUUACAAAGCUAAGGAUUUCUAGAUUCUUCAACUUUCCAACUAUGGCUAUGUCUCCCAACAUGCUUUGAUCAAGACACGGUGUUUGAAGAUUUGCUAGAAGACCGAUUGAAGAUGGCAAUGAAAAUAAUCGCACUCUUGUCAAAUCUACGACUCGAAGCUUUUUCAUCCCUUUGAAAAAGUUGUCAGGAAUAUUGACCUCGGAAAAAGUGAUUUGGGGAUCAAUAUAUAAAAAUUCAAGUUGCAGACAUUCAAAUUCCUCAGAGACUUCAUGAAUGCUACUAUUUAAUAAAGAGAUUGCAGAGCAUUUUUUAAGUGCAUCCUCAUCAGGCCACUCCCACACAACCUCAUUUCUCACCAAGAAAACAUGUUGGUCUCGACAUGCAAUUGAUACGGCAACAUCGCAGACAACAUCAUGCAUGGAAAAUUGUUCACUGCUAUCACCCUCAAGCAAUAAACAAGAGUCUCUAAGUUCAUGGACCAAUGCAUAUAAUUUGUUUCGUGCAUCUACCAUCCUGUUGACUCCUUGAAAUAUGCCCAAACCCAUGGAGUAUUUAAACAAGUCUGUAAACCAAAAACUGUUACCUAUUAGACUACAGAGCAGAAAAAUUUUCUUGAGUUGCUCACCUUUUAAAUACUUGAAACUCAGUUCAAUACUUGAAUAAGUCUCUGCAGGCACACCUUCGAAGUUUACCACUGAAGGCGUUUGGAGUUCUCGCAAGGCAUUCUUCCACUCAUGCAGACUCUUGUUUCUCAGUGCCCUCGCUACUGUAGUCAAGGCAAUGGGCAAACCUCCACAUGCCUGGGCUACAUUAAUUGCUGUAGACUUGAACUUACAAUUUUCAACAUCAUCACUAUUCAUUAUCUUCAACAAUCUCCAAGCUUCUUCUUCAUCUAGAUUGCCAAUCAAGAAGUUAUCUUUGGAGCCCAUACUUAAUAGUACAUUAUUGUCUCUUGCUGUCAGCAGUAGUCUACAUCCUUUAUGAUCAUUUCCGAAGGGACUUCCAACCGUCUCCAAAUCAACAUGUUUCCAGAUAUUAUCUAGAAUCACAAGAAUCUUAUUCUCACUCUUCAAUCGUUCAUACAGCUUGCUAGCUCUUCUAUAUUCAGCUUCAUCGGACAACUUCUCUGCAAUUUCCCCUCGAAUCUUUUUUACCUCUGGAGUUUAUGAAACCUCUGAAAAAACCACCCGAUCAAACAGCUUCUUUUCCCUGGCUUGCCUAGCAAACUCCUUCACCAGUGUGGUCUUUCCAAUGCCGCCUAUGCCGUACACCCCAAUAAUGCUGACAUUCGCCUCCGUCAAUGCAUUUUUUAUAGACUGCAAAGUAGAAAGUCUUGAUUCGAAGGCCUCGUAACCAUUGCUAGACUUAAGCCAUAUCUCCUCCCGAAUGGUACGGUGGGAAACAGUAUCAAACUUCUUAACUUCUUCUCCAAGUCAAUAAUGGCCUUCACCUCCGUCUCUGCUUUCUUGCCAAGCUGAUAGCGGGUCUUCAAAUUAGGACACAAGCCCUUGAGACAGCGCUUAUUUGUUGACUCCUCAUCUUCAAUGAAUUUGGCUGCCGGUCAAUGAUGCCGUUCGCACUAACCUGCCACUUUUCAACGUUCUCUUCAAUCUCUUCCCCUUUUUCUUCCGCCUCUGAAACUCUGUGCUGAAUGCUCGUACGUUCAACCUUCAACUUCUCCAUUUCCGCCUUGAUAUUCUCAAAGUUGGCAUUGUAGUUCCGCUUUCGCAAAUGCACAAGUUGGCGUUCAGUUGGAGGAGCCAAGCAUUUUACAAGUUCCAAGACGAUAGUCACAAUGAUUUCCAGCAUCUCGAAUCCUGACAAAAACGUAGAAGCGAAGAAAGCCAAAGGAAAGUAAAAACAAAGAGACAGCGAUAGGACAGGCAGUUCGUGUUUUUCAGAUGAAAUGCAGGAAACAAGAAAACGGUUUCUAUCACGACGUAAAGAGCUAAAAGAGCUGAUGGGUGCAGAAUAAGAAAUGAGACUGAGUGAGCAAAGCUAAAUAAUAACAGAACAAGAACAAUGAUGAAUAGAAGAAACAGUAGCAAAGAGCCGUUUAGAUGAUUAGAAUGAAACUAAGCGACUGGAAAGAGCCGAUGGUAGACUAAAGAGAAAGUGAUUGAUUAUUUUAGGAGGCCAAUUAACGUAAUGACAGAUCCGGUUUCGAUGUUUGUAAUUUGAGUAUGAGGUAAAUCGAUUCUUUGUCGAGCCAGUCAAAUACAAAGGCAAAUUAGUAAAACACGAGCCAGCAACUUUUACUCACACAAAAGCCAAUAAUAUAUUGAGAUCACGCAACAUUGCAAUAAAGUUAUCAUCAAGUUGUAGCCUUCUUAUUCAAUCAAUUAUAGCAUUAUCUCUAGCUCUGUAUUUUUCAAAAAAAAAUUAUUCAAAAGAUGUCUGUCAUUAAUUUUUCAAUGAUUAAAAUUAUAAUUUUUGUUUAAUAUAUAAAACGUAAAAUUUUAAAAGAAUCAGACAUGCAUUAGGGUAAAAAUAAAAAAUAUGGAGGUAGCUUUUAACUAGGUAAUUGGCUCAACUAUGGAUCAGUGUGACAUUUUAGUAUUAAGCAAACGGAACUUUUUUUUAAUUAAAUUAAUCUCAAAGUGAUAGGCUUCUCAUGAAUCAUGUAAUGUUGUCGUUUUUAAAGACUUGACAUUUUGGGGUAAUCAUAAUUAACAAUGCACAUCACUUGUUUGUCACAAUGUCCAAAUAAAUAAUUUUAAAAAAAAAAGUUAUUUUCAUUCUUUCUUUUCAGGUAUCCUAAUUCCUUUUGCAGUUUGAUUCCUCUUUUCCUGAAUUUUGUUCCUUCCAUUAAACUAAUAAUUUAUUUAAGGAUAAUUAAGCAUCAGCCCUCAAUUGUUCAGUAUUUCACACAGUGCACCCACAUCUUUUGACCAUGUGCACCUCCCCCUAUUUCUAUUAAAAAAUCAACUAAUCUAACUAUUUAGGCUGUUAUAAAUUUAAAAGACUAUACUACCCCUAUUUUGAAAUGAAUUGGGUAUAUAAGUACUAAAAUACCCUCACAACUAAUAAAAUUUAAAUCAAAAAGUAAAAAUUUAUUAUAAUAUUUUUAAAAUUAUAUGGAAACAAUUUUUUUUUCCGGAUUACGAACCCAAGAUUAUAACCUAGUAAAUUACAAAAUCAGAGGCAAAGCAUGAUUCCAAUGUGAAAGAAAAAAAAUCAAACAUUCAUCAGUACAUUACAAAAUAAGUCCAAUAAUCCCACUAGAAUAAAUAAAACCCAAUAGAAAGAAACCCUAAACUAAUGAUACCAAAAUCCAUGAGAGCAAAUUUCAUUGUAAAAUUCUAUUACAAAAUAAAUUUAUAUUAAGAAAAUUCGAUAAAAAGAAACCCAAUAAUCAAAAAUCUUAAAACUAAAGAUAUCAAACCCAAAAUUAAAUUAUAGAGGCGGCGAAGGAAAAAGGGUUUUUUUUUUAAUUAUAUAUAUUAUUUUAAUCUUGUGUUAAUUACCAUUCUACCCUUCUUUCCGUUAACAUUAGAUUUGAAAGAAAUGAGGGUGGUGGACAUGGUCGGAAGAUUGGGGGGCACAAUGCAAAAUGUCGAAACAAUUGUGGCUAAUGCUAAAUUACACAUUAUUUAAAUUAAAUUAUCCUAAUUGUAUUUGACUGUGACUGUGACCGGAACCGCUACAAUCACUUAGUAUUUUUAUUAAUUAAUUGACAAUAAUUUCAUCAUUAGACGGUACUAUGAUAGUUUUGUCACUAUGUUUGUUACCAUCUCUCAAAAAAAAAAAAUUACUUUUACAUGACGAAUUGUGUAACAACGAUUUAAUGAAAAAUAAAAAAACAGCACGACAUCUCGUGGCUUAACAUGGUAAUCAUGAAUAUCCCUUAUUUUCAAAUAUAUAUAUAGACCUCUUUUUGUAUUUAAAAAUAGUUACAUAGAUCCUGAAUUUGUGUGUCCGUGGAUAAAUUUUCAUGAUCAUUUUUUAAAAUAAGGGAUUUUUGUGACUAUUUUGUCACGUCCGAGGAUGCCGCCGUUCUUGUCACCAAAAAUUAUUCUCAUAAGAGUAAUGAUUAAUUGGACGUCAGCAAUGAGGGCAUGUAAUGAAAAAAAUUUGUUUUGGAUGGGAUCCAAUAAUUUUAAUUACCAUGGUGGUGACAGACCCAGUUGCAAAAUCAACUGAUUUUACAAUUCUAUUGAAAAUUCUUUAAAUGAUCACUUAUCUAGUUCUACUAUAUCCUUAAGCAUAUUGAUUUUGUUACUUAUUUUCUAGUACUUAUAUUUAGGCAUUGAAAUUGGAUUGCAUAACUAAGACGAUUACUUGAGCUGAAAAUUUUUCAAGUAUGGUGGAGGGGAAAGUGAGAGAGUCGCGGCUGAAGAAGAAAUAUUAUGAGAACUGCUAAGGCUAUAAGGCUGAUAAGCUUAAAGAGUCGGAACGAGGCUUACCAAUUCGCAAGCUUUUAUAAUUUGGAUUGUUGUGCUUGCAACUGGUAAAUUUUUCAACUUCAACUCGAUAUAAUGAUUUUUGAGAGAACCAUUUGUUGAUGCUGAAAUCUGCUCGUCCUUUUCCCGACCAGAUCUUUACACCAACGUUUAUGUAGUCAAUAGUGAGGAUGUCAAUUUCUUCUUGCUUCAACGAUCGCUCUAGUCACUGAAGUUGGAAUUGUCCUUCCUUCUCCCACUGAGCCUGCGUUCACAAAAGUAGAUAAGAGACGCCGGUGGUUUUACCGGCGUAAACCCUCCGAUGCCUAAGUUAGCACAAGGUGUUUACGGGAAAACGGUGCAAUUUGGAUUCGAUAAGUUGCUUAUAAUUGGCUCACAGUUUGUAUUAAAAAUGGUCUGGUUGCAAUUUGGUAGAGUUUUCCCUUCUCUCAAUUUUUAUGUCCCUUUCUUCAUUGAUUUCUUCCUCUUUUAUAGCCGUUGUCCCACGUUUCCGUUCACCCUUCAUCCCCCCUUAUCUCGGGUAGUGGCAGCCCCUCAUGGGACUCCAACCGCCAUAUCGUGGGUAAACGUGGGACACUGUGUCUCCCUCGACGGUUCUGGGCAUAGCGCAACUGUCGUGCUUUCGUGAGAUCGUGUUCCCGCUCUUUGGAGAAUGGGUAUAUGCUCGGUAUAUGUCUCUGGUCGGCCCAUGUUUGUAGAGGGCUCAUUAUCAGUGUUCUGCUCGUAUCAUUUGGCUGAGGUGAUCCAUGCUGGGGUGGGGGUGAUGGCCUGUCUGUGCUGGUGCUCUUAUUUACUCAACACCAGUCCCCCAAUUUCUGAUCUUGCGAGUGAAACGAGUUGAGAGUAGAAAUUGAAGUCUGCUCGUAUCUUAUCGAUCCUGGGAACUACCCAUCUGGUUCUCAUGUUAUUGUGGUGGGUCUGAGGUUCCAUCUCUCGUUUAAGGAGAUAUCGACCUUAAUAUGGGCCUUGACGAAUGUAUCUAGUAUCUACUUGAGCUUACAUCUCGUCGAGCCUUUUAUAACGGUUAGUGACGUGGCGCUUCCCGACUCUUUGUAUUUGAAAUUCGAAACGACGGGCUAUCCAUCCUCGAUAUACGGUGAGUGAGCUGGCAUCCCUAUCACUCAAACGCUUCCAUUUCCCCCUUUUUGUUUCAAAUCCCUAAACUAAAGUCAUCCUCGUUUUGCUUAUUCGCUUCUCCACCGGAAGACAACUCCUUCGAACUUUAUUCACACUUUCCGCGUCUGGGAUCUCCAUUUGCUGGGUCUUUUCUCUGUUACAGCAACGCUUAUCAGUGCCAGUCCAUUCCAGGUAUAGCCUUUAACCUCUUCUCUGGUUGUUGUUGAUUGGGUUUUGUAUUGUGGGUUCUGUGUUUGUCCCUUUUUUGUAUCCAUACUCUUAGAUAUUUUGUGCUUUCCCUUCUUAAACUUCGGUAUGUCCAACCGAAAAGGAAAAAGAAUUAUAGUCGAGAGCGAUGAAGAAAUAGAGGAUUCAUAUCCUCAUUUGUUUGGACCCAAUGAUCUUCUUCACUCCUCUCGCAGUGUAGGUCCCUCCUAUCAUAGGGAUACCCCUGAAUACCCUCGUCCCUUGGCCACUUCACCCUCCCCUGAAUUAGAGCUUGUAGGAAAUAGAGGUGGACCUGCGUCGGGCUCUAGUGAAAAUCAUGGUUCUGGUGGGGUUGGGGUUCCUGAAGAAGUGGGUGAUGGUAAGGGGAGCAGUUCUGAACCAAGCAGACCCCCUCAGAAGAGAAACCUCGGCCAUAGGGUGGAGGCAGAUUCUUACCCUAUUGAUUACAUAGCUUGUGCCACCACCCCAACUGACCAGUUCAAACUUAGGAAUCUUUACAACAUUCCCGAGGAGGUUCUCCUUGUAAUUCCUGGGAAAGACGACGUUCCUAGUCGGCCUCCGAGGGGGUAUGUGACGAUGCACCUGGAGAGUUUCAAACUAGGAGCUCGGCUGCCCCUUCAGCGCUACUUUGCCAAGAUACUGGGUGGUAUGCACCUGGCCCCAUGUUAGCUACACCCAAAUGGGUGGAGGGUUCUCUCAGCUAUGUAUGUGCUAUGGGAGAGGUGCGGAUCAGAGGAACCUUUCCUUGUUGAAGUAAAGCAUCUGUACCAACUGCGGAGUAGCCCAAAGGAAGCGGGUUGUUACUACUUCAUGUCCAGCUCUGCAAAGAGGAAGCCGAUUACCGGGUUUCCUUCUUCAUGUAAAAAUUGGAAGAACAAAUUCUUCUUUACUAGAGGAAAUUGGUGUCUAGCAGCCCGGUCGCUUGGUGGUGAUAUUCACCUUCCAACGCGCUUUGUCACCCCAGGUCGUUUAUUUAUUGCCUAUUUUCUUUCUCCAAUCGUCACUUAUUGGGUUCUUUAACCUUGUUUGCUAUUUCAGAGUCGUGGAGUUUGAUCGAGGGGAUUGAAGAGAGACCUUUGCUCCAGGUAGAGACUGCUUUGGUGAACGCGUCUACCUGCCAAGAUCUUUUGUCGUCAACAAACCUGGUCGGGUGGCGCUCAGUGGACAUAGCUGUCGGAAUGGACAAUAAGAUCCUCAGUGCAAUGACCAGAAAGCGUGGUCGGGCUUCAAGUAGCCCCAGUAACCCUCCUCCCCCUUCGAAGAAAACCAAUGUUGGUCCAUCCAAGGCUUCUGCUCCUGCUCUGCUCCCUCCUCCACCUCGAAAGAAUGGAGGAGAGAAGGUGACUACCAAGAGUCCUGAGGUCAGUAUUCAUUCAGGAGAUCGAUCCUCUCCUCUUCCACCUCGGGAUCAAGGUGACUAUCUAACCCCAUAUCAGAUGGACUAUGGGAAGUCCGUGGGGCCUAAAAUGAUUAAGAACAUCGAGAGCAUUAAUCUUGGUGAAUUGGCUGGUUCUGUCCAGCAGGUCUCCUUCAAGCUGGUUACUUUGGUGUCUUGUUAUAAGAACAGGGCCAUACGUCAUGAGAGGAGGCUUCAGACUAAUAACCAGGACCUGAAGAAGAAAGUUGAGUUUGUCGACCGCUCGAAGGAGAAGCUGCUUGAUCUGCACAAGCAAAUCAUGGACCUGGAGGAGAAAAUGGCCAUGGCUGAGUCCACCUCCAUCAAACUUGAGAAUGAGUUAGGUGAUCUGAAGUCUGAUCUCCAGGCCACUCAGAGUGAGUGGGACACCUUGAAGACGGCUCUUGAGGGAGAAAUCAAAUCUCUGAGUGAGCAGUUGGCCGAGGCGAAAGGCAAAUCUGCUGAUGUGGAUGAUCGGCUGGAUGCAGAGUAUGACUCUGGGGUUGCUUUCUACUAUAAAUGCAUUAUGUCUGUGCUUAAGGAAGAGUAUCCAGAGCUUAAUAUGAGCAAGCUUGAAGCUGGAGUGCAGAGGUAUAUGGCCGAGGUCGAUCAGGGGGACAAGGAGCAGGGUGACCAAGACCAGGUGGAGGCUCCCUUAGGUGGGGUGCAGGAGGAGGAAGCAGGGGAUCGUGCUCCUGAAGUAGGUCAAGGGUCAGUGCUUCCUCCCCCCGAUGCUGCUGAUCCUCUUCCUCUUGAGAUUGCUGAUCUUUCAGUUGCUGAGGUUGCUGAACCUCCUAAUCUUUAGGCUUAUUUUUGUAUGAAUUUUCAUUUUGUUUGCAAACGCUCGGAUGUUUAUAAAUUUUUGGAUGCUUUCUAUCGGCCUUUCUAUCUGGUUUUUUGCUCAUGGAUUGUUUUUGCAAAUUAACUUGACAACUUAUUUGAUUUUGCCUGCUGGCUCUUUGGUGGACCGAGCAGGAAUAUGCGCUUACUUGCCUUAGUAGAAUUUCAUAAAACUGCCUGCUGGUCCUUUCGGCGACCGAGCAGGAAUAAGCACUUGCUUGCCUUAGUAGAACUUCACAAAAUUACCUGCUGGUCUUUUGUUGACCGAGCAGGAAUAGGCACUUGUUUGCCUUAGUAGAAUUUUGUAGAAUUGCUUGCUGGUCUUUCGUUGACCGAGCAGGAAUAGGCACUUGUUUGCCUUAGUAGAAUUUUAUAAGAUGCCUGCUGGUCUUUCGUUGACCGAGCAGGAAUAGGCACUUGUUUGCCUUAGUAGAAUUUUGUAAGAUUGCCUGCUGGUCUUUCGUUGACCGAGCAGGAAUAGGCACUUGUUUGCCUUAGUAGAAUUUUAUAGAAUUGUCUGCUGGUCUUUCGUUGACCGAGCAGGAAUAGGCACUUAUUUGCCUUAGUAGAAUUUUGUAAGAUUGUCUGCUGGUCUUUCGUUGACCGAGCAGGAAUAGGCACUUGUUUGCCUUAGUAUAAUUUAAUGGGCUUGCUAGCAGGGGGAUUUCAUGCUGAAUUCAUCUUUAUUAAAACUUGAAUACAUUACAAAAAUGCGAAAUAUAUGCGUGUGCAACAAGUCAUCAUGCAUUUAAUAGAAAUAAUUUAUCAAAAUAAAGACUUAGUAGAGCACUUUGCUUACUGGAAAUACUUCUUCAUGUGCUCGGCGUUCCACGACCUCUUCACGUCUCGUCCAUUUGAGUACGCUAGCUUGUAAGCUCCUGGUCCAGUCACUCGUAUCACCCUGUACGGGCCUUCCCAUUUCGGGCCAAGAGCUCCAUGGUUAGGAUCCCUAGUGUUUUGGUUCACCUUCCUAAGUACCCAAUCCCUUGCUCGGAACUGCCUCACGCGUACGUUCUUGUUGUAAUAACGCAUGACUCUUUGCUAACACUGGGCCACUUUCUGCGAGGCCCCUUCCCUUUUCUCCUCUAGCAGGUCCAGGCUCAAGCAGAUCUGCUCGUCGUUUUGCUCCUCAUUGAAGUAUUCUGUCCGAUGUGUCCCCACUCCAAUUUCUGCUGGGACUACCGCCUCAUGACCAAAAGUCAAAGCAAACAGAGUUUCCCCUGUGGCGGUUUUGUGAGUUGUCCGGUAAGCCCACAAUACUCCUGGUAGCUCGUCGACUCAAGCUCACUUCUUCUCUCCUAGUUUGAUUUUCAGGAGUUUCUUUAUUACUUUAUUGGCUGCUUCCACAUGUCCGUUUGCCUGGGGGUGUGCGGAGGUGCAGAACUUCAGGUCCACCCCCAAGUUUCGGCAGAAUUCUCUGAAGUUGUUGUUGUCAAAUUGCCUCCCAUUAUCUGUAAUGAUGGCAUAGGGGAUCCCAUAUCUGCAGAUGAUAUUCUUCCAAAUAAAAUCCGUUGUUUUUCUCUCCUUGAUUUGGCUGAGGACUCCCACUUCUACCCACUUGGUGAAGUAGUCUAUUGCCACAAUUGCAUGUGUUGCCGCUCCUCGGCCCUUAGGUAAUAGACCAAUCAGGUCAAUUCCCCAUUGGACAAAAGGCCAUGGGGAUGUCAUGGUGGUCAGCUUUUCUGGGGGUUGUGCAGGAACCUCUGAGAAGCUUUGGAAGAUUUUACAGUUCUUUGCCAUCCUCUUCGCAUCCUGGUGCAUGGUUGGCCAGAAGUAUCCUUGCCGGAGUGCCUUAAAGGCUAAAGUUCUCACUCCCGAGUGAUUGCCACAUAUUCCUUCAUGAAUCUCCCUCAGUACAUAAUCUGCUUCCUCGUCAUCCAAACACCUCAAAAGGGGUAAGGUGAAUCCUCGGCGGUAGAGCACCCCAUCGUGUAGCGUAUACCUUGCUGCUCGGCAUUUUAAUUUCCUUGCUUGCCUCUUGUCCUCUGGUAAAAUGCCAUCACAGAUGUAUAAGAGAAUCGGGUCCAUCUAGGAUUCCUCGGUGCUUAUUCUCAUUACCUCAACUUCCUCCCUUAUAAUUGGCGAGGUCCUCACCUCUAGUGGAACUGACUUAGAUAAUUUCGGAUCUGCAAUUGCAGCCAUUCUCGCUAACAUAUCUGCUCGGUAAUUCUCAUUCCGGGAUAUCUGCUUUACCUCUACCUCUUGGAAAAGCCCAACCAUCUGCUUUGCCUUCUUCAAAUAAAGCCCCAUCUUCUCUUCCCUUGCUUGGAACUGAUCACUGAGCUGAUUACAGACUAAUUGGGAAUCUGCUCGGAUUUCUACCUUUUCUGCUCUUAGUGCGUCCGCAAGUCCGAGCCCAGUGAUAAAGGCUUCAUAUUCAGCUUGGUUGUUCGUGAGCUGAAACUCGAACUUCACUGCAUAAGUUACUUCGGUCCCUUCUGGGCUUCGUAUUACAAUUCCUGCUCCGGACCCUUGUUCACUACAUGACCCAUCAACCUUUACUAGCCACACCCCAUCCGGUUUAUCCUGCUCUAUUGGUUGCUCCUCCCGAAUUUCUUCCCCCGGUUCAGCACGGUCAACCAUAAAAUCGGCCAGGGCUUGGGCUUUGAUUGCUCCUCGAGGCCUAUAGGAUAGGUCAAAUUCGCUCAGCUCCACGGACCAUUUUACUAACCGACCUUAUGCAUCUGGUUUUUGGAGCAUUUGCCGAAGAGGCUGGUCAGUCAUCACAACUAUUGGGUGGGCCUAAAAAUAUGGUCAGAGUUUGCGCGCUGCCGUUAUUAGAGCUAGUGCCCAUUUCUCCAUCGGCGGAUACCUGGUUUCUGCGUCUACUAGGGCCUUGCUUGUGUAGUAUAUGGGGUGUUGCUUUCCUUCUUCUUCUCUGACUAGCACCGAGCUGGUUGCCCAUUUUGAGAUUGCUAAGUACAAAAAUAGUUGGUCACCCUCUCUCGGAGUUGAUAGUAACGGGGCGCGAGCCAGGUAAUCCUUCAACUGUCCAAACGCCUCCUCACAUUCUAAUGUCUACUCCAUCUUUCUCCAUUUUUUUAUGGUUUGGAAGAAAGGGUGGCAUUUAUCUGUGGCCCGCGAGAUAAAUCGGUUCAUUGCUGCUAAUCGCCCUGUAAGACUUUGCACCUCUUUAACUGUUCGUGGGGACCUCAUUUCUGUCACCGCCCGUAUUUUUUCCGGGUUGGCCUCGAUCCCUCGGUGGCUCACCAGGAAUCCCAAGAAUUUGCCCGAACUAACCCCGAAUGCACAUUUGUCUGGGUUCAGCUUCAUUUCGUACUUCCUCAGCAAUUCAAAGGUCUCUUCCAAGUGCUUCACAUGAUCCCUUGGUUCUUUGGACUUUGUGAUCAUAUCAUCCACAUACACCUCCAUAGUGUGACCGAUCAAUGGUUUGAAGAUCUUGUUCACCAACCUUUGAUAGGUAGCUCCUCCAUUUUUUAGACCGAAAGGCAUUACCCUGUAACAAAACAAACCCAUAUUAGUUAUGAAGGUGGUGCUUUCCUCAUCCUACUCGUCCAUGAGUAUCUGGUUGUAUCCGGAAAAGGCAUCCAUGAAGCUGAGCAGACUGUGGCCUGCUGUUGAGUCCACCAAUUGAUCUAUUUUUGGUAGGGAAAAACUGUCCUUCGGGCAUGCCUUAUUGAGGUCCGUGAAAUCCACACACAUUCUCCAUUUCCCGUUGGCCUUCUUUACCAGUACUACAUUGGAAAUCCACUCUGGGUAUUUGGCCUCCCUUAUAAAUCCUGCUUUCAGGAGCUUUUCCACCUCGGCAUUUAUGGCCUCGUACCUUUCCUGGUUAAAGCACCUCCUUUUCUGCCUUACCGGCCUUGCUCCUUUCUUGAUCGCCAAUUUGUGGCAUGCUACCAUGUGAUCAAUUCCUGGCAUGUCCUCAUGAGACCAGGCAAAUGUGUCUGCAUGGGACUGUAAACACCUCACCAGCUCGCCCUUUAUUGUCUCACCCAAACUUGACCUGAUCCUAACCACUCUGUUCGGGUUACUCCUACUUACAAAGACCUCCUCCAGAUUCUCAACAGGUUCCUGGCGGCCCUUUUUAGAAUCCCCUCGGUUAUCUAGAGAGGUAACCUGUAGCGUCUCCUUAGCCGCUGUAGCAUAACAGCUCCUUGCCAUUCUCUGGUCACCUUUUACUACCCCAACAACUCCAUUUACUCUAUACUUCAAUGCCAGAUAAUACGUGGAUAUAACGCAUUGGCUUAUCCUCAUGAACGGUCUCCCCAGUAUCAUUUAGUAAGGGCUUCUUUCUUCUACCACGACAAAGUCCAGCAUCAUCGUUCUUUCAAACGGCUUUGACCUCAUAGUAAUCGGGAGUUCGAUGAUCCCCAUGGGAGUUAACCGUCCCCCUCCAAAUCCCUUCAAAGAUGUAUUCGUCCGUUCCAGUUUCAAGUCUGAAAUUCCCAUAUCAUCUAAGGCCGACUUAAACAAGAUGUCAACCGAGCUGCCCGUGUCCACCAGUAUUCGCCGUAAUUCUGUACCAACCACCCUUGCUUUAAUCACCAGUGCAUCCUCAUGAGGAUAUAAAAUACCUUCUUCGUCGUCAUCUGUCCACAUAAUGGGAACCUACCGCACUUUGCCCUCUUGGCUGCUGGCAAAUUGAAAAGCACCUCUUUGCUGGUCAUGGCGUAUCUCCCAUAGUUCCUCCUUGCUCUGUUCGAAUCCCCGGCCAAUGUUGGCCCUCCUACUAUCACACGGAUAGUCGGUUGUUCAUGUUCCAGGCCCCUCUCAACUCCUUCAUCCCGCGUGUACUGUGAUUCAAUGACGGGGGACACUCCAUCUACAUAUUCAUCCAAGUACCGAUUUCUCACCAGAUCCUCCACCUGAAUCUUUAGGUCACGACAUUGGCUGAUAGUGUGACCAUGAGUAUCGUGGAAUUUGCAGAACUUGCUCUUAUCACGUCGGUGAGCAGGUUUUGUUAUAUGGGCCGGAGGGUAUAGCAGGCCUCGUCCUUCGAUCCUCUCAUACAAUUCUUCCAUGGAGAUUUUUAAUGGGGUGUACUGUCCAUACGCCAAGCUCUGGUCAACAAGUUGGACUACUCGGCUAUCAUGGAUAUCGCCCCGGGCUGAUAUCGUAGGCAACUAAUCUGGUCGUCCAGCCCUGGAGUUAGUUGUGUGUAGUGCUCUGGGAGCAUUGUGAUAAGGGUGGGCAGCCAACUGCCUGAAUUCUCGUUGCCGCUCCAGGAACGAGGGGCGCGGUGGUUGAGCUCGGCUGUGUUGGAGCUGUUGUGGUCUCUGAGCUAUGGGAUAGGGGCGGGACCGAGCUGAUAUUCUGCCCAUUACUGAGGAUUCCCUAGCUCGCUUUCCCGAUCCGCUCCCGUUCGGGGCUCUCCGUUCCUUUCGUCUCAGCUCUUCCAGCUGUUCGCUUUUUAUCCUCGCCGAUUUCUCCUCUUCGAUUUCUAUAUCUCUCCUCGCCUGAUCAUACCCCGCCGAAUAAUUCUGCACCAUGGGACUUAUCAAGUUAUACCACAGUCGGCCUAUUCUCACCCCUUCUUUUAAUCCCCUCAGUGCCUGCAGGUGAUUAAAAGCUCCCAGAUCCAGCACGGCUCGGUGAUAUCGUUUUAUAAAAUCCCGAAGGGAUUCAUGUUCCUCCUCUUUCAUCCCCAUCAGCUCCAUCAUGUCGUCCUCUAGGGCCACUGCUCCUCGAAACUGCUCGGCCAACUCUUGGCACGUCUGCUCGUACCCUUUUAUACUUCCUCGGGGCAGCUUGCGGUACCAUUCUUGGGCUUGUCCCUCUAGUGUCAACGGGAAUACCCUGCACCUCUGAGUUGGUGUCAGCCCCUGCACACCCGUCAUGUCAUUGAAACGUUCAAUAUGCACCAGAGGGUCACUUCGCCCGGAGUAUUUGAGGUCGGGGAAGCGAAAAUCUCUUGGGAUUACAGUACCCAUGAUUUCGGUUGAUAACAGAGACUCUUCAUCUAGCAUUAUCCUCCAGCUCGGGGGCUUUCUCUUGCCCUGAAUCUCCUCUAUCACCUGCGCCAAUCUGCGCACCUCUCCCUCCAAUUCUACAGCACGGUUAGGAUCGCGCGCAGCUAUCUGAUCUCGUUCCUGCUCGGCAUUCUGCAACCUCUGUCUGAGCUCUCCUUCAUUAACACUGGCCCCUCGGUCAUCAAUUUCCAGUACCUGUCCGGGGCGAGGUUGGUCCCUCUCUUCACCCACGCGCUCUCCUGGAACCCGACCAGUACUUCUAUGGGGAUGCACCCUAUUAAGUUGGUCCACCGGCGGAGGGAUUUUCUCGACUCUACGCCUCCGAAGGCUGGGUUCUGCUCCAACUUCAUCUCUCCCCAUGGGGGUUUCACAAUCCCUUCUCCGUUCAUCCCUCAGCUCAUAUAAUAUGGCCGUGAGAGUCUCCAUUUGUUUCUCCAUCCGCUCCAGUCGAUCUUGCAUUGUCCUCUCUUGAGCUUCAUUCGCAAUCUCCCUGAGAGUGAUUGUCUCAACAGUUUCAUUGUCAUCCCUCAAAGCAUCAUUCCUUGACGCAUCCAUAUCCAACCGUUCGCUGCUUCUCCGGUAACUACUAAUUUGGUGGUAGCUUUUUAUUCAACUCCCUACAGACGGCGCCAAAAUGUUGAUGCUGAAAUAUGCUCGCCCUUUGCCCGACUAGAUCUUUACACCAACGUUUAUGUAGUCAAUAGUGAGGAUGUCAAUUUCUUCUUGCUUCAACGAUCGCUCUAGUCACUGAAGUUGGAAUUGUCCUUCCUUCUCCCACUGAGCCUGCGUUCACAAAAGUAGAUCAGAGACACCGGUGGUUUUACCGGCGUAAACCCUCCGAUGCCUAAGUUAGCACAAGGUGUUUACGGGAAAAUGGUGCAAUUUGGAUUCGAUAAGUUGCUUAUAAUUGGCUCACAGUUUGUAUUAAAAAUGGUAUGGUUUCAAUUUGGCAGAGUUUUCCCUUCUCUCAAUUUUUCUGUCCCUUUCUUCAUUGGUUUCUUCCUCUUUUAUAGCCGUUGUCCCACAUUUCCGUUCACCCUUCAUCCCCCCUUAUCUCGGGUAGUGGCAUCCCCUCAUGGGACUCCAACCGCUAUAUCGUGGGUAAACGUGGGACACUGUGUCUCCCUCAAUGGUUCUGGGCAUAGCGCAACUGUCGUGCUUUCAUGAGAUCGUGUUCCCGCUCUUUGGGGAAUGGGUAUCUGCUCGGUAUAUGUCUCUGGUCGGCCCAUGUUUGUAGAGGGCUCAUUAUCAGUGUUCUGCUUGUAUCAUUUGGCUGAGGUGAUCCAUGCCGGGGUGGGGGUGAUGGCCUGUCUGUGCUGGUGCUCUUAUUUACUCAACACCAUUUACAAUGAUUUUGGCCUAUUGUGCUCUUCUAGUUUUGUCCUUAAUUCUUUGGUGAUUUUUUUUUUUUUCAGUUCUGCCGGUCGCAUCUCUCUUUCCCUUCCUUUAUUUUAUGGUGAGUGGACUGUUGUUGCCUUCAGCAGAGUAGUUACUAGUGAGAAAAUUUAUAUUUUUCUAUCAUGCUUGCUGAUUUUCUUAGAAAUAUAAGAAAAGACAAGUUUUAUCUGUCAAACAAUUCAUUGCUUUUUCACAGCAGUAUGUUAUGAUUUCUUUUCAGAUUAGGGAUUUUCACAUUGCAAAAAGGGAGUAAGAUAUUGGAUUCUAUGCUGGUUACGUGGGUGAGUUAUUUUAUGUAUUUUUAUUGUGUUUAAUAAAUGACACAUGGUAUGGAGUCCUUUUUUGGUACAAAUGUGCAGACUCGCGCCUUUACAACUCUGUAAAAACAUUCUAUUGAGGGCUUUACAACACUGUAAAGGCACUGUACAAGGGUUUUACACUGCAGACUUGCGCCUUUAUACUGUAAAGGGCCAAGUCUAUGCUUUAAAAAGUACAGAUGUUCGCACCUCGAAAUAAUUAACAUAUAUGUAUGUAACAUUUCAAAUUCCUCAAGAAGCCAUCCUGACAAACCUCUUAAUACCUUGAUGAAAUUGAAGGGUCUUCAUACAUGCUUGGCAGAGCUUUAACAUCUGUUUUGUGGGGAAUGGUGGCUGACCGCUGCGGUCGAAAGCCUGUAAUAUAAUAGGAUGCAUCACAGUAUUAGUGACCUCCAUUUUCAAAUGAUUAAGCUUGAAAUUGAUGAUACUUUGGCAAUUUCUGGGUUUCUUAUUUGUCUUAAAAUGCUCACAGGGUUUUUUUUUAACACUCUCUUUGGGCUUAGUGUGAAUUUCUGGAUGGCCAUAGCUACAAGGUUUCUCCUUGGGCUUUGAAUGGUUUACUUGGACCAAUAAAGGCGUUGAUUGGGGGUAUUUGUUGAUAAUUCCAAUUUAGUUCCUGAAAAUAUUUGUGCUCAAACUUCUCUUACACCACGAGGCAUAUGCAUGUGAAAUAUUGGGCGAUCAGCACCAAACUUAUUACGAAACUAAAAAUGUUACUUGUUUUCUGUACUUGCUUUCGCAUGCAUCACCCCCACAAAACUGCUUGACGAUUGUCCUCAUUUUGAACUUACUAUAGGUUUCAUUCUCCUUGUUUUUCAACUUACUCUGUACCCUUACAUCGAGAGGAUUAUUGGGCCAAUAAUCAUAACACGAAUUGCAGGGGGUAAUAUUUUGAACACCUCAUGCGGCAUUUGGACCAUUUGAUUGUUUGUUUCAAACAUAUCUGUUUAUAAAAUACUUUUCUUCAUGGUUUUGGUCCCAUAACUUUCUAUGUAUGUACGGGUUUUAUCGAUACCGCUUUUGACAAGUUACACUUACAUAGCAAUGCUAUCUGGGUUCAGCCUUGCCUUUUUGAUAAACUGUGCUUCUGUGAUGAAGAAUGUUUUAUCUGUAAGUGGAUAUCCUAAUCAUUGAUCCAUAUACUAAGGUUAUAUUAUCCAUCAGCAAGUAUGUAUAAAAUUAUUGUCUUUUUUAUUAGAAUUGUUGUAAUUCUUUUUUACUUUUCCUGAAUUGUAGAAUCAGGUGUCUAUAAUAACUGGAUUGUUCCUUGUGCAAAACAGAGCAGUGGUAAAUAUAUUUUCUUUUGUUUGUUUAGUACAUUUCCAUGCUUUCAGCUUUUUCAAAUUUUGUAUGUGCCAAAGUUUAAAUUAAUUGGUUGGUUUAUGGUAUAAUAAGAGGUAUGAUAAAUUUACUAAUGAAAUUUCUCACUAGUUUGUGAAUUACUUGGUGCUAAUUAGCUUAGUUAGCUGCUUAAACUAAAGUGCAGGUAACCAGAUGAUUUUUUCAUUCUGAAUUCGGUGGAGGCACUUGGAGUAAUAUUGACAUUCAAACCAUUUCUAACUCAACGUGCCCCGUGAAAUAUUCAAAUAUAUAUCAAGCAAAUUAAAGCUUUCAAAAUCUUUCAACAGUUUGAUUGUUUGAUGUGGUUGCCACUUGCCAUAUUUUGUGUUACUUUUCUAAAGGCUUAAAUAUGAAAAUGGUUGUUGGUGCUCACGCCAAUUGAUUGCUGGUAACAUUAAUUGUGCAGUACUUGUCAGAACUACCACAAUUUAUCUUCACAAUGAUGCUAGCUAGAAAGAAAAUUUCAUGUUAAGUAAAAUAUUGAAGCCAUAAAGAGUCUUAUUCCAGAGCCUUAUUAAGUACUAAGUUUUCUGCCAUGCUUUCAAAGUUUACAAAUUCGAAGCUUGGGAUUCUGUAACAAUGGAGGAUAAAAAUUAUAUAAGAAUAUUAUUUUGUACAAUUUUCAUACAACCAGACAGAAGCGAGCAUAAUUUUUUUUAUCAUAACUCAGAUCAAAAGACCUUCAAUGAUGUAUAAAAUGAAAUGAAAACGAUAGUUACCUCGAACUUUCUUCUUCAAAUUUCGCAGCACUAUGUAAUAAAUUAAAAAGCCUAUGGCAUCAGAACAUAUCGUACUGCGUCGAGAGAGACGACGACUCCUCCAACAGCUGAAAAUAAAUUCUCUCAUUCGUUAAUUUAAAGUAAAAUUUGUAAAUUUAGGUACUUGCACAUAGAGAUUUGCAAGGGGAGCGAGAGAUUCAAUAGCAGCAAUUUAAUUUGACAGGACUUUCAUUGAAUAAUGAAAUUAAAAACUAACGAUUAUUGAAUUUUUUAUAUUCUCUUAACUCUUGUGGAAAUGUCAGCUCUAAAUAGGACAGCUUCAAGAAUCUUUAUCUGAAAGUGUAAUUGGCAGAGCAGAAACUUGUGACACUAUCUAAAUCACAAAGACUCAACGUCUUCAAUUUGCUGAAAACAAUCUCUCGUUUUGAAUUUACAUUUGGAGCUCCAUCUUCUUCUUCGUCACCUAUUACCAUAUCUGUCAUUGCCCUGCAUCCAGCCACCUUCACUGAUACGAGCCGCACUAGACUUUUAGCUGCAGUGGAUUUUACAAUUCUUUGCAAUGGAAAACCACCAGUUCUGUUAGAUUCCCACAAGAUAUAGAUGAUCAUGGCAAUAGACUUAAAAGAUUUUUACAUGCAGUAAUAUACUCUUAAGUGGUGUUUGGUUGGGAGGAGAGAAUAGAAGAAAGGAAAGUAAUUUAAAUUCUCUUUUUAUUUCCAUUAUUUGGUUUGACAAAAUAUAUAAGAAUUUAAUUUCCAUUAGAAUUUGAAUUCCACACCAAGUAGUGAAAAAUUUAAAUUCCUCUUAUGUUAAAAACUAAAAUUUCCAAAACUAUCCUUCAAAUUUUUAACUUGUUUAAUGUCAUUAAUAAUUAUUAUUUAUAAUUUUAUUUUAUUGAUUUAAUAUUAUAAAUAGACCUCCACCGGUAAGUCGCCGGACCACUGUCGGACUUCGCCGGACCACCGCUGAACUUUCGCCAGACCACUGCCUAACUUCCACCGGAAAGUCGCCGGACCUCCACCGGAAUAUAGUUUUUCAUAGCGAAGAGCUUUGCUUUGAUGGCUUAAGGAUUUGUUCUAGGCAUACUGCUGUGAUUAGAUUUCGUUUAUUUUUAACUUUUUUUAAUCUUUUAUCCGAUGAAUGAUUUUCAGCUGUUCUUAAUUAUUUGUUCAUAGGGAAGAGCAUUUUCUAAGUACUUCCUUGCCUUCUAAGUUUCCGAAGAAAGAUAGGUGUGAAGCAAAGCAAACCAAACCAAAUGAACAAACAGAGCACAAACUAAAAUAACAGAACAGCAAUGAUGACAAUAAAUAAUUGGCAAAAAAAGAAAAGAAAAAAGCAUGCACAUUUUCAAGGAAAUAUAAAAUAUGAAGCUUUUAAUGAAAUUUUAUCAUAAAAAGUAUGCAAGUAUUUAACAAGAUGUUUGGAACGAUAGAAAAUGAAAGAAAAUUGAUUAAGAAGAUUCUGGAACAAUCAUAAUUCUUAUUGAUGAAACUGAUCAAAAUCGUACAUUGUGAACGAGCUCAGCACUAUUUAUAGUUACACACAUGCUGAUUAGAAAGUGUAGAGCUCAAAACUGCAAUAUUAACAAACUAAUUAACCUUCCAAUCAUAUUAAGCCAGCUGGACAGUUAGUUACAACCAAUCAGUACAAAUAACAACCUAAUCCAGCUUGGCAACUUUGUUACACAUCAUCAGCCAGCUCAGCUUAGCAAACUUACACUCUUAACAGCAAGGAAUUAUAAAAUUUUAGAAAACAAGGGGAACCCUAAAAAAAAAACUCAAAUUAAACUAGGCUAAAAGACAUUCAAUGAUGCAAAAUCUGUCCAUAAAAUUCUGAACGAAUCAUUAAAAUAGCAUUCCAAAUUUAACAGUAAACCGAGUGACCCAUUCUAAAUAAUUCAGAUGAAAUUGUGAAACAAGCCAUGAGAUCAAAUAAAUGAAAUAAAAAUUCGCAACUCCAAGUCAUAAGAAGCCUAUGAAAUUAGUCGUAAUGCGUAGACAACGACGACGGCACCGUCAACAGCUGAAAAUAAGAUUCUUAUUCAUCAAUUUAAACUUUUACUUUAUAACAAACAUCUUAUCUAUAUUUUAUUUAAAAAAAGAAAAUUUUGUAAAAUUUUUCCAUGGGAGAUAGAGAGUAAUAUGUAUAUACGUACCUUCUCAGCAUGUAAUUGUUGUAUGGUUGUGUUCAGAUCAUUAUUAGCCCAGCGCCGUUGAUCCGCUGUCUCUCCAUAGCAGACGUUUACUCUUGGAGGCGUGAUUGAUUCUCCUGUAGUGAAAAUCUUCAUCUUGGGACAACCAAUCACCCACAAAUCUUGCAAAGAUGGGAAUUUGAAGGUGUAGUUGGCAGAGCUGAAACUUGUGAAGCUAUCUAAAUCAAACAGUUCCAACGUCUUCAAUUUGCUAAAAACAAUCUCUUCUUUUUCAACUCCAUCUUUGUCAUUUAUUACCACCUCUGUCAUUGCUCUGCAUCCACAUACUUGCACUUUGACGAGUUGCACUAGAGUUUUUGCUGUGGAGGAUGUUACCAAGUGUAUCAAUCCCUUGCAACCGAAAGCCACCAGAGCUGUUAGGUUCUGAAAAGAUACCGAUGAUGAUGGCAAUAGAAUUAACAGACUUUGACAAUGAUGUACUUUUAGAAUUUCAAGAUACUGAAAAAUGGGGCCAAGUUUGGAGUCUUGUUUGCACAGCUGCUUCAGAUGAUAGUGCCGGUUCAGCUGUAAUUUUUUUAUCAUUGCCAACUUCCCCACAUGUUUCUCUAAGCUUCCUUCCUCCGAAAAUACCUCUUCGUUGAAUGAAAAAAAACACAGUAUGAGCAUUUCCAGAUUGUGAAAUCUCUCCAGUACGUUCCAGACUGGAAAACAAGCUGAGUCAUCUCCAGCAAUCUCUAGUUGUUUAAGACUGCCAAAAAGGUGUUGUGGGAAAUCGGCCUGCAAAAUCAUCUUCACAUCUUUUCCACUUAGUGAUAGUUCCUUCAAGUUGGGUACGAUCUGAUCAUCAUCAAUCAUAAUAACUAAUGAGGUCAAUUGAUGAUCUACGGUCACACGCAGUGACUUUAUAGUAUUUGUUUUAUAUUAUAUUUUUAAAAAAAAUUGAACUAUUGAUAAAAUUUAUUUUAUAUGUUAAUUUUAGAGGUAAAAAAGAAAUUAGGGAAAAAAGGUUGAUUUAUACUGGCUCGAAAUUAUUUUAUUGCACAAUAAUAAAUUACUAAUUUAUUUUGUAAGUUCUUCUAUAUGGAAAGACUAAGGAUUCUUUUAUAAAUGCUAUACCUAAAACAGUUCAUAUAAUUAUUAAUCUACCACAUUGAUCCCUUAGUCUAGACUAGCAAAGAUUAUUGUAUAAUAAAAAUUUUUAAUUUAUUGAGCAUUAAUUUAUCGAUGCUUUGUCAUAUUUUUCAAAGUUAAAAAUAAGCUAUUGAUAAAAAAUCUAGAAAAUGACUUCAUACCUUUUCCAACGGCAAUAGGAGCUGUUGUGCAGGAAUACCAAGUUGAUCAUUCUCAUUAUUCUGCGAUAAAUCUCCAGCGAAUAUCUUUAAUUUGUCACAACGAUACACUAAAAGACUUUCUAGCGCGGGCCAUUCCAAAGUAUGCAUUCCAGUGUACAAACAUCUAAGUUUUGGUAGAUGUUGGAGUCUCAGAGUGGUGAGCUGUGGAAAGACAAAAUAAGGGCUCACUUGAUCUGCUCUGUUUUCAGAAAUGAUCUCCUGUAAAUCCUCACAGAAGCGUAUAUCUAGGUGUUGGAGCUGCUUAAGGCUUCCGAUCAUAGACGCUGAAAAUAGGUAUUUUAAUUUGUGACAAUGCCGCACAGUCAAUCGUGUUAAAUUUUGAAAGCGAGGAAACAUGACCGGAAGAUGAUUGUAGUGCCAAAUCUUGUCGACAUUAAUUUCAGAUAUCUCCAAAGCCUCCAAGUUAGGCAACGCAAC
RNAcentral lists this long non-coding RNA (324748 nucleotides) under Citrus maxima (pomelo). Its description in RNAcentral is "long non-coding RNA (CMAX_LNC001310)". The stretch from base 226544 to 226650 matches the Rfam family "Plant small nucleolar RNA R71". Lineage: Eukaryota; Viridiplantae; Streptophyta; Magnoliopsida; Sapindales; Rutaceae. The record is from RNAcentral.